This 178146-nucleotide long non-coding RNA is filed under the name Citrus maxima (pomelo). RNAcentral's name for it is "long non-coding RNA (CMAX_LNC001455)". The record is from RNAcentral. Lineage: Eukaryota; Viridiplantae; Streptophyta; Magnoliopsida; Sapindales; Rutaceae.
ACAAAUAUUAAAAUGCAUAUGAUCGCACAUAGUACUUGGAGCUUAGUAAGAUUUCAUUAAGAGAAGCAAUCAAACCACUUAUCAAUUGUUGCAAUCGUUCUAUAAGCUAAAAUAGCAAUAUAAUACAAGAAAAAGAACAUAUAGAUACUUGGCAAGAGUUCAUUAAGAAGUCGCAUCACAUUCGGGUGAGUUUGCUUCUGAUAUCUUGCUAGCUGGGGCUUUUUCUUGUCUUUCUACGUAUGCCGAGGGAAACCAACCAGCUUGGCCCUUGCAUUCACCUUCCGACCAUCCAGUAGGAGCCACCUUGAGAAGUUAUAACUAAAACAGUGAAUUAAACAACAGUUGACUGUUCAAAGACCUAAGGGGAAAACUAAUUCUUUUACGUAGGAGGAGUGAAUUAGUUGUGAUCACUGAAAUAACAGCAUAACUAUGGAAGCAUAACAAGAUAUAAAUUCACACGUCUAUAAGGGUAAUCUGGGUGGUUUAGAACUGAGCUAGCAACCCUACUAUAUUCUGAUUUGCACUUCAAUGUAAAAGGGAAUAUAUGGUAGGAAGAAAGAAAGCCAACCAUCAUUUGUUAACUCAUUGCUUUUCAAUCAAAAUUUUAAGAACAAAAUGCCAUGUGCUUUGAACAUCAAAUAAGUAUAAGCAUUAGUUCUAAAUUCCACAUAUCAUAAGUUAGAAGGAUAAGUUAAUAGCAUAGUAGAAAAAUCUGUGUUGUUAUUUAGAGGGGAAAGUACCUGGCGAACCACAACAUAAUCAUCAAUUGAAAGACUUAACUCUCCAUUUGCUUGAGCAUCAAAUGGAUGUAUAACCUGCAAGAUAAUGGGAUAAAUAGAACUUGAUCUUAAAAAAAGCAUGAAAAAAAGCAGCAACAGUAGCAGCAGCGUUCAUUGUAACCACUAUGAUCAUGGCCAACAAAGAUAUAUUAGAAAAAAAAUUCCAUUUUUACUACGACAUUAAUAUGUACUAUAUGAUAUCAUGACGAUUGGGUUACCAAGAGCUAUCAAAGUCCAAUAAGUUCUGUAUAACUUUAUGUAGUUAUUCAAAUUAUGGAUCAGAUUUUAAAUCUGAAAUUUUGACUGCUCUCCACAAAACAUGGCCUAUGCACAAGAAAGUCAUAGAUAAUGAGGAUUACAAGUGUCUGACAUCUUUUGAGUGAUGGAUUUAACAUGAGAGCUUAUGGUCAGUCAAUUUCCUCUGCCUAGCAAUAUAAGCUUUCUCGGCCAGAUUUAUCAUCAAAUACAUAGAUUGCCCCAAGUCACAUCCAUAUAAACAUAGUUUUUCUAGGUAAACCAAGCAAGGAGAAUCAUAAUUCAGACAUAAUCAUAAAAAGGCCCAUCUAACUUAAGAGAAAAUCUCAAAAAGAGGGAUGUUGAGCUAUCAGUCUUGUAUCUAUAAGCAAUAUCAAGACUUUACAUCACCUGCUACAUCGUGAGUGGCUACACAACUUUCAGUGGUUUGUCUUUCUUUGGCAUGCCUAACUCAGCUUUGAUGUUGCUGAGAUAUUGAUAGUAGAGACACAUGAGACUUCUAGCUCAUGCAUUCUAUCUAGCUCAUCCGACAGCUAUCUCUUUUUUAAUUCAUUAGUGUUUGCUAAACCUCAUGCUUAAAAGUCAUGUUGUUCUAAACAAAGUUUCCUAAGAAUGACUUCCUCAGCACCACAUUUGGACACUUUUAGAGCAAUUUUAUUUGGGGGAAAAGAAUUUUCAAGGUGUUAACUAAUAAAUUUUAAAAAAUAAUUACAAUUUGUCCUACGAUUAUAUGACAAUUUAUCUGGGAUGCAAGGAUACAGACAGACAUCUUCCACUUUCAAGACUAAUCACUACUUCCGUAGAUGUUUUGCAAUAAUACAAAUACUUGACCAGAUGGUAGUGAUGGUAGAAAAAAAUUUUAUUGCUCCAAAAUUAAAAUAAGAAUGCAAUGUGUUAAGCGAAAGACUAUGCAACAUCAAAUUAAUUGAUAAGUUUGUAAUUCAGUAAAUUAACAACUUUCAUGGUAAAAUACAACAAAUUUCUUUUGAAAAAAAUAAAUCUUAAAAGACAACAUUCAAUUUUGUGCGCAUCUUAUUUCUUAAGAUUUUCCAGGAGGGCAAUAGAGGGACUUUCACCCAUGCAAGAGAGCAGAAGCCUUACUUUCGCUAUAAAGUAGACGUCAUUCUGAUUAAUAUGCGUUUGCAAUUCAGCUCCAUUUGAAUCAGUAUUCUGAUAGACACAUGAGGCAUUUACAUCCAUUUCCAAAGUCACAUGUUGCGAGGAGGACUCAUUUGAUUGCUCCUCUAGGAUCAUCUAAUUCAAGUAGCAAGGGUUGGAAGAGAAUAAAAAGUCACAAUUAUUCUUUUGCAUAAGUGAGACGAAAAUGAUAAAUGCAAUAUUAUCAGCAGUAAACAAGAAGAGAACAUUCCAAGGAAUAGAUAGAUGCGGACAAGCAAGUUAAAAUGCAUAGUUCCAAACCUCCGCAUACAACUUCUCUAAAAUAGCAAUAACGUGUUGAUGAUAUGUUUUCUCAGCAUCUACCUGCAAAGGCCCGAGACCAGGAAAACAACAAUAAAACCACUAGCUAAAGGAGAAAGUAAAGAAAGAAAUACACUUGACAUAAAUCUUGACAAGAAGCACAAUUUAAGACAUAACAAACCCCAAUCAUAUUGUUUAGAACUACCACUCAUUAUUUCGUUAUUGUAGCAUUUCGAACAAGUGUUGACUUAUGUAACACCCCAAAUCUAACACGUGUGGAGCACGUGAAGAAGGAGGUUACUCACAAAUCAAUGAUCUAUACUCAUAAGUUUCAAACUGAAAUACCUCUAAUUCUUAUUCAAAUAAAUCCACAAAUCCAAACGUCAAAUACUAAAUAAUCUCUCUCGAGGACAUAUAAAAAUAAUAACAAAAGUCUCAAACUCCAAAUUACACGUUCAUAAAAAAGUAACUAAAUAGAAACACAAGUCUAUUCCUCCUCUUAUUCAAUCGCAAACGGAAACUGGAAAAAUUACUAACUCCAAAGCUAAGCGCACCUCUCAAAAGAAACUUAAUCUGCAAAAAGUAAUGACGAGGGGUGAGCCGUCAACUCGGUAAGUAAAACCAUUUCUAACAUACUAUGCUUAUCGAUACGAAGAUAUUGCAAGCCUUCUUUUGUUUAAAACAUAUAUCAUAAUCCAUAAAUUUUCAUAAAACGAUAUAUCACAUUAACAUAAGAUAAAUUCUUAAUAAUUCAGAAUAUUCAAAAGAAUAUUUACUUACGAAGCAAAUCAUGUAAUACGUAUACAGAAACAAAAAGGUUAGCUCAUGUCACAUAGUGUCACCUAUAGUCCCGGUGACCCGGCCAGAAACAGAAUCAGAAUAUCGUGUGCACACUCAGAACAUAAACCCAGUACUGGUCCAGACAGAUAUAUCAUAUAUUACGAUUAGAAUUAGAAUAACUAUGGACAAUGAGCCAAAACAUUAGGAAUCUCAUUCAAUCAUCAAUAAUUGAAAUCAAACAUGGGUAAAAACAUUCGUAUCAAAUUUAUAAAAGUUCAUAACAAUAAUUUAGGCUUGCAUAACAUUUAUAAAUAAAAUCAUAAAAGUAGGCAUGUAACAAAAUAACUUACAUAUUCAAAAGCAUUUAUAAAAUACUUUGUUAAAGAGAAUUUAGCUUUAAAACAUUUACAUAAAACUAAUUUUGUUAUCAAAAUCAAUUAAUCCUUUAAGCAGUAUAAAAACAUUUAUACUUAUAAUAAUAAUAUCAAAAUACUUAUACAUAUCCAGUAUGCUAGGAAUGAAGUUACUUACCUCGACAAAUGAACUUGAAUUAACCCACCUCUAAGCUUCUAAGAGCCUCAAUCACCUUCAACUCCUUAAACAAAUACAAGAUAUGACAAUUAAUGACUUAUUCUAAGAAUCUGAUUUUCUAAUUCAUACCUGUACAGGUCUGAUUCUCAGAAUUUUAACUCUUAAUCUAAAACUCAGAAUGAUAUAAUAUUCUAUGGAACUAUUCUGGACAUCCAUGAAUACCCCAUGUAAAAUUUACAAGAGGAUCCGAUAUCAAAAACAUUUUAAAAACUAUUUACUACUCAGCAAACUCGAAACUGUUUUCACAUAAUCUAAACCAAACAGAACGGGUUCCGUAAUUUUUAUAAAAUAAAAUACUAACCAGAAAAUUAUAAAAUUAAAACUGGGAAUCCUAGACACAUAUAUUAACCUACAUAUAAACUUUCAGAAUUUUCCGAGUUCAUUUGAUGGUACAAAUAGUCUUGUGAAUCCGAUCGCAAUGCUGGAAUCGCAGUUUUCCAGUGCGGUGGUUUCUGUUUCGAAAAUACAUAUAAAAUUCAAAACGAAAUCGAAUUCAAUGAAAUAAAAUUUAAUCAAGAAUCCCUACAUGUCUAGUUCCCAGAAAUAUAAAUUUUAUAAGAAAAUUCGUUCAGAAAAUAUAGCUUUAAAUUCGAGAUACUCAUGCUGUCCAGAAUUAUCCUGUGCUUAAUACGUCAAUGAUUGAUUAACUAAACUCAUAAUAAAUCAAAACCCUAAACAAGGCCUAAAUAUAUUAUAAACCAUGCAUUAUGAUCUACAACCAUUAGAAUCGUGCCAAUAUAAACUCUAGCUAGAUAGAGUGAUUAGAAAUCUGUUGAGAACAUGGAGAAUAACUUACCCGUCGCUUGAUUCUCUCCUAAACAAAGGUUUGAAUCCUAGGAUUUGGGUAAGAGCGUAAAGAGCAGCAGGGAAGAAGAAUAAACGUUGUGAAUUUAGGGUUAUGGGAGAGAAAAAGUAUGAAUUUAUAGGGAGUCUUAAGAAACCCUAUUUAGUUAGGAAAAAUAACCAUUUUCCCAAAAUUAUCUCAUAAAUAACCUCUUAAUAAGGGUUAUGGGCCACCCAUAAUUCUCAAUGAAAGCCCAAUUUCCAUAACUUAAUAUAUAUGAGAAUUUGUGUAAUUUCCUAUAUUACACAAUCCUGGCUCUGAUACCACAAUUGUAACACCCCAAAUCUAACACGUGUGGAGCACGUGAAGAAGGAGGUUACUCACAAAUCAAUGAUCUAUACUCAUAAGUUUCAAACUGAAAUACCUCCAAUUCUUAUUCAAAUAAAUCCACAAAUCCAAACGUCAAAUACUAAAUAAUCUCUCCUGAGGACAUAUAAAAAUAAUAACAAAAGUCUCAAACUCCAAAUUACACGUUCAUAAAAAAGUAACUAAAUAGAAACACAAGUCUAUUCCUCCUCUUAUUCAAUGGCAAAUGGAAACUGAAACUUAUUAGCUCCAAAGCCAAGCACACCUCUCAAAAGAAACUUAAUCUGCAAAAAGUAAUGACGAGGGGUGAGCCGUCAACUCAGUAAGUAAAGCCAUGCUUAACACACUAGGCCCAUCGAUACCAAAAAUAUUGCAAGCCUUCUUUUGUUUAAAACAUAUAUCAUAAUCCAUAAUUUUCAUGAAACGAUAUAUCACGAUAACAUAAGAUAAAUUCUUAAUAAUUCAGAAUAUUCAAAAGAAUAUUUACUUACGAAGCAAAUCAUGUAAUACGUAUACAGAAACAAAAAGGUUAGCUCAUGUCACAUAGUGUCACCUAUAGUCCCGGUGACCCGGCCAGAAACAGAAUCAGAAUAUCGUGUGCACACUCAGAACAUAAACCCAGUACUGGUCCAGACAGAUAUAUCGUAUAUUACGAUCAGAAUCAGAAUCAGAAUCAGAAUAACUAUGGACAAUGAGCCAAAACAUUAAGAAUCUCAUACAAUCAUCAAUAAUUGAAAUCAAACAUAGGUACAAAACAUUCGUAUCAGUUUCAUAAAAGUUCAUAUCAAUAAUUUAGGCUUGCAUAACACUUUAUAAAUAAAAUCAUAAAAGUAGGCAUGUAACAAAGUAACUCACAUAUUCAAAAGCAUUUAUAAAAUACUUUGUUAAAAAGAAUUUAGCUUUAAAACAUUUACAUAAAACUAAUUUUAUUAUCAAAAUCAAUUUACCCUUUAAGUAGUAUAAAAACAUUUAUACUUAUAAUAACAAUAUCAAAAUACUUAUACAUAUCCAGUAUGCUAGGAAUGAAGUUACUUACCUCGAGAAAUGAACUUGAAUUAACACACCUCUAAGCUUCUAAGAGCCUCAAUCACCUUCAACUCCCGUCGCUUGAUUCUCUCCUAAACAAAGGUUUGAAUCCUAGGAUUUGGGUAAGAGCGUAAAGAGCAGCAGGGAAGAAGAAUAAACGUUGUGAAUUUAGGGUUAUGGGAGAGAAAAAGUAUGAAUUUAUAGGAAGUCUUAAGAAACCCUAUUUAAUUAGGGAAAUAACCAUCUUCCCAAAAUUAUCUCAUAAAUAACCUCUUAAUAAGGGUUAUGGGCCACCUAUAAUUCUCAAUGAAAGCCCAAUUUCCAUAACUUAAUAUAUAUGAGAAUUUGUGGCGUUACAAUUUCUCCCCUCCUAACAAAAAUUUCGUCCUCGAAAUUAAAAGGUUAGCUCAUUGUAACCCUUAAUUACAAUUAAGUAUCUUGCCAGGUCUUGGUUGGGUCAUGACAUUAUGGUAUCAGAGCGGCUCCGCGUGUCCUCUUGAGCGAUGGUGGGGCAAACCUCAGCGAGGACGCUGAGUCCCCAAGGGGGGGUGUAUGUAACACCCUAGGCGAAUCCCACAUCGGCAAAGCACGGGAGAGAUGCUGGGUCAAAAGCAUUUAUAAAAUACUUUGUUAAAGAGAAUUUAGCUUUAAAACAUUUACAUAAAACUAAUUUUGUUAUCAAAAUCAAUUAAUCCUUUAAGCAGUAUAAAAACAUUUAUACUUAUAAUAAUAAUAUCAAAAUACUUAUACAUAUCCAGUAUGCUAGGAAUGAAGUUACUUACCUCGACAAAUGAACUUGAAUUAACCCACCUCUAAGCUUCUAAGAGCCUCAAUCACCUUCAACUCCUUAAACAAAUACAAGAUAUGACAAUUAAUGACUUAUUCUAAGAAUCUGAUUUUCUAAUUCAUACCUGUACAGGUCUGAUUCUCAGAAUUUUAACUCUUAAUCUAAAACUCAGAAUGAUAUAAUAUUCUAUGGAACUAUUCUGGACAUCCAUGAAUACCCCAUGUAAAAUUUACAAGAGGAUCCGAUAUCAAAAACAUUUUAAAAACUAUUUACUACUCAGCAAACUCGAAACUGUUUUCACAUAAUCUAAACCAAACAGAACGGGUUCCGUAAUUUUUAUAAAAUAAAAUACUAACCAGAAAAUUAUAAAAUUAAAACUGGGAAUCCUAGACACAUAUAUUAACCUACAUAUAAACUUUCAGAAUUUUCCGAGUUCAUUUGAUGGUACAAAUAGUCUUGUGAAUCCGAUCGCAAUGCUGGAAUCGCAGUUUUCCAGUGCGGUGGUUUCUGUUUCGAAAAUACAUAUAAAAUUCAAAACGAAAUCGAAUUCAAUGAAAUAAAAUUUAAUCAAGAAUCCCUACAUGUCUAGUUCCCAGAAAUAUAAAUUUUAUAAGAAAAUUCGUUCAGAAAAUAUAGCUUUAAAUUCGAGAUACUCAUGCUGUCCAGAAUUAUCCUGUGCUUAAUACGUCAAUGAUUGAUUAACUAAACUCAUAAUAAAUCAAAACCCUAAACAAGGCCUAAAUAUAUUAUAAACCAUGCAUUAUGAUCUACAACCAUUAGAAUCGUGCCAAUAUAAACCCUAGCUAGAUAGAGAUUAGAAAUAUGUUGAGAACAUGGAGAAUAACUUACCCGUCGCUUGAUUCUCUCCUAAACAAAGGUUUGAAUCCUAGGAUUUGGGUAAGAGCGUAAAGAGCAGCAGGGAAGAAGAAUAAACGUUGUGAAUUUAGGGUUAUGGGAGAGAAAAAGUAUGAAUUUAUAGGAAGUCUUAAGAAACCCUAUUUAAUUAGGGAAAUAACCAUCUUCCCAAAAUUAUCUCAUAAAUAACCUCUUAAUAAGGGUUAUGGGCCACCUAUAAUUCUCAAUGAAAGCCCAAUUUCCAUAACUUAAUAUAUAUGAGAAUUUGUGGCGUUACAACUUAAUUCAACAUUGUUGGAAAGAUAGGCUUUUAGAAGCGGAAGAAAGCCACUCAAACCAAAGUGAUUGUCCUUGUAUUGAUCAAGGGAUGUAAACAUAUUACAUUUGCAGGAUGAGUUUUAAUCACUCCCCUGAUUUAUUUGGGUUGCAAUAAACUAAGCGAGCAACUGUUUGACUUUCAAGCAACAUCUAAAUCAGCUAUUAAAAUUCAAAUAAAAUUAUAAUAGAAUAAUAACAGGCCAUCUUGCAUCAAAAAUUAAGUUUAAUUUGUGAAUUUUUUUCUAUAGACAUGUUAGUUCCUGCUAUUGAAAUGUUAAAAGCAUUGAAAAAUUAUUCAAUAAAUUAUGCAAACAUUAAAAUAGAGGACAUAUUAAAAAGCUUCUAAUUACAAUGUUAAGAUUUCCUAUAUUUUAGCAUUUGCAUAUUUUAAUUUAUUUAAAAGCUACGUCGAUCAACUUUGGGCGUGAAGAUUUUAGCUUCUACGAGACUUGAUUGGAAUAUGCAUAAGGAAGUGUGUUAAAAUAUGAUGCAUCCAACGAAAGACGAACCACGUGUAGUCUUUUAAUUAAGCCAAAGUAGCAGCUCAAACAAAUGACACUUGGACCAACAUGCAAUCAUGAAGUGGCCAGAAAAAGGACAAAUGCAACUUUGGCUUAAAUAAAAAAUAACAUGUGACUUGACUUUUGCUGGACAUGCAUCAUGUUAUUACAAGACAACAGAAAUCAGUAUGAUAGUACUAAAAGUUCACAAUAACAUGAAGAUAAGAGGCAGAAUGUCAACAAAUGCAUAGGCACACACAAGAAAGUAUUAACUUAUAUACCAUAGCAAAAAGUCUUUGAUAUGUCAUCUGUUGCUGCUGUGAUUCAACUGACAGCAUGGCAGCUGUCGCUUCUCUACCAAGAGCCAUUAUUGUAGAUUUAAGCUCGGUCAAUCUUGCUUCUGCAUUUCGAAGCUUCACAGCACUCUCUGCUGAUAUAUCAGAUUCCCUAAUCUUUGAUCGGCGCCUAAAUACUUCAGCUGCCUGGUGAAAAUAUUCAAUGUAAAUCUAACAUAAUUCUAAUCUUGCCUUAUACAUGCAUAUGUUAACUCAAAGCUUACCUGGGCUUCAACUUCAUGUCGAAGUUUGUCAUAACGAUGAGUCAAGAAAAUAUCUUAGAACUAAGUUUCCUUAUGAGAAGAUAAUAGUUUCAGUAGUAAUUUACAUAUAAUUUUCUAUAUUUGAAUUAUUUUCUAGUUAGGGAUGAACUAACCUGCUCACGAAGAAUCCCAAGCAAAGUUUCCCUCUCAUUUUCCAUCAAAUCAUGUGAAGUGCCAAAUUGAAGAGCAGCUCUUGCAACGCAAGAAUUGUCACUUUGAUUCUCCACUCCAUACUUGCAACAAUCUUCGGCCAACUUUCUCGCUACAAUAUUUGAAUACAAAAAUAUUGUACACAAGAACUAGUCAAGAAAAAAAAAAUCAAAUAUUAUAACGAGAGCAAGAGCAAACUAACAACCUAUUUCCAUUUGUUUCAAGCUUACUGCAACAAACACUUCAACGCCACGGACAACAUUCCUCUGAAAAUGCUGCGCUACAGAGCAUAUAUUCCAAAUCAUUGUUCAGAUAAAACCAUACAAACCAUCAUAAUUAUUCAACAUACAUUAAGCUCCGUUUGGUAAAUACUUGCAACUUCAGUCUAGAAAAUACAGUUAAUUUUUAUUUAAAAAACAUCAUAAUUAUCAACAUACAUAUUUGACAAAAUUAUUAUUUAAAAAUCAUAACUAAUUACCAAAAGCCACAAUAAAUCAAUAUCAAACAGAGUCUUAUUAUUAGCUAAAGGAGGAUGGUGCCUUAGCUGCCCUGGUGGAAUUGUAUAGAUUUUGAAGUUGUUGGUGACACUCAAGUUCAGCUUCAUCAACCGCAACAUUUUCAAUGCCAAGAUGGAGCAGAUGCUUCAAUACUGCCUGUACAAACCAUAAAAAACUAAUGAAAAAUAAAUAAAAUCGAGAAAUUUCACUAAUUAAAAAAGAAAAGAAACGGACUUGCUGUUGAAAACAGCAGCUGUGAAGAGUCAAAGAUUGACCUUGAAUCCAAGCUGGCAUGCCACCUAAGCUUCUGUAAUCUACAGCCAGCUGACAUGGAAGAUGAGUCAGGAUUAUUGAGCUGGCAGAACAGCUGUGCUGAAGAAUAUCAGCACAUAAGCAUGGAGCAGCUGAAGCUUCUAGAAUUCUAAAAUGAUUGGCUCAUGAUUGGCAGUCUGACAAAAUUAGUUUUUCUGUGUAAUAUUCUUUAUUAGCUGUCAUUAUUUUCUUGUCUCUAUAUAUACUACAAUUGCUCUGUAAUACGUCAGUUGGGUAAGCAAUAAUAAAAGGAAUACUCUGUCUUGUUCACUCUGCUUGCAAUACUAAGCAAUUCUUUAGAAUUUAAGUUGGUAUCAGAGCCAUCUUUUAGCUAUGGCAAGCAGCAGCGACAAUGAAACAAAUGUUAAUCCAACACAGGUUGAUUCAAGUGAUCAACCAGACGAUUUGAAUCAAAACACUGAGCCACAAAAUCCAGGCCUUAACACCAGAAACACAGCACAAAUAAGUGCAUCACCAACCCAGCAUAUCACCAGCAACACCUAUGUCUUUACUACUCCAAUCAAACUAACUCAAAGCAACUUUAUGCUCUGGAAAUCACAAGUGAUUUCUAGCAUUAGAGCAAAUGAGCUUAAGGGGUUUAUUGAUGGCAGCCAUGUCUGCCCUCCUAAGGUCUUCAUGAGUCCUGGACCAAAUCGAUCCACCAUUACCACACCUAACCCUGAAUACCAGAUUUGGAGGAAACAUGAUCAUAUCCUAUUGAGUUGGCUACUCUCCUCUCUAAGUGAAGGAGUACUAGGCACAGUGGUAGAUUGUUCCACCUCCUGUGAGGUGUGGACAACUCUAGCCAACCAAUUUGGUGCUAGAACAAGGGCAAGAGUCCUAUAUCACAGAACUCAAAUUCAAACUACUAAAAAGGGUUCAUCAACCAUUCACGAAUACUACUCAAAAAUGAAAACUUUAUUGAACUCACUUAGAGCUGCAGGGAAUAGCAUGAAUGAUGAUGAUUUCAUCAUGUGUGUGCUUGCUGGUUUGGGGACAAAAUAUUACUCAGUAGUUACCAACAUCAACUCAAUGCAGGAGAGUCCCUCGAUCUCGGAAGUAUAUGGUAUGCUCUUGAGUCAAGAAAACAGAACUGAGCAAAACUUGAGCUCAGGGAACAUUGAAGCAAACUAUGCUCAAAUGAGGAAUGGAAGAAGGAGCUGGAACAACAGUGAAAGAACUACACAUCAGCAGCUGCCUGGAAUUGUUUUCAGAAAUCCUGGAAACAACCCCACAAAUAACCAAACCAAUCAGAAUCCUCAAGACAAAGGAAAAGGAAAAGCAGUGGCUGAUGACAGUGGUUCUGACCCAAAAGGGCCUUGUCAAAUCUACUGGAAAAUGGGACACACAGCAGCUGAGUGUUGGCACAGAUUCAAGAAGAACUUUGUACCUCAGCCAAACAGAAGAAGAGAGCAGAGAGGUGCUUAUGUUGCUGCAGCUGAAGGUCAAAGUAGUGGAGCUUGGUACCUUGACAGUGGUGCUACAAAUCAUGUGACUAACUCUCUUGGAAAUCUCAGCAUCAACUCUGAAUACCAAGGUAAAAACAAGCUAGCUGUUGGUAAUGGUGAAAAGCUUUUGAUUAGUCACAUUGGUUAUUCUGCUUUGCCCACAUAUGAUCCACACAAGCACAUCACCUUAACUGCUAUACUAUGUGUGCCUGACAUAACCAAAAACCUUAUUAGCAUUUCUAAAUUGCUGCAUGACAAUGAUGUUGAUGUUGAGUUUCAAAAAUCUGUUUGUUUUAUUAAGGACAAGAGACAAGGGAAAAUUCUGGUGAAAGGAGUGGCUAGAGUGGGCUAUAUGAGCUGAUGCACUUACCUGCCAUCCUGAGCAGGAACAAAAAUCCACAUGCUGUUUUGUCUUCUAUUCUGUCAAAUUCAGAGUCAAUGAAUAAUAAUAGUUGUCCAGUGUCCAUGUUGUCUUUCAAUUCAAGUAAUGAGUCCGUCAAAGUUAGUGUCGAGCCAAAUAUAGCUGAUGAGUCAAGAAGCAACAAUCUGCAAGCUGCUGAAGAAACUGAUGUGUGGCAUUCCAGACUAGGACACCCUAGUACUUCAGUCCUGAAAAACACCUUGUUAUCUUGUAAUCAGCUCAAAAUUAAUAAAGAUAUUGUUCCUUCAUUUUGCUCAGCAUGCCAAUAUGGAAAGCAAUCAAAACAAUCUUUCAAAAGCACUGAAACCAAAACUAAGACAGCCCUUGAACUGAUUCACACAGACCUUUGGGGACCAGCACCAAUUCUAUCCACUCAUGGACACAGAUAUUACAUCUCCUUUGUUGAUGACAGAACAAGAUACACAUGGCUCUUCCCUUUAGCAACCAAGUCUCAAGCUCUUGAAACCUUCAUUACCUUUAAAAAUCAGAUCGAAAAAUAAUUGAACCUAACAAUCAAAGCACUACAAACAGACAUGGGAGGAGAGUUCAGAGCCUUUGAACCAUAUUUGAAAAGAGAUGGAAUAACUCUAAGGCAUUCAUGUCCAUACUUACAUGAACAAAAUGGCAAGGUUGAGAGAAAACAUAGACACAUUGUGGAGACUGGACUUGCCUUACUUGCCCAAGCCAAAAUGCCCUUAAAAUUUUGGCAAGAAGCUUUCGGCUAUGCUAUCUUCAUUAUCAACAGACUUACCUCACCUGUGCUAAAGAACAAGACACCAUUUGAGUUAUUGUAUUCUUUCAAACCAGAUUAUACACAAAUUAAAAUCUUUGGCUGUGAGUGUUUUCCAUUUCUUAGACCAUACAACAGACACAAAUUUGAUUUUCACACUUCCAAAUGCAUCUUAUUGGGGAUCAGCAGUGCUCACAAAGGUUAUGUUUGUAUGAACAGUUCAGGAAGAGUUUAUAUCUCAGCUAGUGUCAAAUUCAAUGAAAAAUCCUUUCCUUUCGAAAAUGAUUCUAGCUUUAGGAAACAAGAGUCAGUAAAGGAAGGUGAUGAAAUUGCCUUACUUGAAAAAUUCCAGGUUGUGUCAUUCUCUGUCAACAAUCCCCAUGGUCUCACACAAGUGGCAACAUCUCAUAGCAACUCUCCAGACACUACUGGAAACACAGAAUGCAUCCUAAGUCCAGUCCAGAAUGAAAUGCAAUAGGUAAAUGAUACUGACACAAUAUCAGGUAGCCUUUCAACUCACAGUCCACCUCACAUUACAGAAAUAAACAGCCAAAACCUUCCCACACAAAAGGCCUUGCCUUCACACCCCAUGGUAACAAGAUCCAAGGCUGGGAUCUUCAAACCAAAGCUGUACCAGGUUUCCAGUAAACCACAACCUUCUCUUCCCAAAAACACAUUUGAGGCUUUGAAGGAUCCCAAGUGGAGAAAGGCAAUGAAGGAUGAGUAUCAUGCAUUGAUGAAAAACAAAACCUGGACCUUGAUACCAAACAACCAAAAUUGCAAAUUGAUUGGAAAUAAGUGGAUCUACAAAGUAAAGGAAAACUCAGAUGGCAGCAUCAACAAGUACAAGGCCAGAUUAGUAGCAAAGGGAUUCUUACAAACUCCAGGACUUGAUUUCAAUGAAACUUUCAGCCCUGUUAUUAAGGCUGCAACUAUUAGAAUCAUCCUAACCAUGGCAGUAAGCAAUGACUGGUUGCUUAGGCAAGUGGACAUAAACAAUGCCUUCUUGAAUGGUGACCUGACAGAGGCAGUAUACAUGCCACAACCUGAGGGUUUUGAAGACAAGAACAGACCAAGCUACAUUUGCAAACUGGAAAAGGCUUUGUAUAGAUUGAGGCAAGCUCCGAGAGCAUGGUUCGACAAACUAAAAGGUGCCUUGAGUUCUUGGGGAUUCAAAAAUUCCAGGAGUGACACAUCUUUGUUUUUCAGAAGAAUUGAAUCAAAGAUAGUCAUCAUGCUCAUAUAUGUAGAUGACAUUAUAAUCACUGGAAGUGACAGUCAAGGCAUUGAGGAAGUCAUUAAAGAUCUGAACACAUCCUUUGCUCUGAAGGAUCUCGGAAAUUUGAAUUUCUUCCUUGGGAUACAAGUUCUAAGGAAUCAAAACUCUAUCCUACUCUCUCAAGCAAAAUAUAUUCAAGACUUGUUGGCCAAAACAGAAAUGACAGACUGUAAAGGAAUAGAGACACCCUUCAGCACUUCUGAGAAAUUGGAAAAGGAUGCUGUGAAUAGAUUCCACGAUCCCACACUCUAUAGAAGCAUCAUAGGAAGCCUGCAAUAUACAGUAUUGACCAGGCCAGAGCUUGCUUUCUCAGUUAACAAGCUCAGUGAGUUCAUGUCUGAUCCUAGACAGCCACAUUGGGUAGCAUGCAAAAGAGUGCUGAGAUAUCUCAAAAACACAAUGAAUAUGUGUUUAAGUUUCAAAAAAUCUGAACAUCUGGAUCUCAUUGCCUAUACGGAUGCAGAUUGGGCAACUGAUCCAGAUGACAGAAGAUCCAUAAGUGGAUACUGUGUGUACUUGGGAGAUAAUCUGGUUGCUUGGAGCUCGAGAAAACAAGGCAUAGUAGCAAGGUCAACAGCUGAAUCAGAAUAUAGAGCAAUGGCUCUAUGCAGCACUGAAAUCACAUGGAUUAAUUCUCUACUUGGUGAGUUGAAGAUGGAUGUUGAAAAUAUACCAAUUAUCCUAAGUGACAGCACCAGUGCAGCAGCCAUAGCAGCAAACCCAGUCUAUCACUCCAAAACAAAACAUUUCGAGAUAGACCUUUAUUUUCUCAGAGACAAAGUUACAAAGGGAGAAUUGGAAAUAAACUAUAUUGGCAGCAAUGAUCAAAUUGCGGAUGUGCUGACCAAGCCAUUACCACAUCACAAGUUUAGCUGUUUUAGAAGCAAACUCAAAGUCAUUGACAAGACCUUGAGUUUGAGAGAGGGUGUUGAAAACAGCAGCUGUGAAGAGUCAAAGAUUGACCUUGAAUCCAAGCUGGCAUGCCACCUAAGCUUCUGUAAUCUACAGCCAGCUGACAUGGAAGAUGAGUCAGGAUUAUUGAGCUGGCAGAACAGCUGUGCUGAAGAAUAUCAGCACAUAAGCAUGGAGCAGCUGAAGCUUCUAGAAUUCUAAAAUGAUUGGCUCAUGAUUGGCAGUCUGACAAAAUUAGUUUUUCUGUGUAAUAUUCUUUAUUAGCUGUCAUUAUUUUCUUGUCUCUAUAUCUACUACAAUUGCUCUGUAAUACGUCAGUUGGGUAAGCAAUAAUAAAAGGAAUACUCUGUCUUGUUCACUCUGCUUGCAAUACUAAGCAAUUCUUUAGAAUUUAAGUCUUGCUGCUGCUUGGCGACUUGUUCUCGGAGCUUGAUUGCCUGUUUCUUGAUAGCUUCCAUACUGUUUCUUUCAAAAAGCGACGACGGCUCAGCUCAUGGAGGUGGAAAAAAAAAAGUGUGAUCGAGAAAAAUAAAAAGGCAUGAAUAAUUUUUGAAAAAAAAGCGAAAAUCAAGGAAAGCCAGCUCUUUCCAGAAAAUAAAAAAAGAAAAAAGAAAAUUAUAAGUUUGAAAGGAGAAGAUGAUAGUGGAAGUGUGCAGUGUGGCUGCCAGCUACUUGGAUUGUAGAGAAUUUUUUUUUUGUGGACAGAGCAUGACAUUAGACUUUUGUGGACCAAAUUCAAAAGCCGAAUGGCAUGGCCCAGAAGCUUUUGAAUACAAUAACUUGCUAGAAAGCUCCAUUUUUUAUUCUUCUUAUAUUUUACGCUUGUAUCAGCCUCAAUCACUUCUUAAUCGCUUGCUUUAACUGCAUCGCUCUCUCUGUGCUCUUCUAUAUAUGUAACAGUUAUGCGGUUGUAGUUCACGACUGAGGCUACGUGUUGGUUUGACGUGGCAGUUACGUUACAAGGGGAUAAAUAAGAUUGGUUGCAACAAACCCACUAAUUUUAUAAAAUUCGAGUAAUAUAGAAUAAAAUAAAAAAUAAAUACAAAAUUGGCUUUUAUUUUUUAUGGUUGACUGUAUUUUGUGUUCUCUUCCGGCACUACUACAAUUGUUACCUAUAUAUCAGUCACACCCAUAUAUCAUUAACACAAGAAAUGAAAUCUAAUGUCACCUAUUUAGUUAAAGAAUCACUCAUGAAAUUUUUUUACCUUUUUCAUUUGAGGAUCCAUAUUUUGAACUGCAAGUUAAUGUUCAUCAAGAAUCACUAAUGUUCAUAAAAAUCCGAGUAUGGCCGUUGAGUAGAAAAAUUAUUUUUGGACAAAUUAUUUUUGUUGAUAGAAGAAUUUCUUAAGGGACUACUAAAAUUAUUAAUAAAAAUGUAGAACACACCCACAUAUCAUCAACACAAUUGACUUUGAGGAUCCAUGCUUUGAACUGCCGCCUAAUGUUCAUCAAGAACAGAGUAUGACUUGUGAGUAGAAAAUUUUAUGAUUUUGGCCCGAAAUAAAAAGAAAUUAAAUUAGAUGAGAAUCUGCCACUUUCUCAUGAAGAAAGGCAUACGGAGCAUACCAUGGUACCAUACAAUACAAAGAGUCUCCGUUCUCUGGUUUUUCAAACUAUAAAGGGGCCAAUAUUCCCGAAUUCUCCCUUGAAAAUUCUGAUUACGACAUUAUUCAUCGCUUGACGCAAUCAAAGUAGCGACAAAGUUAAGAAAAAUAUGAGUCCUAAGCAAUUGCUAGGUAGGGUUCCUGAGAGUAAAAUUGUCCUAAGCAUUAUAUGCAUACAUGGUGUGGUACAUAGAGCACGUUGAAUUCCACACUAUAACACAAACCUAGAAAGACAAGUAAUAACUCAACUGAUAUAAAGACAAAAAGAAGAUAAAAUGAUAUAGAAAAAAGAAUUUCAAAGAGACAGCAACAUACGAUAGACUGAAGCCACUUGAUCUGCUCAUUGAUUGCAGCCUUAAACUUACAAAUAAUUACCGUACGCUAGUGCUCUAAGAAGUGAAAAUGAUGCAAGCCCUGAUUCCCUUUUGACUUCCAUUUACUGUCAAACAUUCUAGUAAUACAAAAAAUUGUUUAAAUAUCUUGCUAUAAAUAUAGCCGUUUGACUGUCAUAAUAAAGUCACAAAUAACCAUUCAUAUUGAAAUAUCUUGCUAUAAAUAUAACCAUUCCUUAUCAAUACAUUUGGCAAAAACUUAAGAAGAAAACUAUUUCUCCAUCUCUUUUUUGAAAUUUCACAAUAAACCAGCACAUUAUGAAAGCUAUGUUCUAAUCUUAUGAUAAAUGCUCUAGACUCCAAAAGGACUUUAUAUAUGAGAGUUUGUUGCAGCAGAUAUAUUGACUUAUCAAGUAUGAAUCAUUGUCUGGAUGAACUAUCUUUAAAUAAAAGAACAUUAGAACCACUGUAGAAUAUCUUUACGCUGCUGGUUCUAACAGGAAUCUGCAUGUGGCAACAAUUGCUAGAUCCACAAUUCCCCAACUUGAAAUACAUAGUUGCACACCAUGAGAUAGUGCUACAAUCUACUGAGAUCUAACUUAUAUGAUACUUUAUGCUACUAAUUGCAUAUUUUUACAUGUUAAAUUAACACUAUCAUCUAUAAUCACUCCAAAAUGACAAAUGAUAAGCAGCUUUUGGCUAGUUAUUACUAGCAUCCACAAUUAUAAAUAAGAGAUCAUGGGUUUACUUGUUGCACCUACUUAAUGAUCUGCAGUUGAGACCCUGACGCAAGGUUUAAAUAGUGACUGCUUAGAACCCUUGUAGUUGGAUCUUGACCUCUCCCAUUUUAGCCAAGAUUGGCUACUCUGGUAAUGAAUCAACACUGUCCUGCUCAGGGCCAUGAAGAUCUGGAAGCUCAGCACUAGUGGAGAACUUCACCAAUCUCUUCUUCUCAGCAUACUUGAGACAAGGCUGCAUUACGAGACCAAUCACCACAGCACCAACGAUUAAAACUGCAACUUUUAAAGUAGAAAGAGCCAACACAACACAAAUCAAUAUGGUUGGAGGAAUACAUAUGAUAAUGGCUCCAACAGUGCCAGUGGGUAUCUUGUAAGGACGAGAUAAAUAGUAGAGAAGUUUUUAAGAAGCUAGAACAGAGCAUGUUAGACUUUUGUUGACCAAAUUCAAAAGCCAAAUGGCACAGCCCAGAAGUUUUUGAAUAGAAUAACUUACUAGAAAGCUCCAUUUUUUGUUGGCUACAGUAAAAGGAUGUUGUUUUGUUCUUCUUAUACUUUACGCCUGCAUCAGCGUAAAUCACUUCUUAAACGAUUGCUUUAACUGCACCGCUUCGAGUCUGUUAAACAUUCGGUGAUAAGAUUAGUUACAACAAACCUACUAGUUUUAUAAAAUUCAAGUGAGAUGGAAUAAAAUAAAAAAAUAAAUAUAAAAUUGGCUUUUAUUUUUUAUGGUUGACUGUAUUUUGUGUUCUCUUCGGGCACUACUACAAUUGUUCCCUAUAUAUCAGUUACACUCACGUAUCAUCGACACGAAAAAUGAAAUCUAAUAUCACCUGUUUAGUUAAAGAAUCACUCAUGAAAAAAAAUUACCAUUUUGAUUUGAAGAUCCAUAUUUUGAACUACCAAUUAAUGUUCAUCAAGAACAGAGUAUGGCCGUUAAGUAGAAAAACUAUUUUUGGACAAAUUAUUAAAUUCCAAUAUUGUAUCGAUAUGCAAACGAUGCCUGAAGCAUAGCCUCCAAACAAUGAUCAGGGCACAAAACAAGAGUGUAGUAAUCAAGUGUAUUGUCUCAUAAUCAAUUAAAAGCAGAUAUACAGGAUACCAUAUUCAAUUCCAAAAUAACAAAAGCAUAAUGAGGAUGAGAAGAACAAUGCAAGAUUUGUUGUUGUUUUAGUUGCUUCUAAUAUUUUUUAUGACGCACAUCUAUUGAAUUAAGAGAUUUCUAUAAUCAGUGCCGCAGUACUGAAAAUAAACUACUUGUCAGUCAAAUAGCUGAGUAUUUCUAUGAGAAUGCCAUUAUUAAUGACCGACUUUUUCCAGAUUCUUGGACAAACAUAAGAGACUAUUGUGCUUAGUUAAAACGAUCACUCAAAUAUGAUUUCUCCACUUUGGUUGUCAAUUAUCUAUUCAAAUUAAUCAGUGUCAUAAUCGACUUAUUUAUUUAGAAGAGCGGGUGAUAAAUAUAUUUAAUAAUGUGAACAAGAAGUUGAUCAACUUUUAUGAUCAUUUGGAAGGUCGGCGUGUCAUCACUCGUCAAACACAUUGCAUCGAUCCACCAGCAUGAACCGACCGGAUUAUGCCCAAAAGUUGAAAUAUCAAUAAAAAAAAAUUAAUUAAAGGUCGAAGAUGGGUCCUUUACAUAUGUUUUUGUUUUCGUAUUAGGUAGGAAGUUACUAUAUUAUAUCAUGUAAUUAAUUUAUUAUUGCUCAACAUUAAGUAAUAACUUAACUAUAUAAAGACAAAAAGAAGAUAUAAAAAAAAAAGAAUUUCAAAGAGAUAGCAACAUACAAUAGAUUGAAGCCAUUUGAUCUGCUCAUUGAUUGCAGCCUUAAACUUGUAAAUAGUUACUGUACGCUAGUGCUCUAAGAAGUGAAAAUGAUGCAAACCCUGAUCCCCUUUUGACUUCCAUUUACUGUCAAAUAUUCUAUUCAUACGAAAAAAAUGUUUAGAUAUCUUACUAUAAAUAUAGCCGUUUGACUGUCUUAAUAAAGUCACACACAACCAUUCUUAUUAAAUUAGUAAGAUCAAACACUGCCCUGGAUCUUGAAGAGAUCAACACAAGUUGCACAACUUACGAUUGAAUCCGGCCAGAAACAAUCAACUCUUUAGCAAGAACAAUUAAUCAGAGCAAGAAACAAGUUUAAUGAAUAUAAACCUAUAAUUGAAAAUUUGAAACAAACAUAGCCAAGAAAAAAAUACAGAUUUUACACGGUUCAGUUGUACCUAGGAUGGCACAACCUACACCACGAGAGAAGCUUUCUGGUGAGAUUUUAUUGAUGAUCAAAGAAGAAUCUUUUGACAAAGCUGAUAAUAGAGAUUUCAGAGAAUAAGCCAUAACCCUCUCUCCCUCUUCAAUCUCUCUCUAUUUUGUUCCCAUUGAUGACCCCAAUCUGCUUAGUUAUCCAGCUUUAUAGCUGCAUCAGUAACAAACCAGCAAACCCAGAUUGAGCAGAUUAACGACACGUGGAUAACGGCUUUAACGAACCUGGUUAAGAACUGCUCACAUUUUCGUCACGCGUACUGCUUAAAUGAUGGCCAAAACGACUUCAAACAAAUGUCGUUUUGAGGCUUAUGAAUUACAAGUGAUAACACGAGCUUGUCUCAUGACUUUUAAAUGCAACAACGUGCCCACAACGCCGUCGUUUUACUCUGUUGAGUUUGAUUCAUUACUAAGCUUUACGACUGGCAAUGGAGAAGAUGAUAAUUUAAUUGACAUGGACAGUUUUUAUAUCACUUUUACUUGCAAUUGUAAUAUUGAGAAUUAUUGAUGUUUUAUAUGUGAAUCCUCAUUGGCAAAAACUAGUGGUUUUAUCUUUGUUGAAAUGUAGAUGACCUCUCGUUACUAUUUUAUUAUAAACAUAUAGUUUCGUAAGAGAAACUAUAUGUUUAUAAUAAAAUUAACAUAUAGUUUCGUUACAUUUCUGCCUCAUUAAGAUUCUCAAAUACCAGUCAGGUUUGCUUAAGGAAUAAAAUUUUUUCAUUAAAAUUGCAGUAGUAUUUCCAAGCAUAUUGCAUUUUCUAUGAUUUUUCAUAAAUUAAUUAAUCUGCGGUGCCAAUAUCAGAUUUAGUUUUUCAAACUAAAUAAUCAAGAAAGCAAACAUACAAAUAUACAGUUUAGAGGGGUAAACUAGGUAGGUGGUUUAGAUUUUAGAACUAAGCCAGCUACCUCGCUAAAUUCCGAUUCGUACAGUGAACUGCAAGAAAUUGAGAAAACAAUGUAUUUAUAACUUAAUAGAAUCAUAAGAAAACAAUGUAGUCAUUGCUCAAUAUAAGAUGAUUUCGGAGAGGCACAUUGUUUUCAAGUUAAUUUGAUCCGUUUAUGAGAGAUGAAGUGGAAUGAAGUUGAAAGUUUCCUGACAUGUACAGUAGAUGAAGUUGUUGCUCCUUUCUUUGGAUUAUUUCAGCUCCGGUUGUUGGUCACCGAUGAGCCGGAGUCUUAUUUUAAUUUUAUUUAAACUCAUCAUAAGAUUCGUGGAGCACCUAACUAACUUAACUGACUGUGCAGAGCAUGUCAACAUUGCAUAUUUAACCAUCAUUCAAGUGAUGGGUUUAAUAAGACUGCUUUUGUUCUAUCAAGUUCCUCCGCCUCUAAGCAGAAUUACUAUUGAAGAGCCAAAAAGAAAAUGAAAACGUGUGAACCCCAACAACCACCCCACAAAUUCAAUGACGAUGCUAAGAGAGGGUUAGGCUGGGCCUCUGAGAAAAAACAUUUAUUUAGUUAAAAAAUUACCCUUAUUGAAACCUGUAUAAAAAUUUAUAUUAGUUAGUUAUGUUGCCUCUUCAACUAUGAUCAAAUUCUUAUCCGAGCUCAUCAUUUAAUGAGUAAAAGUGUAUUUUAAUGAUCUCAGUUAAUAUUUAGAACAAAUAUUUUAAGAAGUAAAGCUUAUUAUAUCUCCCAUCAUUAGGUAUCUCUUUAAUUUCUUAUUUACAAAAUUAUAUUGUACAUUAAAAAAAUUCAACUCACUCAAAAAAAAAAAAAAUGCUGGUAGCUUCGUAAUAAUUACUGUAUUAUUGACUGCACAAGAUAAAGUUUUGUAAAAUAAUAAGUUCUCAUUAGUGGUUUUUAAUUUUUUUAAUUUUUUUUUCCGGCACACCUGAUCAAGAAUUCUAUUUUGUUAACUAAUCAAUUGCAAAGCAUAAAUGUUGAACAGUACAAAAAAUUUGAAAAAAGACACUUAAAACGUGGGGUGAAAACACUUCUGUCUAAUUUCCGUUAGUGGAUUUAACGGAAUGUUCACGAAAUUACAUUUUUACCUCUCAAAAUUACAAUUUAACCCAAAAUAAAUGGAAAUUGCAGAUAAAUUGGAUGGAUUUAAUUUUUUUCAAAGGUGGAUGCUAGAAAUUGGAGGAAAAUAGUGUUUGUUGCUUGCUAAAUUUAGAAAAUUUGUAUUUAUUUUUUUGAAAGAGAAAAAAUAAAUACAAAUUUUCUAAAUCUAGCAAGCAACAAACACUAUUUUCCUCCAAAAAAAAAUAAAUACAAAUUUUCUAAAUUUAGUAACAAACAUUAUUUUCCUCCAAUUUCUAGCAUCCACCUUUGAAAAAAAUUAAAUCCGUCCAAUUUAUCUCCAAUUUCUAUUUAUUUGGGGUUAAAUUGUAAUUUUGAGGGGUAAAAAGGUCAUUCCGUUAAAUUUGCUAACGGAAAUUAGACGUAAGUGGACGAAUGCAACAAAAAGCAAGCUUCGGGUGGCGCGUUGAAAAUAAAAAGUGUUUGUCUAUUUUUGAAAAAGACAAAACAAACAGGUGGACGGUUGUAAAUUUUCCUAAUUUUUAUAUCACUUUUACAACGUCCUAUAUAAUUGUAGUAUUAGGAAUUAUUGGUGUUCUAUAUGUGAAUCCUUAUUGGCAAAAAUUGAUGGUUUUAUCUUUAUUGAAAUGUGGAUGACCUCUCGUUACUAUUUUACUUAGACAACUUUAUUCUCAGGAGAUUUUGUCAUUGAAAUUAACAUGUAGUUUCGUUACAUUUCUGUUUAUUAAGAUUCUCAAAUACCAGUCAGGUUUGCUUAAGAAAUAAAAUUUUGCCAUUAAAAUUGUAGUAGUAUUUCCAAACAUAUUGCAUUUUCUAUGAUUUUUCAUAAAUCAAUUAAUCUGUGGUGCCAAUAUUAGGUUUAGUUUUUCAAACUAAAUAAUCAAGAAAGCAAACAUACAAAUUCACAGUUUAGAGGGGUAAACUAGGUAGGUGGUUUAGAUUUUAGAACUAGGCUAGCUACUUCACUAAAUUCUGAUUUGUACAGUGAACUGCAAGAAAUUGAGAAAACAAUGCAUUUAUAGUUUAAUUGAAUCAUAAGAAAACAAUUUAGUCAUUGCUCAAGAUGAGAUGAUUUCGGAGAGGCACAUUGUUUUCAAGUUAAUUUGAUCCGUUUACAAGAGAUGAAGUGGAAUCAAGUUGAAAGUUUAAAUAACAAAUCCUUGUUCUUGAGUUUUACGACGUCUUUGCUCCUUCCAAGUGGCAGAUUAUAUAAACUAAUCAACACUAAAUUGAUUAUGUUUUGUAUGUUUAUAUGCUAAUCAACACGAAAUUAUAUUAAAUGAAGAAAUGCUUCAAUUUUUUCUAAUUUAGUUUAGAAAAUUAAUUAAUUAACAUUAAUAUUCCUAAUAAAAAUUAUUUUCCAUCAGUAUUCAAAAUUUUCACUUAUAGAAAAUGCAUUUUACGUGAAUACUAGCUAUUGUGUAAAUUUGAAUGAUAGCGAAAAAUAAACCUAUUUGAAAACUUAGAUGACCAGCUAAAUAAACCUAUUUGAAAACCAUUCGGCCAACUCCCCAGGGCAAAAAUACGAGGUCCUUAUUUACAUAAUAUACAUGAAUUGAUGUCAUUUAUUAGAAUUAUCCAAAUUCAUCAGAGGUAAAACUGUAAAAUAUAGCAAAAGAAUUAGAAGGGUGUGUUGGGAUAUUUUAUUUAGUUAAAAAAAUUACCUUUAUUGAAACCUGUAUAAAACUUUUAUAUUAAUUACUUAUGUUGCCUCUUCAACUGUGAUCAAAUUCUUAUCAAGCUCAUCAUUUAAUGAGUAAAUGCGUAUUUUAAUGAUCUCAAUUAAUAUUUAGAACACAUAUUUUAAGAAGUAAAGCUCAUUAUAUCUCCCAUUAUUAGGUAUCUCUGUAAUGUAUUGAAUUAGAAGAAAAAAAAAUUCAACUCACUCAAAAAAAAAAAAAAAUGCUGGUAGCUUCGUAAUAAUUACUGUAUUGACUGCACCAGAAAAAGUUUUGUAAAAUAAUAAGUUCUCAUUAGUGGUUUUUAAUUUUUUUAAUUUUUUUUUCGGGCACACUUGAACGGUACAAAAAAUUUGAAAAAAAAACACUUAAAACGUGCCAAGUGUGAAAUUUACGACAAUAAUUACUUUUGAUGCUUGGAAUCAUUUAAUUUCUAGCCGUAUUGACUCCACCAGAUGAAGUUUUUAAGAUAACAUGUUCCCAUUCUUUAUUUUUUUUAUUUUUAAAUGUGCUUCUAAUAAUUUAUAGAAGAAUUUAUGAUUUCCCAUUAGCAUUAUCAUUGAAGGGGGUUGGGUCAAAUAUCAGUUGCUUGAAGAAUUUAUUUAUUAUUAUUGUAUUGAAGUAGGAUGGGUAACGGUUCACUCAAUUCGUUAGGAAUUAAAUAUAGAAAUGAGAAAUAGAGAAAGAAUGGAAGAAAGUUAAGAUAUGAAAGAUCUGCAGUGAAAUUGAUAAUCAUGUUUCUAUUUCGUUAACUAAUCAAAAGGAAAACUGAAACUGUAAACAAACAUUAACACGUGUGGACUCUGCCAGCUGCCCUACAAGUCUACAAUAAUAAUUGAGUACCUUUGAUUCAUCCUUCUAUGAAUUUCUAGCUGUAUUGACCCCAACUGCUAAAGUUUUGUAAAAUAAAAAAAAAAAAAAAACUGGAAUUUCAACAAAAUUCAAAACGUGUGAAAUUUAAUUUUUGGCCAUGUGGAACAAAAUGUAAAUUACGGAAAAAGUAUAAAUCUCAAUUGCUUAGUAUGGUUAGGUUUUGUGAGCAUCACUAAAAAGUGAAAACUAUGAAUGAUAGAGGUGAUGUUUGCAACAUGAAUAAACGAUGAACUGAAUCAAUUGAUGAUCGUAAUUAUAUAAUGAACAAAAUUUACAAAAUCAACAAAAGUUAAUAAAAAUUUAUUUUAAUAAUAAAAAAUAAUAAAACUUAUUAUUUAACGGCGCUCUAACCAUGGAGUGCCAUAAUCAUAUUCUUCUUUUAAGAAAAUUAUAACUUAUUUCAAAUAGCACCAUAACAUAAUUCUAGAUAUUUAAAAGAAAAGCAUUAUCCACCUGAAAUGACUUGAAGUCUAAAGAAAAAGAGAGAGUGGCUCCCCACAAUUUUCUUGUUUUCAGUAUAUUUUCUUUUUUUUUUCUUUUUAAAAUCUUUUGACGCAUACAUAAUCUACCCUUGUUCAUUAUCUCUAUUUUGCUCUGUUCAAGUCCCUUUUUUUUCAAAUCUUAGUUUAAAUAAGAAAAUUGAAUAAAAGUACAUUUGUGUAAUUAAUUAGUAUCUGUUUUUUUUUUGGGGGGGGAGGAUAUUUGGUGUAAUGUUUUGCUAUGUAAGACUCAGCUAUUAUUAAACAGUUCCUUAACCUGUUUCGCAGUUUAUUUGCUAUCUUUGUGGAUCUCAUAGGCGUUGCAGAAUUUAAUAAUUUUAUUCGUCAGAAGAAUAGGAUAUUGGCUUCAAUAAAUUUAAUUUAAACCAACUUUUAUUUACUCCAUCAAUUAAUUAAUGCCAUUUGGUUUUGAAAAAUUCAAUAAUUAAAUUCUCACGUUUUAUGUGUUUGAAGUUAAAUUAUUCAUUAACUAGAACUCUGUUCAAAAUUGACUGUCUUGUGGUUCCCAAAUGUAGUUGUAAUAUUGAAUGAAAGUAAAAACUUUCUAUGGCGAGUUUAAAUCUAAAUCUGAACAAUGAAUUUUGACUUUCUCAAUACUAUCCUAAUUAUGAAAAUUAUAUUAAUUGAUUUAUUGUUACAGUUACUAGCCUUUGAAAAUGGAUGGAUUUAUUGUUUCCGUGACCAAAUUAUGCCUGCCUAACGCUGCAACUAUUAAAAAAAUUAAUAUUUAAUGCACAUGUUAAAAGAUUUAAAAUUUUAUGCAUUUAUUAAUUGUUAUAAUCUAAAAGAAAAUUAAUUAAUUCAGGUCAAUCUGAGUUGGUGCAUCUGCAGGAGCCUUUUUUUUUUUUUUCCGUUUAUUGACCAUAAAUGCAGUAAUAUAUACAUUUCAAUAUGUUGACACACUCUGGCCAGAGAAUUCUAUGAUCAAGUGCCGAAAACCCAUCAAGAGAUGUGUUGUACAAAUUCUAUAUUGUUAAUCCAUAACUCCAAUACUCAUAAUUGCUCCCACCAAGAUACUGGGUAAUCUUGACCACAAGAAUGUGUCGUGCCCAUUGGUAACUCAAAUGGAAUAACAAUUACAAUCAUGAAAUCAUAAUUAACACAAGAUUAAGAUUACAGUAAAAUCAAUGCCUAUGAGAUUUAAUAAGUUUGACAGUCAUUUCAAUGUUAAUUAAAUCUCAUAUGUGAUCCUGUUCAAUGUAGUCGUACUUCAUUAAUAAAUUCAUACAUGAUUAAGACAAAUCAUUCAAUGAAUUCAUUACAGUCUAUACCUAAAUAAAGUGCCCAACUUUAUUUAUCAACUGCGAACUAAAUUUAGUUAAUCAUAAGAUAACUUAUAUUUAUGUCUUUUGUGAAUCCACAUGGUGAUCACAUAAAUGCAUAUAAUAUGAUUAAAUGGACUUUGAUCAAAAUAUUAAUGUAAUUAAGAUAUUUGAAUAAAAUACCUCAUUAAUUUUAUUAAUCAGAAAAAAUGUUUAUUAUAAUUAAAUAAACACAUAUGCUUUUAAAGAGCAUAUUUUCCCAACAUUCUAUCUGUCAAUUUCAUCUAGAAGUCCCUCUGAAAACAUCUCCCAAAACAGUUAGUCAUCUUUUAUGCUCUGUUUUCUAGAAACAGAGUCCUAACUAAAUUGAUUGACUGUACAGUGCAUUUCAACAUAGCAUAUUUAACCGUUUUAACUGUUAUUUGAACCGUCUUCAGAGUUAACAUCAACAAACUCAUUCAUAUUGGUCCAAUCUUACGGACGAUAUCAUAUGCUUAAUAAUGAACGAAUAGUCUUGGAUCAGUGUUUUGCAGCAAGAGCAACUCGACACAAUCUGGAUUCAACCUCCUCCUAUCUAACAAGGGAUUUCUAUUUGAGUUACUUUGUGCUCAAGCAAUUAAAUUCACAUCAUAUUUUGAUUCUUUAGAUAUGAAUUCAUCACAUUACAUAUAUCAGAUUAAGUGUAACAAAAUUUUUAAUUUACUGCGAAAAGAAUAUGCACUAAAAAAUGAUUUCAAGACUAUUUGACUACAAAAAGCAGCUGUCAGAGUGCACUAAAAAUUUCUGUAGGAUAUUUUGUAGCUGUUUAAUAUGUUAUGAUGGGCAUAUAAUUCUCAAAUUUUGAUGCCUCUCAGCGAAAAUAUAUCAAAGUUACGGAUGAUAUCACGUAAAACAUGCAUGGCUCAGGCUCAGGCUCAGGCUCAGGCUCAGGUAAGAAAGCCACAGAAAAGGAAAAUCUCAGUGUCACGACUCACGUCACGCAUCAUUCAAGUGAUGGAUUUAACAAGACUGCUGCUUAUGUUCUAUCAAAUUCCUCUGCCUCUCAGAAGAUAACUUUUCUGGGCCAAAUUUCUCAUCUAAAGUAUAUUAUGCCCCAAAGUCACAGAUAACAAAAUGGGGCACUACCGAUUAUGAAAGAGAACUAGUAGAUCUCAGAAGCCUAGGUCAAAUUCCAGUAGUAAGAAGAGGUCUUUCUUGAGUUUAGAUUAUGUGUUCGAGUUUUAAUAAAUGCCUAAGUUAUUAAUAAUAACAACAGUAAUAAUAAACUAAAAAGCAUAAUUACUAUUGAAUGGUAAAAAAAAAAAAAUGAAAAUGUGUGAACUCCAAUAACCACCCCAGUGGCGAAUUUUGGAGAGGGCUAGGCCGGGCUUCUUAGAAAUUAUUUUUAUUUAAUUACAAAAUCACCUUUAUUGAAACCUAUAUAAAAUUUUUUAUAUUAAUUAAUUAUGUUGCCUCUUCAAUUAUCAUUAAAUUCUUGUCCGUUCAUCAUUUGCUGGAUAAAUGUGUAUUUCAAUAAUUUCAAAUAAUGUCUAGAACAAAUAUUUUGAAUGAUAAAGCUCAUUAUGUCCUGCAUUACUAGAUGUAUCUAUAAUUUAUUAUUUACAAAUUAUAUUGUAUGAUAAAAAGUAUUGAAUUUUUUUUAAAAAAAAAGUUCGGCUCACUCAGAAAAAAAUGUUAUUAGCUUCGCCACUGCACAAAUCUAGAAUAAUAAUUAUUCCUUAUUAUAUUGACUGCACCAAGCAAUAAACUAAUAAGUUCUCAUCAGCGGUUUUUAAUCUUUUUAAUUCUUUUUACCGCACACCUGAUCAAGAAUUCUAUUUUGUUAACUAAUCAAUUGCAAAUCAUAUAUUAGUGUUGAGCGGUGAACAAAAUUGAAAAAAAAAAUUCUUAAAAAACGUGUGGACUCGGAUAGCCAGACCAGAAAUCUAUGACAAUAAUUAGCUUUGAUGCUGGGAAUCUUUUAGUUUCUGGCCGUAUUGACUCCACCAGUGAAGUUUUUAAAAUAACAAGUUCCCAUUCUCCAUUUUUUUUUUUUUUAAUGUGCUUAUAAUAAUUUUAGAAUAGUGACUUAUUUGUAGAAGAAUUUAUGAUUUCCCAUUAAUAUCAAUAUUGAAGUGGCGUGGGUCAAAUCUCAAUUGCUUGAAAAAUCUAUUUAUUAUUAUUAAUAUUGAAAUGGGGUGGGUAACGGACCAACGGUUCACUCAAUUAAUAUGUGGGGAAUUAAAUAUUACCAUCCAAGGUAGAAUUGUGGAAAAUUAAAGCAAAAUGAGAAAUAUGGAAAGGAAGGCUGAAAGUAAGGCAUUAUGAAAGGCUUUGAGAAGGCUGAAGACCACCAAAGAAGUCAACUGAAAGCUAGCUGGGGCCUGGUAUAUAUGUUAGAUGUGUUUGUUAUAAAUAACAUAGAGCCCUUUCGUUAGCUAUAGUUAUGGAGACAGAGAGAGUUUGUGUUUUUUAGUAGUUAAAGAUAUUGCUAGAAUGGGUGGUUCAAAAUCCAAAAUGGUGACAAUGUUUGUUCUGUUAUUAAUAAUAUUAGAAUGGGGUAGAGUGAGGGAUGUUUGGAGCUUCAGAGAUUUGCUCUUUUGCGGCUUAAGCAUUUCUUCAAUUCUCCUUACAGACUUUAAAACUGGGUAGAUGAGCAAAGAGAUUGUUGUCAGUGGGAAACCGUUGAGUGCAGCAAAGUGAAAUUAAUUUCUCCCUAUUCUUAGUCUUACCAGGAGUAUCGAUCUCGGAGAGUGGUAUCUGAAUGCUUCUCUAUUUACUCCCUUUCAACAACUUGGCAACAAAAUAGCCGGUUGGGUUAAGAACGAAGGUCCUUCAUUUAAUUUAAUUUACUUAAUUUCUCCCUCUUAAUUAAUGUCUAUAACCAUUAGGAGAAAUAAGGGAUUUUAUUAACUCAAAUAUAUCCAAUGGAGCUCAUUCUUUGGUUUUACUUGCAGGUCUAGAAGCAGGUGUCAUCUAACAGCUGCUUUGAUAAUUUCCCACACCUUCAUCUUUGAUGGAAAUAUGAAAUAAAAACAAAUUGGUGAAAAUCGUAUUGGUACCCGAGGCUCUGUAAUCUAUUUCAAAAACUACACCAUCAAAACGACUGCAUAAGAAUCUAACUUCUCCUCUUGAUUUUUUAUGGGCAUGUUGUGUAGUACAUGCAGACAAAAAUCAUAUUUUAGUUUACUCUUACUCAAUGCUUGGAUUAAAGUUUUUUUUUGGGGGGGGGGGGGGGGAUUGAAGCAGACUAAAAUGACACAAAAAAUAGUUGAACGAGUGCGGGUUUUGUCUUCAUUUUAGGAGAUCUUUAUAAAUUUUAGGAUUUUUUUUCUCGAGAAAAUUUAUGCCAACUCAUUCUUUGCUUCUUUUAUGAAGGGACAGAUGCAACUGAAAGUAUAUUCUUGAAUUCUAUAAGAGACAGCAGUUUAGAUUCUCGAGCCUUCAAAAAAAUAUCAAAUUCUAGAUUGCUGAAAUUUUAUAUAUCCAAGUAUGAUGGUGCUCCAAUUAUAAACUCCAGGGAGCAACUUCACCGCGGAUUAGAAUGUCUUCCUGCAGAAUUGAGAAAUCUCCAUUGGCAUAAAUAUUUUUUUGAAAAUACUGUCAUUAGAUAUUUUUAUUAUUCAUACUUCAUUGCACAAGGCACCACCUGGCUUCUAUUUCCAGCCCUAAUAAUGAUCCGCUGCUGGAAAAGAAUUUGUGCAGCAUGUACGCUCCUUGACCACAACAGCAAAGUUUAUUGAUGUUAUUUCAUAUUCUGCUGUGACUCAAAUAAAAAUUUACUAUGCCCUUUCGGCAUGGCUUGCCUUUCAGCAAAAAAAGAAAAAAAAAAUCUUUCAAAUUGUGGAAGCAUGCUUACAUUAAUCAGCUCAGUAUGUUAUGUUUCAUGGGAUGCAAAAUUCGUUUUGUUUCUCAUGGAAGAAUUGACUUGUCUGGAUGUAUUAAUCUCAUAGAUUUUCCACAGAUUCGUGGGAAUAUAACAAAGCUAGACUUAAGUGAGAUCCCAAUAGAAGAAGUUCCGUCAUCAAUAAAAUGCCUAGCUGAUCUUAAAACGUUGCGUUUGAGUAAGUGCACGAGGCUGAAGAGGCUUUCCAUCAAGCAUUUGUAAAUUGAAAUCUCUUCUUGAGCUUUAUCUCUAUAACUGCUCAAACCUUGAAAGUUUUCCAGAAAUCAUGGAGAAAAUGGAACGUUUAAAGAUAUAAAUUUAGCAAGGACGGCCAAUUACAGAGCUGCAAUCUUGAUAGCCUUCGGGAUAACAUUAGCAAUUUAAAAUCUUUGAGGUACAUCUCUACUAAUGGAUCAGCCAUUAGUCCUCUGUCGCAGGUUCGGUUGUACUUAAAUAUCUAUCAUUUUCUCAAUGCAGAGGUUUGGUAUCAUUGCCUCCAAUAUUAUUGUCAGGUUAGGUUUAGGUUUAUAGAAUUUGUUACAGCUAAAUUUAAGAGAGACUGCUAUAAUGGAAAUUCCCCAAAAUAUUGUUCGUCAAUCCUCAUUGAAAAUUUUAAAUCUAAAGGCUUGUUUGUUAACUACUUGAAGUAUGUAGUUAAUGCUUUUUUUUUUUUUUUUGUAAUUUAUGUUUGAUUUGAGAUAUUUACAUUUGAAUAAAAAAAUUAUACUUUUGUUACAUUUAUCUAAAAAAAAAAAAAGGUUGAAUGAGAAGUAAAUAAUUCCCUUUUUCGUUUUAACUUACAAAAACAUAAAUGUUAACUAUGUUUAAGAAAUUUUUUAUUUAUAAAAAGAAACCCAAUACUACUUAUAUUUGUAUAUCAAAAAAUGAAAAACAAACAUGUUAUUCAUACGUUCGCAUACAAACUCACUCAGACCUCAGCUAAAUACAAAUCCAUUUAGAUUUCAAAAAAAUAAAUAAAUACUUCCUAAGCGGGAAUAACUUUGAGAGUUGACUUGCAAGGCUAGAAUAUCUUGACUUGAACGGUUGCAACGAUUUCUCAUCAUUGAGAGUUUAUCAUUGUGCUUCAUCAUCAUUAUUAAUAAAAAGGUAAGCAAUUAAGAGUCAAAUUAAACCAGAAAAUCACUCAUCCACGCUUUUGGGACAUCAUUCUGCUCAUUAUUUUUAUUCCGUAUCUUCAUUGUUUUAUUUGGUAAUUAUUACCAUUAGGAAAUAAAGGGAUUAGUUGAUUAUUAUGAACUAACUAAAUGGAGCUCACCCUUAAAUGUCGGCUUGUAUCAGGGAGGUGCCUUAGGGUUAAUAAAUCAACUAAUCCCAUAAUUUGUUGAUGUAGGUGAUGGUUGUUAAAGCCAACAAAAAUAAAUACAUACUCUAAAUAAAUUGUGUAUAGUGAUUGAGCAGGGUCGUGUCCACAGAUAUCAGUAAUUAUUUAAAUCCUUUUAAAAUGUAAAACAUAAAAUGAGGGUUUUGUUGACAAUAAUAAAAAUUAAAUUAAAAUAACAAGAAUGCAAAUUAAAGUUGUAAUUCAAAUUUGGAGAAAGCUCUAGUUGAAGGAAUUAAUUGAGCUUGAUUCGACUACUGAUCAUUGAUUCAAAUAUAAAUUAUUACUACUUAUGAAUAGACCGGUUAUAGCUACUGAGACCUUCUAAUAGCCAAUCUCUCUUUAACUAGUCGAUAACCAAGGUACGACCAUUGAUUAUUUCCCUAAUCAAUAGACAACCCUAGAUACGAUCAUAGGAUUUAAUCAAUUGACAGCCUGAAAAUCUAGAGAGACCCAAAUCCUAAUCAACAAACACAUACGAUGGUUCAUUUAAAUUAGAUUGUUUAUUCUCAUAACACAACUCUCUGCUAUGUUAUUUGUCACAAACAUUAAAAUCUUCAUACGAUGAAUCCUUUAAUUGACAAUAGAUUAAGUUGAUAAUUAAAUAGUGGCCAAUUACCUAAUUAACAAACAUAAUCAUGAAAAUAAUUCAGAGAAUAAACAAAUACCCAAAAAGUAAUAAAACAAUUAAAGCAUAAGAAAGAUCUCGCAGUAGUGAUGAAUCAAAGCUUCAUUAACCUUCAACCAGAAAAAUAGGUUUAUUUCUUCAUAGAGAGAAGAGAAAAGUUUAGAUCUAGGGUUUCUUUCUUUUUCUCCAAUCCCCCCUUUUUCACUAUAGAUUCCUCCCUUAAAUACUCUCUCUCUCUUCUCCUCUAGAGUUCUAUUUAAAAUAAAAUACUAAUAUAUGAAAUAUUAAAUUCGUAAUUACAAAAAUAGCCAAAAAUACAAAACACGUUAAACUAAAAACUGCAGGUCCGCAGUUGACAGCACGUGCCCACGCCUUAUCAAUAAAGUUCUUCUAACGCUCUAAAUUUCUCCAAGAGAACAAUCAUCUUUAAACAUCAUCUUAUAGCUCAAUUUUAUCACAAAUCAAUAGAAUUGCACCUACAAAAGUAAAACACAAGUAAAUCAUUAUUAUUAAGUGCAAAACAUCGAUAUUAAGGGAAGUAAACAAUGCAAAACUAGUGCAUAAAUUUCACUCUAACAAUAGGGUAGCAAAUUAUUGCCAUAGAUCAGCACACAGCUCGAAAACAUAUUUGAUCCACACAGUGAAGAUGAUUCAAUAUUAAGCAUGUCAUAUAAUCUGGAGUUGGAUAUUGGAUCAAUUUGAUGAUAAUGAGUUUCUUUCAAUCUCAAUAUGUAUCUUCUUCGCAACAUGACUAGCCAUUGCAAACUCAAACUCUGACAAUGAUUUCUCAAUCGCUUUCUAAGACGAUGAGCAUGUAUGUAUAUAUAUGUGUGUGCACGGGCGCGUGUGUGUUUGUGUAUGUAUAUAGAGAGAGAGAGAUAUCACACAUGUGUGCUUUCCUUUUGUCAAUAAGAUAUGUAGAGAGCUUAAUAAUCAUAGAUUAGCUUAUAUCCUUCAAACCAUGUGUUAUGAAGUAAUUUCACAAACACUUGUUGAACGUUAUUGAAUCAGUAGUUCACAGUUCAAUACAAUGUAGGUUUCCUAUUUGAAGUAAAUGAUUAUGGUGUGUGCAUUUUUCAUAAAGCUAACUACUGAAUUUACCAUUGAAACUUGCAAAAUGUAACAAAGAGAUGCAGAUAGCAGCCACGAAACACUAAGAUUGAAAAUCAGGACUAUUGAAUUCUAUUACAAGCCCUUAAAAUAGACAACAAUCAUCCUCAAAUGUAUGUACUGAAAGUAAGAAAUAUUAAUCGUAAAGUUAUGCAUUAACAAAACUAUUGAAUACUUAUCUUUAGCUAUAUAUUUUUAAUUGUAGCUCCCUACUUUGUUCUAAGAACUAGGCAAAAGUAGCAUAUCUUCAAUCCAAUCAGCAUAUAUACCGCUCAUCUUCUCCAGUUCUUUCCACUUUGAUUUGCAUUUCAUACCCUGCACUUGCUGCUUAGAAAUAGUCAUAGUUUGCACAUUGACAGUAGAAAAAGUACUUGAAACAAUCAUUGGCAUAGCAUGGGAUUCCAUUGAGUCGCGGUCUCCAAGCUUUCAUGGUUCUGUAAAGAAAAUGACAAAAACAUCAUGCUAUUGGCAUUCUACUUUUAGCAAUUUUCCACAAGCUGAGCUAUUUCAUAUCUCUCUAUAAAUUAUGCUGGUUCAACCUUCAGAUAAGUUUGUGAUAAAGGCAUCUAUGAUUACAAUGGGAAAAUUACAUGAACUUAUGUUAUCAAUCAUUGUUUUGCCUUCUCGUGAUAGAAUUCUGUGCAACAUAAAACAUGACAUAUUUGUUGCUUACCAUGCCAUGUCGUGAACCUAGAAGCAAUGCAAAUUGCAAGGAACAUAUUAAGCUAUCUACUGUAUAUAACAAAUUCUUAUUAGCCCACAAUCUUGCGCCCCAACAUUGAUCAAGUAACACUAUUAUUUCAUUUCCAAAAUGGCAUAUAUAAUCUAAUGUUGAACAAACCAAAUUGGGAAUCAUCAUUCCUUACAUUGAGCUGACAUUCGUACCUGCUAGUCCAUGAGCAAAGUUGCUUAUAUUUCCACACAGGCAGUUCCCCUUAUCUCUCGGUUCCGACAGAGCUUUGUUUUCCCAUCACCAGCUUUGGAUUCAUUCGAUCACUGAUGCUCCGAGUUAGCAAGCCCCUUGUUGUGUUCCCAUUUAACAGACCCACUUCUGUUAUCCACAGAAGAUCCACCACUCAAAAUGCUUAUCACCGAACUAUUCCUAAACUGAGUAGAAACUUCCGCACAUCUCUCGGCAUUUACAUGAAGAAAUCGACACCCACCCUCAUAUUUGUAAGUUUUCUGAUAAUAGAACGGUCUACAAAGCUGCAUUUCGUUAGGCAAUCUAGUCUCUCCAUUCCUAGCUCAGUGACAUUGAUUCCCGUAUUUGUAAUUGCCUAAUUGGGGUUUUGGCAAUAGCCUGGUCUUAAAAUUACCACCCAUUACUUUGUUCAAUGCCACUGGCAUCCUCUGAUUAGGAACAUUUUCACAAUUUUUAGCCCUGUUAGUCGAAUCACAUUCAAGGGGAUAGUGAGACAGUAUUUCACUAAAAGAUUCAAUUUGACUACACAUAUAAGAAUUUGAAAUCACUUUUUCUUGGAAUAUUUAAUGACCCACCCAGGGUGAAAGUUUUUGAAUGGAAAUUAUUUAAUUUGAUUUGUUUUCCAACAAAUUCAAGAAACCCCAGAUAGUAACAUAAAAAAAAAAUCAACCAAUAAUACGCAAUGGGUUUCUUUCUUUUUGCUUUUGGAGGGCCAUGGAGAUCUGGAGUGGGCUGUAAGUAAUAGCCUUUAUCACUGGAGUGACAAAUUUGCAGAAGAUGAUACAUGGGGAAGGAUUGGACGAGCAUAAAAAUGGUUUUACACUCCUUGGAUUAGCGCCUCAUUAUAAAAAUGGUUUUAUAAUCCCUGUUAUGCUUAAGGCUUCACUUAGUAUAGCAUAGAGCUUUUCUAGUGUAGCAUUUUACAAGUAGAAUUUUUUUAAAUUAUUAUUUAUUUGGUUGUUUUUUUCAGGAGAGCUUUUAAAGGUCCAAAAUCUUUGAUAGUCAGGUUUUUUUUUUUUUGGUAAGUAAAACCUUUAACAAAAAUUUAUUAUUCACUUGAUCGUUUACAAGAGUUUUAAUUAGAGGUUAUAUAAAGUUCUUUAAUUUUUUUUAUCAGUGAUCUUGUUAUAAGUACAAUUUUUAUUUUUUAACAAAAAUUAAUUUAAUAAUAUUAAGAAUCUCAAUAUUUGAGUUCUAAUAUCAUAUGUCACUUAUUUAUUGGAUGAAAAAUUUCAUAACUUAUAAAAUUAUUUAACUAACAUCCAAUAAGCUAAUGUCACUAUAGUGAAGACUCAAGUUGAAAUUUAGAUGUUGGGUUGAGUAAUAUUGCUCUUAUUUAGUUGUUUAUGAGAACUUUCUUGUACAAAUUUAUUUUUAUACAAAUUGGUAUAGUCUACAUUCAUUAAUUAAAUAAAAAUAUAAAAUAAUAAAAAUAAAUCAUGUGCGCUAAAAGUUAUUUAAUCUAUUUAAUUGAAUUAUCCUGCGUUUGUUUGCACUAAAUAAAUUUAUAUACAAAUUAAUUCUACGUUUAGAUGUGCAACUAAACUUUUAGUCUUUUAUUCUUCGUAAAAUUCAAAUUCCAGUGGCUCAUCAAAUAAAAUUAAAACUAUUGGUUAAUCAAAUAAAAUUAUUUGAAACCAUUGCGUAUGAUAGCUGGAGCUCUUGAAAGUUGAAACCAUCGAAGCCAUGAAAUUUACCAGCGAAAAGAGUUUUAAAUGUCUAUUUUAUAAAUUUUUUAUUUACCAUUUUACCAUCCAUAGUAAAAGUGUCGCACGACGUUGAACAGUUCAACAUAUCAGUCAGUCCUCAUUCAGUCAUUUGGCUUGGACUCUGUGUAUGGUUAAGGCGUUACCAUUAUCAUCUUCUCCACUCGUACUGACACCAAACCUUAACCGUUCAGAUCCCCUUUCUCGACUGUCAUACCCUACGCCCCGUCUCCGUGUCUCCGAUAAACAGUGCUCAAUUAAGGCCAUCAGAUUAUCCCGGACCCACAUUGAUCCAACGGCUCACAAUGACCGACGACCUCUCCAUCUCCAUUACAAGCUCCCUCUUCAACUGGCUUCUGCCUCCAUCGUACUCUUUCUCGGAUUCGGAGCCCGUAUAUGCUCGGCUGGUCCUACGGAGCUACCUCUCACUCCAGCUGUCAACCAACAAGACCAAUUGCUUAAUCCAGACACAGAACAACAAGAGGGUGAGAAAUUGAAUCAAGAAUUUGAGAAUUGGAAAUCGAAAACGUACGCAUUGACCGUGCCUUUGAGAGUCGUUUCUCUUCAGAAUUCAGUGCCUCAAUCUUGGGUUAAGGAUUUUAUGCGAAGUCAAGGAAAGAGAUUGAAGUUUCCGAUGAAUUUGUGUGCUAGCACUGAUGGGAUCGUUAAAAGUUUAUCUAUGCCCUCUAACAAAGUUAAGGCUAACUCAGCUUCGUAUAUGGAUGCUGAUUUGGUUAGUGUUGGUGAUUCAUGGCUCAGUUUUGCGAUUAAAAAGAGAUUGAUUGAGCCAAUAGCUGAAGCUGAAGAUCAAGAUUGGUUCAAAUGCUUAAGUCACAAAUGGAAGGUAACAUCUUUGUCUUUGACCGGAUGAUUUUUAUUGUCUUACAUUGAAAUUUGGUAAUGUAAUUUGUUCUCUAUCUGUGUUACCUUUGUAGUGAUUUUUUUUUUUUAUUUCCUUUUAUUUGCAGUAACAAAGUCUUAGGUAUAUCUACGCAGGAAUGAUGCAGGAGAAAUUGAUCCUUGAGGUAAAAUAUGGGCGGCACCAUACAGGUGGGGCACAAUGGUGAUAGCCUACAAGAAAAGUAAAUUUCAAAAGCAUAAUUUGGCUCCGAUUGAGGUAAUAAUUGUCUUUAAACUCAUUUAGUUUUAUAUGAAACAAAAUCAAGACUGCCUUUCUCUUCAAUAUUUUGAUGAUAAUAUCUUUAGAAGUAUCUCAUUGACGGGUAAUAAUGGUAUCCCUGAAAGAGUCUAUAAACUCAAUGAUAUUAUCUUCUACAAAUGGUUCAUUAAACUUCUUCGUUGCAGUCAAAUGUACACUAAGAACAAUGAGAAGCUAUGCCACUGUAGCAUGUAGUGAUGGCACUUAAUAAGUGAGUUGCUAGGAUGUGAACUAGAAAAAUUAAAUAUUGUCUACUUAGAUAUGCUAGCUCGUAAGUCAGGGUUAAUAUUAGAAUUUAAGAAACUAUAACCAUGAGAAGCUAUUGACUGCCAAUUAAAAUAUCCAUAAAAAUGUCUAGGGAGUUAUGAAGGUGGAGGUAUCUUCCGAUUUCUAAGGCCACGUAGUAGACAUCAUCCAGGAUCCUAGGAAAGUGCAGUUAACCUCCUGCUCGAUGCAAUUAAUAAAUUUGGUCAAUGCCACUGAAACCUGCUAACUGAUGUCACAAUGUGACAUGAGCACUUUAAAAUGGGAUAGAUGGUCAGUAGCACUAAAUUUUUCUUGCCUAAGAUUGGGCAAUUGGUCUAACUACUAACCCCUAUUGUAGGUUGAUCAUUCUUUUUUCAAUUAUGUUCAGUUUGACCAAAAAGUUACAGAAUCUGGAUCUGAAUAUUGUCACUGAACACUGUCAGUGUUGUUUAGCGUAGCCAACUAACUUGAGUUUGGUAAAACAAACACACAGUGUGCCUUAUGUCUCACAAUUCAAAUUAUCAUCUGUAAUGAUGGAGGAUUUUUCUAAUGUAUGAAGUAUGCUUUGAUAAGUGGGUUAGCUUGGAGAAGAUAUCUCAAAAUAGAGAAUAUGGGGAACGAAUGGGAAGAAAACAGUUCAGUAGUUUAUUAUUCUGUAGUCAAGUUUUGUCUCAAAAAUGGUCAAAAUUUAAAUGAAUAAGGACAGCGGAUCUUCAUUCUUUUUUCCCUUUUUUAUACCAAGAUAUCUCUCAACCUUUAUAUAAUCCCCACUGGAUAUCUGCUUCUAACAAUUAAAAUAAAAAUUUCACCCACACAAAUAAAUACUGACCAAGCUCUAACAAUAAAAAGUAACAUCUUUAGUCAGGUAACAUCUUUACAGUUCCUCAUCAUCCUAGUGUGAGACUAUCAAUACGUUCCAAAAACAUAAUAAAACUGGUUUGAUCCUGUUUAUUGAUGUUUAAAUGUUGUUCAUUGUGACAUGUAGAAAUGAUGAGGCGAAGUUUCUUUGGUCAUCAAUUGGUACGAUCUUGUUUGAAGUUGUUUUCUGAAAUGAACUGCCAAACGGUAGUUUUUUUGGGGCAUAUGAUGGCUCUUUUUUCCUCAUUUUAAACAUGUGCAUGCUUGGAACGGGAAGGAUUAGGCUGCAGAGUUGUUAUAUAUUUUGACAUGCUCUGGUCAUUGCACAAUUUGUUCACACUGGAAAAUAUAAUGAGAAAUUUGUUGCAUUCUAUGCACAAUAACAUGAUUAAUGAAAAUGGAUUGUAGGACUGGAAAGAUCUGUGGCGGCCUGAGCUCGCAGGAAGAACUUCAAUGGUUAAUUCUCCCCGAGAGGUUAUUGGUUCAGUUUUGAAGUAUAUGGGAGCAUCAUACAAUUCAAACAAUAUUGAUUCGCAAGUUGCUGGUGGGAAGAUUGCUGUUCAGCAGAAUCUGGCAUUAUUGGCAAACCAGGUACUCUUAAAGAAAUGAUAUCUGGUCACUGCAUGUUAUUGCCUGACAACUGAUUUUGUUUGUAAAGUCUGCUUCUCCAUACAUAUGAAUGCAUAUGUUAGUGUUUUCCUCUCCUUUUCAGACAUAUGAAUGCAUAUGUUAGUGUUUUCCUCUCCUUUUCAUACAUAUGAAUGCAUUUGUUAGUGUUGUCUUUUCCUUUUCAUACAUAUGAAUGCAUUUGUUAGUGUUGUCUUUUCCUUUUCAUACAUAUUAAAACAUAUGUUGCUGUUCUCCCCUGAGAUGGAUGCAAUAAAGGCUUUUGCUUCUAAAUUUAGCUGAAGAAAUGGCAAGGGAUGUGAGAUUCUGUCUCAUUAAAUUAACAAAAACCCAAAACAAUGAAAACCCAUAAUAAUGUGGUGUGGGUUAAUUGGCGCCAUUUGGUUUGUUUCCUUAAUGUGAAUACGCGAGCAAUUGAGACUAACAAAAUGAAGUGACAACAAGAAGUCAGUUGCCUUUGAUGGAUGCAUUUUUAGGCAGAAAUAGGUUUGUAAUUGACCAAAUUGCUGGCAUGCCAAUUUCAAAAAAAUUAAAUCAUGUGAUUAUUAGCUGUAAUGAAGGGGGAUAGUAGGUGCAAUCAGGUGGAUCCACGAAAGUUCAACAAAGUUCUGGUAUGGCGUAGUGAAAUUGGUUUGUGCAACUCAAGAGUCUUUCAGGUGAACGAUGAUGGGUUUUGAUUUGUAAAUGUUAUAAAUCUACUGUGAAUAGUAUUCUAGUAGAAUCAUCUAUAAGUUCUAGUUAUUGGAAUUAUCUAGUUUGUCCAGUUUGAGUUAAGGGCAAAUGUAAUAUGAAAAAUAGUUGUCGCAUCUUUUAGGUUACCUAACAUUUAAUCAAUCCUAUUGUGAGGGCUUCAAGAUGUCUAACAAUAUGUAGAAUGCCCAUGCUCCUACCCAUUGUUUGUCUCAUACAAAAAUUUUUUUUAGAUGCUAAUAUCUUUGUCGAUACGAGUAUCAAUAUUACAAUAUCUGCGUUUAUUGGGUUUUACAUAGGUUCGACUGUUUGACAGUACACACUAUCUGAAGGCAUUUGGAAUUGGAGAUGUAUGGGUUGCUGUUGGGUGGAGUAGUGAUGUUCUUCCUGCUGUCAAACGAAUGUCUAAUGUUGCAGUUGUUGUUCCCAAGUCUGGUGCUAGCUUAUGGGCCGAUCUUUGGGUAUACCCAUGCCUGCCAUUCUACUUUGAUAUUCACAUUGUUAUUUCCUUCAUAUUAGUGAUCAGUAAACAUGAUAAUGUUACUAAUGAGUUCGUAUUCUCUUUAUAGGCAAUCCCUGCUGCCUCAAGACUUGAAACAAAACAAAUUGGAGGGCGAGUCAGAGGUCCAUCUCCAUUGAUCCAUCAGUGGAUAGAACUCUGCUUGCAAACAGCGAGAGCAUUGCCUUUCAAGCAAGAGGUUAUCCCGGGCGCAUCUCCCUAUGCCCUUGAAACUACUCUGGUUAACACUACAACAAAAAUGAGUUUUUACGGUGGAGUUCUAAUGGCAUAUUAUAAUUACAUGCUGUUAAAAAUAUGUAAAGACGGAAGGUAUUAAAAUAUUCACCGUUAAAAGAUUCCACUAUAUAAUAAGACAGCAUAUUUUUAAAAAAUUGUCGUUGAUUGCUUGGAUAAUAAAUUUUUAAUAGCAUAAAAAUAUCAAUCCCCGUAAAAAUAGUUUUCAAUAGCGCGUGAUAUUUGCUGUUAAUUAAUAAUAAAAGAUGGCCUUUGACUUAUCCUAUUAAAUUAGAAUCUUACUACAAACAAAAUAGGAACACUUUACUAAUUUCUCUCUAGUUUGCAAAUUUCCCACCUCUUCUAAAACACUCCCGUGUUAAUUCUCUAUGGAGAUUCGGCUGUUAUCAAAUUCUUCCAAAAAAUUUCGAUUUUUUCCAAUUUUAUCUCAUAUUUUUAGAAUACCCAUACUUCUAAAUGCCCUAGUUUUUCAGAUUUUCCCUCUCUUAUUUGGAAUCGUAUACCCUUUUAACCUUAGUAUUUCAUCCUCUCUGCAAUUUUAUUUCAUCCUCUCUGCAAUUUCACAAAGGUUUGGCCUCAAUCUUCUUUUUAAUUCCUAUUAUCGCCGUUUGUACCAUCAGCGACAAGGAAAGGUAAGAACUUUUAUUUAAUAUGUAAUUUUCUUUUCAUUUGAUUUGGAAAUCGUUAUGUUGGGACAUAAGUUUGAAUGGUUGUGUUACUGUUAUUGUGUUAUCUAGUUAAUCUAAUUUAUCUUUCAAUUAAUUAAAUUAUAAUUUUAUUAAAAGAUUUGAAAAAAAGCAAAAUUUUUGUUUCAAAAUUUCUGGUUCCACGUGCAACAGGAGAGAAAUCAAAUCCAGGAUGCUGGUCUGAGCUUUCGGCUUCAGUUUUCAGACUUCGUGGUGAGAAUUAUUUCAGGUAUGCCCUAUACUUGAUCUUUUUCCCACAUAGCAUAUUGUGAAUAUGUUUGGCAUUAAAAUUUUGGUUUUUUUUUCAUUUGUUCUUUUAUGCUUAAUACUAAAUGAUUUUAUUUUUUAGCAUGCAAAUAACUUGUUUGAUUAUCUUUAUCUUUUAAAAACCUUAGUUGUAUAAUAUAUGUAUAUAUGCUUGUUUAUGAGCUAGUACUUUUGCCAAAUAAUGUCAUCUAGUCGUGAUGUCUUAUUUGCAAGUUUGGGUUGAAAAAGAAUUUUGAUUAUUUUUAUUUGUAACUGUCGUCAACAUUUGUGGUAGCAACUGAUAUAACUUUACUUGUUGAGCGGUGCAUCACUUUAGCAUGAACAAAUUUCUUAGAAAAGAAAACAUUAAAUAAAAAUGGCCGCAUGUACAUAUCUGUCCUCUGCUUCCAUGAUUUCCUGUUAGGUCUCUUAUCAAGUUCACCCCGAGACCUCCGCGUCCAAGCAGCUUGAAUAAAAGAAUCCUAAAAAUAUUCGGAAAUAAAGGAUCAGUUGCCUUUCUUUUUAAAUCAAGAGAUGCUAGUAUUGAUUUAUAACUUAUCACUGUUAAUAAAUGCCAACUAACUAGCUAGUCCAAUCUCUUGGCAUCUUGCUAUUUCUUUUCUAUUAACGCUACAAAAGAGAAACAACAGUAAAGCAGAGGUCCACAAGGGAAUAAAAAACAGCUAGGGUAAAAUCUAUUGGCAUCAGUACCAAAGACCUGAAAUCAAAUAUUGCCAUCACCAAGGAUUGGAAGGUCUAUGAUUGGAGAAUCCCAAGCCAUGGUGGUUUUCCAUGUCUACAAACUCAAUAAUACAUUUUAAUUGUUUCUGGAGAAUUUCAAAGCAAAUUAUAUCUUGAACAAAUCUAUCUGAAAUCAGGACAACUGAAAUUUGUAGUUGGCAAAAGUUUGAGCACUAAUGCAAAUUGCAAUCACAUAUAAGUUCUUUUGCCAAUAAUGCAAAUAACUUGUUUGAUUAUCUUUAUCUUUUAAAAACCUUAGUUGUAUAAUAUAUGUAUAUAUGCUUGUUUAUGAGCUAGUACUUUUGCCAAAUAAUGCCAUCUAGUCGUGAUGUCUUAUUUGCAAGUUUGGGUUGAAAAAGAAUUUUGAUUAUUUUUAUUCGUAACUGUUUGUUAAAAAAAAGAGUAAGAAAAAGAAUUGGUUAUGUAUAGCAGAUUGAGCAAUCUGAUUCUUUGCUAGACAAAUAAUUAAAAAAAUAUGUUUUAUAUUUAAACAACAGAUCAAAGAGGUUACAAGCAAGCACUUGAUGUCAUGUUGAUGGAUAAAAAAUGGGUGAAGCUUAAUAGGUUAGUAUUUGAAUAACUGCAGUAUUUAAAUAUUUUAUGCUAAUGGAUUUAAAGUUUUAUUUUUUUUUAACUUUUUUUAUAUGUAGAUAUACUAAAGAAUUUCAAGAUGGAGCCCAAAAAUUUGUCAACUUGGCUAGAAAAAAUGCUGGAAAUUCUGAUAGGAUUAUAUGUCCAUGCAUAAAAUGUGCCUGUUAUUGUCGUCAACAUGUAGACACGGUAUAUGAACAUUUAGUGAUAAGUGGGAUGGAUCCCACUUAUGAUAAUUGGGUUUUUCAUGGAGAAGCUCCAAAUACUUCUAGGCAAGAUAAAGAUGUGAAGAUGACAGACGCUUAAGAAAUGUAUAAUGAUGCUUAUCUUCAAAACUAUGGUGUCAUAGAUAACCCAAAUGACUACAUUGAUGAUACCACACCUAGGUUAGAAGAAAAUGAGUUUACUGAAAAGGUGAAAGCUGCUGAGACUUCUUUAUACCUAGGAUGUUCAAAAUAUACAAAAAUGUCAGCAACUGUUGCCUUAUAUAAACACAAGAUUGCACAUGGAUUAUCUGAUAAUGGUUUUAAUGAACUUCUUUAGAUUAUUUGUGAUAUGUUACCUGAAGAUAAUGUUUUACCUGGUUCUCUACACUUAGUGAAGAAACUGCUUAAGGAUUUUGACAGUGGUUACAAAAAAAUCCAUGCUUGUGUUAAUGAUUGUUGUCUCUUCACCAAGGAGAAAGAAAAUUUAGAUACAUGUCCUAAGUGUAACACCUCUAGAUGGCAAGUAAAUUCUCGAACUAAGAAGAUUAGGACAGGAGUACCAGCAAAAGUGCUGCGUUAUUUCCCUAUAAUACCUAGACUUAGAAAGAUGUUUAUGUCAUGUGAAAAAGUAGAACAAUUGAAAUGGCACUCAAUUAACAAAAGUUCAGAUGGAAAAAUGAGACACCCAGUUGAUUCAGUGGCAUGGGAUAACAUCAAUAAGAAAUGGUCUAAUUUUGCAUCUGAUCCAAGAAAUAUCAGGUUUGGGCUUGCUGCUGAUGGGUUUAACCCUUUUAGUAAUUUUAGCUCUGUAUACAGUUGUUGGCCUAUUUUCCUAGUAACAUAUAACCUCCCUCCAAGGGUAUGUAUGUUUGAGGAGAACAUAAUGUUGACAUUGUUAAUACCAGGGCCAAAACAACCAGGGAAUGACAUUGAUGUAUUCUUGGAGCCAUUAAUAGAUGAUUUGAUUGAAUUGUGGAACAAUGGUGUUCAAGUUUAUGAUUCUUUGAAUAAAUCUGCUUUUAAACUAAAAGCUAUUUUAAUGUGGACAAUUAAUGAUUUUCCGGCUUAUGGUAAUUUAGCUGGAUGUACUACAAAAGGAGAGUUAGCAUGUCCUAUAUGUGGUCCAAACGUAUGUUCUGAAUGGUUAGCAAAUAGUAAAAAGAUGGUAUAUAGAGGUCAUAGACGAUUUUUACAUCCGAGACAUGAAUGACGUAUUGAGAAAAAAGAUUGGUUUGAUGGAAAGGAAGAAACAAGACGGCCUCCUAAACCUUUGACGGGUGAAGACAUUGUACUUGCCUUAAGCAAUAUUCAAAACAAUUGGGGUAAAUAUAAGAAAAAGAGAAGCAGGAGGCAAAAUGAACCAAAAAGUAUGUGGAAGAAGAAGUCAAUUUUUUUUAACUUACCUUAUUGGAAGGUAAUCUCUUAUCAUUGUUUAAUACUUCAUUUCUUUUAUUUGUCUAAGAGUUGUUUUUAGUCAUUUUUAAAUUGGUUUUUUGUUUAUAUGUAUUUGAAGCAAUUUGCUAAUGAUAGACAUUUUUAAAGAUAAUUGAAAAAUGGAUACUAAAUAGUAUUUUAGUUUCUUUUAAUUUUUUCUUGAGCUAAAUUAUGAAUUAAAAAACUUUAUUGUGUGCAGGAGUUAGACUUGCGUCACAACUUGGAUGUGAUGCAUAUUGAGAAGAAUGUUUGUGAUAGUAUCAUUGGAACAUUACUGAACAUAAAAGGAAAAACAAAAGACGGAAUUGAAUCUCGUAGAGAUUUAGUGACAAUGGGCAUUAGACAAGACUUGCAGCCUAAUUUAAAAGAAAAUAAACUUACAUUGCCAGCAGCAUCAUUCACAUUGUCAAAAGAGGAGAAAGUAAUAUUUUGUAAGCGUCUUUCUGAGCUAAAAGUACCUGAUGGUUAUAGCUCUAAUAUUGCUAAUUGUGUUUCAGUAGAAGAGUGUAAAAUAACAGGUCUAAAGUCACAUGAUUGUCAUGUGUUAAUGCAGCAAUUACUACCAGUAGCAUUGAGAAAUCUUUUACCUAGUGGACCUAGGACAGCAAUAUUUCGAAUAUGUGCAUUUUUCAAUCAAUUAUGUCAAAGAGUAAUAGAUAGAAAUGCAUUGGAAAAAUUAGAGUCAGAUAUGUAUGAGACUGUGUGCAUGUUGGAGAUGUACUACCUACCAGCAUUUUUCGAUAUUAUGAUUCACUUGACAAUUCAUUUAGGGCGAGAGGUUCGAUUAUGUGGGCCAGCUCACUAUCGUUGGAUGUUCCCAUUUGAGAGGUAAUAAUUAUCUCUUUUCUUAUCUUUUUUCUUUUUAAAUUCACUCUUUAAAUAGUUAAUAUUUCUUUUACUUUUAUAUAGAUGUAUGAAAACACUUAAGGGAUACAUUAGAAAUCGUGCAAGGCCUGAAGGGUGUAUAGCAGAGUGUUGUCUAGCUGAGGAGUGUGUAAGAUUUUGUAGCGGAUAUAUGAAAAAAGCAAAAAAUAUAGGUGCACUUCCUAUGCGUAACGAGGAAAGUAGUGACGAGAUAAUUAUAGCAGGGCGGCCAAUCUUAAAAGGUCGACCAUUGAAAAUGUCUGAAGCUAUGUUAAAAAUCGCACAUCGUUAUGUAUUAUUAAAUACAAUAGAAGCGGAGCGAUUUCGAGAGUGAGUAUUUAUCGAUCAUGUAUAUUAUUUAAUUUAUGUAUUUAGUCUUGUAAUUAACUUAGUUUGAUCUUAGAACGCAUAUGGAGGAAUUGCAGAGAUCAUUUAGAAGACGUAGGUGUGAUAUUCAAGAGCUACACAAAAUGCACACUGAAACUUUUUCCCAAUGGUUAGCAGAAAAGGUAAGCUAAUCAUUUAGUCCAUCUAAGUUAACAUUAAAAAAAAUCAAAUGAAAUAAACUUUUCAAUGUAUAUGCUGACCUAUUGUUUGGUUUAUUGGUGAAUAGAUAAAGAUCCAAGAAAGUAUGGCUAAUGUAUCUGACACAUUAAAGUCACUAGCAAAAGGGCCUAGGAUGCAUGCAAUGUCUUUUGUUGGUUUCAUUGUUAAUGGUCAAAGAUUUCAUACAAGGGAAGUAGAAAGGUCAACUCAAGAUAGUGGUGUCUUUAUUGAAGCAGAAACUGUAUGUAGAUCUAGUGCGAAGGAUAAUGCUGCAGUUGUUGGAAAUGUAUCCUACUAUGGGGUUAUAAAAGAUAUCAUUUUGCUUGACUAUCGUACAUUUCAAAUGCCCAUAUUUCAUUGUGAUUGGGUUAACACUAUAAAUGGAGUCAAGCAAGAUGAUGGUUUCACAUUGGUGAAUCUCCAUCAAGGACAAAAUCAAUGGCAAAUAGAUCCUUUCAUAUCGGCGUCGCAAGUGAAACAAGUUUUUUACUCUCGAGAAAGUGAUACAUCGAAUUGGUAUGUUGUACUUAAAGCAACACCAAGGGGCUAUCACAACCUUAAUAUGUAUGAUGAGAAUGUAAAUUCAACUAAUAUGCCUAUCGAUGGUUCUAGGCUGGAGCCUAAUGAUGUGGAUGGUAAUGAUCCUCAUGUAAGGAAGGAUUCUCAGGAAAUUGAAAUUGAAAUUUACAAUAUUAUUAUUCAUUUUGAAUUUGGAAUUCAUUGUUUAUUAUUUUUUAUAGUGUGAAUGCAUAUUUGAUUUACUGUAGUAUGAAUAAUGAACAUAUGCUAAUAAUGUUGUUAUAUUUGUAGUAACAGCUGCAUUUUAUCUUUUUCUUUUCCUAAUGAUAUAUCAUGUUCACUUACUCUUAACAUGUUGUAGCUAGCAUAAAGAUUCAUUUUUAUCAUGAACACUUAAUUAGAGAAAAUGACUAUGGGCAACGGUGGAAAGGUAAGUUUUAGAAGUGUUUUGAUAUAAUUCAUUGAUUAGAACAUUAAGAAAUACUUUUUGUUGAACUUAUAAAUGUUUCCAACUUCCUAAAGGAUAAGAGCAAAGGAAAAAGACCAUUCCUAGCAUCAAAUACUGUUGCAAGAGAGAAGCAUGAGAUAAGACGAAGAUUAGAUAGUCAGUCCAACCCACAAAGUUUCAGUGAACCAUCUGAGCCAACAAAACCAGGUCUUUAUUUUAUUUAGUCAUGAAAUAUUUAUUUAAUUAUAUGUUUUUCUCAUGAUUCUCUUUUUGUCUCUUUAACAUAAUAAUAUUUUAUUUAUUGUAUAUUUUUUAAUUUGGUUGUUUUGUAAUAAAUAGUAAUGUUGGAAGUUUGAAAAUUUUAAAACGUUAACAGAGAAGAAGAAAAGAGGCCCAUCAAGGAUGAUUGUGGUGGCAACUAAAAAAAUGAGCGCCUAGUGGUAGAGUUUAAUGAAUAUGACCAACCAAUCAGACCAGCCUCCGUAAUGUUGAGUUCGGCCAUGGGAGUAUUUGUUCGAGAGACGGUAUCAAUACUUCCAGAUUAUUGGACCACUGUUGAUUCAGAAACUAAAGAAGUACUUUGGACAAUUGUUAAGGUAUGAUAGCCUUUUUAUUAAUUUCAUUUAUAAAUAAUAAUACUUUAAAGCAACUAACAAUGUUGUUUAUUUUAAUAUCAUUGCAGCAAAAGUUUAUCAUUGAUGACCAUCAAAAAGAAAACAUACUUGCUCGAAUGAGAAAGUUAUGGACAGAUUACAAAUCCAGAUUGUCAAUUAGUAUAAGGGAAGCAUUUCAAAUGCCUGAUGCAACUAGGAAACUGAAGUUGCUAAAACCUGAAGAUGUGACUGAUGAAGAAUGGAAGAAAUUUGUUGCCCACAGAUUAAGCAAAGAUUGGAAAGUAUGUAUGUCAAUAUAUUAUUUAUAUUUCAUGUUACUACAUUCAAUAUAUCCUAUGUCUUAUAGGAGAGAAGUGAAAAAUUCCAACAAUUGAGAGCAACACAAACAGAGCCUCACACAACGAGUCAAAAAGGCAUGGCACGGACACGGGAUGAAAUGGUUUUAUCUACUUCAAACUUGAUUGUGGAAUAUGUGCUAUCUUUUUAGAUGAGGUUUUUUUCUUAUUAUCUUCUGUUUUAUUGGUAGAUAAAAAAGGAUCCAUCUUCAGGUACUAGAGUAAACGUUUGGCUUAAAUCACGUACACAAAAAAAUGGACAACCAAUUAAUGCGGCUGCUGCUGAAUCAAUGGUACUAAUAAAUACAAUUGCUUGGUUUAUAUAACAAUAAUAUGAUAUGAAAUUCCAUUAAUAUAGUCUUAGUAUCUUGUAAUAUAUGUUCAUUUAGAAAAAGCUUGAAGAAAUUUCUGCAAUGUCAACUGAAGAGGAUCAAACCUCCUUAAAGAAUGAUGGAAUUGCAAAACUAAAAGGUGAUGAGCGUCCUGGCUGUGUCAAAGGUAUGGGAUUUGGUGUAACACCUUCAAAAGUAGCUGCACAGGUCCAAGGCAACCGCAAAGUAAAGAAGCUUGAGAAUGAUUUGAAAGAACUAAGUGAUCGAUUUACUGAAUUUCAAAAUUUUUUCAUGUCUAGGAGAAGAUUUAGUAAGGUAAGUUAUUUAAAUUAAUAAUUAAUUGUACCAUCAUAUUUACUUUUUUCAUAUAAUAUUAUUUUGAUUUUUAUAUAUUAACAGGACCAUGUUAACAUUGAUGACAACUUGGACAAUAAUCUUGCACCAACUCCCCAGGUUUUAUUGGUUUCAUAUGCUUUAUAUAUAAAUUUAUGAUUUUCCAAAAACAAAUUUUUACUUUGUUUUGAUAUAUAAUUUUUUGUUUUCUGACAGUCCUUUGAAGAUAGCACAGCUAUUCCAAAUACUCCAACUAAUGGUGAUAUUUGUAAACUCUUAAAUUGGUUGGGUACUGGGGAAGUGGUUGCAAAAGGAAUGAUAGCUGCAACAAAUCCUGAGGCAUUGGUCCACCAUGUUCAACUUGGACCAGAUUACUACAAAGUAUGGGUUGAUGAAGUGAAUAAGCCAUCAUUAUCUCUGGUUCGACCAACUCAAGAGUUCUUUAACUUAGGUGAUGCAAAAGGGAGCACAAUUGCAUGGCCUAUAAAGUACAUCACCUUGGAUUAACUCAAGUAAAGGUAAUGCUAUAAUUUAAAUUAUAUUUUACCUAUAGAAUGUCAUAUGUAUAUAUAUGUAAAAAAUAAAAGUUGGGAGUUUAUAAACUAGAAUAUAAUAUUUUAAUUCUCAUUGUUGCAGGAAUUUGAAGUUCUUGGGUAAGGAUUAUUUCGCAAUAAUGAAUGUUUUCAUCAUAGAGGACUUGAUCAAGUUGCUUAAUUUAAGUUCAUGUUAAGGAUACUAUUUUUGGUACUCAGUAGUUUCUUUUCAAACAAUGGCUAUAUUUUCCAUCUUUUCUUGACAAUGAGUUCUUUAUAUCAGAUUGUUCAUUACAGAUUUUUUUUUGUUCAUUACAGAUUUUUUUUUCUUUUUUUAAUACAAUUUUGUUUGGACACCAUGUGUACACAAAUUUGAAUACAAUUUUGUUUGGACAAUCGUGUGUAUGUUUACUUUAUUUAUUUAGAAAAUUUGAAUGUAUUAUUUAUAUAAAUGAAAUUAGAAAUCUAUCGAGGAAUUAAAUAGUAAGUUAAUUUAAAUUGCAACAGGUUAAUUAUUGAAUACAAUUUUGUUUGGACAAUCGUGUGUAUGUUUACUUUAUUUAUUUAGAAAAUUUGAAUGUAUUAUUUAUAUAAAUGAAAUUAGGAAUCUAUCGAGGAAUUAAAUAGUAAGUUAAUUUAAAUUGCAACAGGUUAAUUAUAUGGUAAAAUUGAUUUUUUCAAUAGUAAUGACUGUUAUAUAAAUAUUCCACAGCAAAAUUUUAUUAUCACUGUUAAAACUUGUUACAACGGCAUGUACUAACCAUGCUAUCACAUUUUAUCACAGCAGUUUCUUUUUCUCGUUAAAUGUUGAACUAUGUUUAGCGCCAAAAAAAAAAGACGGGGAGUAGUAUUGGUCGUUGAUGAAACAAUCCACAGCUGGUUAUUAUUACUGUGGAUGGUUAAAACAAGAUUGGCGCCAAAGAUAUAACAGGGAGUAAUGAUGGCUAUUGAUGAAAUUAUCAACGGUGGAUACCCUUCACCGUGUAAUACCUUCUAUAGCAUAGUUAAUAGCAUUGAAUGUUGGCCGUUAAAACCCAUAGCUUUCCACGGCUCAUGGAUCAACGGCAUGCAUGUUUUUGCCGUCAUAUCCCAUUGACAGCAUAUUUCCCAUGCCAUGAAAAGCCUAUUCUGUUGUAGUGUAAGUUGCCUGAAGAAAUUCUGAGGGGUAAACCAAGUCUGGAUACUAACUUAACUGCUGGAGUACCCCCGGCUGAAAUUCUGGCCAGAUGUGAGUUUUUGGAGCCAUUAUCUGAAGCUACUUUGUCAGAUUAUGAGUGGCUGGUUGCUAAUCUGCAAAAACCUGCUCCUGUCUUCAUGAAAAGGGUGCAACAUUACUUGUCAUCGUUAAUCCAAGGCUUUCUAGCAAAAGCUACAUUGAAAAGUUAAUGGCACUGCAUGCCAGUGAUUAUAAUGCUGUCAGGGCAAUUGGGUCAGGGCAAUUAGGUCAGAGCAUAACUUCAUUAGGAAACGGGGCUUCAGCUACGUUAAAUAUUACAGGAUGUACUGAGAUGGCUGAAGUUCUUGAGGUUUUACGAGAAACGAAAGAUGAGUGUUUCUUUGAACAAAGUUGUUGCCAAUAUUGCAGAGUUCGAGAAGAAAGAUCACGGAGCGAAUGCCGCCAAUUUCUUCAUCAUUGUAGCCUCCAUAGUUGAAGUUUCCUCAUUUGAAGCUGUUUAUGCAUAAGCUUUUUCCCUGCUCAAGUACAGGAAACUGAAGAAUUAACCAGACAUGCUAUGCUGAAAGAGGGAAGUUUUCUUCCUUGAAUGUGGCCUUGUGAUUUGUAGUGAAGUAAUAGGAUGAUCACUAGCAAGAACCCUAUCAAGGUAGAUUUUAUGAUGUCAACAUAUUAUUAAGCAUUUGUUACUUUAGCACUUCCGCAAUGAUACAUUCAUAGCAUGAAAUUAAUUAUAUGAUCCUGAUUAAUCAAUUAAUUUUCAUGAGUUUUAACCUAGUUAAAACUAAGUACAAUCAUCGUUAACAAAUACUGAAAUUGGGUAAAUAUGAUCUCGACAUUGAAGAAUUUGAAAACCCAACCCACAUAGGAAAUUACCUACUGCAUGGAGAUGGAGAUGGUUAAUUGCGAUUUCAAUGCGCAAGGUGUGCCCCGAAACAAGGGAAAAGAUUAACGUAUCCUCCAAUGAAUGAAAACGGCUGGACUAAUUCUGAUAAUAGUUUAUUAAAUGACAAAUCAUUGUUGUUGGGUGUUGGUUAUAUACGUCAUUACCACUUCAAGUAGAAGAUGAAGGUUGUGCAGGUGAUUUCAGAAAUAAAAUACAUUCUGAGAGAUGAUGGUCUACUAUUGCAUGCCCCCCAGAUUUAAGAAUCUUUUGAUUGGAGCAUUUGGCAACGAUUCGACAAAUUCUAGAUUCAACCUCCUCCACCAAGGGAUUCCAACUGAGUUAUCAAUUAUCGUAGCAGUUCUAUUAACUAAAAUUAGCACAUAUAAUACAAGAAAAAGAACAACAAAUACACAGUGAAGUUGAAUUGAAAAUGAAGUUGAAAGUUGCCGCCCAUAGCUGCUGACUAAUAAUAAAACGAGACAAAUUAAUUAUCCUCAGACCUCAAUGUAUAUGUUAUCAUAACUUUACUUUCCCUAGCCUGUUAUAUUCACUUAACACUUGAUGCCUAAACCAUUAAAACCAAAUGACCAUAGGGGUAUUUAUAGUAUGUAAAAACAAACAAAAACACGUUAAAAAUUUUAAAAAAUUAAUAAUCUCAUUCUAAAUUUACCACUCAACUCUAAAUAAUAGCAAUACUCUAAAACAAUUUACAACCUUUGACGGGAGUAGCUAUAAGGAAAAUCCUUUUCUCAGUAGAUUGGCAUUGCCCGAGAGUUGCAAGGAAAACAGAUGCCUGCAACUGUGCCGGAAGAUUCAACUAGCACUGAAAAAGAUCAUAAUUUAAUUGAUAUGGACAAAUCAUCUUAUGUAAUUGUGAUGUCGGGAAGCAUUAGUGAUCUAUAUGUGAAGUAUUAUUGGUGACAUUGGUGGUUUUAUCUUGUUAAAAUGGGGAUGACUUACGGUUACUAUUUUAUUGUAAACAAUCUUAUUUAAUUAACAUAUAAUUUAAAACCAUUAUAUAAAUCAAUCUAUUAAUUUUCAUGAUAUUUAAUUGUGUUAAAACUAAGUGCAAUCAAUAAAUCUCGUUUCCUUUAAAAAACAGCUACGCUUUGAUUUUAGUGCUUAAUAUUUAUUAAACUUUGAUGCAGGGAAUUUGAAAUCAAACUACAAAUUAUCUAAUUGCGAGUUGCUGUCCAUAACUACUGAUUUGUAGUGAUUAUCUAAGUGACUGAGGUGACAACAAUUUUUUUUUUUAAAUUUUCAAUAGCACAACGUGGAAUUCAAUAAUUAAAUUCUCCUAUUUAAAUUGUUUCCAGUUAAAUUAUUAAUUACUUAAACUCUGUUUUAAGUCUUUAAUUUUAUGUGUUUAUGCAGAAUUGGAUUCUUGAGCAUGUUGGACACGACCAACAAUGAAAUUGACAGUAAACAAAUAAAACGUGUGGACUCCGGUAGCUGCCCUACAAAUUAGGGGUGUGCAGAAUCCAAUCCGAUCCGCUCAAUCUGUCUGAUCCGUGAAAUCCGAUCCAUGGAUUAGUGGAUUGGAUAUAGAUUGAAAAUUUAAAAAUCCACAGUCGAUGGAUUGGAUAUGGAUUUACUUCUGUAAAUCCGUAAAAAAAAAAUUUAUUUAUUUAUUUAGUUAAAAAUAUUAUAAAUUUAAUUAAAAAAUAUUAUAAAUGGGACAUUACAUAGUUACAUAAGCACUAUAACAUAUCUUAGUCAUUACCCAAUAAAAAUAUAAAAAAAUAAUAAUUAAAUAAUCAAAUAUACAAAUAUAACUUGUAAAAAUUGUUAAACAAAAUAAAAGCAAAGUCUCAUGCACUAGCAAAAGCAACCUAACAUAACAUCAAAUUACAACAAUUUGCAAGUCACCAACAAUCUGCAAACAAAAAACCCUAAACUUCCCCGCCAUCACACGCACUAGCAACACUCAAUAUUGGUUCGAUACACUCUCAACAUCGAUUUGAAGGACAUCGGCCGCGUGAUUCCGGCUAGAGCAAGCCAUCUUCUUCCCCAAGUCCAUCGAGCCACUUCACAAUCACUGGUUCCAGCCGAACAAUUGCACUAUCACAACUUUCAAUAUCGCCACCUGUACGGCUUCUCCUGGUUCCCAUCGUUGACGACUCCGUAAUCAUCACUUUUCGACAAGCCCAACAGCCCCGGUGAAGGAUCAGACUGUGUUUGGUUUCAGAAACUUCGCCAUUUCAAUUAAUUGUGUCUUUAUUUGAACAAUUAAUUUCAAUGUUAUAUUAAUGUAUUAUUGUUACUUUAUUUGAACAAUUAAUCUUAGUGUGUUAUAUUUUGAAACUUUGAACAUAUUAUUGUAGUUUUAUUUGAACAAUUAAUCUUGAUGUGUUAUAUUUUAAAACUAUGAAUAUAUUAUUUUAUCUUUAUUUAAACAAUUAAUUUAUUUAAAUUUUAUUCAAUUUUAAAUUUAAUCAGUAGUAAAAUUAUUUUUAUUUCAUUAGUUCAUGGUAGGGAUGUAAAUUUUUUCCGAUGGGAUGGGAUCCCGCAUUUGGGAUAAGAUUGAGACAUAUUUUUGUCCUAUAAAAAAAUUUAGGAACGGGAGUGUGACCUUUUUUUAUCCCACUUGCAUACACGGGACGAGAGUGAGAUUGGCAAAUUCCGUCCCAUCCGUCUCAUUGCCGACUAAGAAUGAGAAUAUUUUCCAUUAGGAUGGGAUCCUGCACUUUUGGGACGCGAUCGGGACAUAUUUUUGUCCCAAAAAUGGUAAAGAUUUUUAGAAUGUGUGGAAAUUGAUCCAUAUUUUACCGAAACAACUUGUCUCGAACAUUAAGAUGACUGAUAUUUUUUUUGAAUAAUAUCAACUUUCAUAUCUUUCUACCCCCAGAACAUGCUCACAUUCAAGUCUAUCUUGCGAAUUUGAAAAAGAAAAUUAAAUCAAAUCAACACCAAAGCAAUGAAAAGUAAAGCUUUUGAAUUUUAACUCCAGCUGGCAAACGUAUUUAGCGUUUUCAAAUUCUUCCCAUUGCAUAUCUUCUUCCUCCAUCAAUGCAAUAUUUGAACAAUUAGGAAAGAGUUUAAGAAUAUAAAAAAUCUCCUAGGUUUAUACGGUGCAACAAAUUUAAAUUCUCAAUUAUAAUAGAUAAUAAUUACACUAAUAAUUAUUUAUUUACUUAUUUUAGUAAUUUCACCUAAGAAUAAUAUUGUCAUUAGAAAAAAAUCUAAUAAGUGGAGUGGUUUUAUACAAAAUCAACUACAUACAGUAAUAAGUGAGUACACACCUUUGAUUAUCGGGACUCUUCAAUGAAUUUCUAGCCCUGUUGACUCCAUCGGCUACGGCUAAAGGUCUUUAAAACAAGCAAAUAGAAUUUUCAAAAAAUGCAAAACUUGUCGAAUUUAAUUUUUGACCAUGUAGAUCAAAAUGUAAAUUAAAGAAAAAGACAAAACAAAAAAGAGGUAAAAUUUGCAAAAUGUGUGAAAGAUGACUCAUGAUUUAUUAGAAUGACCUGCCUCGGAUAUCAAGACGAUUAAUCUUUUUUUAAUUUUUUUUGAAAUAAUAUCAACCCCCAUAUUUUUUCACUCGCGGAACAUGUUCGCAUUCAAGUCUAACUUGCUAAUCUGAAAAAGGAAAUCAAAUCAAAUCAAUACCAAAGCAAUGAAAAGUAAAACUUUUGGAUUCUAACUCCAGCUAGCAAACGUUUGAAUUCUAUAAUUAAAUUCUCCUGUUGAAUUUGUUUUAAGUUAAAUUACUAAUCACUUAAAUUCUGUUUUAAGUUAAAUUACUAAUCACUUAAACUCUGUUUUAAGUCUUUAAUUUUAUGUGUUGACGUGUAUGCGGAAUUGGAUUCUUGAGUGACUUAGACAUGACCACAAUGAAAUUGAUGGUAAACAAACAUUAAAACGUGUGGACUCCGGCAGCUGCGCUGCAACUCAACAAUAAUAAUUGAGUAUGCACCAUUCUCGGGACCCCUUCAAUGAAUUUUCAGCCCCGUUGACUCCACUGGCUAAGGCUAAAAUUUUUAGCCUUGUGGAACAAAAUGUAAAUUAAAAAGACAAAAAAGAAAAGGGGCAAGAUUUAUAAAACGUGUAGAAGGCGGUCCAUGAUUUAUUGGAAUAACCUGCCUCGAAUAUCAUGAUGACUGAUUUAUUUAUUUAUUUUUUUAAAUAAUAUCAAUUCCCAUAUCUUUCCACUCCCGGAAAAUGCUCACAUCAAGUCAAAUUAAAUCAACACCAAAACAAUGAAAAUUGAAAAGUAAAACUUUUGAAUUCUAACUCUAGCUAGCAAACGUAUUCAGUAUUUUUAAUUUCUUCGAAUCGCUUAUCUUCUUCCUCCAUCAAUGCAAUAUCAAGUAUUUUUUUUUUUCGUAAUCUUUUCUUUGCAUUUCUUUUUGCUCCAUCAAUGUAAUUUAACUUCUUUUUUUAUUAGAACGGCUCGGAAAGAGUUGAAGAACAUAAAAAAGCUCUUGGUUUUAUACGGUAAAACAAAUUUAACUUAUAAUUAUUCAACUAACAAUUAUUUAUUUACCUAUUUUAGUAAUUUCACCGAAGAAUAAUAAUGUAAUUACAAAAAAUCUAGUCAGUUUGGUGGUUUUAUACAAAAUCAACUACAUACCCAUAUACAGAUGCAGAUGCAAAUAAUAUUUUUAAAUAAGAAAAUUGUAUAUUGAGAUGAAUAAGAUGUUUCUAUGAUUCUAUCUUAGGAAAGCUUGGUGGUGGUAACGACAUGAAGUUGCGAGUUGCUGCACACAGUUGCUAGUAAUAUAAUAAAACAAGAUAAAUUAAUUAAACUCAGGCCUUUACGUAUAUGUUAUCUUAACUUUACUUACCCUUGUUUGAUGAUUUUCAUUCUUGGAGCUAAGGGCGCAUGUAAUAUUUGUAAUUGUAUUAAGUAUAUAUAAAUGUGAUUUUCAAAAUCAGGUUUUAAAAAGUUACUUCUUCCCUAUUUUUCAAAAUCUGUAGGAUAGGCUGAUUUUUUCAAAAGUAAUUUUUAAAAUUUUUUACCAAACACUAAAACCAACUUUUAACUUUUCAAAAUCACUUUCGAACUUUCAAAAAGCAAUCUCAAACGAAUCAUUACUCUUGUUGUCUUGCUAAUAGUUUCAAUCUAAUUUUAGUUCUACUGUUACCACUACUCAAGGUAAGCGAAAGUUCUAGAUGUGGCAAAAUCAAUAAUUAAAUUCAUAAAACGUAAACUAAUUUUCCUGACCAAAUAGAGUUGCGCAAUUUCAUCAAUUUGGAAGAAUUGACAUUGAUGGACUAGCCUUUCUCUCCAUAUAACUAUAAUCCUUUUAGAAAUCUAUUUUUUUAUUAAUUAUUUUCUUUUAAGUUAAUUUCAAUUUCGAAAAGAGAUAUUUUAAGUUGUAUAUACUCUACCGGGAGUUUCUUCAGAACAAUUUCCUUAUUCCAAGAAUAACGAAAAUGUGGUAAAUUAGAAUUAAUAUAGUAUACAGGUGCUGAUUAUAUAUCAUGAUUGGAUGGAUUAUGCGAAAAAACCGGAGAAUUUUAAUUUAUUUUUUGUUGAAUGUUAAUUUUUCAGGUUAUCUUGAUUUCAAUUUGGAAUAGUAAUUUGGUCAUAGAUUUCAGGCACAGGCUAUCAUAGUCUAGACUUAAUGAGUUAAUGGUACCAUUAUUCUUGAUGAAGGCAAUGACUCCCAAUCCUCUUAUAAAAAAUAUUUUCAACUAUUUUGACGACAAACCUCUCUUACAGUAAUACAGUUAAUAGUCUCUAAAAAUAGAUAGAUUUAUUGUUGUCAUGACAAAAUUAUUUAUCGUAAUGAAAUAUAAUUAAUGCGUCAAAAUUAUCAGGUAUAUAUUCUAUUUUACUUUUUCAAUACAGCACUUUUUUUUUUAUAUAUAAAAUAAUCGGCUAUGCCCCUGAGGCAUUUUCUAGGAAUAGCUUCUGGCUUCAGCUUACCUCUGUUUCUCUUGUAAUUUUCUUUUUCAAUUUUUUUAACGAAGUUAAUUAAUAAAAGAAGAAGGGCAGGUUUUUCCAAGUCACGCAUUAUUUGACCACCGUCAAUCAAGAAACCAACCAAGUUAAUUUCUCUCCAUGAUUUCCAAAAGCUAGAAAAUUUUGUUAUUUUUAUUUUAUUUUAUUUUUAUCACAAGGAAGUUGUAUUCAAUUUAGACAAUACAAUAGUACAGCAGCAAAACAUCCAAGAUCUUAUUACAGCUUCGAAGUAAAAUAUUGCAGUACACAACAGACAAUCCUGAUGAUAUUCAUAGUAAAUUCACGAAGUGAACAGGCCACUGAUAUCUUAAGCAGCAGCCACAGCUUCGGUAGGCUUCGAAUCUGCUGGUUUUUCCUCUUCCCAGAAGGCAGUCUUCUUCCCGGCCUUAGAAACAGUCUGGAGGACAGCGUCGGGCUGUACGUUGUCCUUCACAGUCACCUUUUGCUCCUUCAAAUCAAUGUCAAAUGUUUCCACACCAUCCAUUUUCCCCAACACUCUCUUCACUGCUCCAUAGCAGCCCUCGCAUGACAUGUCAACCUUAAGGACAACGGUCUGAGACAUAGCAGGACUUCAAAUAAAAAAAAAGAACGACAAAAAUUGAUUUUUUUUUUUUUUGGGCUUUUGUUUUCGUUUUUGUUUUUGAUGCUAUUAUCGGUAACGAUUUUGCUUUAUAUAGAGGAAAAAAUGGGCGACGGGCUCUAACGAUAAAUCAAUUUUGUUUGUGGAAAUAUAAAUCAAUUUCACCUGCUUUUUAAAGUACAAAUACAGAAAUGGAAUUUUCACAAAAUACCAAACAUGUAGAAUUUAAGUUUUGGCCGUGUAGACCAAAAUGCAAAUGAAAGAAAAAAGGAAAAAAGGACUUAAAAGACUUCUAAAACAUGUGGAAGUUUUUAGACUUUUUUUUAAUGGUGGGUUUUCCAAAGGGAAAAAAACAUAACAACACUUCUAAGACUUAUUUUGAUGAUCACAUGUAUACUCUUUAAUUUUAUAAAUGGAUAUAUAAACACUUUUUUUUACAAAUAUCAAAGAUUUCAAAACUUUCCAGUUAAGUCCAAAUUACUCAAAACCACAAGGUACUUUAUCUUAUAAAAAUAAAACUUCUUUGUUUAUAAAAAAGUAAUUAAUAAAAUUAAUCUUUUGAGCUUCUCAAAUGCUAAAUCAUGCAUCAAUUAAAUCAUACCGGCUUUACAAGAAUUUUUCGCAAUAAUUUAUCUGUUGAGUUCUAAGCUUUAUUCUUGAUUUUGCCAUUGUCCGUUGAGUGUCUUCAACUUGAUUUCACUUGAUUUACUUGCAUAAAUAUUAUCCUUCAAAAACUAGUGAAAAUUGUGAAAUACAAUAUUUAAAUCGCUUAAUACACAUGUUUGUUAUCAUCAAAAUUACAUUAUAUGUAGCCCUUUAGGCUAACAGAUAGCAUACGUAUGAUGACUUCUGGUGUAGUAUGAGCCUCAUGUUGCAUCAAAGCAAUGACUCGAGCCUGAGUACGAGGUCAACCAGGUUGUCCUAUUUGACCUGGAGCAGUGGCCUGGCUCCCAGAUGUAGAACCCCAUGUCUGCAUACCCCUCUGACCCUGAGUUGGUCUAGAGUGAAAUUGAUAUUGUGGGGUUGUCCCUCGAGCAUAACUAUCACCUUGAGAAUAAGUGGGGCAGAAUCUCCUAAUAUGUCUAGGUUGUCCACAUAAAUAACACACCUUGUCUCCAACACAGCACUGACCCUGAUGGUUCCUGCCACACGAAGGGCAAAACGUCCGUUGUAUACUCCUAGAACGAUCACCAUGGUGUCCUCCUCUAUUCCUGUCCUACUACCCCUGAGCCCUAACAUUACUCCCCACUGAUGGCUGUACCGAACUGUGACUAACAACCUGUCUUUGAUCUCUCCUGAAACCUGCACUCUGACUCUUUUGGACGCUAGCGGAGUAAUUUGUAUGGGAGCCUCUCUUCGACGGCCUAUUACUCGAGCCACACUCUGUACAACUCUGGCUACGUUUUUGUUUCAGUGAAUGAACUCUAUGUCCCUCUGAAAUACUAUGUUCUACUCUCCAGGCUGCCUCAACUACCUCUCAAAACUCAGUAUGUCGUGAUGCAUCCACGGUAGUGCGAAUCUCAUAUCGGAGACCCUCCUCAAACCGUCUGCAUCUCUCUCUCUCUUCACCAACUACAUAUGUAGCAAAUCUAGAGAGGUCUAAAAAUUUCCUCUCAUACUCCUCAACUGUCAUGGAUCCUUGAACCAACCGAAGGAAUUCACUUCACUUAAAAUCCUGAUACACAAUUGGAAAAUAAUGAUCGUAGAAUUCCUUACGAAAAAUAGCCCAUGUAAGUGUGGCAUGUCCUUGAUAUUUACGUUCCACUGUCUACCACCAAUGAUAAGCCCUAUCCUCGAGUAGAAAAGUGGCAAAGGAAAGUCUAUCCUCUUCUGAGCAUCUCAUCACAUCAAAAAUACGUUCUAACUUUACAAGCCACGAUUCUGCCAUAGGUGGACCUUCAGAACCAUUAAAACUCUUUGCCCCUAAGCUUCGUACAUGCUCAAUAGUGUUUACAUGACCGGUAUGCGGAUGAGUCUAAUUCUGUACCACUGUAGUUACAAUCUGAGCUAGUCUAUCAAUUGACUGCUCAAUGUUUGAACCAUUUCUUGGUGCCUGUUGUGCAACCUCGUGCGUUGAAACUCAACUAUUCCCUCAUUACGGGAUCAUUUCCCCCCGCAAGUACAUCUCCUGAAGUCAACCCAGCUACUAGCCUAGUACACUGCUACGACAAAUCAUGAUGGUGCCUAUAAAAUAUCAAUUCCGACUUUAAUAAUAAUAAAACUUAUUAUAAUUAUGACAGUAUAGUCUAUAGAAUCUAAAACCAUGCUCUGAUACCAACUUGGAACGACCCGCCUCGAAUCUUUAGGACAAGUCUAUCUAAUCUCGUCUAAACAAAUUAAUAACAAUUUUAAUGUCUAAGAAUUCUACCACAAUUGCACCAGAGUCUCCCAUAUAAUUAUGAAAUUCCCAAACCUGCAAUUUAUAAAAUUAACACUCCAAAAAAUGAUAUAAUAUUCAAUCAACCACCACAACCAACUUCCUUAAUCAAAUACCAGUAUCCUUCAAACAUAUCAUGUCAAGCAUACAAUAAUUUACCCUUAAUCACAAAAGUAAAAAUUUAAACAAUUCAAAAUAUCCCAACAAAACAUCUAUGAUUUCUAACAACAUCACGUGUCCAUAAUUUCAAAUCUAACUAUCGUUACUGGGUCGAUUGAUGUACCUGCAAAUCUCCUAUGAGAGGGGAGAGGAAUAUAAUAAAAAUAGAGUGAGUAUAAAACUCAGUGAGCUCAGUGAGUGGAUAGUAGUUUUUGAAAAACAUAUAUUUAUUUAAAAUGAUUUAAUCUUUCCCAAAUCAAUUUCAUCAAAAUAUCAUAAGAACUUACAUAAACUUAUUUAAUUCACAUCAUACACUGAAAUAACAAUAUCACAUAAAUCUGCAUAAAAUCAAUGAAAUCAUAACACGUGUAAUAUCAAAUACUGAAUACCAAAAACUAUCACCUAAUAAAUACCCAAGGGAAUAAUCUCAUCAUAUCCGGACCUCGACAGACGGGCAAUUAGGGAACUAUUAUGCCUCGGAGCUACAACGAAUAGAUGGGAAAAUGUCAUCUCAUAUCUCAUAUAUCUCAUCAUAUCUAUGCAUCCAUAAUCUGGUCCCCAAAGGAUAAGGCGCCCAAGCACACGGCCCAAAGCCUCUGUGUGCACUCAGACGGGCCGAUGAUUUUGCAAACAACCUUUUAUACACAUGUUCGUAAACAUAUAAUUACAUUUGAAAUCUCCUUUCCUUUUUAUUUAACAUAUCUCAAAUCCACUCAAUUCUAUUAUCAUACAUUUACUCAAAAACGAUAACAAAAUCAUUAAUCAAACUCAUUCUUAAUAAUAAUAAAUAUCAGCACGUAAAUGAAAAUCCAUUUUAUAGAAAAUUAUUAAAUCGAAGCAUCAAAUACUUAUUAUCAAAACAUGUUGUACUGUAUCGUAAAAUCAGAAUAUACUAUGAAAAUAUGUUUUGUAUAUUCCACUCACAGUGACAAUAUCCAGCUCGGUAUCAACAACGUCCGCGGGUUGAUUCUCGUUCGCAGGUCCUCCUAAUCAAGUAAACGACAAAAUCAUUUUCCGUAAACAUGAAAUACAACUAAUUUCAGACAAUAAAUCUCGAAACAAAUAUCUAUCCGCAUAAAUUAUUCUCGUAUGCAUAAAAUUACUAAAAUACCCCUACAUGCCAAAAUUACCAAAAUGCCCCCGACGUCAAUAUUUACUAAAUUCUCCACAAAAUCCUAAAUUACCAAGCUACCCUUAAUUCGGAUCACAAGAAUAACCACAAUGUCAAAAAAAUACAAAAUUACCCUUGAAGUGUAAAAUUACCAAAAUACCCUUAACAAUGUAAAUUACUGAAUUACCCCAAAAUCUCAAAUUGCCUAACUGUCCUAUUCGGAAAUUACAAAAUUAUCCACCAAUUUUAGAAAUUACAAACUUAUCCUGAAGUUUGUGAAAUUAUCGAAUUGCCCUUGCCGGUCAAUUUGAUAGUUUUGACCACCCUAAGUCCAAUGGUGGUGGCCGUGAGUUCUCACGCAUGAUGACGGCGGUGGAUCGAGCUUCCCAAUAUGUGAGCUUUCCAAUGGUCGAUCGGUGGAAUUCUGACUGUUUCAGGAGGCGAGGUUGGUCGGAAAAUGAUAAGGGUGAGCUGAGGAUUAAGGUCAGGCGGUGGCAUCACCCAAAACCGGCGGAGUUAACAACGACGAAAAUGGGUUGAGCAGCAAGUUUGCUGAGCUUGAUCGCCGGUGUUCUCACCAUUUUCUAACAGCGAGGAAGGUAGGGGUAUGACCGGCAUCUCACGAGCUUUCUAUUGGUACCUUGCUCGGCUGGUGAGGUAGUCGGAAAUGGAAGUUAUGACCUGGUCAAGGUCGCGGGUUGCGGGUUGGAUUCGAGUCAAAACCGGGUCUAUCUCUCUCUCUCUCGCGCCCCCUCCUCUCUUUCCUUUUUUGGAAACCGGCUCCCUUAUUUUCAUUUAUAGAAACUAGCUUCUUUUUUUUUUCUUUUUUUUAACUUACUUCCAAUUAAGCCAAUGUCGGACCCGUGUUGAAAUAAAAUCCGACCACACAGCCAUUGAAUCGUGUUUGAAAUGUCUCAAUUUUAUGUCGUGCAAAUAUAAAAUAAUCCAAACACGAUUUAUUUAAUAAAUGCGUAACAUUUAACAGUUUCCACUCAAUGUCGGAUAAUCAUAUUGUAUCAACUUCACCGUAAUAAUUUGGAACAAAUCCAACAAAUUUAAAAUUAAUGUCGAAGGGGGAAAAAUUAAAUAAUACACUUAAUUAGGAAAAUUGAAGUGGAUAUGUUACAAAAUGUACUACAAAUAUCGAAAAAAUAUAAAAUUUUACAAAUUAGAUUAUUUGCCAUUUGGUUUAUUAUUUUGCAGAUUUGAGUAGGUUGAAGUCUCUUGGUUUAAGUGGUAUCAAGGUCAAUCAUAGCAGCUUGUUUUCUCUUUCUGCAUUAAGAGAAUUAGAUCUAAGUGAUACGAGAUUCAAAGGAAAGAGUUGCAGAAGAUAACCAAAUAAGUCAACUAUAAGCUAACUGGGUGUAUAUAUAGUUAGAUGUGCUAUAAAUAAAUAGCAUAGAGCCCUCUAGUUGGUUACAGAGACAGAAAGGGUGUGUGUAUGUUUUUUAAUUAGAAUGGGUGGUUCAAAAUAAAAAAUGGUGAUAAUGUUUGUUAUGUUAUUAAUAAUAUUUGAAAGUGGGUGGAGUAAGGGAUGUUUGGAUCAUGAGAGAUUUGCUCUUUUGCGACUUUGACAUUUCUUUAAUGAUCCUUAUAGCCUUCACGAUUGGGUAGAUGAUGAGGGAGCUACUGAUUGUUGUCAGUAGGAAAGGGUUCUGUGCAGCAACACCACAAGCCGAGUGAGACAAACUUGACCUUUCUUUUAUUAAGUAUUCAAGAGAGUAUUGGUAUCUGAAUGCUUCUUUGUUUACUCAUUUUAACAUCUUGAGGCACUUGAUUUAAGUGCCAACAACAUGGCCGGCUUUGUUAAUAAUGAAGGUGCUUUGUUUAAUUUAUUUUACUUUCUCCUUUCUAAUUUAAGUCGAAUCUCAAGACUAAGCAACUAUAUGCAUAUCCAUCCAGUUGACAAUUUUGACAUUUUUUUUAAAUGAUUAAUUUUGAGAUUACACCAACAUAAAUGAUAAGUUUUGAUUUUAAUUGCAAGACCAAAGAGGCUAUCAAGAUUGAACAACUGAAGGUUCUUGAUUUAAGUGGAAACUUGUUCAACAAUAGCAUCUUGUCAUCUCAAGCCAGUCUUUCAUCAUUAAGAUCUUCACUGUUAUAUGAGAAUAGACUGGAAGGAAGUAUUGAUGUUAAAGGUACAUAAUUAAAACUUCAUCUCUUCUCCCAACUCUUUCAUGAACUUGCUAAAAUAAGAUUCAACGAAAUUUUAUAUUUUAAUUGUUCUGAAGGAAUCAGAUACUAAUUGGCAGCUCGAAUAAACAUACUUUUAUUUACUCCGUCAAUCAAUUAAUUAAAUACCAUUUGUUUUUAGUCUUAAGUUUUGGCAUGUUUGCAGAAUUUGAUUCCUUGAGCAACUUAGAGGAGUUGGACAUGAGCUAUAAUGAAAUAGACAAUUUCGAGGUUCCUCAAGGUAAACAAUUAAAAUAUCAUUCAAUUGCAUUAAUUUAAUUUGUUUGAUUAGGGAAGGCCCAAAAGGUACAAAAAAAAAAAAAAUAAAUAAAGAAACAGAGAAUUUAUAUUAUUUAAAAAAAAACGUAAUACUAUUAUUUCAAAAAUAGAAUGAAAUAAAGAUUCGACUCUAGUUCUUUAAUCUUUAGAGCAAGCAAAAAACGAUGUUGCUCUUUUCCUAAAGCACAAAAUAUGAAAUGACUCCUAAUUGAAUUAAUGAUUUAUUUCAUUUAGCUCUAAAUUUAGACAAUAAAUUUUUUUUUUUUUUCAAUCCUAUCCUUAUUAUUAUUAUUGACCGGAUUGCAGUGGUUUGAGGAAGUUGAAUUAUCUUCAUCUAUUGAGAGUUGGAAUUUGAGAUGGAAAUAAGUUGUUACAGUCAAUGGGAUCAUUCCCAUCCCUCAACACUCUUGACCUUUAGUAUAAUAAUUUUACGGAAACAGUGACAACUACUACUCAAGGUAAGUAAAAGGUACAGAUGUGGCCAAAUUUAUAAUUAAUUAAUUAAUUUUUUUUAUUAAUAAAGAGAAAUUCGUUGCUCCUUCCUUCUAAACAGAGUUGCACAAUUUCACCAACUUAUAAUAUUUGAGAUUAGAAUAUUUCUUUCUCUAUAUAAGCCUUCUGCAAAGCAUUGCAUCAUUCACUUUGUUAAAAAAUUUGUCGAUGUAUUAUUGUGAAGUCAAUGGUGUCAUACGCGGUCCAAGUAAAAGAAAAGCGUUGAUUGUGAACUCAAUGUCGUCCUACGCAUUCAACAUUUUUAUUUAUAUAUUUUAUUGUUUAAUGUUUCUACUAGUUUUUCCCUAUUUCAAGAGUUUGAAAGAGUUGUACAUAGAUGACGCAUGCAUUGCACUCAACACCAGCUUUCUUCAAAUCAUCGGUGAAUUGAUGUCUUCUCUUUAGUACUUAUCACUGUCAAAUUCUAGUAUUAGCAAUAACAACAGGACUCUUGAUCAAGGUUAAUGAGAUGCUCCCACCCUCCCCUCUUAAUGUAUAAUAUUAAUUUCUAAUUAAAUAUAUAAUUACACAAACUAAUCUCUUAUAAAAGAACAAUAUUCAUUUAUUAACUUCUAUAUUGUACUGAUGGAUGAAUUAAUAAAUUUUCAGGCCUUUGCCCAUUGGUGCAUCUCUAAGAGUUGCACAUGGCUAAUAAUGAUUUAAGAGAUAGCUUGCCUUGGUGCUUGGCAAAUAUGACAUCCCUCCGAAUAUCAGAUGUUUCUUCCAAUCAACUUACUGGAAGCAUCUCCUCAUCUCCUCUCGUUCAUUUGACAUCCAUUGAAGAUCUAAUACUUUCAGACAAUCACUUCUAGAUCCCAAUUUCACUUGAAACACUUUUCAAUCACUCAAGACUCAAGAUUUUCGAAGCUGAAAACAAUGAAAUAAAUGUAGAAAUAACUGAGUCAAAUUCUUUGACGAUCCCAAACUUCCAAUUACAAUCUCUUUUAUUGUCUUCUGGUUAUAGAGAUGGUAUCACAUUCCCUAAAUUCCUUUACAAUCAAUAUGACCUAGAGUAUGUUCGUCUCUAACACAUAAAGAUGAAUGGAGAAUUUCCAACUUGGUUGUUGGAAAACAACACAAAAUUGAGACAACUUUCUCUUGUCAAUGAUUCUCUGGCACGACCUUUCCGAUUGCCAAUUCAUUCACACAGGCAGUUAAGACUGUUGGAUGUCUCCAAGAACAACUUCUAAGGCCACAUUCCACUAGAAAUUAGAGAUAUUUUAUCAAGGUUAACAGUCUUCAACAUUUCCAUGAAUGCUUUGGACAGUAGCAUUCCCUUUUCAUUUGGUAAUAUGAACUUCCUCCAAAUUCUGGACUUAUCCAACAAUUAAUUGACUGGUGAAAUCCCCGAGCACUUGGCCAUGGGUUGCGUUAGCUUGUAUUCUCUUGCGUUGUCAAACAACAACCUAUAAGGUCAUAUGUUCUCUAGAAAUUUUAACUUGACGAACUUGAGAUGUUUACAAUUGGAGGGCAAUCACUUCGUAGGAGAGAUCCCACAAAGUUUGUCCAAAUGCUCCUUAUUAGAAGGAUCGUUUCUUAGUAAUAACAGUCUCUCAGGUAAGAUUCCAUGAUGGUUGGGUAAUCUCAUGGUGUUACGUCAUAUUAUAAUGCCCAAAAACCAUCUUGAAGGUCCUAUUCCAUUAGAGUUUUGUUAGCUUCAUUUCCUUCAAAUUUUGGAUAUUUCAGACAACAACAUAUCUGGGAAUUUCCUUCAAAUUUUAGAUAUUUCAGACAACAACAUAUCUGGGAGUUUACCAUUUUACUGCCAUUUUAUCUGCAUCGAACAAGUUCACUUGUUGAAGAAUAUGUUACACGGAUAAUUAAAGGAAGGUACAUUCUUUAAUUGCCCUUCCCUUAUGAUAUUAGAUCUUAGCUAUAACCGCUUGGAUGACAACAUUCCUGAUAAGGUUGAUGGGCUUUCUCAGUUAAGCCACCUCAUCUUGGCUCACAAUAAUCUUGAAGGUGAAGUGCCAGUUUAAUUGUGCAAAUUGAACCAACUACAAUUAUUAGAUAUUUCUGAUAAUAAUCUUCACGGUCCUAUUCCCUCUUGGUUUGAUAACACAACACUUCAUGAAAGGUACAACAAUGGUUCUAGUCUUCAGCCAUUUGAAACAUCUUUUGUCGUAUUCGGAGGCAUUGACGUAUAUCCAAAAAAACCAAUCCUUGAAAAUUUUGACUUCACAACAAAGAACAUUACCUGCACUUACCAAGGAAGAGUGUUUGGCCUCCUAUCAGAACUUGAUCUUUCUUGUAAUAAGCUAAUCGGUCAUAUUCCUCCUCAAAUUGGAAAUUUGACCAAGAUUCAAACAUUUAAUCUAUCACACAACAACUUGACAGGACCAAUCCCAUCAACUUUUUCAAACUUGAGGAAUAACGAAAGUUUGGAUCUUUCCUAUAAAAAAUGAAGUUGGAAAAUCCCUUAUCAACUUGUGGCGUUAAAUUCAUUGGCUGCACAAUUUGCAACCUUCAAUGAGAGUAGCUGUGAGGGAAAUCCAUUUCUUUGUGGACUGCCAUUGCUCAUUUGCAUAUCACCAGCAACUAUGCCAGAGGCUUCAGCUAGCAAUGAAAGAGAUAAUAAUUUAAUUGACAUGGACAAUUUGUUUGUCACUUUUACAACAUCAUACAUAAUUGUGAUAUUCAGAAUUGUUGUUGUUCUAUAUGUGAAUCCUCGUUGGCGACAUAGAUAGUUUUAUCUUGUUGAAAUGUGGACAACUUGUUACUGUUUUGUUAUAGACAAUCUUAUUCCAGCAAGAUUUUGUCAUUGAAAUUAAUAAGAAGUUUAACUAAGAUUCUUUUAAGUACUAAUCAGGUUUGCUUAAGAAAUAUUUUUUUUUUUGAAAUUAUAGUAGAGUUGAGCAUUAUAUAGCUUCCAACUCCCAAGCACUUCGUAUUUGUCUCUACACUUAGAAAGCUAAGCAAUAUGUUUUGUAUAUAGCUUUCCUAUGUUGUGCAACAUACUUAAAUGAGAGCACCAUCUCCAAUGUUAAAAGUAGCCAUUUUAUAACAUUCAAUUAGAAAAUAUAUUCAAAAUAGUUUUAUAAUCAUGCAUAAGAAGCCCAGAUGCACUUGCUAGCUUAUUUUGUUGGAAAAUUUUUCAAAAUAAAUGGUGUCUUUUUGUAAAGACAUGUCUAAACAAAUGGUGUCUUAUUGUAAAGAGAUGUCCAAUUAAUUGUAUCUUAUAAAAAAAGUAUCCUUUCACUUAAGGAUAUAAAAUUUCAUGGUGACAUUUCAUUUGAAAUGAUGAUGGUUUAAUUUGGACUAUUGAUUAAAAUUAAAUCUUAAUCCAAUGGCCAUGAAUGAAAGGGUAUCAUGAAAAAUGACAACCCAAAUGGAAGGGCACAAGUAUGUCUAUAAAUAGAGGCCAUGUUUAGGCCAUUUAGACAUGCAAAUAAUAAUCCUACACCACUCUUUUCUUAGCUCCUUUCCAAAAAUGAACUUCAUCAUAUAACACCUAUUUUUUGUGCAUUAAAUAUCCAAUAUAUAUUGUUUUCUGCAGGAACAAUAUAUUGUUUUUUGGCAAGCUUGCAACAUUUAAGAGUAUUCUAGUUUGCUUUCAUCAAUGCACAGCGCAAACAAACAAAUAACUACUUCAUUGUUUCCUGGAGACGUAUUUGCUUAAUCCAUGUGCAUCACUUAAUUGGUGGGGGCAAAUAACGUAUGAAGGAAAGCGACAUUUGUAAUGUGCCUGGAAGUACACAUUAAUUUUCUGCAAUUUACCUAUAACUAUUAUUUUCUUUCUACAUACAGAGUUGUAAACACAUUACUUUACACAAUAAAGUUCCACAAUUAUUACUAUGAUUCUCAAUAUUUGUCAUUCUCCACCAACAUAUUUUACUCUGAACAAGAACAAUUAUGGCAUUAUCAUCAUCUUCUUCACUUGCAGCAUUAACACCAAAUUCAAGAUAGACUCAGACAUUUCAUCAAGAAAGGCAUACGUCUAAUGAAGUUGAAGCUUGAUAAAAAAUUCAAUGGAAGGUCAAUGCCUCGCCACAACAAAGGACCUAACAAUAUCCUUCUAGCAAAGAUGAAGCAAUAUUCCUAAAGCUAAAGCUCUCAAAUUCACCACACCAGAAUUUCAUAUCUCUUCAUCAAUUUUAAAAACUAAAGAUAAUUAGGAUUUAACAUUAGGUUGUUAUAUAUUAGUUUCACAAUUUACAAGUCAACAAAGAUAUAGAUUAUGCCAAUGAAUUCAAAUCAUGCUGGAUGUUACUAAAAAUUUACAAAAAUUUACAAGUCAAUCCCACAUAUUUCAUAAUUUUAUGAUUGGAAAGUUUCAUUAGUUUAAAUUUUUAUUACCUUCAAGUGGAAGAUAAAGAUGCACUUUAUGCAAGUGAUUCAGAUUAUAUCAUACACUCUCUAAAUGCAACUAGAAAUUAACAAGUUGAUGCCCAUAGAUUUCAUAACUUUAUGAUUGGAAAGUUUCAAAAAGUUUGAAACUUGAGAAAUUCUGAAUUUAACCUCCACGAAGCUAUUUUGAUUAAUUUGACUUACUUUGUGAUCAAACUAGAAAUACAACAUACAAUUAAAGGUAGAAGUAAACUAAAACUAGGAAGAAAUACUGGUAAAAAUUUGUUGUUAAACAUAAUAUGUCGUGUAGUUUUGUCCUGAGGCAAUUCAGAAACAGAAUUGUUACUACAUAUAUUCUCCUCAACUUUGAGAGAAAUACAUAUAUUAAAAUGCAUACGAUCACACAUAUUACUUGGAACUUAGCAGGAUUUCAUUAAGAGAAUCAAUCAAGCCACUUAUCUUAUCAAUUGCGAAAGCUGUUUUGUUAACUAAGAUGGCAAUAUAAUACAAUAAAAAGAACAUAUAGGUACUUGGCAAGAGUUUAUUGAGAAGUUAUCACAUUCAGAUGAUGAGUUUGCUUUCGAUAUCUUACUAGCUGGAGCUUUCUCCUGUCUUUCUACAUAAGCUAAGGGAAACCAACCAGCUUCACCCUUGCAUUCACCUUUCAACCAUCCGGCAGGAGCCAACUUGAGAAGUUAUAGCUGAAAGGGUAAAUUCAAAGGAAGUGGACCAUUCAAAGACUUAAGGUGAAAUGAUUGAAGCAAAACAUGCUAAUUCUUUUAUUUGGAAGGAGUGAAUUAGUUUUUGAUUACUGAAAUAAUUUCAUUAACCUUGGAAGCAUAACAAUACAUGAAUUCACAUGAAAUUUUAAAAGGAAAAUAUAAGAUUACAGCUCCCUCUGUUUGCUUUUAAGAUCAGCGAGAGAGUAUUUUGUAGGUAAAAGUAGUUUGCAUAAGCCAUAAAUUUGAUUUUUAGCAUUUCAGAAAGAGUUAAAUCCUUCAUAAUCAUCAAAAUAUCCAAAUUCAUUUUGCCCUUUUAAACAGAGGAUAUAACAAUUUCACUAGGAUUUAUUAUCAAAGCAGGCAAAGCACAACAAAGCUUUUUUAAAAAUAAAUAUCCCCUAUAAACAGUACAAGCAUAUAAAGUAUCCACAAAAUUACUUCAUUCUACAAAGAAUUAUAAAUUGAAAUCACAACAAAGCUAAAAGCCUAUAAAAAGUACACGCAUAUAAAGUAUCCAUAAAAUUACUUCAUUCUACAAAGGAUUAUAAAUUAUUCUCUCACUUGUACUCCCUCUCAAUUCCAUGAGGAAUCUGUUUAUCUUAUAGAAAUUGGUUUAGUCAGCAACAAGCACUAUAAUCCUUGAAAUAGUUUUUUUAAUGCAAUUUUCAAUCAUUUUCGAAAAUACAAUUAAAUUGGAGCCAAGAUUAGGUUUAGCUUUCACAUAAAAUAACCAAGCAAACAUAAAAAAUUCACAGUUCAAUUUAUAUAUUUUUUUAAAAAUUAUAGUGGUUUAUUUUAGUGUCAAAUGUAAAUUGACCUUGUUUUAGAUUUUUAGAUACGAUUUAGUAAUAUAAAGUAUUUUUUCUAUUUUAAAACACCGAUAAGGAAAAUUUUUAAAUAAUCCAGUCUUAAAAACAUUUUACUAUGAUUUGUUUAUUAUUUUGUAAUUUUUGAAAUUGAUUUUGAUUGUGAACCAAAUCCUGCCUUAACAUUGGCUUGUGGGCCCCGGCUCUAAGAAGAAGAAAACGCAGUGAGGUGAGGGCGCACGAAGACGAAAAGGAGAGAGGAAAAGAUGGAGGUUUUGAAACUACCAAUCCCAGCAGCGCAGAGAGGGAAACUAAUAUCAGCAGGUUACAUUUCGGUCUCUUCUUCUGAUAUUUCUCGCAGUAAUUUUUUUUUUUAUAAUUUCGUUUUCAAUUAUAUGGUACUAUAACGAAUUUCACAUACCAAGUGUUUGUUGCAAUUGCUACACGAAUUACAUUCAUAUAACAUAUAUAUAAUUCACUUGCUGCUUCGCUUAAAUCAGAUUUAAAAAUUUCGGAGACCGAAGCUGUUGAAAUUCUAAAGGUUGCAUCAAAGAGCUGGUGUCAAUCUAUUCUGACUUGUAAACCAUUUUCUCUUUAAUUCUCCUUUUUCUUUUUACCAAUAACGCCGUCUUUAAAUGACACUAAUUUGUAUCUGGAUGAAUAUUCCAGCAUAUUAGUUAAUAGCUAUGAGAUUUUUUGUCGUUUGUGGCAUACAGGUACCAGACUGCCUGGGACAUGCUUCAGGAGGAACAAGAGUCAUCAAGAACAGAGUACGGCUUGUGAGUAGAAAAUUUUUUGGUUUUGGCCUGGAACAAAAAGAAAUUAAAUUGAUGGAGAAUCUACUACUUUCUCAUUAAGAAAGGCAUACGGAGCAUACCAUGGCACCACACAACACAAGAAGUCUCCGUUCUUUGCUUUUCAAACUCUGAAGGGGGCAAUAUUCCCUAAUUUUCCCUUGAAAAUUCCGAUUACGGCAUUAUUCAUCGCUUGAUUCAAUCAAAGUAGUGACAAAGCUUGGAAAAAUAUGAGUCCUAAGUAAUUACCAAGCAAGGUCCCUGAGGGCAACAUUGUCCUAGGCAUUAUAGACAUACAUCGUGUGGCACAUGGAGCACACUGAAUUCCACACUAUAACACAAACCCUGAAAGAUAAGGAAUAACUCAAAUGAUACAAAGACAAGAAGAAGAUAAAAUGAUACAGAACAAAGAAUUUCAAAGACACAGCAACAUACCAUACACAGAAGCCACUUCAUCUACUCGUUGAUUGCAGCCUUAAACUUGCAAAUAGUUACUGUACGCUAGCACUCUGAGAAAUUAAAAUGAUGCAAAAUCCUGAUUCCCUUUUGUCUUCCAUUUACCGUCAAACAAUCUAUUAAUAUAAUAAAAAAAUGUUUAGAUAUCCUGCUAUUAAUAUAAAAAAAAUGUCUUAAUAUGUCUUAAUAAAGUCACAAAUAACCAUUCAUAUUGAUCUACAGUGUCACACAGCCUGCUUUAUGCAUACAACAGCUGUAUGUAUACCAACUCCUAACCUUAUCAAAACAUUUGGCAAAAACUUAAAAGUAUUUCUCCAUCUCUUUUUCGAAAUUCCACAAUAAACCAGCACAUUGUAAAAGUUAUGUUCUAACCUUAUGAUAAAUGCUCUAGACUUCAAAUGGAUUUUAUAUAUGAGGGUUUGUUGCAGCAGAUAUAUUGACUUAUCAAAUAUGAAUCAUUGUCUGGAUGAACUAUCUUUGGAUAAAAGAAUAUUAGAACCACCCUAGAAUAUCUUUACCCUGAUGUUUCUAACAAAAAUCUGCAUGUGGCAGCAAUUACUAGAUCUACAAUUUCCCAAAUAAUAUUUUGUGUUUCUUAAAAAAUUUGAAAUGCAUAGUUGCACUAGCACACCGUGAGACAGUGCUACAAUCUACUGAGAUCUAAAUUAUAUGAGACUUUAAGCUACUAAUGUUUGCAUAUUUCUACACGUCAAAUUAACAUUACCAUCUAUAAUCCAAAAUGACAGAUGAUAAACUGCUUUUGGCCACUUAUUACUAGCAUCCACAAUUAAUUUUUGUUCAGCAAUCAGCUUAUUUUAUAGAAAUUGAUUUAGUCAGCAGAAAACACUAUAAUUCUUGAAAUUAAUUUUUGUUCUUCGUAAUUUUCUAUGGUUUUUCAUAAAUCAAUUAAUCUGCAGUGCCAAGAUGAGGUUUAGUUUUUCAAACUAAAUAAUCAAGUAAGCAAAAAUACAAAUUCAGAGAUUGGCGGGGUAAACUAGCUGGGUGGUUUAGAACUGGGCUAGCUACCUCACUGUAUUCCAAUUUAUACAGUGGAUUAAUUGAACAUGAGAAAACAAUGUGGUCAUAGCUCAAUAUGAGAUGACUUCGGAGAGGCAUAUUGUUUUCAAUUAUCUAUUAAGAGAUGAAGUGGAUUGAAGUGGAAAGUUUAAAUAACAAAUCCUUGUUCUUGAGUUUUCAAGUGGCAGAUUAUGCAAGUGAAUUAAAAAACACAAUGCAUCAAUCACGGGGAUGCUACAUCAAAAAGACGGGAUCAUAGUCUAUGGAUUGAACAGUUACAAUUGCUGCUACCAAUUAACUCGGCAAAGAUCAAGAAGACAGAACACGAAGUUAAUGCCAUCAAUUUCGUCCUCAUUAUAGCUGCUGGGAAUGAAGGUGUAGUUUCCUCAUUUGAAGCUGUCUACAUAUAGGCUUUUCCCCUGCUUAAGUUGAAGGCUUCAUUAUUGACCCCAGAAAGGAUUACUAAUUGAAGAAGACUAUACAGAGUUGAUCUCACACUUUCAUUCUCUCAAUUUCUUUCAGAAGUCCCUCUGAAAAUAGCUUCCAAAACAGUUAGUCAGCUUUUAUACUCUGUUUUCUGGAAGUACAGUCCUAAUAUACCAUAUUUAAUGGCUUUAACAGUAUUUUUGAGUUGUCUUUGCUGUGAUCAUCAACAAGCUCAUCAUAAGAUUUUUGAAGCACCCAAGGACUAUCACUGGGUUUAUCUUUUGGUUUGUUAAUUAAUUAAUCAAAGAACGGUUGGAUCCCCAAGCACAAUUACUAGAUUCUAAAAUGACUAGUUCACUAUUCUUUUACAGUCCUUUCACCAGUAAAAUUAUUCGACUUCUGGAACUGGGAAUGAAGUGCAAUGAUGAAGCAGCAUUUACAAUGUCUCCGGUUUCUCCUGAAUAUUGGAUUUUUGCAGUGAGAACAUAUAAAAAAAAGGCCUCCAUCAACGUAGGUAAAAUCCGGGAUACGUAUUGGAUCGAGUUUUUGUUUGAUAUUGAAGAACCUCUUUACUAUCGCGAUAUAGAAAAUGCGCAAGGAGUUGUCUACUGUUCUUUGCCUUGUGCUAUGAUCGGUGCUUUUGACGUUGCCCUGAAACAGUGGAAAAUACUUCAGCUUCCUCCGUUUGAUGAUGCAAAGAACUGGUUAAUCUGCGAUUACCUAAUUGAUUCAUGAUCAAGUAACAACAACAAUUUAUUAAUAGUAAUAUCACAAACUAAGAAGAUUUCGGAGAGGGAGAUGUAUUCGUAUACCGUUUACAGGUUUGAUCCGUUGGGGAUGAAGUAGUCUGAAGUCGAAAGUGAUUUAUUAAAUAACAAUUCAUUGUUCUUGGGUUAUACCUCAUUAUGUCUUCAAGUGGAAGAUGAAGAUCGAGUUUUGCUUUGAUAUUGAAGAAUUUGAACAGAAAGCCCAUAGAAAGUACCUAAAUAAGCAUAUUCUUGAGGUAAAAUAUGGAGGAGUUGUUUACUGUGUGCUGCGUAGUUAUGCUAUGAUCGGUGCUUUCGGCAUUGCGCAAACAGUGGAAAAUACUUCAUAUCCUCGACAAGAUGAUGAAAAGAAAUUGGUUGCCGAUUACCUAAUUGACUCAGACACAACAAUCUAUUAAUAGCACAAUUUGAAGUGAUGCCGUUUAGGUAUAUGGUCUACAGGUGUGAUUCAUCAGCGAUGAUGUGGACUCAAAUUAAAAGUUUAAAUAAUAAGUCGUUCUUCUUGGGCAUAUCGUCAUUAUUACGUUAAGUGAUCAAAGAUGAAGAUGAAGAUGAAAAUUCUUCAAGUGGGUUCAAGAAUACCAUACAUCGUUACUUGGGAUACUUCCUCAAACUUGGAUGGGGUUAUAAUUUACUCCCACGAAUUUCAACCCAAUUUUAUGAUUGGAGUGUCUCACCAUGACUCAGAAAAAAUUCUGAUUCAACCUCCUCCACCAACGGAUUUUGAUAAGUUACUUUGUAAUCAAGCAAUUUAAUUAAUUAAACUCACAGCUUGAUUUUGUUGGUACCACAAUUUGUUAAAAUGUGGCCAUGUGAGGAGAGCGGAACAUAGUGUCACUUCCUCAUCAAGCACUUCAAAGAGGGAUUUUAGAAGAAGAUAUAACUGCAAUUGUCUUCGUGUGUGUGUGUGUGUGUGUGUAUAACUACUGAACUUUCAGUUCAUAAAAGAAAUUUUUGCUAACCAUGAUAUGUGGUAGUGUUUUUUAGGCAAUUUACGAACAGAGUUGUUCAACUUACAGCAGAUAUUCUCCUCAAGUUCGACGUAAUUAAUAUUAUGAUGACACAUAUAACUUGCUUCAAAAUUAGACAUUACGAAUUUCCGAUUCACAAUGCAUAUAACUUGGAAGAAUUGAUGCUAAAGGAACAAUAACACGCAUAAUUUGGAGAGCAAUUGCGACAGCAGCCGAGUAUAUGAUAACUAACUAAAAUGGCCAUUGAGCAAUUAAGAGGAGCCAUCAAACAUCUUACGAGUACCGGCAGCCGUUUAUGAACUAAAAUAGCAAUAUGAUGCGAGAAAAAGGAACAUACGUAGCCAUACUUGGCAUUGGCAAGAGUUCAUGAGAAGUGGCAUCACAUUCAGGUAAUGACUUGACUGCUGUUAUCGUGCAAGGUAAUACUUAAUUUCUCCCUUUCUUUUUUUUCACUUUAACAAAGUUGAAGUCGAUGAAAUUAUGAUUCGACAGAAAAAAAAAAAGUCAGUGAAAGGCCAAUACCCUACUACAACAACAGGUACAAAUUAAAAGUUUCAUUCUAGAAAAGAUGACGCAUUAUUCUUUAUCCCUAAAGCUUAAGCCCACCACAGUGGAAUUUCAUCGAUGACUCGAGCGAUUCUUGAUUCAAACUCCUCCAUCAAGCUGGGAUUUCGAUUGAGUGAGUUACAAUGUUGAAUGCAAGGAUCCAGCCUCUAUAAAAAUAUUAUCGAGAUUAAUUUCAGUCUUCCCUCGAUUAUCAAAUAAUUGAGUGAAGCCAGUCUAAUUAUAAUAUCUGAUGUAAUAUCAGUAACAAUCCUUUAUAACAUCUGAUUAAAAAAUAAUUAUGUAAAAUUCAUUUGGCUUGAACUAAAGAUGGCCAAUGGGUGAGGCGGCGCGCGGCACGGCACAUGUCCGUACAGCACGGCACGACACGAGCACGUUUUGGUAGGACACGCAGCACGGCACGACACACACAUAGGUCGUGCCAGGCCUAGAAUUUUAGGCACACGGGUCUUAAAAGCAUAGCACAAUUAGAGAUUGACUAAAACACGGCACGCGAAAGAGCAUCUAAUAAGUACACUUCAUUAGUGGGCUAACAUGCGGCCCAUGGGCCAUCAAUAGCACGUGGGCCAAAGUAUAUCAAAAUAAAAGUUUUUAAUGAAAAAUAAAUAUAAAAUGCUAUGAUUUUACAAAUAUUUUGAAAUUAAAAAUUUUAAUAUAUUUUUUUAGCACAAGCUUUUAAAAAUUAAUUUAAGUCCUAGUUUAAAUAAAUAUUCUAAUUUUUUUAUGUUUAUAAUUUAUUAAAUGAAUAAAUAAAUACCAUGAUUUUAUUAAUGAUAAAUUAAAAAUUUUAUGAUAUUAAUAUUUCAUUUAUGAAGUCAUAAAUUAGUUAAUAGUUAAUGGAGAUAUGUUUCAUUUGUGAAUGAAAUAUUUUUCAUAUUUAUACACAAAAAAAAAAUUAUGAACGAAAUAUUUUUAUGAUAAAUUAAAAAUUAUAAUAUUAGAUGUUCAAAUAAAAUUAUGUGUAAUUGUUAUUCUAUAAUUGUAAUUUUAUUUUUCAUUAAUUAUUACUAUAAUCUAUGAAAUUAUUAUUAUUAUUAUUAGUCUGAUGAGCUUAAAAAAGUACAAUAAGCACGUGGGCUUGAAUAAAACCUGCCAGACACAGAGAUAUUUUUAAGACAUGCUUGAUAUGUGGAUUUAAAGGAAAAAAAAAUUUGAGGGUUUUUUUGGGGCACGGCACGAGCACAACACGAGCAGACCUGUGCCAGGCCUUUAAAAAAAUGGUGGGAACGGCACGCCCCCAACAAAAUGAUGGGCCGUGCCGUGCGGGCCCACGAGCCCGCGUGGGCCAACAUUUGAUGGGCCUGCCGGCCCAUUGGCAAUCAUUAGCUUGAACUUGGUCGCCUCUGUUCUCUCAUGGCGUUAUCAUCAUCAUCUUCUUCAGUUGUACUAACAUGAAAUUCUUCUUAUUCCCUUUCUCAACUGUCAUACCCUAUCCCUAUUCCCUGUGUCCCCACUAAACCACGCUCAAUUCAGGCCAUCAGAUUCUCUCGGAACCACAUUAAUCCAACGGCUCACAAUGACCGACAGCCUCUGCAUUUCCAUUUCAAGCUCCCUCUUCAACUGGCCUCUGCUUCCGUUGUACUCUUUCUCGGAUUCUCGGUGGUCCCACACAGCUCCAUCUCACUCCAAUUGUCACCCAACAAGACCAAUUGCUUAAUCAAGUCACAGAACAAAAAGAGGAUGAGAAAUUGGAACAAGAAUUUGAGAAUUGGAAAUCGAAAAUGUACAAAUUGACCGUGCCUUUGAGAGUUCUUUCUCUUCAGAAUUCAAUACCUCAAUCUUGGAUUAAGGAUUUUAUGCGAAGUCAAGGAAAGAGAUUGAAUUUUCAGAUGAAUUUGUGUGCUAGCAUCGAUGGGAUCUUAACAAUUUAUCUGUGCCUUUUAACAAAGUUAAGGCUAAGUCAGCUCUUAUAUGGCUGCUGAUUUGGUUAGUGUUGGUGAUUCAUGUCACAGUUUUGCGAUUAAAAAGAGAUUGAUUGAACCAAUAGUUGGAGCUGAAGAUCAAGAUUGGUUCAAAUGCUUAAGUCACAAAUGGAAGGUAACAUCUUUAUCAUUGUCCAGAUAUUUUUUAAUCAUUGUCCCAAUAUGUUUUAUUGUCUUACAUUGAAGUUUGGUAAUGUAAUUUGUUCUCUAUCUGUGUUCCCUUUGUAGUCAUUUUAUUUAUUUUUUUGUUUGCAUUUAUUUGCACUGACGAAGUCUCAGGUAUAUCUAUGCAGGAAUGAUGCAGGAGAAAUUGAUCCUUGAGGUAAAAUAUGCGCAGCACCAUAUCAGUGGGGCACAGUGGUGAUAGCUUACAAGAAAAGUAAAUUUCGAAAGCAUAAUUUGGCUCCGAUUGAGGUAAUAAUUGUCUUUAAGCUCAUUUAGUUUUAUAUCAAACAAAAUCAAGACUGCCUUUCUCUUCAAUAUUUUUUAUGAUAAUAUCUAGAAGCAGCUAAUUGACGGGUAAUCAAUGUAUUCCUUAAAGGGUCUACAAACUCAAUGAUAUUAUCUUCUGCAAAUGGUUCAUUAGACCUCUUAGUUGUAGUCAAAUGUACACUAAGGACAGCAAGAAGCUAUGCCACUGUAGCAUGGUAAUGAUGGCCCUCAAUAAGUGAGUUGGUAGGAUGUGAACCAGAAAAAUUAAAUAAUGUCUCCCUGGCUAUGCCAGCUCAUAAGUUAGGGUUAAUAUUAGAGCUUGAGUAACUAUAACCUUGAGAAGCUAUUGACUGCAAAUUAAAAUAUCCAUUAAAAUGUUUAGGGAGUUAUGAAGGUGGAAGUAUCUUCCAAUUUCUAUGGCCAUAUUGUAGACAUCAUCCAGGAUCCUAUUAAAGUGCAGUUAGCCUCCUGCUUGAUGCUAAUGUCAAACAAUUAAUAAAUUUGGUCAAUGUAACUGAAACUUGCUAACUGACAUCAGAUUGCAACUUAAAAUGGGAUAGAUGAUUAGUAGCACUGAAUUCUUCUUGCCUAAGAUUGAGCAAUUGUUCUAACUACUAUCUCCUAUUUUAGGUUGAUUAUUAUGUUCUAAUUAGGUCCAUUUUGACCCAAAAAAUUACAUAAUCUUGAUCUGCAUAUUGUCACUGAACAGUGUCAAUAUCGUUCACCAACUAACUUGAGUUUGAUAUAACAAACACACGGUAAGCUUCGAUAUGUGGAUUAGCUUGGAGAAGAUAUCUCAAAAUGAAGAAUAUGGGAGUUAAUGGGAAGAAACAGUUCAUUAGUUGAUAAUUCUGUCAUCGAGCUGUAUCUCGAACAUGGUCAAAUUUUAUGUGAAUAAGGACAGGGAAUCUUCAUUCCUCUUUUCCUUUCUAUACCCAGAUAUCUCUCAACCUUUAUAUGUUGCCCACUGGAGAUCUGCUUCUAAUAACUAAAAUAAAAAAUUCAUCCACUCAAUAAAUGCUCACCAAGCUUUCACAAGAAAAAGUAACAUCUUUAGUGAAGUAAUUUACAGUUCCUUAUCAUCUUCGUGUGAGUCUAUCAGUAUGAUCCAAAAACAUAAUACAUCUUGUUAGAUCUUGUUUAUUGAUGUUUAAAUGUUGUUCAUUGUGAAAUGUAGAAAUGAUGACGUGAAGUUUCUUUGGUCAUCAGUUAGUGAGAUCUUGUCUGAAGUUGUUUUCUGAAAUGAACUGCCAAAUACGAGGUUAUUGGUACAGUUUUGAAGUAUAUGGGAUCAUCAUACAAUUGAAACGACAUUGAUUAGCAAGUUGCUGCUGGGAGGAUUGCUGUUCAGCAGAAUCUGGCAUUACUGGGAAACCAGGUACUCUUAAAGAAACGAUAUCUGGUCAAUGCAUAUUAUUGCCUGACAGCUGAUUUUGUUUGUAAAGUCUGCCUUUUCAUACAUAUGAAUGCAUAUGUUAGUGUUUUCUUCUCCUUUUAAUACACAUGAAUGCAUAUGUUAGUGUUGUCUUCUCCUUUCCAUAAAUACGAAUGCAUAUGUUGGUGUUCUUUUCUGAGAUGGAUGCAAAUAAAGGCUUUUUCUUCUAAAUUUAGCUGAAGAAAUGGCAAGGAAUGUGAGAUUCUAUCUCAUUAAAUUAUCAAAAACCCAAAACAAUGAAAACUCAUAUUAAUGUGAUGUGGAUAAAUUGGCGACAUUUGGCUUGUUUCCUCAACGCGAAUUAGCAAGCAAUAGAGACUAAAAAAAUGGAGUGAUAAUAACAAGUCAUUGUCGUUUGAUGAAUGCAUUUUUAAGCAAAAAUAGGAUUGUAACUGAACAAAUUUUUCUGGCAUGCCAAUUUCAAAAAAUUAAAUUAUGUGGAUAUUAGCUGUAAUGAAGGGGAAUUGUAGGUGCAAUCAGGUCGAUCCAGUAAAGUUCAACAAAGUUCUGGUUUGGUGUAGUGAAAUUGGUUUAUGCAACUUGAGUCUUUCAGAUGAACAAUGACGAGUUUUCAUUUAAAAAUGUCAUAAAUCUGCUGUGCAUAGUAUUCUAGUGGAAUCAUCUAUAAAUUCAAGUUAUUGAAAUUGUCUAUUUUGUCUGGUCUGAGUUAAGGAGGCAUUUAAUUUAUGAAAAAUAGUUGUCGAAUAUUGUAGGUUACCUAACAUUUGAUGAAUCCUGUAGUGAGGGCUUUAAGAUGUCUAACAGCAUGUAGAAUGCCCCUGCUCCCCUCACAUUGUUUAUCUUAUACAAUAAUCCAUUAUAGAUGCUAAUAUCUUUGUCAAUACCUAAAACAGUAUUACAAAAUCUGAGUUUAUUGGGUUUUAUAUAGGUUCAACUGUUUGACAGUACACACUAUCUGAAGGCAUUUGGAAAUGGAGAUGUAUGGGUUGCUGUUGGGUGGAGUAGCGAUGUUCUUCCUGCUGUCAAACGUAUGUCUAAUGUUGCAGUUGUUGUUCCCAAGUCUGGUGCUAGCUUAUGGGCUGAUCUUUGGGUAUGCCCAUGCCUACCAUUCUACUUUGAUAUUCACUUUGUUAUCUCCAUCAUAGUAAUGAUCAGUAAAUACGAGAAUGUGUGACUGAUAAGUUUGUAUUCUCUUUGUAGGCAAUCCCUGCUGCGUCAAGACUUGAAACAAACCAAAUUGGAGGGUGAGUUAGAGGUCCAUCUCCAUUAAUCCAUCAAUGGAUAGAGUUCGGCUUGCAAACAGCAAGAGCAUUGCCUUUCAAACAAGAGGUUAUCCCUGGCGUACUGAGAUGGCUAAAGUUCUUGAAGUUUUGUUAGAAAUGAAAGAUGAGUGGUUGUUUGAAUAAUGUUGUGGCCAAUCUCACAAAGGUUAAAAAGAAACAUCACGGAGCUAAUGCCACCGAUUUCUUCGUCAUUGUAGCCUCUAUAGUUGAAGUUUCCUCAUUUGAAGCUCUUUAUGCAUUAUCCCUGCUCAAGUACAAUUGAAGAACUAACCAGAUGUGAUAUGCUGAAAGAGGGAAGUUUUCUUCCUUGAAUGUGGCCUUGUGAUUUGUCAGGGAAUAGGAUGAUCACUAGCAAGAACCCUGUCAAGGUAGAUUUUAUGAUAUUAACAUAUUAUUAAGCAUUUGCCACUUUAGCAACGAUACAUUCAUAGCGUGAAAGUGUUCAAAUUUAACCUAAUGAUCCUGAUUAAUCAAUUAAUUUUCAUGAGUUGUAACCGGAGUUAAAGCUAAGUACAAUCAUCGUUAACAAAGACUGAAAUUUUGGGUAAAUAUGAUCUUAUAUUGAAUCAUUUGAUGACACAACUCACAUUGGAAAUUACCUAUUGCGUGGGGAUGGCGAUGUUUACUGUUGUAUUGCGAUAUAAAAUAUGUGCAAGGUAUUGUCGACUGCUUUUUGGGUUAUGGUGUGAUAGCUGCUGAUUAGUGAUAAAACAAGACAAAUUAAUUAAACUCAGGCCUACAUGCUAAAUGUGUAUGUUAUCCUAACUUUCACUACAAGAAAAUGUCCUUAACGUGACCGUGUUAGAUGAUUGUAAGUAGCAGUGUUCGUACAAGUUUUUUUUCCUUCAUGGUAUUUACAAUUUCUUAGGAACAUCUAAAAUCUGAAAAAUCUCAUUUACUAAAAAUUAAGUUAUCAUUUGCUGGCUGGCAACUUAAAGAUAAGAAUAAAUUCAAGAGCUCAUCAACCAAGUAGAGUUUUCUCAAUAGACGCCGUAGUUAAUUUCUCUCUUCAAUCGUGAUUAUGAAUGGUUGUUUUAUUGCUUUUUAAAGCGCUUUUAAAGUUUUAUUUUGCUCAUGUCUGAUAUUUAAUUACCUGAAGAAGCCUGAUGAUUUCUUGAUAUGAUUGCUCUGCCAAGCUAUCUAAGAAAUAGCUAUAGAAAUCCCUUCAUUACAUUAGAUAAUCUUCAUUAUCUGUGCAAUUUGGUGUUUUUUCUUUGAAGCCAGCCGUUUGCUUUUGAUAGAUUCCAUCUUGUAUUUAUUCCUUUUCUAUAGAUUUUGCAGGAUUGAAGCUAUAUUUCUUCCCUGUAUAUGUGAUUGAUAUUAAGAGUAUGUUUUUGUGUUGUCUCUGUUUUUUCUAUUUGAUCUAGAUUUAAUACCUGAAAGGUUACUAACAAAUUAUCUUAGGUCAAAUUCUCUUUUACGAGACUUUUUUUGCUAAAUUCUUGGAAUUAUAUAAUUAACUAAAUCUUUAGUACAAGGAGGAGUUUGCCCCUAACUUUGCUUUCUUUCUUUAAUCGCAUUAAUAAUCAAUCCCCUGCACGUUGGUCGCAUUAAUAACCAAAUGUGCCUUUGACAUGCAACUAUACAAUCACAAACCAUCAUAGACCAAGAUUGGUUCAAAUGCUUAAGUCACAAAUGGAAGGUAACAUCUUUGUCUUUGACCCGAUAAUUUUUAUUGUCUUACAUUGAAAUUUGGUAAUGUAAUUUGUUCUCUAUCUGUAUUACCCUUUGUAGUCGUUUUAUUUAUUUGUUUAUUUAUUUGCUUAACGAAGUCUCAGGUAUAUCUACACUGGAAUGAUGCGGGAGAAAUUGAUCCUCGAGGCGAAAUAUGGGCGGCACCAUACAGGUGGGGCACAAUGGUGAUAGCCUACAAGAGAAGUAAAUUUCAAAAGCAUAAUUUGGCUCCAAUUGAGGUAAUAAUUGUCUUUAAACUCAUUUAGUUUUAGUCAAAUGUACACUGCUCUUUGGGGAUGGAGAUGGUUACUGCAGGGAUAUAGAAUAUGUGCAAGGUGUUGUCCACUGCUCUUUGGGUUAUGGUGUGACUUGCGAUUUCAAGGUUGCCCUGAAACAAUGGAAAAGAUUAACAUAUCCUCCAAUGAAUAAAAACGGCUGCACUAAUUCAAAUUACGCAGGAUCAGGUGGCAAUAAUAACAGUCCGUUUACUUUUCGAGGAUCAGAUGUUGAUAAUAAUAGUUUAUUAAAUGACAAAUCAUUGUUCUUGGGGGUUAGUUGUAUACGUCAUUACUACUUCAAGUAGAAGAAAAAGGUUGUGCAGGUGAUUUCAGAAAUAAAAUACAUUCCUUAUAAAAAAAAAAAAGAAAUAAAAUACAUUCUGAGAGAUGAUGGUCCGCUGUUGCAUGCCCCCAGAUUUAAGAAUCCUCACUUUUACUUUAAAAAACUGCUACGCUUUGAUUUUAGUGCUGAAUAUUUAUUGAAAUCUGAUAGAAGGAGUUUGAAGUCAAACUCGUAAUUACAGGUUAUCUAAUUGCGAGUUGUUGUUCAUAGCUGUUGAUUUGUAGUGAUUAUUUAAUUGACUGAGGUAACAAUAAUUUUUUUUUCUAAUUUUCAGUAGCACACUGUCGAAUUCAAUAAUUAAAUUCUCCUAUUUAAUUUAUUUCAAGUUAAAUUAUUAAUUACUUAAACUAUGUUUUAAGUCUUUAAUUUUAUGUCUUGGCGUAUAUGUAGAAUUGGAUUCUUGAGCGUGUUGGACACGACCAACAAUGAAAUUGACAGUAAACAAACAUUACAACGUGUGGACUCCGGUAGCUGCCCUACAAGUCUACAACUUCACAAAUAAUAAUUGAGUAAGCACCUUUGAUUCUUGUGACCCUUCAAUGAAUUUCUAGCCCCGUUGACUCCACUGACAAAAGUUUUGUAAAAUAAAAAAAAAAAUACAUAGAAUUCCACCAAAUGCAAAACGCGUGGAAUUUAAUUUUUGGCCUUGUGGACCAAAACAUAAUUUAACAAAAAAAGAAAAAAAUGAUAAGAUUUCUAAAAUGUGUGGAAGGUGAUUCAUAUUUUAUUGAAACGACUUGUUAAAUUUUUCAAGGAUUUAGAAUAUUUAGUCAUAAAUUAGGCGCAUGUUAAUUUUUCCGCCAUUGACCAUCAUAUUCUAAAUUUAAUGGUACCUUUCUUAAUUAAGGGUACUUAGUCUCUCUUCUCCGCUUAUAAAAAUUAUAUUAAUUGAUUUCUUAUUAUAGUUAAUAGUCUUUAAGAACGGAUAGCUUUAUUGUUUUCAUGACCAAAUUAUGCCUGCCUAAGAUUGCGACUAUUAAUAAAAUUAAUAUUCAAUGUUUAUGUUAAAAGAUAUAAGAUUAAUUUAUGCGUUCAUUAAUUGUUAUUAGCUAAAGGAUGAAUUAUUUUUUCAACCCAAUCAGUUGAUGCAUUGCAAGGGUUUUUUCUUUUAUUGACCAUAAUUAUAUUCCGGGUACAAUAAAUUGUCUUUGGUGCUUGGAAAAUAUGACUUCUUACUUCAAGUUUUUGAUAUGUCUCUCUCCAUAAGCUUACUGGAAAUAUAUCCUCAUCUACUGUCAUUUAUCUAAUAUCAAUUGAAGAUCUCACUUUUUCAAAGUUCAAACUAUCACUUCCAAGUCUCAUUGUCACUUGGCCAUUCUUGGACCAUUCAAAACCAAUCAAGUGUUGAAAUAAUCAAAUAUAUGCAAAAUUAGAGUCACGAUUUUUGGUCCCCCAAAUUCUAAUUAUAUAACUUCUAUGUAUCUCAUUGUCAGGUCACGAACUUGUUGGCACAUUUUCCAAAUUCCUCUUCCAUCAGCUCUCACAUGUUAACUUGAGUGUAAAGUUUCCAAGUUGAUUGCUAGAAAGCAACGCAAAAUCAGACACACUUGACCCGUCCCAUAAUUAUCUUUUCUACGUUGAAAAAGAAAAAAAAAGAAAAAAGAAAAUAUAUCUAUGUAAAAAUAAAUAAUAAAUUGAGUAAAAGUAUAUUUGUUUAAUUAACAUCUGAUCGGGGCAUUUUUGGUGUAAUUUAGUGCUGUGUAACCCACAACUAAAAUCAAACAGCCCCUUAGCAUACUUCUUCCAUUUUAUCUGCUACUUUUGUGGAUCUUAUAGGGUGGGCAUGUGGACAGAAUUUAAAAGUUUUAAUAGUCUCAAAGAAGAAGAUGUGUUAAAUCUAAAGUUGUUGCACCUUCUGAUUAAAUAAAGUUGCACAAUUUCAUCAACUUGAAAGAAUUGACAUUAAUAAACUGGUCGUCUCUCCAUGUAUGAAGCCUUCUUAAAAGUUAAUUUUUAUUUCAGAAAAAAAAAAGUUUAAGUUACAUAUAUUACAGUAAGAUUUUUUGAGACCAAUUCCCUUCUUGAAAUAAUAAUGGAAAAGUAUUAAUUUAAAAAUAAAAUGAAUAUGUAUUGAUUAUAUCCUGAUUUUCAUCGAUUAUAGUUAGAGUUUCACCAAAUCAAUUCCCUUAUUCAAAUAAUACAGAAAAAAUAGUAAUUUAAUAGUAAAAUAAACAGGUGUUGAUUAUAUAUCCUAAGUUUCAUCGAUUAUGUGAUCAAAGUGGCAUUGUUGAUUUAUUUUUUGUUCAAUGUUAAUUUUUAAGUUAUAUAAAUUUCAAGGAUUUAAAAUCUUUGGUCAUGAAUUACACGCUUGUUAAUUUUUUUGCCAUUGACUGUCAUAUUCUAGACUUAAUGAUACCUUUCUUGAUCAAGGGUAAUUACUCUCUCUUCUCUUAUAAAUUCCUCUUCCAUUAACAUCACUAGGAGUAUGUUGAUCUCUCAAACAUUAACUUGAGUGGAGAGUUUCCAAAUUGAUUGUUACAAAACAACACAAAAACUAGACACACUUGAUCUGUCUAAUAAUUCUCUUUCGGUAAAAUUAAAUAAUUUUAGGGGAAUAUUCGGCCAACCUCUAUAAUUUCAGAGUGAUCAUUAAUUAAUUAAUCGAUACAAAUAUCUAAAGUGAUUAGAUGUGACUUGAAAUUUGAUCUCUAUCGAUUGGUUUACAAAUGGACGUACUUGUGCCUUUGUGGCGAUAAUCGAACAAGUUCCCAUGAUUAUUAUUUUUUCCAAAAACUUUUUUACAACAAAUUCAUCUCGCCAAAAAUUCUAUGUUGCUAACUAACAAUAAUUGAGCACUUGGCCGCAUUGACUCCACGUCUCCACCUCUUUCUAAAUUCUAAGUAAAAACAUGGAAAUGUAAUUUCCACAAAAUGCCAAACGUGUGGAAUUUAAUUUUUUGCCUUGUGGAUCAAAAUACAAAUGAAAGAAACAGGAAAAAAAAAAGGCCCAAAGACUUCUAAAAGAUGAAGAAGUCUUUGGGCCUUUUUAUAAUGGUGGAUUUUUUAAAAGAAAAAAAUAACAACACUUUUAUGGUUUGUUUUGAUAAUCAUAUUUACAUAUACUCUCUAAUUUUCAAAAUGGACACAUAAAUCUUUUUUUUUUUACAAAUAUAUAUUAUUCAUUUUUUUUAUUAUUCAUAUUUUUUUAUUAUUCAUAUCUUUUUAUUAUCAUAUUUUUAUUUAUUAUAAAUAUUUAGAGUAAAUUUUUAGGUUGAAAUAUAAUAAAAGGGUAUAAUCGUGCUCUUAUUAAACACACAUACUUUUAUUAGUUUCUAUCCAUUUGUCAUCUCAAUUAUUCUUUAUUGCUAGCUCAAAACGCGUUGCUGUUGCAAAUUAUAGCAAAAUGACAAAUACAGAAAAAAAAGGGAAGAAAAUUAAUGCAUGAAAGACUUGGAGAAAACAACAAAAUAAGCCAACUAUGAGCUAGUUGGGUGUAUAAAUUGUUAGAUGUGUUAUAUACAAAUAGCGUAGAGCCCUCUAGUUGGUUCCAGAGACAGAAAGAGCGUGUGUGUUUUUUCACAGUUAGAGAUAUAGUUAGAAUGGGUGGUUCAAAAUCAAAAAUGAUGAUAAUGUUUAUUAUGUUAUUAAUAAUAUUUAAAAGUGGGUGGAGUGAGGGAUGUUUGGAUCAUGAGAGAUUUGCUCUUUUGCGACUCAAACAUUUCUUCGAUGAUACUAGUAGUUAUCUUUACUACUGGGGAGAUGGUGAGGGAGCUACUGAUUGUUGUCAGUGGGAAAUGGUUGAGUGCAGCAACACCACAGGCCGAGUGAUAGCGCUAGACCUUUCUUUUAUUAAGUAUUCGGGAGAGUACAGCUGGUAUCUGAAUGCUUCUUUGUUUACUCCCUUUCAACAACUUGAGUCACUUGAUUUAAGUUGGAACAAUAUAGCCGGUUGUGUUGAGAAUGAAGGUGCUUCGUUUAAUUUAAUUAAUUUACUUCUUCUCUCCUAAUUUAAGUGGAAUAUCAAGACUGAGCAACUAUAUGCAUAUUCAUUCAGUUGACAAUUUUGACAUAUUUUUUUAAGUGAUUAAUUAAUUUUGAAAUUACACCAGUAUCUAUGAUCUUUUUUUUUUUAAUUUUGCUUGCAGGUCUAGAUAGGCUAUCAAGAUUGAACAACUUGAAGAUGCUUAAUUUAAGUUAUAACUCGUUCAACAAUAGCAUUUUAUCAUCUCUAAGUCGUCUUUCAUCAUUAAGAUCAUUAAAAUUAUUUUACAACAGAUUGGAAGAAAGUAUUGACGUUAAAGGUACAUGAUUAAAACUCCAUCUCUUCUCCAAGCUCUUUCAUUAACUUGCUAAAAUAAGACUCAAGGCUUUGAAUUCAAUUUUUUUUAUGAUUAGUAUUAAAAAAAAAACAGUUUUAAGCAAUUUAUAAAAUACAAGUUUUAAUGUUUCUCGUAAUUCCAUCUUGUGCUUUCAUAUGUCUCGAAUUUAAGAUUAAAAAAAAACACUAACAGCGAACCAAACACCUCCACAACUUAUUAUUAUUAUUAUUAUUUUUUAAUUUGUGGUGAGGUUUGAAACAUUCAACUCAAUUUGUACUUAUUACAGAAUUUGAUUCUUUGAGAGAUUUAGAGGAGCUAGACAUUGGCAGGAACAAGAUUGACAAAUUUGUGGUCUCAAAAGGUACUACAAAUACCAUAAUAAAAAAUGCUAACUUUUACAAAUUAGUUAGAUUUUUUGCCAUUUGGUUUAUUAUUUUACAGGUUUGAGUAAGUUGAAGUCUCUCGGUUUAAGUGGUAUCAAACUCAACCGUAGCAUCUUAUCUUCUCUGACUGUCUUUUCUUCGUUAAGAGAAUUACAUCUACGUGAUACCGGAUUCAAAGGAACAUUCGAUGUUCGAGGUAAGCCUAAGCCUUGCUUUCUCAUUUUAUAUAUGCCAACUAGAUUUGUGUAUCAUCGACAUAAUUUAAUAUUUAAUUUGAUUAGUCUGAAGGAAUUACAUGCUAAUUUAAACAUACCUUUAUUUACUUUGUCAAUAAAUUACUAUUUGGCUUGGUUUGGACGAAAUUCUCACGAUGUUUUAAUUUCUUUAAAUUAAUUAAUUAAUUAACUCUGUUUUUAAGUCUUAAGUCUGGGCUUGUUUGCAGAACUUGAUUCCUUCAAUAACUUAGAAGUGUUGGACAUGAGCUACAAUGAAAUCGACAAUCUUGUGGUUCCUCAAGGUAAACAAUUAAAAUAUUAUUCAAUUACAUUAUUUUAAUUCAUUUGAUUAGGGAAGGCCAAAAAGGUCCAAAAUAAUAAUAAUAAUAAAGAAACAGAUAAUUUGUAUUAUUUAAAAAACAGAAUGUAAUAAAGAUUUGAUUCCAGUUCUUUAAUCUUUAAAGCGAUUGAAAAACAAUGUUGCUCUUUUCCCAAAGCAUCAAAUACGAAUUGAAUGCCAAUUAACUUAAUCAUUCAUUUCAUUUAGCUCUAAAUUUAGACAAUGAAUUUUUAUAUUAUUUCAAAAACAGGACGUAAUAGAAUUUUUUUAAAAAACAGAUUGUAAUAAAGAUUUGAUUCCAAUUCUUUAAUCUUUACUGCGAUUGAAAAACGAUACUACUUCCCAAAGCAUAAAAUACGAAUUGACUCCCAAUUAAAUUAAUCAUUUAUUUCGUUUAGGUCUAAAUUUAGAAAAAUGAAUUUUGAUUCUCUUCAAUCUUUUCUUAAUUAUUAUUAAUAAACAGGUUACAGAGGUUUGAGGAAGUUGAAAAGCCUCUAUCUAUCCAGAGUCGGAAUUAGAGAUGGAAGCAAGUUGUUACAGUCAAUGGGAUCAUUCCCAUCCCUCAACACUCUUUACCUUUGGGAUAAUAAUUUUACCGAUAUAGCGACCGCUACUCAAGGUAAGUAAAAGGUACAAAUGUGGCCAAAUUUAUAAAUAAAUUAUUAUUAAUUAAUUUUUCCGUAUUAUUAAUUAAGCUAAAUUUGUUGCUCCUUCCUUCUAAAUCUAAACAGAGUUGCACAAUUUCACCAACUUGGAAUAUUUGAGAUUGGACGAUUCCUCUCUCCAUAUAAGCCUUCUGCAAAGCAUUGCAUCAUUAUUCCCUUCAUUAAAAAAUCUGUCGAUGUAUGGUUGUGAAGUCAACGGUCUCGUACGUGGUCAAGGUAAAAGAAAAGCGUUGAUUGUGAACUCACUCAAUGGUGUCCUACGUGUUCAACAUUUUUAUUUAUUUAUUUAUUUAUUGUUUAAUGUUUCGCGCGCAUUGCACUCAACACCAGCUUUCUUCAAAUCAUCAGUGUAUCGAUGCCUUCUCUUAAGUACUUAUCACUGUCAUAUUAUACUCUCGUCAAUAACAGCAGCAUGAUUCUUGAUCAAGGUUAAUCAGAUGCUCCCACCCUCCCUUCUUAAUCUAUAAUAUUAAUUUUCAAUUAAAUAUUUAAUUACACAAACCAAUCACUUCUAUAUGAAAGAAUACUCUGCAUUUGUUAUUUUCAGGCCUCUGUUCGUUGGUGCAUCUGCAAGAGUUGCGCAUGGCUGAUAAUGAUUUAAGAGGUAGCUUGCCUUGGUGCAUGGCAAAUAUGACAUCCCUCAGAAUAUUAGAUGUUUCUUCUAAUCAACUUACUGGAAGCAUCUCCUCAUCUCCCCUCGUUCAUUUGACAUCCAUUGAAGUGUUGUAUCUUUCAAACAAUCACUUCCAGAUCCCAAUUUCACUUGAACCACUUUUCAAUCACUCAAGACUCAAGAUUUUCAAUGCUGCCAACAACGAACUAAAAGCUGAAAUAACUGAGUCACAUUCUUUGACCGCCCCAAACUUCCAAUUAUCACGUCUCUCAUUGUCUUCCAGUUACGGAGACAGUUUCAUAUUCCCCAAAUUUCUUUACCAUCAACAUGACCUGGAGUAUGUUGAUCUCUCACACAUAAAGAUGAAUGGAGAAUUUCCAAAUUGGUUGUUGGAAAACAACACAAAAUUAGAAACUCUUUCUCUCGUCAAUGAUUCUCUUGGAGGACCUUUUCGGUUGCCAAUUCAUUCACACAAGCGGUUAGGAAUGUUGGAUAUAUCCAACAACAACUUCCGAGGCCACAUUCCAGUAGAAAUUGCAGAUGUUUUACCAAGUUUAUACGCUUUCAACAAUUCCAUGAAUGCUUUAGACGGUAGCAUUCCCUCUUCAUUUGGUAAUAUGAAAUUCCUCCAAUUUCUGGACUUAUCCAACAAUCACUUGACUGGUGAAAUCCCCGAGUACUUGGCCGUCGGUUGCGUCAACUUGAAGUCUCUUGCAUUAUCAAAUAACAACCUACAAGGUCACAUGUUCUCUAGAAAUUUUAACUUGACAAACUUGAAAUGGUUACAAUUGGAGGGCAAUCGCUUCGUAGGUGAGAUCCCACAAAGUUUGUCUAAAUGCUCCUCACUAGAAGGAUUGUAUCUUAACAAUAAUAGUCUUUCGGGUAAGAUUCCACGAUGGUUGGGUAAUCUCACAUGGUUACAAUAUAUUAUAAUGCCCAAUAAUCAUCUUGAAGGCCCUAUUCCAGUGGAGUUUUGUCAGCUUGAUUUGCUUCAGAUUUUGGACAUUUCAGACAACAACAUAUCUGGAAGUCUACCAUCUUGUUUCCAUCCUCUCAAUAUUAAACAAGUUCAUCUUUCAAAAAAUAUGUUACAUGGACAGCUAAAAAGAGGUACAUUCUUUAAUUGCUCUUCCCUUGUGACAUUAGAUCUUAGUUAUAAUCGCUUGAAUGGCAGCAUUCCGGAUUGGGUUGAUGGGCUUUCUCGGUUAAGCCACCUUAUCUUAGGUCACAAUAAUCUUGAAGGUGAAGUGCCAGUUCAAUUGUGCGAAUUGAACCAACUACAAUUGUUAGAUCUUUCUAAUAAUAAUCUUCACAGUCCUAUUCCUCCUUGCUUUGAUAACACCACACUUCAUGAAAGUUACAGCAAUAGUUCUAGUCCUGAUGAGCAAUUUGAAAUAUCUUUUUCCAUCGAAGGCCCUCUAGGAGGUGUAGAAAAGAAAAUCCAUGAAAUUUUUGAGUUCACAACAAAGAACAUUGCGUACAUUUACCAAGGAAAAGUGCUUAGCCUCCUAUCAGGACUUGAUCUUUCUUGCAACAAUCUAAUCGGUCAUAUUCCUCCUCAAAUUGGAAAUUUGACAAGGAUUCAAACAUUGAAUCUAUCGCACAACAACUUGACAGGAUCGAUCCCAUCAACAUUUUCAAACUUGAAGCAUGUCGAAAGUUUGGAUCUUUCCAACAACAAAUUGAAUGGAAAAAUCCCUCAUCAACUAGUGGAGUUAAAGACAUUGGAGGUUUUCAGUGUGGCAUACAAUAACUUAUCAGGCGAAAUUCCAGAAUGGAAAGCACAAUUUGCAACCUUCAACGAGAGUAGCUAUGAGGGAAAUACUUUUCUUUGUGGAUUGCCAUUGCCCAUUUGCAGAUCACCAGCAACUACGCCGGAGGCUUCAAUUGGCAAUGAACGAGAUGAUAAUUUAAUUGACAUGAACAGUUUCUUUAUCACAUUUACAACAUCGUACGUAAUUGUGAUAUUCGGAAUUGUUAUUGUUUUAUAUGUAAAUCCUUAUUGGCGACGUAGAUGGUUUUACUUUGUUGAAAUGUGGAUAACUUCAUGUUACUAUUUUGUUGUAAACAAUCUUAUUGCAACAAGAUAUUGUCAUUGAAAUUAAUUAGCAGUUUAAUUACGAUUUUUUAAGUUCUAAUCAAAUUUGCUUAGGAAAUAUUUUUUUAUUAGAAUUGUAGUAGUAUUUAGCUUUAUAUAGCUUCCAACUUCCAACCACUUCACAUUUGUCUCUACACUUAAAAAACUGAGUGAUCAUGUUUUGCAGAUCUGGAUUUGGAGCAGGAUGGAUCCAAACCCAUAUCUGUCCACCAUAACUUAUAGCUUCCCUAUACUGUGCAGCAUACUUAAAUAAGAGAACCAUCUCCAAUGUUAAAAGCAUUCACUCUAUAACAUUCAUUUAGAAACUAUAUUCAGAAUAAUUUUAUAAUUAAACACAAGAAAUGAAACACACAGAUACACUUGAUCGCCUAUUUUACUCUAAAAAAGAACGAUUAUUGUGCUAUCAUCAUCUUCUUCACUAGCAACAUUAACACCAAAUCGAUGGACCCAUACAUUUCAUCAAGAAAGGUAUAUAUCCAAUAAAGUUGAAGCCUAACAAAAAAUUCAAGAAGAUUAAUGCCUCGCCACAACAAGGGGCACAACAACAUCAAAGUAGAGAUUAAGCAGUAUUCUCAAAGCUAAAACUCUCAAAUCCACCCACCAGAAUUUCAUAUCUCCUCAACAAUUUUAAGAACUAAAGAUAAUUAGGAUUUAACAUUAGUUUUUUAUAUAUUAGUUUCAUAAUUUACAAAUCAAUGAAGAUGAAGAUUAUGCUAAUAAAUUCAAAUUAUACCAUACAUUCUCUAGAUGUUACCAAAAAUUUCUAAGUCAAUCCCACAUAUUUCAUAAUUUUAAGACUAGAAAAUUUCACUAGUUAGAAGUUUCAUUACCUUCAAGUGGAAGAUGAAGAACAUUAUACAAGUGAUUCAGAUUAUAUCAUACAUACUCCAAAUGCAACUAGAAAUUAACAAGUUCAUGCGCACAUAUUUCAUAACAGUAAAAAUUUGUUGCUCAACAUGAUGUGUAUUUUUUUUCAAGGCAAUUUGGAAACACAAUUGUUACUACAGAUAUUCUUCUCAACUUGGAGAUAAAUACAAAUAUUAAAAUGCAUAUGAUCGCACAUAUUACUUCGAGUUUAGUAAGAUUUCAUUAAAAGAAGCAAUCAAACCACUUAUCAAUUGUCGCAGUCGUUCUAUAAACUAAAAUAGCAAUAUAAUACAAGAAAAAGAACAUAUAGAUACUUGGCAAGAGUUCAUUAAGAAGUCGCAUCACAUUCGGGUGAGGAGUUUGCUUCUGAUAUCUUGCUAGCUGGGGCUUUUUCUUGUCUUUCUAUGUAUGCCGAGGGAAACCAACCAGCUUGGCCCUUGCAUUCACCUUCCGACCAUCCAAUAGGAGCCACCUUGAGAAGUUAUAACUAAAACGGUGAAUUAAACAAAAGUUGACCGUUCAAAGACCUAAGGGGAAAACUAAUUCUUUUCACGUAGAAGGAGUGAACUAGUUGUGAUCACUGAAAUAACAACAUAACUAUGGAAGCAUAACAAGAUAUAAAUUCACAUGGCUAUAAGGGUAAACUGAGUGGUUUAGAACUGAGCUAGCAACCCUACUAUAUUCUGAUUUGCACUUCAAUGUAAAAGGGAAUAUAUGGUAGGAAGAAAGAAAACCAACCAGCAUUUGUUAACUCAUUGCUUUUCAAUCAAAAUUUUAAGAACAAAAUGCCAUGUGCUUUGAACAUCAAAUAAGUAUAAGCAUUAGUUCUAAAUUCCACAUAUCAUAAGUUGUUAGAAGGAUAAGUUAAUAGCAGAGUAGAAAAAUCUAUGUGUUGGUAUUUAGAGGGGAAAGUACCUGGCGAACCACAACAUAAUCAUCAAUUGAAAGACUUAGCUUUCCAUUUGCUUGAGCAUCAAAUGGAUGUAUAACCUGCAAGAUAAUGGGAUAAAUAGAACUUAAAAAAAGCAUAACAAAAGCAGCAACAGUAGCAGCAACGUUCAUUGUAACCACUAUGAUCAUGGCCAACAAAGAUAUAUUAGAAACAAAAUUCCAUUUUUACUACGACAUUAAUAUGUACUAUACGAUAUCAUGACGAUUGGGUUACUAAGAGCUAUCAAAGUCUAAUAAGUUCUGUAUAACUUUAUGUAGUUAUUUAAAUUAUGGAUCAGAUUUUAAAUUUGAAAUUUUGACUGCUCUCCACAAAACAUGGCCUAUGCACAAGAAAGUCAUAGAUAAUGAGGAUUACAAGUGUCCGACAUCUUUUGAGUGAUGGAUUUAACAUGAGAGCUUAUGGUCAGUCAAUUUCCUCUGCCUAGCAAUAUAAGCUUUCUCGGCCAGAUUUAUCAUCAAAUACAUAGAUUGCCCCCAAGUCACAUCCAUAUAAACAUAGUUUUUCUAGGUAAACCAAGUAAGGAGUAUCAUAAUUAAGACAUAAUCAUAAAAAGGCUCAUCUAACUUAAGAGAAAAUCUCAAAAAGAGGGAUGCUGAGCUAUCAGUCUUGUAUCUAUAAGCAAUAUCAAGACUUUACAUCACCUGCUACAUCGUGAGUGGCUACACAACUUUCAGUGGUUUGUCUUUCUUUGGCAUGCCUAACUCAGCUUUGAUGUUGCUGAGAUAUUGAUAGUAGAGACACUCAGACACAUGAUACUUCUAGCUCAUGCAUUCUAUCUAACUCAUCCAACAACUAUCUCUUUUUUAAUUCAUUAGUGUUUGCUAAACCUCAUGCUUAAAAGUCCUGUUCUCCUAAACAAAGUUUCCUAAGAAUGACUUCCUUAGCACCACAGUUGGACACUUUUAGAGCAAUUUUAUUUGGGGGGAAAGAAUUUUCAAGGUGUUAACCAAUAAAUUUUAAAAAAUAAUUACAAUUUGUCCUACGAUCAUAUGACAAUUUAUCUGGGAUGAAAGGAUACAGAUAGACAUCUUCCACUUUCAAGACUAAUCACUACUUCCGUAGAUGUUGUCCAAUAAUACAAAUACUUGACCAGAUGGUAGUGAUGGUAGAAAAAAAUUUUAUUGCUCCAAAAUUAAAAUAAGAAUGCAAUAUGUUAAGCAAAAUGCUGUUCAACAUCAAAUUAAUUGAUAAGUUUGUAAUUCAGUAAAUUAACAACUUUCAUGGUAAAAUACAACAAAUUUCUUUUGAAAAAAAUAAAUAAAAUAAAUCUUAAAAGACAGCAUUCAAUUUUGUGCACAUCUUAUUUCUUAAGAUUUUUCAGGAGGAGGGCAAUAGAGGGACUUUCACCUAUGCAAGAGAGCAGAAGCCUUACUUUCCCUAUAAAGUAGACGUCAUUCUGAUUAAUAUGCGUUUGCAAAUCAGCUCCGUUUGAAUCAGUAUUCUGAUAGACACACGAGGCAUUUACAUCCAUUUCCAAAGUCACAUGUUGCGAGGAGGACUCAUUUGAUUGCUCCUAUACGAUCAUCUAAUUCAAGUAGCAAGGGUUGGAAGAGAAUAAAAAGUCACAAUUAUUCUUUUGCAUAAGUGAGACAAAAAUGAUAAAUGCAAUAUUAUCAGCAGUAAACAAGAAGAGAACGCUCCAAGAAAUAGAUAGAUGCAGACAAGCAAGUUAAAAUGCAUAGUCCCAAACCUCCGCAUACAACUUCUCUAAAAUAGCAAUAACGUGUUGAUGCUAUGUUUUCUCAGCAUCUACCUGCAAAGGCCCGAGACCAGGAAAACAACAAUAAAACCACUAGCUGAAGGAGAAAGCAAAGAAAGAAAUACGCUUGACAUAAAUCUUGACAAGAAGCACAAUUUAAGACAUAACAAACCCCAAUCAUAUUGUUUAGAACUACCAUUCGUUAUUUCGUUAUUGUAACAUUUCGAACAAGUGUUGACUUAAUUCAACAUUGUUGGAAAGAUAGGCUUUUAGAAGCAGAAGAAAGCCUCUCAAACCAAAGUGCUUGUCCUUGUAUUGAUCAAGGGAUGUAAACAUAUUACAUUUGCAGGAUGAGAUUUAAUCACUCCCCUGAUUUAUUUGGGUUGCAAUAAAACUAAGCGAGCAACUGUUUGACUUUCAAGCAACAGCUAAAUCAGCUAUUAAAAUUCAAAUAAAAUCAUAAUAGAAUAAUAACAGGCCAUCUUGCAUCAAAAAUUAAGUUUAAUUUGUGAAUUUUUUUCUAUAGACAUGUCAGUUUCUGCUAUUGAAAUGUUAAAAGCAUUGAAAAAUUAUUCAAUAAAUUAUGCAAGCAUUAAAAUAGAGGACAAAUUAAAAAGUUUCUAAUUACAAUGUUAAUAUUUCCUAUAUUUUAGCAUUUGCAUAUUUUAAUUUAUUUAAAAGCUACGUCGAUCAACUUUGGGCAUGAAGAUUUUAGCUUCUACGAGACUUGAUUGGAAUAUGCAUAAGAGUGUUAAAAUAUGAUGCAUCCAACGAAAGACAAACCACGUGUAGUCUUUUAAUUAAGCCAAAGUAGCAGCUCAAACAAAUGACACUUGGACCAACAUGCAAUCAUGAAGUGGCCGGAAAAAGGACAAAUGCUACUUUGGCUUAAAUAAAAAAUAACAUGUGACUUGACUUUUGCUGGACAUGCAUCAUGUUAUUACAAGACAACAGAAAUCAGUAUGAUAGUAAUAAAAGUUGACAAUAACAUGAAGAUAAGAGGCAGAAUGUCAACACAUGCAUAGGCACACACAAGAAAGUAUUAACAUAUAUACCAUAGCAAAAACUCUUUGAUAUGUCAUCUGUUGCUGCUGUGAUUCAACUGACAGCAUGGCAGCUGUCGCUUCUCUACCAAGAGCCAUUAUUGUAGAUUUAAGCUCGGUCAAUCUUGCUUCUGCAUUUCGAAGCUUCACAGCACUCUCUGCUGAUAUAUCAGAUUCCCUAAUCUUUGAUCGGUGCCUAAAUACUUCAGCUGCCUGGUGAAAAUAUUCAAUAUAAAUCUAAUAUAAUUCUCAUCUUGCCUUAUACAUGCAUAUGUUACGUCAAAGCUUACCUGGGCUUCAACUUCAUGUCGAAUACAUCAGCAAUGAUGCUUUCAUAGCAUGAAAGUGUCUAAAUUUAACUGAAUGAUCUUGAUUAAUCAAUUAUGAGUUUUAAUCGAGUAAAAACUAAAUACAAUAAUCGUUAACAAAUAUUGAAAUUGGGUAAAUAUGAUCUUGAUAUUGAUGAAUUUGAAAUCACAACCCACACAGGAAAUUCCCCUUCGCGUGGGGAUGGAGAUGUUUACUGCAGCGAUAUUGAAUAUGUCCACUGCUCUUUGGGUUAUGGUGCGACUUGCCCUGAAACAAUGGAAAAGAUUAACAUACCCUCCAAUGAAUGAAAACGGGUGGACUAAUUCGGAUUACCUAAUUGACUCAGGAUCGGCUGGCAAUAAUAACAGUUUAUUAACAAUGCACAGUCCGAGUACUUUUCCAGGAUCAGAUGCGACGUGGUCUAAUGUUGAUAAUAAUAGAUUAUCAAAUGACAAAUCGUUGUUCUUGGGUGGUGAUUUCAGAAAUAAAAUACAUUCUGAGAGAUGCUGGUGUACUAUUGCAAGCCCCCAGAUUUAAGAAUCUUUUGAUGAUAAUUUAUCACCUGCAGCUGUGCCGGAAGAUUCAAGUAGCACUGAAAAAGAUGAUAAUGUAAUUGAUAUGGACAGUUUCCAUAUCACUUUUAAAUCAUCUUAUGUAAUUGUAAUGUUAGGAAGCAUUAGUGAUCUAAAAGUGAACUAUUAUUGGUGUCAUUGGUGGUUUUAUCUUGUUAAAAUAUGGAUGACUUCCUGUUACUAUUUUAUUGUAGACAAUCUUAUUUAAUUAACAUAUGGUUUAAAACCAUUAUGUUUUAUGUAAAUCAAUCUAUUAAUUUUCGUAAUAUUUAACUGAGUUAAAACCAAGUGCACUCAAUAAAUGUCUUUUCCUUCAAAAAACUGCUACGCUUUGAUUUUAGUGCUUAAUAUUUCGUAACUACAGAUUAUCUAAUUGCGAGUUGCUGUCCAUAGCUGCUAAUUUAUAGUGAUUAUCUAAUUGACGGAGGUGACAAUAAUUCUUUUAUUUUCAAUAGCACAACGUGGAAUUCAAUAAUUAAAUUCUCCUGUUUAAUUUGUUUUAAGUUAAAUUAUUAAUUACUUAAACUCUGUUUUAAGUCUUUAAUUUUCUGUGUUUAUGCAGAAUUGGAUUCUUGAGCGUGUUGGACAUGACCAACAAUGAAAUUGACUGUAAACAAACAUUACAACGUGUGGACUCCGGUAGCUACCCCGCAAGUCUACAACUUCACAAAUAAUAAUUGAGUAAGCACCUUUGAUUUUUUAGCCCCGUUGACUCCACCGACUAAAGUUUUGUAAAAUAAAAAAAAAUACAUAGAAUUCCACCAAAUGCAAAACGCGUGGAAUUUAAUUUUCGGCCGUGUAGAUCAAAACAUAAUUUAACGAAAAAGGAAAAAAAUGAUAAGAUUUUUAAAAUGUGUGGAAGAUGAUCCAUAUUUUACUGAAACAACUUGUUAAAUUUUUCAAGGAUUUAAAAUAUUUGGUCAUAAAUUACGUGCAUGUUAAUUUUUCCGCCAUUGACUAUCAUAUUGUAGACUUAAUGGUACCUUUCUUGAUGAAGGGUGCUUAAUCUCUCUUCUCCUCUUAUAAAAAUUAUAUUAAUUGAUUUCUUGUUAUAGUUAAUAGUCUUCAAGAACGGAUAGAUUUAUUGUUUUCAUGACCAAAUUAUGCAUGCCUAACGUUGCAACUAUUAAUAAAAUUAAUAUUUAAUGUUUGUGUUAAAAUAUAUAAGAUUUUAUGCAUUCAUUAAUUGUUAUUAGCUAAAGGAUGAAUUAUUUUUUCCCAAUCAGUUGAUGCAUCUGCAAGAGUUUUUUUUUUUCUUUUAUUGACCAUAAUUAUAUUCCGGGUACAAUAAAUUGUCUUUGGUGCUUGGAAGAUAUGACAUCUCUCUGUCAACUUACUGGAAAUAUCUCCUCAUCUACUCUCAUUUAUCUAAUAUCAAUUGAAGAUCUCAUAUUUCCAAACUAUGACUUCCAAAUCUCAUUAUCAUUUGAGCAUUCAAAACUAAUCAAGUGUGGAAAUAAUCAAAUAUAUGCAAAAAUCGAGUCACAAUCUUUGGCCCCUCAAAAUUCUAAUUAUAUAACUUCAUAUCUCAUACAUUUUCCAAAUUCCUCUUCCAUCAACAUCACUAGGAGUAUGUUCAUCUCUCACACAUUAACUUGAGUGGAGAGUUUCCAAAUUGAUUGUCAGAAAACAAUACAAAAGCUAGACAAACUUGAUCUGUCUACUAAUUAUCUUUCGGUAAAAUUAAUUAAUUUUAGGGUAAUAUUCAGCCAACCUCUGUAAUUUUAGAGUGAUCAUUAAUUAAUUAAACGAUACAAUAUCUAAAGUGAUUAGAUGUUUGCGGACAAUACAAGUUCAUGGCUUGAAAUUUGAUCUCUAUCGAUUGGUUUACAGAUGGACGUACUUGUGCCUUUGUGGUGAUAAUUGAACCAGAGAUGUGAAGCUGAUAGUAAAUUGUUAUAAAGGCAUAAAGACAAGUUCCCAUGAUUAUUAUUUUUUCCAAAAACUAUUUUACAACAAAUUCAUCUCGCCAAAAAUUCUAUUUUGCUAACUAACAAUAAUUGAGCACUUGACCGCAUUGACUCCACGUCUCCAGCUACUUUCUAAGUAAAAACAUGGAAAUGUAAUCUCCACAAAAUGCCAAACGUGUGGAAUUUAAUUUUUGGCCUUGUGGACCAAAAUGCAAAUGAAAGAAAAAGAAGGAAAAAAACAAGGCCCAAAGACUUCUAAAAGAUGUAAAAGUCUUUGGGUUUUUUUAUAAUGGUGGAUUUUUUAAAAGAAAAAAAUAACAACACUUCUAUGGUUUGUUUUGAUAAUCACAUUUACAUAUACUCUCUAAUUUUCAAAAUGGACACAUAAAUCUUUUUUUUCUACAAAUGUAUAUUAUUCGUAUUGUUUAUUAUUUUUAAUAUCAUAUUGUUAUUUAUUAUAAAUGUUUAAAGUAAUUUUUAGGUUGAAAUAUAAUAAAAAGGUAUAAUCGUUCUCUUAUUAAACACCCAUACUUUUAGUUUCUAUCCAUUUGUCAUCUCAAUCUCUCUCAAUUAUUCUUUAUUGCUAGCUCAAAACGCGUUGCUGUUGCAAAUUAUAGCAAAAAGACAAAUAUGGAAAAGAAAAAAGGGUAGAAAAUUAAUGCAUGAAAGACUUGGAGAAAACAACGAAGUAAGUCAACUAUAAUCUAGCUGGGUGUAUAAAUUGUUUGAUGCUUUAUAAGCAAAUAACAUACAGAGACAGACAAUGUGUGUUCGUUUUUUCAUAGUUAAAGAUAUAGUUAGAAUGGGUGGUUCAAAAUCAAAAAUGGUGAUAAUGUUUGUUAUGUUAUUAAUAAUAUUUAAAAGUGGGUGGAGUGAGGGAUGUUGGGAUCACGAGAGAUUUGCUCUUUUGCGACUCAAACAUUUCUUCGAUGAUACUGGUAGUUAUCUUUACGACUGGGUAGAUGAUGAGGGAGCUACUGAUUGUUGUCAAUGGGAAAGGGUUGAGUGCAGCAACACCACAGGCCGAGUGAUAGCGCUAGACCUUUUUGAAAUGUAUUCGGGAGAGUACAGCUGGUAUCUGAAUGCUUCUUUGUUUACUCCCUUCCAACAACUUGAGUCACUUGAUUUAACUGACAACAAUAUAGCUGGUUGUGUUGAGAAUGAAGGUGCUUCGUUUAAUUUAAUUAAUUUACUUUCUCCCCCCUAAUUUAAGUUGAAUAUCAAGACCGAGCAACUAUACGCAUAUUCAUUUAGUCGACAAUUUUGACUUUUUUUUUAAGUGAUUAAUUAAUUUUAAAAUUACACCAAUAUCUAUGAUCUUUUUUUUUUUUUAAUUUUGCUUGCAGGUCUAGAGAGGCUAUCAAGAUUGAACAACUUGAAGAUGCUUAAUUUAUGUGAUAACUCGUUCAACAAUAGCAUUUUAUCAUCACUAACUCAUCUUUCAUCAUUAAGAUCAUUAAAUUUAUACGGGAAUAGAUUGGAAGGAAGUAUUGACGUUAAAGGUACAUAAUUAAAACUUCAUCCCUUAUCCAAGCUCUUUCAUUAACUUGCUAAAAUAAGAUUCAAGGCUUUGAAUUCAAUUUUUUUUUUAUGAUUAGUAUUAAAAAAACAGUUUCAAGCAAUUUAUAAAUACAAGUUUUAAUGUUUCUCAUAAUUUCAUCUUGUACUUUGAUAUGUCUCGAAUUUAAGAUUAAAAAAAAAAAACUCUAAUAGCGAACCAAACACCUCCACAACUUAUUAUUAUUAUUAUUAUUUGUGGUGAGGUUUGAAACAUUCAACUCAAUUUGUACUUAUUACAGAAUUUGAUUCUUUGAGAGAUUUAGAGGAGCUAGACAUUGGUGAGAACAAGAUUGACAAAUUUGUGGUCUCAAAAGGUACUACAAAUACCAUAAAAAAAAUGCUAACUUAUUCAAAUUAGUUGGAUUCUUUGCCAUUUGGUUUAUUAUUUUGCAGGUUUGAGUAAGCUGAAGUCUCUCGAUUUAAGUGGUAUGAAACUCAAUCGUAGCAUCUUAUCUUCUCUUUCUUCGUUAAGAGAAUUAUAUAUAAGUCGUACGGGAUUCAAAGGAACAUUUGAUGUUCGAGGUAAGUCUAAGCCUUGCUUUCUCAUUUUAUAUAUGCCAACUAGAUUUGUGUAUCAUCGCCAUAAUUUAAUAUUUAAUUUGAUAAGUCUGAAGGAAUUACAUGCUAAUUUAAACAUACUUUUAUUUACUUUGUCCAUUAAUUAAUUAAUUACUAUUUGGCUUGGUUUGGAUGAAAUUCUCAUGAUGUUUUAAUUUCUUUAAAUUAAUUAAUUAAUUAACUCUGUUUUUAAGUCUUAAGUCUGGGCAUGUUUGCAGAAUUUGAUUCCUUCAAUAACUUAGAAGUGUUGGACAUGAGUGGCAAUGAAAUCGACAAUCUUGUGGUUCCUCAAGGUAAACAAUUAAAAUAUUAUUCAAUUACAUUAUUUUAAUUCAUUUGAUUAGAGAAGGCCAAAAAGGUCCCAAAAAAAAAUAAUAAUAAAGAAACAGAUAAUUUGUAUUAUUUAAAAAACAUAGUGUAAUAAAGAUUUGAUUCUAGUUAUUUAAUCUUUAAAGCGAUUGAAAAACAAUGUUACUCUUUUCCCAAAGCAUAAAAUACGAAUUGAAUGCCAAUUAACUUAAUCAUUCAUUUCGUUUAGCUCUAAAUUUAGACAAUGAAUUUUUAUAUUAUUUCAAAAACAAGACGUAAUAGAAUUUUUUUAAAAAACAGAUUGUAAUAAAGAUUUGAUUCCAAUUCUUUAACCUUUACAGUGAUUGAAAAACGAUACUGCUUCCCAAAGCAUAAAAUGCAAAUUGACUCCCAAUUAAAUUAAUCAUUUAUUUCAUUUAGGUCUAAAUUUUAGAAAAAUGAAUUUUGAUUCUCUUCAAUCUUUUCUUAAUUAUUAUUAAAAAACAGGUUACAGAGGUUUGAGGAAGCUGAAAAGCCUUGAUCUAUCGGGAGUUGGAAUUAGAGAUGGAAGCAAGUUGUUACAGUCAAUGGGAUCAUUCCCAUCCCUCAACACUCUUUACCUGAGGGAUAAUAAUUUUACCGAUAUAGCGACAACUACUACUCAAGGUAAGUAAAAGGUACAAAUGUGGCCAAAUUUAUAAAUAAACUGUUAAUUAAUUAAUUUUUCCGUAUUAUUAAUUAAGCUAAAUCCGUUGCUCCUUCCUUCUAAAUCUAAACAGAGUUGCACAAUUUCACCAACUUGGAAUAUUUGAAAUUGGACGAAUCCUGUCUCCAUAUAAGCCUUCUGCAAAGCAUUGCAUCAUUAUUCCCUUCGUUAAAAAAUCUGUCGAUGUCUUAUUGUGAAGUCAAUGGUGUCGUACGCGGUCAAGGUAAAAGAAAAGCGUUGAUUGUGAACUCACUCAAUGGUGUCCUACGUGUUCAACAUUUUUAUUUAUUUAUUUAUUGUUUAAUGUUUCUGCUAGGUUUUCCUCAUUUCAAGAGUUUGGAACAUUUUCACAUGCAUUUCACGCGCAUUGCACUCAACACCAACUUUCUUCAAAUCAUCGGAGAAUCAAUGCCUUCUCUUAAGUACUUAUCACUGUCAAAUUCUACUCGUGGCACUAACAGCAGCAGGAUUCUUGAUCAAGGUUAAUCAGAUGCUCCCACCCUCCCUUCUUAAUCUAUAAUAUUAAUUUUCAAUUCAAUAUUUAAUUACACAAACAAUACGCAUUCAUUAAUUUUUAUAUUGUAUUAAUUGAUGAAUUUAAUAAAUUUUCAGGCCUCUGUUCGCUGGUGCAUCUGCAAGAAUUGCGCAUGGCUGAUAAUGAUUUAAGAGGUAGCUUGCCUUGGUGCUUGGCAAAUAUGACAUCCCUCCGAAUAUUAGAUGUUUCUAUCAAUCAACUUACUGGAAGCAUCUUCUCAUCUCCCCUCGUUCAUUUGACAUCCAUUGAAGAGUUGUAUCUUUCAAACAACCACUUCCAGAUCCCAAUUUCACUUGAACCACUUUUCAAUCAUUCAAGACUCAAGAUUUUUUAUGCUGACAACAACGAACUAAAUGCAGAAAUAACUGAGUCACAUUCUUUGACCGCCCCAAACUUCCAAUUAAAUAGACUCUUGUUGUCUUCCAGUUACGGAGACAGUUUCAUAUUCCCCAAAUUUCUUUACCAUCAACAUGACCUGGAGCUUGUUGAUCUCUCACACAUAAAGAUGAAUGGAGAAUUUCCAACUUGGUUGUUGGAAAACAACACAAAAUUAGAAACUCUUUCUCUCGUCAAUGAUUCUCUUGGAGGAACUUUUCGGUUGCCAAUUCAUUCACACAAGCGGUUAGGAAUAUUGGAUAUAUCCAACAACAACUUCCGAGGCCACAUUCCAUUAGAAAUUGGGGAUAUUUUACCAAGUUUAUACGUUUUCAACAAUUCCAUGAAUGCUUUAGAUGGUAGCAUUCCCUCUUCAUUUGGUAAUAUGAAAUUCCUCCAAUUUCUGGACUUAUCCAACAAUCACUUGACUGGUGAAAUCCCCGAGCACUUGGCCGUCGGUUGCGUCAACUUGGAGUCUCUUGCAUUAUCAAAUAACAACCUACAAGGUCACAUGUUCUCUAGAAAUUUUAACUUGACAAACUUGAAAUGGUUACAAUUGGAGGGCAAUCGCUUCGUAGGUGAGAUCCCACGAAGUUUGUCUAAAUGCUCCUCAUUAGAAGGAUUGUAUCUUAACAAUAAUAGUCUUUCGGGUAAGAUUCCACGAUGGUUGGGUAAUCUCACAAGGUUACAAUAUAUUAUAAUGCCCAAUAAUCAUCUUGAAGGCCCUAUUCCAGUGGAGUUUUGUCAGCUGGAUUUGCUUCAGAUUUUGGACAUUUCAGGCAACAACAUAUCUGGAAGUCUACCAUCUUGUUUCCAUCCUCUCAAUAUCAAACAAGUUCAUCUUUCAAAAAAUAUGUUACAUGGACAGCUAAAAAGAGGUACAUUCUUUAAUUGCGCUUCCCUUGUGACAUUAGAUCUUAGCUAUAACCGCUUGAAUGGCAGCAUUCCGGAUUGGGUUGAUGGGCUUUCUCAGUUAAGUCACCUUAUCUUAGGUCACAAUAAUCUUGAAGGUGAAGUGCCAGUUCAAUUGUGCGAAUUGAACCAACUACAAUUGUUAGAUCUUUCUAAUAAUAAUCUUCACGGUCCUAUUCCUCCUUGCUUUGAUAACACCACACUUCAUGAAAGUUACAGCAAUAGUUCUAGUCCUGAUGAGCAAUUUGAAAUAUUUUUUUCCAUCGAAGGCCAUCAGGGAUUUUUAGAAAAGCAAAACCAUGAAAUUUUUGAGUUCACAACAAAGAACAUUGCGUACAUUUACCAAGGAAAAGUGCUUAGCCUCCUAUCAGGACUUGAUCUUUCUUGCAACAAGCUAAUUGGUCAUAUUCCUCCUCAAAUUGGAAAUUUGACAAGGAUUCAAACAUUGAAUCUAUCACACAACAACUUGACAGGAUUGAUCCCAUCAACAUUUUCAAACUUGAAGCAUGUCGAAAGUUUGGAUCUUUCCAACAACAAAUUGAAUGGGAAAAUCCCUCAUCAACUAGUGGAGUUAAAGACAUUGGAGGUUUUCAGUGUGGCAUACAAUAACUUAUCAGGAGAAAUUCCAGAAUGGACUGCACAAUUUGCAACCUUCAAUGAGAGUAGCUAUAAGGGAAAUACUUUUCUUUGUGGAUUGCCAUUGCCCAUUUGCAGAUCACCAGCAACUAUGUCGGAGGCAUCAAUUGGCAAUGAACGAGAUGAUAAUUUAAUUGACAUGGACAGUUUCUUUAUCACAUUUACAACAUCGUACGUAAUUGUGAUAUUCGCAAUUGUUAUUAUUUUACAUGUAAAUUCUUAUUGGCGACGUAGAUGGUUUUACUUUGUUGAAAUGUGGAUAACUUCAUCUUACUAUUUUGUUGUAGACAAUCUUAUUCCAACAAGAUUUUGUCAUUGAAAUUAAUUAGUAGCUUAAUUACGAUUCUUUAAGUACUAAUCAAGUUUGCUUAGGAAAUAUUUUUUUAUUAAAAUUGUAGUAGUAUUUAGCAUUAUAUAGCUUCCAACUUCCAAGCACUUCACAUUUGUCUCUACACUUAAAAAACUGAGUGAUCAUGUUUUGCAGAUCUGGAUUUGGAGCAGGAUGGAUCCAAACCCAUAUCUGUCCACCACAACUUAUAGCUUCCCUAUACUGUGCAGCAUACUUAAAUAAGAGAACCAUCUCCAAUGUUAAAAGCAUUCACUCUAUAACAUUCAUUUAGAAACUAUACUCAGAAUAAUUUUAUAAUUAAACACAAGAAAUGAAACACACAGAUACACUUGAUCGCCUAUUUUACUCUAAAAAAGAACGAUUAUUGUGCUAUCAUCAUCUUCUUCACUAGCAACAUUAACACCAAAUCGAUGGACCCAUACAUUUCAUCAAGAAAGGUAUAUAUCCAAUAAAGUUGAAGCCUAACAAAAAAUUCAAGAAGAUUAAUGCCUCGCCACAACAAGGGGCACAACAACAUCAAAGUAGAGAUUAAGCAGUAUUCUCAAAACUAAAACUCUCAAAUCCACCCACCAGAAUUUCAUAUCUCCUCAACAAUUUUAAGAACUAAAGAUAAUUAGGAUUUAACAUUAGUUUUUUAUAUAUUAGUUUCAUAAUUUACAAAUCAAUGAAGAUGAAGAUUAUGCUAAUAAAUUCAAAUUAUACCAUACAUUCUCUAGAUGUUACAAAAAAUUUCUAAGUCAAUCCCACAUAUUUCAUAAUUUUAAGACUAGAAAAUUUCACUAGUUAGAAGUUUCAUUACCUUCAAGUGGAAGAUAAAGAACAUUAUACAAGUGAUUCAGAUUAUAUCAUACAUACUCCAAAUGCAACUAGAAAUUAACAAGUUCAUGCGCACAUAUUUCAUAACAUUAUGAUUGAAAAGUUUCACAAAGAGAAAUUCUAAAUUCAAUAUCUUGCAUGAAGGCAGUUUGAUUGAUUUGAGUUACUUUCUUAUCAAGCUACUAAUAUAACAUUCAAGUCAGGGAGAAAAUAAAUUAAAGCAGGGAAGAAAUAACAGUAAAAAUUUGUUGCUCAACAUGAUGUGUAUUUUUUUUCAAGGCAAUUUGGAAACACAAUUGUUACUACAGAUAUUCUUCUCAACUUGGAGAUAAAUACAAAUAUUAAAAUGCAUAUGAUCGCACAUAUUACUUCGAGUUUAGUAAGAUUUCAUUAAAAGAAGCAAUCAAACCACUUAUCAAUUGUCGCAGUCGUUCUAUAAACUAAAAUAGCAAUAUAAUACAAGAAAAAGAACAUAUAGAUACUUGGCAAGAGUUCAUUAAGAAGUCGCAUCACAUUCGGGUGAGGAGUUUGCUUAUGAUAUCUUGCUAGCUGGGGCUUUUUCCUGUCUUUCUACGUAUGCCGAGGGAAACCAACCAGCUUGGCCCUUGCAUUCACCUUCCGACCAUCCAAUAGGAGCCACCUUGAGAAGUUAUAACUAAAACGGUGAAUUAAACAAAAGUUGACCGUUCAAAGACCUAAGGGGAAAACUAAUUCUUUUACGUAGGAGGAGUGAAUUAGUUGUGAUCACUGAAAUAACAGCAUAACUAUGGAAGCAUAACAAGAUAUAAAUUCACACGUCUAUAAGGGUAAACUGGGUGGUUUAGAACUGAGCUAGCAACCCUACUAUAUUCUGAUUUGCACUUCAAUGUAAAAGGGAAUAUAUGGUAGGAAGAAAGAAAACCAACCAUCAUUUGUUAACUCAUUGCUUUUCAAUCACAAUUUUAAGAAAAAAAUGCCAUGUGCUUUGAACAUCAAAUAAGUAUAAGCAUUAGUUCUAAAUUCCACAUAUCAUAAGUUGUUAGAAGGAUAAGUUAAUAGCAGAGUAGAAAAAUCUAUGUGUUGGUAUUUAGAGGGGAAAGUACCACAACAUAAUCAUCAAUUGAAAGACUUAGCUCUCCAUUUGCUUGAGCAUCAAAUGGAUGUAUAACCUGCAAGAUAAUCGGAUAAAUAGAACUUAAUCUUAAAAAAAGCAUAACAAAAGCAGCAACAGUAGCAGCAACGUUCAUUGUAACCACUAUGAUCAUGGCCAACAAAGAUAUAUUAGAAACAAAAUUCCAUUUUUACUACGACAUUAAUAUGUACUAUACGAUAUCAUGACGAUUGGGUUACUAAGAGCUAUCAAAGUCUAAUAAGUUCUGUAUAACUUUAUGUAGUUAUUUAAAUUAUGGAUCAGAUUUUAAAUUUGAAAUUUUGACUGCUCUCCACAAAACAUGGCCUAUGCACAAGAAAGUCAUAGAUAAUGAGGAUUACAAGUGUCCGACAUCUUUUGAGUGAUGGAUUUAACAUGAGAGCUUAUGGUCAGUCAAUUUCCUCUGCCUAGCAAUAUAAGCUUUCUCGGCCAGAUUUAUCAUCAAAUACAUAGAUUUCCCCCAAGUCACAUCCAUAUAAACAUAGUUUUUCUAGGUAAACCAAGUAAGGAGUAUCAUAAUUCAGACAUAAUCAUAAAAAGGCCCAUCUAACUUAAGAGAAAAUCUCAAAAAGAGGGAUGCUGAGCUAUCAGUCUUGUAUCUAUAAGCAAUAUCAAGACUUUACAUCACCUGCUACAUCGUGAGUGGCUACACAACUUUCAGUGGUUUGUCUUUCUUUGGCAUGCCUAACUCAGCUUUGAUGUUGCUGAGAUAUUGAUAGUAGAGACACUCAGACACAUGAUACUUCUAGCUCAUGCAUUCUAUCUAACUCAUCCAACAACUAUCUCUUUUUUAAUUCAUUAGUGUUUGCUAAACCUCAUGCUUAAAAGUCCUGUUCUCCUAAACAAAGUUUCCUAAGAAUGACUUCCUUAGCACCACAGUUGGACACUUUUAGAGCAAUUUUAUUUGGGGGGAAAGAAUUUUCAAGGUGUUAACCAAUAAAUUUUAAAAAAUAAUUACAAUUUGUCCUACGAUCAUAUGACAAUUUAUCUGGGAUGAAAGGAUACAGAUAGACAUCUUCCACUUUCAAGACUAAUCACUACUUCCGUAGAUGUUGUCCAAUAAUACAAAUACUUGACCAGAUGGUAGUGAUGGUAGAAAAAAAUUUUAUUGCUCCAAAAUUAAAAUAAGAAUGCAAUAUGUUAAGCAAAAUGCUGUUCAACAUCAAAUUAAUUGAUAAGUUUGUAAUUCAGUAAAUUAACAACUUUCAUGGUAAAAUACAACAAAUUUCUUUUGAAAAAAAUAAAAAAAAUAAAUCUUAAAAGACAGCAUUCAAUUUUGUGCGCAUCUUAUUUCUUAAGAUUUUUCAGGAGGAGGGCAAUAGAGGGACUUUCACCUAUGCAAGAGAGCAGAAGCCUUACUUUCGCUAUAAAGUAGACGUCAUUCUGAUUAAUAUGCGUUUGCAAAUCAGCUACGUUUGAAUCAGUAUUCUGAUAGACACACGAGGCAUUUACAUCCAUUUCCAAAGUCACAUGUUGCGAGGAGGACUCAUUUGAUUGCUCCUAUACGAUCAUCUAAUUCAAGUAGCAAGGGUUGGAAGAGAAUAAAAAGUCACAAUUAUUCUUUUGCAUAAGUGAGACGAAAAUGAUAAAUGCAAUAUUAUCAGCAGUAAACAAGAAGAGAACGCUCCAAGAAAUAGAUAGAUGCAGACAAGCAAGUUAAAAUGCAUAGUCCCAAACCUCCGCAUACAACUUCUCUAAAGUAGCAAUAACGUGUUGAUGCUAUGUUUUCUCAGCAUCUACCUGCAAAGGCCCGAGACCAGGAAAACAACAAUAAAACCACUAGCUGAAGGAGAAAGCAAAGAAAGAAAUACACUUGACAUAAAUCUUGACAAGAAGCACAAUUUAAGACAUAACAAACCCCAAUCAUAUUGUUUAGAACUACCAUUCGUUAUUUCGUUAUUGUAACAUUUCGAACAAGUGUUGACUUAAUUCAACAUUGUUGGAAAGAUAGGCUUUUAGAAGCAGAAGAAAGCCUCUCAAACCAAAGUGCUUGUCCUUGUAUUGAUCAAGGGAUGUAAACAUAUUACAUUUGCAGGAUGAGAUUUAAUCACUCCCCUGAUUUAUUUGGGUUGCAGUAAAACUAAGCGACCAACUGUUUGACUUUCAAGCAACAGCUAAAUCAGCUAUUAAAAUUCAAAUAAAAUCAUAAUAGAAUAAUAACAGGCCAUCUUGCAUAAAAUAUUAAGUUUAAUUUGUGAAUUUUUUUCUAUAGACAUGUCAGUUUCUGCUAUUGAAAUGUUAAAAGCUUUGAAAAAUUAUUCAAUAAAUUAUGCAAGCAUUAAAAUAGAGGACAUAUUAAAAAGUUUCUAAUUACAAUGUUAAUAUUUCCUAUAUUUUAGCAUUUGCAUAUUUUAAUUUAUUUAAAAGCUACGUCGAUCAACUUUGGGCAUGAAGAUUUUAGCUUCUACGAGACUUGAUUGGAAUAUGCAUAAGAGUGUUAAAAUAUGAUGCAUCCAACGAAAGACAAACCACGUGUAGUCUUUUAAUUAAUCCAAAGUAGCAGCUCAAACAAAUGACACUUGGACCAACAUGCAAUCAUGAAGUAGCCGGAAAAAGGACAAAUGCUACUUUGGCUUAAAUAAAAAAUAACAUGUGACUUGACUUUUGCUGGACAUGCAUCAUGUUAUUACAAGACAACAGAAAUCAGUAUGAUAGUAAUAAAAGUUGACAAUAACAUGAAGAUAAGAGGCAGAAUGUCAACACAUGCAUAGGCACACACAAGAAAGUAUUAACAUAUAUACCAUGGCAAAAACUCUUUUAUAUGUCAUCUGUUGCUGCUGUGAUUCAACUGACAGCAUGGCAGCUGUCGCUUUUCUACCAAGAGCCAUUAUUGUAGAUUUAAGCUCGGUCAAUCUUGCUUCUGCAUUUCGAAGCUUCACAGCACUCUCUGCUGAUAUAUCAGAUUCCCUAAUCUUUGAUCGGUGCCUAAAUACUUCAGCUGCCUGGUGAAAAUAUUCAAUAUAAAUCUAAUAUAAUUCUCAUCUUGCCUUAUACAUGCAUAUGUUACGUCAAAGCUUACCUGGGCUUCAACUUCAUGUCGAAGUUUGUCAUAACAAUGAGUCAGGUGUCGAGCAUCUUCCAAAGGUGCUCCGUUGAUUAACGCCCGUAGUGGCUCAGAUACCUACAUGUCCAAAAACCUGUAACAUAGUUAGAAAAAUGAAAAGAAAGAGCGAAACCUCAAUUAAAAAGUUCAUCCAACAUAAUCAUGGAAUUUGGGCCUACUUUAAGAAUAUAUAUAAGGAUAAUUUAUGCAAUUUUGGGUCUUAGGAUGAUUGGCAUUAGGUUAGUGUUCUUCUCUUCUGUAUUUAAGGUUAAAAUAGAAAUAAACCUAUGCAAGUAUCUAAAUUAGGCCUGUAAGACAUCCACAUGCAUCCUUCAGUCUCAUGGAUUUGAUUUUACUAUAGAUGCAAGUGUCUUUAUUGAAAAUGCUUGGAGUCAAUUGAGAGAACUCAUGGCCAAUAACUUGUCACACGCUAGUCUUUGCUAGUGAUGUAAGAAGUCACAAGGUCUCUUCAACAUUUGAACCAAUAAAAUUAUUAAGUCAUGGAUGUCACUAGCAAUGAUUUUAAUAUAAAACAUUAAGUGCCUGUUUGGUAUGGCUUAUUUAAGAGGCAUAAGUGCUUAUUUAAUCGUAUAAGCACUUUUUAAAAAUUUUUAUGGUGUUUGGUUAUUUUUUUAGUAGAGCUUUUUUAGCUUAAAUAAGCUAAUUUACCUCUACUAGCAAAAGCCCAAAAUUUGAGCUUUUGGGAGUAGAGGUUAUAGAGCUUUUCUAAAAAUAUAUAAUAUAAAAAAUAUUACAUAGUUUAAUGGUUCAAAAGUACUUUUUUUAUUGCAACCAAACACCCAAUGACUUUUUGUCUAAAAGCUCUAUUGGUAUAAGCUCUACUACUAUAAGCUCUAUUGUUAUAAGCUCUAUUUAAUAAGCUGUACCAAACGGAGCCUAAAUAUUUCAGAGUUGUAACUUUAAAAUGGAUUCUUUUAUUCAAUAUCAUAGAACUAAGUUUCCUUAUGAGAAGAUAAUAGUUUCGAUAAUAAUUUUACAUAUAAUUUUCUAUAUUUGAAUUAUUUUCUAGUUCGUGAUGAACUAACCUGAUCACGAAGAAUCCCGAGCAAAGUUUCCCUCUCAUUUUCCAUCAAAUCAUGUGAAGUGCCAAAUUGAAGAGCAGCUCUUGCAACGCAAGAAUUGUCACUUUGAUUCUAUGCUCCAUACUUGCAACAAUCUUCAGCCAACUUUCUCGCUACAAUAUUUGAAUACAAAAAUAUUGUACACAAGAACUAUAAAAAAAACUAAUGAAAAAUGCCAAGAUGGAGCAGAUGCUUCAAUACUGCCUGUACAAACCAUAAAAAACUAAUGAAAAAUAAAUAAAAUCGAGAAAUUUUACUAAUUAAAAGUCUAAAUAUAAUUUUGAAAAAAGAAAAGAAACGGACUUGCUGCUGCUUGGCGACUUGUUCUCGGAGCUUGAUUGCCUGUUUCUUGAUAGCUUCCAUACUGUUUCUUUCAAAAAGCGACGACGGCUCUGCUCAUGGAAGUGGAAAAAAAAAGUGUGAUCGAGAAAAAUGUAAAGGCGUGAAUAAUUUUGGCAAAAAGCGAAAAUCAAGGAAAGCCGGCUAUUUCCAGAAAAUAAAAAAAAAAGAAAAUCAUAAGUUUGAAAGGAGAAGAUGAUAGUGGAAGUAUGCAGUGUGGCUGCCAGGUACUUGGAUUGUAUUGUCGGGUAAGAUAAAAGUGGAGAAUUAUAAGUUUGAACAGAGCAUGUUGGACUUUUGUUGACCAAACUCAAAAGCCCAAUGGGACGGCCCAGAAGCUUUUGAAUAGAAAAACUUGCAAGAAAGCAUCAGUUUAAAUCACUACUUAAACGCUUGCUUUAACUGCACCGCUUUGUACUGUUUUAUGUAUGUAGCGGUUGUGCGGUUGUAAUUCACGGCUGACGCUACGUGUUUGUUUGUACUGUUCUAUUCGGUGACAGAGUAUUAUUAGUUAGGCCAAAACUAUGUUGCAACAGUGAUACAGUAACACUGUUGCUUUUAGUCAUUAGAUCUAUAGUUAUACAGUUGCAUUAACAAGAUUUAAUGGCUGAAAGCAACAGUGGUACCGAACUACUGUUGCAACAUAGCUGGAGCCUAUUAGUUAUUUCAAAGGGAUAAAUAAGAUUGGUUACAACAAACCUACUAAUUUUAUAAAAUUCAAGUAACAUAGAAUAAAAUAAAAAAAUAAAUACAAAAUUGACUUUUAUUUUUUAUGGUUGACUAUAUUUUGUGUUCUCUUCGGGCACUGCUACAAUUGCUACAAUUGUUCCCUAUAUAUCAAUUACACCACAUACUAUCGACACAAGAAAUGAAAUCUAAUAUCACCUAUUUAGUUAAAAAAUCACUCAUGAAAAAAUUUUACCAUUUUGAUUUGAGGAUCCAUAUUUUGAACUACAAGCUAAUGUUCAUCAAGAAUCACUGAUAGCCGUUGAGUAGAAAAAUUAUUUUUGGACAAAUUAUUUUUGUUGAUAGAAGAAUUUCUUUAGGGACUACUAAAUUAUUAAUAAAAAUGUCGAACACACCCAAAUAUCAUCGACACAAUUGAUUUUGAGGAUCCAUGGUUUGAACUGCCGGCUAAUGUUCAUCAAGAAUAGAGUAUGGCUUGUGAGUAGAAAAUUUUCUUAUUUUGGCCCGAAAUAAAAAGAAAUUAAAUUGGAUGAGAAUCUGCCACUUUCUCAUGAAGAAAGGCAUACGGAGCAUACCAUGGUACCAUAAAAUAUAAGGAGCCUCCGUUCUUUGGUUUUUCAAACUCUGAAGGGGCCAAUAUUGCCAAAUUCCCCCUUGAAAAUUCUGAUUACGAAAUUAUUCAUCGCUUGAUGCAAUCAAAGUAGUGACAAAGUAAUUGCUAGGCAAGGUUGCUGAGAGCAAAAUUGUCCUAAGCAUUAUAUGCAUACAUGGUGCGGUACAUAGAGCACGUUGAAUUCCCCACUAUAACACAAAUCUAGAAAGACAAGUAAUAACUCAACUGAUAUAAAGACAAAAAGAAGAUAAAAUGAUAUAGAAAAAAGAAUUUCAAAGAGAGAGCAACAUACGAUAGACUGAAGCCACUUGAUCUGCUCAUUGAUUGCAGCCUUAAACUUGCAAAUAGUUACUGUACGCUAGUGCUCUAAGAAGUGAAAAUGAUGCAAGCCCUGAUUCCCUUUUGACUUCCAUUUACUGUCAAACAUUCUAGUAAUACAAAAAAUUAUUUAGAUAUCUUGCUAUAAAUAUAGCCGUUUGACUGUCAUAAUAAAGUCACAAAUAACCAUUCAUAUUGAUCUACUAUCACACAGCAUGCUUUAUGCAUACAACAGCUGUAUGUAUACCAACUCCUAACCUUAUCAAUACAUUUGGCAAAAACUUAAGAAGAAAACUAUUUCUCCAUCUCUUUUUUGAAAUUUCACAAUAACCAGCACAAUGUGAAAGCUAUGUUCUAACCUUAUGAUAAAUGCUCUAGACUCCAAAAGGAUUUUAUAUAUGAGACUUUGUUGCAGCAGAUAUAUUGACUUAUCAAGUAUGAAUCAUUGUCUGGAUGAACUAUCUUUAGAUAAAAGAAUAUUAGAACCACUGUAGAAUAUCUUUACGCUGCUGGUUCUAACAGGAAUCUGCAUGUGGCAACAAUUGCUAGAUCCACAAUUCCCCAACUUGAAAUACAUAGUUGCACACCAUGAGAUAGUGCUACAAUCUACUGAGAUCUAACUUAUAUGGUACUUUAAGCUACUAAUGUUUGCAUAUUUCUACAUGUUAAAUUAACACUAUCAUCUAUAAUCACUCCAAAACAACAAAUGAUAAGCAGCUUUUGGCCACUUAUUACUAGCAUCCACAAUUAUAAAUAAGAGAUCAUGGGUUUACUUGUUGCACCUACUUAAUUAUCUGCAGUUGACAUCCUGACGCAAGGUUUAAAUAGUGACUGCUUAGAACCCUUGUAGUUGGAUCUUGACCUCUCCCAUUGUAGCCAAGAUUGGUUACUCUGGUAAUGAAUCAACACUCUCCUGCUCAGGGCCAUGAAGAUCUGAAAGCUCAGCUCUAGUGGAGAACUUCAUCAAUCUCUUCUUCUCAGCAUACUUGAGACAAGGUUGCCUUACGAGACCAAUCACCACAGCACCAACGCUUAAAACUGCAACUUUUAAAGAAGAAAGAGCCAACACAACACAACACAAAUCAAUAUGGUUGGAGGAAUACACAUGAUAAUGGCUCCAACAGUGACAGUGGGUAUCUUGUAGGGACGAGAUGCAGCAGGAUAUUGCAUCCUUAACCAUACAAAUGCUAUGAACUCCAUAAUCAUUCCAAAACAGUACAGGAAGUUCUCUGCAGCUACAAUAUCUCAAAAGCUCAGCCAUGAUAGCAAAACCACACCAGAUGCUGAGAAUAUGAUUCCAAUCAAAGGAGUCCCAUAUCAAGACCUCUUAGCAAAAAACUCAGGUAGCAUUCCACGCUCAGCCAUCCCCAAAAGUUGGAAGAGUCGCUGCUCAUCUCAGCCACAAACAUGCCCAUAUUGGACAUUGCUGCAGCCCCCUGGAUGCACCAUCUCAACCAAACUCCUCCAAGCACUUUAGCGAUAUCUGAAAAGUAACCAUCGGUCCACAAGUCGCGAUCUAAUGGAAUAGCUCCAGUUCCAACUAGAAGGGGAAAGAAAUAUCCAAAAACGACCAAGAUCAAAGCAUAAAACAAAGCCUUUGGAAGAGUCUUCUUUGGGUUAUCCACCUCUCCAGCUAGUGUACUUAUUGAGUCCCAGUAGUUGGAGAUUCCAAAACAGGGUGUUCAAAUACAAAUUCCAGUCCACUUCACCUAAAUUUACUACAAGCCAUCUUGAAGGCUCUAACUUGGGAAGGGACACAAGUCCCAUAACCGCAAAAGGAAGGAAUGAGAAAAUCCCUAAAAGAACAGCAGCCCAUCCCACAAUGGUUAGACCCCUAUAGUUCAUGAAAGUGAGAACAAAAGUCAAAGCUAACGCCGCAAAGGCUCUAGGUAACCCAUCGCCCAAAGCAGGGAUACCAGACUUCAAGUAGUCAAGAAACAGAACUGGGUAUAAAGCAUUAUCAAUAACCCCACUAAGCCAUUUCAUCCAAACUUGCUGAAAACCCCAAUAUGGGCCUAAGGCAGAUGAAACCCAAACCACAUAACCACAAUUUUCAGGAAACACGGUACCCAUCUCGGCAGUAAUUAAAGCUUCAGGGACACUCCAUAUAAUCGGAAACACCAAGAAACCAAGAAGUGCUAAAAGAGGACCAGCUGCCUUUACACUAUCCUCAACACCAAACGGCCCCCCAGAAACCUCAUAGAAUAUAAGGAAAAUAAGUGGCAAGAUUGAUACUUUUUUAGCGCCAUGGACUCUAGGAGAAGAUGGUUGGUCAUUGAUAUUAACAUAUUCAACAGCAUCAGACUGCCCCAUUUCUACUGAAAGUUGCCUAUUCACAGUGUUCCUCAAUUUCUGCAUCAAGUUUAAGCAUAACUAUCAAAAGGGUAUCGGCAUCUAAAUUAUGAAACAAAAUGAGCAUUUACUUAUUAAAAAAAAUCAAAAAAACAGAAAUGGAUUUCACAGAACACAUGAAUUUAAGUUCAACAUUAAACAGGCGCUUAAGAAAACAAAAGGGUCUGGUCGUAAAGCCAUCAGAUUGCAAGAUUGAACAACAUUAACGGAAUCAAUAGAAUCGAUGUAAAGAGAUCUGAAAAGAAAAUAAAAUAAAAGAUGAAGAGAGAUAAAACGACCCAUCAAAUAAGUGCAUGCAGAGCAGAGAGGCAGAUACUAGAGAAGCUCCGUCAUGUUAGAGAGAGCCUAAAUCAAUCAGAGCUCACUGAGUUUCUUUUCAACUGACCGGCAAAUUUGGAGUAGCAUGACAUAAUAUUUUUGCUUUUAAUUUUCGGAACACUUUUGAAUGGAAUUUUUUGUUUUUCAAAACUAACGAAAUCGUAAAAAUAAAUAAACACGUGUUUGGUUUUGGGCUUCUUCUUUUGUUCAUUUAAUAUCAUUUGGUUCCCUGAUUUUUGACUAAUUAUCAACGGUAUCCUGUUAGUUUCCAAAUUGAAAUAAUAUUAGGUCAUGAGAUUAUUUACUCCAUUUAGCACUGUAGACUUAAUAGUAUAUUGAAAAAGCUUUGUCAAAUAGUAGUAAUAGGGGCAUAAGAAAUAAGUUCUUCAGAAUUUAGAUAAUAUACUUGGCUCUAGGAAGAUUCCCCUCUUAUCGCUCAAGUUAGGCUUUUACCUUAGAGUUGAGUAAAUCAUUAAAAUAAAUUAUAGCUAUCACAAAUUCGUCAGGGGACUUUCAAUUUUUUUCCAUCAAAUGGAAAUGAGGCAAAAUUACCUCAGCUUAUAUUGCAAAACUAAUACUUCAAAUUCUGACAAUAAAUUUGAUGACAGUCGAUUUUAUGUAUAGUAAUUUUGACUCUUUUGUUUGGUCUAAAAGUAGUUAUUUAAAAUGGCAAUGAUGACUUAUUUAGAAGAAAUGAUAAACUUAUAGUUCGUAAUAUUAUUUACGCAACUAAUAAAGACUAAUUUGAUAAUAAUCUUUCAAAUAAUAAUGAAGUGUUAAUUACUAUUUAAUAUUUUUUAUUAAUUUCUAAAUUUAAAACAAAUAUGAAAGUUGAUUGCUUCGAAGGUUGGAUCGUGACAAAUUGACAAAUGAAAAGAGAAGUAGAGAAUAUAUAUUCUGAUGAAAGGGACAAGAUUAAGCAAGGGGACAAUAUUCUCUAUUGGACCGACAAAUGGGGGAAAAGAAUAUAUAUAUAUAUAAUUUCUUAUUUGUGGAUUGGCCAACACGUGUAACAAAUAUGAAAAGAUAAAAUUUGGCGUGGUUUUAACCGAUAUAAGACAAGAAGAACAAAGCAAAGCCCAUGAAAAUUCACCUUUCAUGUGGGUUGGAUCGGAUAAAAUCAAUAUCUUGAAUCAAACAAAAUGUUUGGUACAUAAAGUUUUUUUUUUUUUUUUUACAUGAUAUUCGAUUUUUAUCCCUCGAAUUUUUACAUGAUAUUAGAUUUUUAACCCUCACUAAUAAUCGAGAGAUGUCUACUCCUCAUUUUUGGGUAAGGGAGAAAACUACAUUCACUUAAUUAUAAUUGAGGAAGGAAAUACCCCCCAUUACACUUGUGGGGGUUCAAACUGUUGCCCUCCAACUUGGAGUGCAGCAGCACUGACCACUCGGCCAAAGUCUGAGUGGCUGGUACAUGAAGGUUUUGAGUGUGUGUAAUGAGCAAGAAUUUACAUAACGAUAUUUUAGUAAAUAUAAGAAAAAAAGGCUCAGGGAAUGGCCUAUAGAUAGAAGCACGCAGCCCAUGAGUGAUGAGAAUACAAUUUAACUGUUCAAACUAAUUAGAAGCAAAUUCUUUCAUAUCUUUCUUUAAUUUUUCCGCUUAGUUCCUUAGCAUCCAAUCAAGUUCAAGUUAAAACACUGUUGAGACAACAAUAUGCAGGCAUCAAUAAGCAUAGUAGUUUUUUAUAUGUAUUCUAUACGAUAUUUGAGGGAUGUCAAUUGUAGAACAUUUUGCAGCAACUUUUUUACAUUAACUAAUGUUUGAAGAACUUGUUAAAAAAAAUGGUAAUUUUAUAAUUUUGAAAAAAAAAGAGUGAAAGUGACGUUACCUCAUUGUCAUUAGAGACUUGUUGCAAUGAUAGCUCAAAAUUAAAAUUUUUGAAGAAUUAGUAGACAACGAUGACGUAAUAUUUAUACAGUCACCAACAUGUUGAUUUUUGUUUAAUGUUUGAUCGAUAGAAAUGUUUGUCGUCGUUGCUGUUGUUGAAUUCAUACUUAGAACACAGAAGAGAAGAAGGGAAGAAAGGGAAGAGAAGAAGAGAGAAGUGGCAUAUAGCAAAUAUGAUAUGCUAGCUACAUACCAGCCUUAGAGAGAUUUUUUUUAAUAUUUAUUAUAUUUUUGUUUUUGUUAUUGGUUUGUCAUAUGCUUCCAGGGAAGCAAUACGUUACAUCAUAAAUUGCACCUUUUAGGGGAGGUGGUAAAAAACGUGAGAGCACUACGCUCCAGCGCAUACAUAUAGAAAGAGUUUCCGAAUUUUAAAAAGUUUCUUUAUUUCUUCCAUGUUUUUGUGCUUAAAAUAAAAUUUAAUUGUAUUUUGCAUUAACUUAGAAAAGAAAAGCCAAUUCUAUAUAUAAACUCAUGCAUUAAUUAGAAGAGUUGAACUAUUGGCACCCCUCUAUUAUCUUUAUAAAAUUCCUCUCCUAUUGUAAUUACAUUAAAGGACAAAAUAAAUCUAAUUAUAUCAUUAUAUUUCUCUUUUCAACUCUUUACACCCGUGCAACUACACCAAAGUCUUUUACAAUUUUUGUUUCCUCACAAACAUUAUUUAAAAGGUAGAAAGAUGGUUAGUGCACAAUCAAAUUUUAAGCCGCUACCUCCUCGGCCCAAAAUUCAAACUUAGAUGAUAAGCCAAAUAAAAUUAUUUGAAAAUCAUUCAAUCAGGUUCCCGGGGCAAAAAUACAAGAUCCUUAUUUGCAUGAUAUAUAUGAAUUAAUGUAAUUUAUUUGAAUUAUCCAAAUUCAUUAGAGAUAAAACUAUAAAAUAUACCAAAAAAGUUAGAAGGAAGGAUGUGUUGGGAUAUUUUACAAACUAUAGGAAUCUGGUGAGAUUUUGAGCCAAACUGUAGGGAGUUGAAGGCAUUUGCCCAAUAUGUUUAGACGUACACUAACCGUUAUUUGCUCUUGUUGUUGGUCCCGGAUGAGCUGUAGUCUUAUUUUAAUUUUAUUUAAACUCACCAUAAGAUUCGCGGAGCUCCUAACUAACUUAAAUGACUCUGCAGAGCAUGUCAACACAUAGCAUGUUUAACCGUUUUAUUUGUAGAAGAAUUUAUGAUUUCCCAUUAGCAUUAUUAUUAAAGAAGUGGGGCGGGUCAAAUCUCAAUUGCUUGAAAAUUUUAUUUAUUAUUAUUAGUCUUGAAGUGGGGUGGGUAACGGUUCGCUCAAUUUGAUUUGAGGGAAUCAAAUAUAUCAUCCAAGGUAGAAUUGUGGAAAAUUAAAGCAAAAUAAGAAAUAUGGAAAGAAAAGAAGAAAGUUAAUGCAUGAAAGACAUAUACAGUUGAAAUUGAUAAUCAUGUUUCUAUUUUGUUAACUAAUCAAAUGGAAAGCUGAACUGUAAACAAACAUUAAAACGUGUGGACCAAGCUAGCUGCCCUACAAGUUUACAAUAAUAAUUGAGUACUUUGAUUCAUCCUUCUAUGAAUUUCUACCCAUAUUGACUCCACCGAAAUUUCCACAAAAUAAAAAAAAAAAAAAACUGAAUUUCCACAAAAUGCAAAACCCGUAGAACUUAAUUUUUGGUCAUGUGAACUAAGAUGUAAAUUAAAGAAAAAGUAUAAAAUUAAAAAAGAUAAGAUUUCUAAAAUGUGUGGAAGGUGAUUCAUGAUUCACUGAAAUUACUUACCCCAGAUAUAAAUGUAAACCUAUCUAAUUUCAUUAAAAAUAGUUGGAAAAAAUUAACUAAUAGAAAGCUACGGAAAUUAACCCCCCACAAAAAUGACUUUUUAUAGAAGAAUUUAUGUUUUUUAAAAUAUGUUAUCAAAGUGUAUUUGAUCAAAUCUCAAUUGCUUAGUAUGGUUAGGAUUUUGUGAACAUCACUAAAAAGUGAAAACUAUGAAUGAUAGGGGUGAUGCUUGCAAUAUGAAUAAAUAAUGGACUGAUUCAAUUGAUGAUUACAUUUAUAUAUUAUUGAUUAUUUAUGAAUUUUCAGAUUUUCGAGUGAUCAACUUAAAUCUAUAUGAAUUUAUUGUCAAAGAUGGUGAUCAUGAUGGGCAUGUGAAUAUGUUAGAAAAAACUUGCACUUGUCGGGAAUUCCAACUUGAACAAUUACCAUGUGUACAUGUUGUGGCGGUGUGUAGGCAUCGAGAUUUUUCAAUCUAUGAUUACUGCUCCUAUUACUAUUCAAGUGAUGCAUGGGUGUUAGCAUAUUCUGAGACUAUUUAUCCUGUUGGUCCUCAAGAGGGGUGGGAUGUUUCUAGUGAUGUAUGUGCCCGCGAAGUACAUCCUCCUCUAGAAAAGCGGUCAAGUGGGCGUCCAAAAAAUAAUAGAAUACCAUCUAGGGGUAAGGAAAAGGUGCCUCGUAAAUGCAGUCGGUGUGGUGGUCGUGGACACAAUCGACUCAAAUGCAUGACGCCAAUGCCGUUACAUGAGUGAUACCUUGUUUUAAAUUUAUAUGCAAUGUAAGUGUCUCAAUUCUUGGUAUUCAUUUAUGUUUUAUUUAUUUCGUUAAUGCUGUUUAAAUAUGUACUAAAUUUAACACUAUGUGUACAAGGCUUGACGGAGGAUUUAGCUUGUAUGUUGUCUUUAAAUGGUGGCAUCGUAGAUUUUUGGGUUAUGGCUUGAGUUCUUGGAGCAAUUAAAGGACUAUGCUAAGUCAUUGUAUAAGGAUUUUCGUAUUGAAAUUGCAUAAGGAUGAAUUUACUAGUUGCUAUUUAAUGUUUCUUGGAUAAGGAUCAAUUUACUAGUUGCUAUUUACUAGUUGAAAUUAUAUAAGGAUGAAAUAGAAUUGUAUUUAAUGUUUCCUGGAUAAUUUAAAGUUGUUGCAUAAAAAAGUCGAGUGUUUCCUGUUAUUUACCCGACUGCACUGAAAAAAGUCGAGUAUUUCCCGUUAUUUACUCAACUUCGAUGAAAAUAAUCUACAUUUACCCAACUUCGAGGAGAUGAGAAUUUUUGUUCAAUAUUUUGCAAGGUCACAUCAAAGUCGAGUAUUCUCGACCUCAUACCCGACUUGGAUGAGUCGAGAAUUUUCAUUUAAUCUGACGCAAUGUUACAUUAAAGCCGAGUAUUCUCGACCUCAUACCCGACUUUGGUGAGAGGAGAAUUUUCGUUCAAUGUUAGAGAAGAUUGCAAUAUAAGUCGAGUUUUCUCAACUGUUUACCUGACUUCAAUGUGGAGAAAUUUUAUUUAAUGUUAGGCAAUAUUACAUUAAAAGUCGAGUUUUCUCGACUGUUUAAGUCGAGUUUUCUCGACUGUUUAAGUCGAGUUUUCUCGACUGUUUACCCGACUUCGAUGAGGAGAAAUUUUGUUCAGUGUUAGGCAAGAUUACAUUAAAAGUCGAGUAUUCCUGACUAUUUUCCUAACUUUGCUUAAGGAAGUCGAGAGUUAAGUCAAUCAGAGGAGAAUUUUUUAGGCAAGCGUACAUUGAAGUAUGGGAAUCAAAAUACCAGACUUUGAUGAAAUAAUAACAAAAACCAAAAUAUUUAACUUAUUCACACAUUUACAACAAUACAAGUCAGUUCAUAAGGUUUUGAUUAACAUUAUCCCAAAAGUUAAACUACAAACUAAUACGAAGUCGAGUAUUCUUGAUUAUCCAAAACAAUGAACUUCUUGUCAUCAUCAAUCGUACUCCUCUAUCAACUUCUUGUCAGAAAACAACCUUGUUGCCACUUGUUUUCGGUAUGAGUUAAUGCCUGCUUGUGUACGAACGUCAUAUGGAAUGUCUAGACCAUAUACAAGUGCCUCCAAAUAAAACAUAACAAAAACCCCACAAUCAUUGCUGCAAGAGAAAAAUAGAAAGUGAUAGUUAUUUGAUAUUACAUAACUCAAGGGAUAAUAUAAGAGAGGCAACACUAUUUCUUACUUGUUUUUUUGUUGUGGGAUGUCUGAAACUCGCACAGCCUUCCACUUACGAGUUAGAGAAUUAUCAUAAGAAUGUGAAGUAUACCAUGAUAUCCUAUCUAGAAUCAAUGGCAUCAUAACUACAAACGGCAACAAUUCCUUCUCAAAUGCACUGUCAUUCAUAUAAUCUAACAUGGAGUCAUACACAAAAAUUAUCUCCUUUUGAAGGUCAAACUGUGCUAGUGCCCAAUGAUCUUGCUUAGGAUGAAGCGGAAUAUAUACCUACAGAAAAAACCAUGUAAACCACUAAAUGGAGAAAAAAAAUUAUAGUCAACAUGUCAAAUAAAUAUAAGCAACUUACUUUGGAAACAUCUUUCCAAUGAACAACACAUUUAAGUUUUUCACCCUUGGCAUAAUCAACGACAUAAUUAGUAGCAUUAUUUGUCCAUACUUUUUCAGGGUUGAUCACGUAAACUGAAUACAGAUGCUCUAACUUUCGCUAUCAUUACAAAAAACAAAAGUGUAAGUGUCUUAUAUAUUUUAUAUUUUCCUAUAUGUUUUAUAAAUGUAAUAACAAACUUACUUGAUAUAUAGUGUCCAUUAUGGCACAUCGUUGCAUACUACAAGAUGGGGAGUUGACCAAGAUGUGUCGUACAACAUAAAAAAAAGAGUCCAAGUGUUGUAUAUAAUAAACAAUAGUUAUUAUAUGCAUUGUUUAACAUAUUCAUUAAAGUACCUAACAAAAAUUAUUACUAAACAAUAUGUUUAUAACAAAAUUCAAAACAAUAUAUAGAUUCUUACACUACAAUCCUUAAUUUCAUAAAUUUACAGAACAAUAUGUUUAUAACAAAAUUCAAAACAAUAAUCAAUAAAAGGCAAAUCCAAUGAACACAAUCAAAUAACCUUUAAAAUUGAAUCAUAAUGUUUCAAAACUAAACACAUCAUUUCUCCAACCGCAAAGCCAAAAUUGGGAAAACUAACCCACAUGAUUCUUUAAUCAACUUUUCUUUAACCACAUUGUUGCCAAAUCUUAAUUGUUGCACUCAAACAAAAAUAAGAAUACAAAAUCCAUAGAGGAAAUAAAAUAAAUUUGAAGUUCUUCAAAUAAAAAUAUGCUGUCUAACAUUUGUUUUUGUAUGUCUCUUCGUGAUAUAUUGUAUUACAUUGUUCAUGUUAUACUUCUAAUUCUUUUCAUUUUCAGUAAUCCCAUAAAUUAUACCCAAUUCACUAAAUCACUUACCAUUUUCAAGCAAAACCCUAAAAUUUUUCUUUGAAUAUUUGUAGGAGAAAGAAGAAAAUGAAAAUUACUUACCUAGUAACCAAUGACGGAGGCAAGACAAGGUGGUGGUGACACGGCUGAGGCAAUGGUGAUAGCUGAAGUGCAGAAUGGGCAGGGAGCCGCUUGUUCUUCAAGGAGUUUUCUCUCUUAUUUUGUUUACUCGACUUUGUGAUUUUGGGUGGGAAUCGAUUCUGUUUUGUUGGCUUUUAUUAAGGUUAUUUUUGUAUUUUCCAUGAUCUUUUUAAGUAUAUAUGUGUAAAGUUAGUAAUUUUAAUAUAUAGAGGUAUAUUUUAGGUAUUUUGAGGAAACCAGGUAUAUCCCACGCAAUUCGGGGUUUUUUUAUUUAAAUAUCCUCAAUUUACCCUUAAAUGCCAAAUUUAUACCCUAUUACAUACAUAUACCUUAUGAAGAUAGGAAAAGUCAAAAAUAACCUUAAAAAAACUAAGAAUUCACAUCUCUCUUCUCCCAUUGCUUCUCUUUUUCGGGCUUCUCUCACCAUUCUCUAUUUUUCUUAUAAGUGUAUUUCCUAAUGAUUUAUGAAUUUUAGUAGUACAUUAUUCAUUUUUUGUGCUUGCACACACACACACUAUUUCAAUGUAGGGAUUUAAGACUACAUUUAAGUUACGAGUGAUUGAAGAAUCAGUGCAGGAAGAAGUCGGGUACGAAGUCAGGUAAAUCGAGAAUUUAGUCGAGUAAGAAUUAGAGAUAAGUAAGUCGAGUAUAUGGUCGGGUAAGAAGUCGAGUAAGCAUAUUAAAUAAGUCGAGUAUAUGGUCGGGUAAGAAGUCGAGUAAGAAAAUUAAAUGAGUCGAGUAAGCAUAUUAAAGAAGUCGAGUAUAUGGUCGGGUAAGAAGUCGAGUAAGAAUAUUAAAUGAGUCGAGUAAGCAUAUUAAAUAAGUCGAGUAUAUGGUCGAGUAAGAAGUCGAGUAAGAAUAUUAAAUGAGUCGAGUAAGCAUAUUAAAUAAGUUGAGUAUAUGGUCGGGUUCAAGAAGUUGAGUAAGAAUAUUAAAUAAGUCGAGUAAGCAUAUUAAAUAAGUCGAGUAAGCAUAUUAACUAAGUCGAGUAUAUGGUCCGGUAAGAAGUCGAGUACGAAUAUUAAAUGAGUCGAGUAAGCAUAUUAAAUAAGUAGAAUAUAUGAUCGGGUAAGAAGUCGAGUAAAAAUAUUAAAUGAGUCGAGUAAGCAUAUUAAAUAAGUCGAGUAUAUGGUCGGGUAAGAAGUCGAGUAAGAAUAUUAAAUGAGUCGAGUAAGCAUAUUAAAUAAACCGAGUAUAUGGUCGGGUAAAAAGUCGAGUAAGAAUAUUAAAUAAGUCGAGUAAGCAUAUUAACUAAGUCGAGUAUAUGGUCCGGUAAGAAGUCGGGUAAGAAUAUUAAAUGAGUCGAGUAAGUAUAUUAAAUAAGUCGAGUAUUUUUAUUAAGGUUAUUUUUGUAUUUUCUCUGAUCUUUUUAAGUAUAUAUGUGUAAAGUUAGCAAUUUUAAUAUAUGGAGGUAUAUUUUGGGUAUUUUGAGGGAAAACAGGUAUAUCCCACGCAAUUCGCUCCGCAAUUCGCUCCCAUCUCAUCAUCUUCUUCAGUUGUACUAACAUUAAAUUCUUCUUAUUCCCUUUCUCAACUGUCAUACCCUAUCCCUAUUCCCUGUGUCCCCACUAAACCACGCUCAAUUCAGUCCAUCAGAUUCUCUCGGAACCACAUUAAUCCAACGGCUCACAAUGACCGACAGCCUCUGCAUCUCCAUUUCAAGCUCCCUCUUCAACUGGCCUCUGCUUCCGUUGUACUCUUUCUCGGAUUCUCGGUGGUCCCACACAGCUCCAUCUCGCUCCAAUUGUCACCCAACAAGACCAAUUGCUUAAUCAAGUCACAGAACAAAAAGAGGAUGAGAAAUUGGAACAAGAAUUUGAGAAUUGGAAAUCGAAAAUGUACAAAUUGACCGUGCCUUUGAGAGUUGUUUCUCUUCAGAAUUCAAUACCUCAAUCUUGGAUUAAGGAUUUUAUGCGAAGUCAAGGAAAGAUAUUGAAUUUUCAGAUGAAUUUGUGUGCUAGCAUUGAUGGGAUCUCAACAAUUUAUCUGUGCCUUUUAACAAAGUUAAGGCUAAAUCAGCUCUUAUAUGGGUGCUGAUUUGGUUAGUGUUGGUGAUUCAUGUCUCAGUUUUGCGAUUAAAAAGAGAUUGAUUGAACCAAUAGUUGGAGCUGAAGAUGAAGAUUGGUUCAAAUGCUUAAGUCACAAAUGGAAGGUAACAUCUUUAUCAUUGUCCAGAUAUUUUUUAAUCAUUGUCCCGAUAUGUUUUAUUGUCUUACAUUGAAGUUUGGUAAUGUAAUUUGUUCUCUAUCUGUGUUCCCUUUGUAGUCAUUUUAUUUAUUUUUUUGUUUGCAUUUAUUUGCACUUACGAAGUCUCAGGUAUAUCUAUGCAGGAAUGAUGCAGAAGAAAUUGAUCCUUGAGGUAAAAUAUGCGCAGCACCAUAUCAGUGGGGCACAGUGGUGAUAGCUUACAAGAAAAGUAAAUUUUGAAAGCAUAAUUUGGCUCCGAUUGAGGUAAUAAUUGUCUUUAAACUCAUUUAGUUUUAUAUCAAACAAAAUCAAGACUGCCCUUCUCUUCAAUAUUUUUUAUGAUAAUAUCUUUAGAAGCAGCUAAUUGACGGGUAAUCAAGGUAUUCCUUAAAGGGUCUACAAACUCAAUGAUAUUAUCUUCUGCAAAUGGUUCAUUAGACCUCUUAGUUGUAGUCAAAUGUCCACUAAGGACAGCAAGAAGCUAUGCCACUGUAGCAUGGUAAUGAUGGCCCUCAAUAAGUGAGUUGGUAGGAUGUGAAGCAGAAAAAUUAAUUAAUGUCUCCCUGGCUAUGCCAGCUCAUAAGUUAGGGUUAAUAUUAGAGCUUGAGUAACUAUAACCUUGAGAAGCUAUUGACUGCAAAUUAAAAUAUCCAUUAAAAUGUUUAGGGAGUUAUGAAGGUGGAAGUAUCUUCCAAUUUCUAAGGCCAUAUUGUAGACAUCAUCCAGGAUCCUAUUAAAGUGCAGUUAGCCUCCUGCUUGAUGCUAAUGUCAAACAAUUAAUAAAUUUGGUCAAUGUAACUGAAACUUGCUAACUGACAUCAGAUUGCAACUUAAAAUGGGAUAGAUGAUUAGUAGCACUGAAUUCUUCUUGCCUAAGAUUGAGCAAUUGUUCUAACUACUAUCUCCUAUUGUAGGUUGAUUAUUAUGUUCUAAUUAGGUCCAUUUUGACCCAAAAAAUUACAUAAUCUUGAUCUGCAUAUUGUCACUGAACAGUGUCAAUAUCGUUCACCAACUAACUUGAGUUUGAUAUAACAAACACACGGUGUGUCUCUCAUGUCUCACCAUGAUGGAGAAUUUUUCUAAUGCAUGAAGUAAGCUUCGAUAUGUGGGUUAGCUUGGAGAAGAUAUCUCAAAAUGAAGAAUAUGGGGAGUUAAUGGGAAGAAACAGUUCAUUAGUUGAUAAUUCUGUCAUCGAGCUGUAUCUCUAACAUGGUCAAAUUUUAUGUGAAUAAGGACAGGGAAUCUUCAUUCCUCUUUUCCUUUCUAUACCCAGAUAUCUCUCAACCUUUAUAUGUUGCCCACUGGAGAUCUGCUUCUAAUAACUAAAAUAAAAAUUUCAUCCACUCAAUAAAUGCUGACCAACCUUUCACAAGAAAAAGUAACAUCUUUAGUGAAGUAAUUUACAGUUCCUUAUCAUCUUCGUGUGAGUCUAUCAGUAUGAUCCAAAAACAUAAUACAUCUUGUUAGAUCUUGUUUAUUGAUGUUUAAAUGUUGUUCAUUGUGAAAUGUAGAAAUGAUGACGUGAAGUUUCUUUGGUCAUCAGUUAGUGAGAUCUUGUCUGAAGUUGUUUUCUGAAAUGAACUGCCAAAUGGUAGUUUUUUUUUUUGGGUGCAUUUGAUGGCUCUUUUCUCCUCAUUUUAAGUGGGUGCCUGCUUGGAAUGGGAAGGAAUAGGCUUCAGAGUUGUUAUAUAUGUUGACAUGCUCUAGUCUUUACACAAUAUGUUCAAAUUGGAAAUUAGAAUGAGAUAUUUGUCGAUGCUUUUUGAGAGAUCUGCAUUCUAAGCACCAUAACAUGAUUAAUGAAAACGGGUUUAAAGACUGGAAAGAUCUGUGGCGGCCCGAGCUUGCAGGAAGGAUUUCAAUGGUUAAUUCUCUCAGAGAGGUUAUUGGUACAGUUUUGAAGUAUAUGGGAGCAUCAUACAAUUGAAACGACAUUGAUUAGCAAGUUGCUGCUGGGAGGAUUGCUGUUCAGCAGAAUCUGGCAUUACUGGGAAACCAGGUACUCUUAACGAAACGAUAUCUGGUCAAUGCAUAUUAUUGCCUGACAGCUGAUUUUGUUUGUAAAGUCUGCCUUUUCAUACAUAUGAAUGCAUAUGUUAGUGUUUUACGAAUGCAUAUGUUGGUUUUAUUUUCUGAGAUGGAUGCAAAUAAAGGCUUUUUCUUCUAAAUUUAGCUGAAGAAAUGGCAAGGAAUGUGAGAUUAUAUCUCAUUAAAUUAUCAAAACCCAAAACAAUGAAAACUCAUAUUAAUGUGAUGUGGAUAAAUUGGCAACAUUUGGCUUGUUUCCUCCACGCGAAUUAGCAAGCAAUAGAGACUAAAAAAAUGGAGUGAUAAUAACAAGUCAUUGUCGUUUGAUGAAUGCAUUUUUAAGCAAAAAUAGGAUUGUAACUGAACAAAUUUUUCUGGCAUGCCAAUUUCAAAAAAUUAAAUUAUGUGGUUAUUAGUAAUGAAGGGGAAUUGUAGGUGCAAUCAGGUCAAUCCAGUAAAGUUCAACAAAGUUCUGGUUUGGUGUAGUGAAAUUGGUUUAUGCAACUUGAGUCUUUCAGAUGAACAAUGAUGAGUUUUCAUUUAAAAAUGUUAUAAAUCUGCUGUGCAUAGUAUUCUAGUGGAAUCAUCUAUAAAUUCAAGUUAUUGAAAUUGUCUAUUUUGUCUGGUCUGAGUUAAGGAGGCAUGUAAUUUAUGAAAAAUAGUUGUCGAAUAUUGUAGGUUACCUAACAUUUGAUCAAUCCUGUGGUGAGGGCUUUAAGAUGUCUAACAGCAUGUAGAAUGCCCCUGCUCCCCUCACAUUGUUUAUCUUAUACAAUAAUCCAUUAUAGAUGCUAAUAUCUUUGUCAAUACCUAAAACAGUAUUACAAAAUCUGAGUUUAUUGGGUUUUAUAUAGGUUCAACUGUUUGACAGUACACACUAUCUGAAGGCAUUUGGAAUUGGAGAUGUCUGGGUUGCUGUUGGGUGGAGUAGCGAUGUUCUUCCUGCUGUCAAACGUAUGUCUAAUGUUGCAGUUGUUGUUCCCAAGUCAGGUGCUAGCUUAUGGGCUGAUCUUUGGGUAUGCCCAUGCUUACCAUUCUACUUUGAUAUUCACUUUGUUAUCUCCAUCAUAGUAAUGAUCAGUAAAUACGAGAAUGUGUGACUGAUAAGUUUGUAUUCUCUUUUUAGGCAAUCCCUGCUGCGUCAAGACUUGAAACAAACCAAAUUGGAGGGUGAGUCAGAGGUCCAUCUCCAUUAAUCCAUCAAUGGAUAGUGUUCUGCUUGCAAACAGCAAGAGCAUUGCCUUUCAAACAAGAGGUUAUCCCUGGCGUACUGAGAUGGCUAAAGUUCUUGAAGUUUUGUUAGAAAUGAAAGAUGAGUGGUUGUUUGAAUAAAGUUGUGGCCAAUCUCGCAAAGGUUAAAAAGGAACAUCACGGAGCUAAUGCCACCGAUUUCUUCAUCAUUGUAGCCUCUAUAGUUGAAGUUUCCUCAUUUGAAGCUCUUUAUGCAUUAUCCCUGCUCAAGUACAAUUGAAGAACUAACCAGAUGUGAUAUGCUGAAAGAGGGAAGUUUUCUUCCUUGAAUGUGGCCUUGUGAUUUGUCAGGGAAUAGGAUGAUCACUAGCAAGAACCCUGUCAAGGUAGAUUUUAUGAUAUUAACAUAUUAUUAAGCAUUUGCCACUUUAGCAACGAUACAUUCAUAGCGUGAAAGUGUUCAAAUUUAACCUAAUGAUCCUGAUUAAUCAAUUAAUUUUCAUGAGUUGUAACCGGAGUUAAAGCUAAGUACAAUCAUCGUUAACAAAGACUGAAAUUUUGGGUAAAUAUGAUCUUAUAUUGAAUCAUUUGAUGACACAACUCACAUUGGAAAUUACUUAUUGCGUGGGGAUGGCGAUGUUUACUGUUGUAUUGCGAUAUAAAAUAUGUGCAAGGUAUUGUCGACUGCUUUUUGGGUUAUGGUGUGAUAGCUGCUGAUUAGUGAUAAAACAAGAAAAAUUAAUUAAACUCAGGCCUACAUGCUAAAUGUGUAUGUUAUCCUAACUUUCACUACAAGAAAAUGUCCUUAACCUGACCGUGUUAGAUGAUUGUAAGUAGCAGUGUUCGUACAAGUUUUUUUUCCUUCAUGGUAUUUACAAUUUCUUAGGAACAUCUAAAAUCUGAAAAUCCUCAUUUACUAAAAAUUAAGUUAUCAUUUACUGGCUGGCAACUUAAAGAUAAGAAUAAAUUCAAGAGCUCAUCAACCAAGUAGAGUUUUCUCAAUAGACGCCGUAGUUAAUUUCUCUCUUCAAUCUUGAUUAUGAAUGAUUGUUUUGUUGCUUUUUAAAGCGCUUUUAAAGUUUUAUUUUGCUCAUGUCUGAUAUUUAAUUACCUGAAGAAGCCUGAUGAUUUCUUGAUAUGAUUGCUCUGCCAAGCUAUCUAAGAAAUAGCUAUAGAAAUCCCUUCAUUACAUUAGAUAAUCUUCAUUAUCUGUGCAAUUUGGUGUUUUGUCUUUGAAGCCAGCCGUUUGCUUUUGAUAGAUUCCAUCUCGUAUUUAUUCCUUUUCUAUAGAUUUUGCAGGAUUGAAGCUAUAUUUCUUCUCUGUAUAUGUGAUUGAUAUUAAGAGUAUGUUUUUGUGUUGUCUCUGUUUUUUCUAUUUGAUCUAGAUUUAAUACCUGAAAGGUUACUAACAAAUUAUCUUAGGUCAAAUUCUCUUUUACGAGACUUUUUUUGCUAAAUUCUUGGAAUUAUAUAAUUAACUAAAUCUUUAGUACAAGGAGGAGUUUGCCCCUAACUUUGCUUUCUUUCUAUAAUCGCAUUAAUAAUCAAUCCCCUGCAUGUUGGUCGCAUUAAUAACCAAAUGUGCCUUUGACAUGCAACUAUACAAUCACAAACCAUCAUAGGCCAAGAUUGGUUCAAAUGCUUAAGUCACAAAUGGAAGGUAACAUCUUUGUCUUUGACCCGAUAAUUUUUAUUGUCUUACAUUGAAAUUUGGUAAUGUAAUUUGUUCUCUAUCUGUAUUACCCUUUGUAGUCGUUUUAUUUAUUUGUUUAUUUAUUUGCUUUUAUUUGCACUAACGAAGUCUCAGGUAUAUCUACGCUGGAAUGAUGCAGGAGAAAUUGAUCCUCGAGGUGCAAUAUGGGCGGCACCAUACAGGUGGGGCACAAUGGUGAUAGCCUACAAGAGAAGUAAAUUUCAAAAGCAUAAUUUGGCUCCGAUUGAGGUAAUAAUUGUCUUUAAACUCAUUUAGUUUUAGUCAAAUGUACACUAAGAACAAUUAGAAGCUAUGCCACUGUAGCAUGUAGUGAUGGCCCUUAAUAAGUGAGUUGCUAGGAUGUGAACUAGAAAAAUUAAAUAUUGUUUCCUUGGGUAUACUAGCUCGUAAGUCAGGGUAAAUAUUAGAACGUAAGAUACUAUAACCAUGGGAAGCUAUUGACAGCCAAUUAAAAUAUCCUUUAAAAUGUCUAGGAAGUUAUGAAGGUGGAGGUAUCGUCCGAUUUCUAAGGCCACAUGGUAGACAUCAUCUAGGAUCCUAGGAAAAUGCAGUUAAACUCCUGCUCAAUGCAAUUAAUAAAUUUGGUCAUUGCCACUGAAACCUGCUAACUAACGUUACAAUGCGACAUGAGCACUUCAAAAUGGGACAGACGGUCAGUAGCACUAAAUUUUUCUUGCCUAAGAUUGAGCAAUUGGCUAACUACUAACCCCUAUUGUAGAUUGAUCAUUAUUUUUUCAAUUUUGUUCAGUUUGACCCAAAAAGUUACAGAAUCUUGAUCUGAAUAUUGUCACUGAACACUGUCAAUGUCGUUUAGCAUAGCCAACUAACUUGAGUUUGGUAAAACAAACACACAGUGUGUCUCAUGUCUCACAAUUCAAAUUAUCAUCUGUAAUGAUGGGGAAUUUUUCCAAUGUAUAAAGUAUGCUUUGAUACGUGGGUUAACUUGGAGAAGAUAUCUCAAAAUAACGAAUAUGGGGAGAAAACAGUUCAGUAGUUUAUUAUUCUGUAGUCAAGUUUUGUCUCAAAAAUGGUCAAAAUUUAAAUGAAUAAGGACAGGGGAUCUUCAUUCUUUUUUCUCUUUUUAUACCAAGAUAUCUCUCAACCUUUAUAUAAUCCCCACUGGAUAUCUGCUUUUAAUAAUUAAAAUAAAAAUUUCACCCCCACAAAUAAAUACUGACCAAGCUCUAACAAUAAAAAGUAACGUCUUUAGUCAAGUAAUUUACAGUUCCUCAUCAUCUUAGUGUGAGACUAUCAGUACGUUCCAAAAACAUAAUAAAACUGGUUUGAUCCUGUUUAUUGAUUUUUAAAUGUUGUUCAUUGUGACAUGUAGAAAUGAUGAGGCGAAGUUUAUUUGGUCAUCAAUUAGUAAGAUCUUGCUUGAAGCUGUUUUACGAAAUGAACUUGCCAAGUGGUAGUUUUUUGGGGGCAUUUGAUGGCUCUUUUUUCCUCAUUUUAAACAUGUGCCUCCGUGGAACGGGAAGGAUUAGGCUGCAGAGUUGUUAGAUAUUUUGACAUGCUCUGGUCAUUGCACAAUUUGUUCACACUGGAAAUUAGAAUGAGAAAUUUGUUGAUGCUGUUCUGAGAGAUCUGCAUUCUAUGCACAAAAACAUGACUAAUGAAAAUGGAUUGUAGGACUGGAAAGAUCUGUGGCAGCUUGAGCUCGCAGGAAGAAUUUCAAUGGUUAAUUCUCCCCGAGAGGUUAUUGGUUUGGUUUUGAAGUAUAUGGGAGCAUCAUACAAUUCAAAUGAUAUUGAUUCGCAAGUUGCUGGUGGGAAGAUUGCUGUUCAGCAGAAUCUGGCAUUACUGGCAAGCCAGGUACUCUUAAAGAAGUGCUAUCUGGUCAUUGCAUGUUAUUGCCUGACAACUGAUUUUGUUUGUAAAAGUCUGCUUCUUCAUACAUAUGGAUGCAUAUGUUAGUGUUUUCUUCUCCUUUUCAUACAUAUGAAUGCAUAUGUUAGUGUUGUCUUUUCCUUUUCAUACAUAUUAAUACAUAUGUUGGUGUUCUCUCCUGAGAUGGACGCAAUAAAGGCUUUUGCUCCUAAAUUUAGGUGAAGAAAUGGUAAGGGAUGUGAGAUUCUGUCUCAUUAAAUUAACAAAACCCCAAAACAAUGAAAACCCAUAAUAAUGUGGUGUGGGUAAAUUGGCGCCAUUUGGUUCGUUUCCUUAAUGUGAAUACACGAGCAAUAGAGACUAACAAAUUGAAGUGACAAGAACAAGUCACUGUCCUUUGAUGGAUGCAGUUUUAGGCAGAAAUAGGUUUGUAAUUGACCAAAUUUGCCUGGCAUGCCAAUAUCAAAAAAAUUAAAUUAUGUGGUUAUUAGCUGUAAUGAAGGGGGAUAGUAGGUGCAAUCAGGUGGAUCCAGGAAAGUUCAACAAAGUUCUGGAAUUGCGUAGUGAAAUUGGUUUGUGCAACUCAAGAGUCUUUCAGGUGAACAAUGAUGGGUUUUGAUUUAUAAAUGUUAUAAAUCUACUGUGCAUAGUAUUCUAGUAGAAUCAUCUAUAAGUUCUAGUUAUUGAAGUUGUCUACUUUGUCCAGUUUGGUCAAUUACCUAACAUUUGAUCAAUCCUAUUAUGAGGGCUUCAAGAUGUCUAACAAUAUGUGGGAUGCCCAUGCUCCUCCCCAUUGUUUAUCUUAUACAAUAAUUUGUUUUCGAUGCUAGUAUCUCUUUCGAUACCGGUAACAAUAUUACAAUAUCUGUGUUUAUUGGGUUUUACAUAGGUUCGAAUGUUUGACAGUACACACUAUCUGAAGGCAUUUGGAAUUGGAGAUGUAUGGGUUGCUGUUGGGUGGAGUAGUGAUGUUCUUGCUGCUGUCAAACGAAUGUCUAAUGUUGCAGUUGUUGUUCCCAAGACUGGUGCUAGCUUAUGGGCCGAUCUUUGGGUAUACCCAUGCCUGCCAUUCUACUUCGAUAUUCACAUUGUUAUCUCCUUCAUAUUAGCGAUCAGUAAACACAAUAAUGUGAGAAAUAAGUUUGUAUUCUCUUUAUAGGCAAUCCCUGCUGCCUCAAGACUUGAAACAAAACAAAUUGGAGGGCGAGUCAGAGGUCCAUCUCCAUUAAUCCAUCAAUGGAUAGAGUUCUGCUUGCAAAUAGCGAGAGCAUUGCCUUUCAAGCAAGAGGUUAUCCCAGGCGCAUCUCCCUCUGCUCUUGAAAGUACUCUGGUUAAGUUGCCUGAAGAACUUCUGAAGGGUAAACCAAGUCUGGAUACUAACUUAAUUUCUGGAGUACCCCGGGCUGAAAUUCUGGCCAGAUGUGAGUUUUUGGAGCCAUUAUCUGAAGCUACUUUGUCAGAUUAUGAGUGGCUGGUUGGUAAUCUGCAAAAAACCUGCUCCUGUCUUGGUGAAAAGGGGGCAAAAUUACUUGUCAUCAUUAAUCCAAAGCUUUCUAGCAAAAGCUGCAUUGAAACGUUAAUGGCACUGCAUGCCAGUCAUUAUAAUGCAGUCAGGGCAAUUGGGUCAGGGCAAUUAGGUCAGGGCAUAACUUCAUCAGGAAAAGAGGCUUCAGCUACGUUAAAUAUUACAGUAUGUACUAAGAUGGCUGAAGUUCUUGAGGUUUUAGGAGAAACGAAAGAUGAGUCUUUGUUUGAACAAAGUUGUUGCCAAUCUUUCAGAGUUCGAGAAGAAAGAUCACGGAGCGAUGCCGCUGAUUUCUUCAUCAUUGUAGCCUCCAUAGUUGAAGUUUCCUCAUUUGAAGCUGUUUAUGCAUAUGCUUUUUCCCUGCUCAAGUACAGGAAAUUGGAGAAUUAACCAGCUGUGAUAUGCUGAAAAAGGGAAGUUUUCUUACGUGAAUGUGGCCUUGUGAUUUGUCUUGAAGGAAUAGGAUGAUCACUGGCAAGAACCCUAUGAAGGUAGAUUUUAUGAUGUUAACAUAUUAGUAAGCAUUUUGUUACAUCAGCGAUGAUGCUUUCAUUGCAUGAAAGUGUCUAAAUUUAACUGAAUGAUCUUGAUUAAUCAAUUAUGAGUUUUAAUCGAGUAAAAACUAAAUUCAAUCAUCGUUAACAAAUACUGAAAUUGGGUAAAUAUGAUCUUGAUAUUGAGGAAUUUGAAAUCACAACCCGCACAGGAAAUCACCCUUCGCGGGGGGAUGGAGAUGUUUACUGCAGCGAUAAUGAAUAUGUGCAAGGUGUUGUCCACUGCUCUUUGGGUUAUGGUGUGACUUGCGAUUUCAAGGUUGCCCUGAAACAAUGGAAAAUAUUAACAUAUCCUCCAAUGAAUAAAAACGGCUGGACUAAUUCAAAUUACUCAGCAUCAGGUGGCAAUAAUAACAGUCCAUUUACUUUUCCAGGAUCAGAUGUUGAUAAUAAUAGUUUAUUAAAUGACAAAUCAUUGUUCUUGGGGGUUAGUUGUAUACGUCCUUACUACUUCAAGGAGAAGAAAAAGGUUGUGCAGGUGAUUUCAGAAAUAAAAUACAUUCUGAGAGAUGAUGGUCCACUACUGCAUGCCCCCCAGAUUUAAGAAUCAUCACUUUUCCUUUAAAAAACUGCUACGCUUUGAUUUUAGUGCUGAAUAUUUAUUGAACUCUGAUAGAAGGAGUUUGAAGUCAAACUCGUAAUUACAGGUUAUCUAAUUGCUGAGUUGUUGUCCAUAGCUGCUGAUUUGUAGUGAUUAUCUAAUUGACUGAGGUAACAACAAUUUUUUUUUUUUAAUUUUCAAUAGCACAAUGUCGAAUUCAAUAAUUAAAUUCUCCUAUUUAAUUUGUUUCAAGUUAAAUUAUUAAUUACUUAAACUAUGUUUUAAGUCUUUAAUUUUAUGUCUUGGCGUAUAUGCAGAAUUGGAUUCUUGAGCGUGUUGGACACGACCAACAAUGAAAUUGACAGUAAACAAACAUUACAACGUGUGGACUCCGGUAGCUGCCCUACAAGUCUACAACUUCACAAAUAAUAAUUGAGUAAGCACCUUUGAUUCUCGUAACCCUUCAAUGAAUUUCUAGCCCCAUUGACUCCACUAACAAAAGUUUUGUAAAAUAAAAAAAAUACAUAAAAUUCCACCAAAUACAAAACGCGUGGAAUUUAAUUUUCGGCCGUGUGGACCAAAACAUAAUUUAACGAAAAAAGAAAAAAAUGAUAAGAUUUCUAAAAUGUGUGGAAGGUGAUUCAUAUUUUACUGAAACGACUUGUUAAAUUUUUCAAGGAUUUAGAAUAUUUGGUCGUAAAUUAGGUGCAUGUUAAUUUUUCCGCCAUUGACUAUCAUAUUCUAAACUUAAUGGUACCUUUCUUGAUGAAGGGUACUUAGUCUCCCUUCUCCUCUUAUAAAAAUUAUAUUAAUUGAUUUCUUAUUAUAGUUAAUAGUCUUUAAGAACGGAUAGCUUUAUUGUUUUCAUAACCAAAUUAUGCCUGCCUAAGAUUGCGACUAUUAAUAAAAUUAAUAUUCAAUGUUUAUGUUAAAAGAUAUAAGAUUAAUUUAUGCGUUCAUUAAUUGUUAUUAGCUAAAGGAUGAAUUAUUUUUUCAACCCAAUCAGUUGAUGCAUCUGCAAGAGUUUUUUCUUUUAGUGACCAUAAUUAUAUUCCGGGUACAAUAAAUUGUCUUUGGUGCUUGGAAAAUAUGACUUCUUACUUCAAGUUUUUGAUAUGUCUCUCUCCAUAAACUUACUGGAAAUAUAUCCUCAUCUACUGUCAUUUAUCUAAUAUCAAUUGAAAAUCUCACUUUUCCAAACUAUCACUUCCAAGUCUAAUUGUCACUUGCCAUUCUUGGACCAUUCAAAACCAAUCAAGUGUUGAAAUAAUCAAAUAUAUGCAAAAUUAGAGUCACGAUUUUUGGUCCCCCAAAUUCUAAUUAUAUAACUUCUAUGUAUCUCAUUGUCAGGUCACGAACUUGUUGGCACAUUUUCCAAAUUCCUCUUCCAUCAGCUCUCACAUGUUAACUUGAGUGUAAAGUUUCCAAGUUGAUUGCUAGAAAGCAACGCAAAAUCAGACACACUUGACCCGUCCCAUAAUUAUCUUUUCUACGUUGAAAAAGAAAAAAAAAAAGAAAAAAGAAAAUAUAUCUAUGUAAAAAUAAAUAAUAAAUUGAGUAAAAGCACAUUUGUUUAAUUAACAUCUGAUCGGGGCAUUUUUGGUGUAAUUUAGUGCUGUGUAACCCACAACUAAAAUCAAACAGCCCCUUAGCAUACUUCUUCCAUUUUAUCUGCUACUUUUGUGGAUCUGAUAGGGUGGGCAUGUGGACAGAAUUUAAAAGUUUUAAUAGUCUCAAAGAAUAAGAUAUGUUAAAGCUAAAGUUGUUGCACCUUCUUAUUAAAUAAAGUUGCACAAUUUCACCAACUUGGAAGAAUUGACAUCAAUGGACUGGUCCCUCUCCAUAUAUGAAGCCUUCUUAAAAGUAAUUUUUAUUUCAGAAAAAAAAGUUUAAGUUACAUAUAUUACAGUAAGAUUUUUUGAGACCAAAUCCCUUCAAAUAAUAAUGGAAAAGUAUUAAUUUAAAAACAAAAUGAAUAUGUAUUGAUUAUAUCCGGAUUUUCAUAGAUUAUAGUGAGAGUUUCUCCAAAUCAAUUCCCUUAUUCAAAUAAUACAGAAAAAAUAGUAAUUUAAUAGUAAAAUAAACAGGUGUUGAUUGUAUAUCCUUAGUUUCAUCGAUUAUGUGAUCAAAGUGGCAUUGAUGAUUUAUUUCUUGUUCAAUGUUAAUUUUUAGGUUAUCUAAAUUUUAAGGAUUUAAAAUCUUUGGUCAUGGAUUGCAUGCUUGUCAAUUUUUCUGUCAUUGACUGUCAUAUUCUAGACUUAAUGGUACCUUUCUUGAUCAAGGGUAAUUAUUCUCUCUCCUCCUCUUAUAAAUUCCUCUUCCAUUAACAUCACUAGGAGUUUGUUGAUCUCUAAGACGUUAACUUGAGUGGAGAGUUUCCAAAUUGAUCGUUACAAAACAGUACAAAAACUAGACACACUUGAUCUGUCUAAUAAUUCUCUUUUGGUAAAAUUAAUUAAUUUUAGGAGAAUAUUCGGCCAACCUCUAUAAUUUCAGAUUGAUCACUAAUUAAUUAAACGAUACAAAUUGCUAAAGUGAUUAGAUGUUUGCUGACAAUACAAGUUCAUGGUUUGAAAUUUGAUCUCUAUCGAUUGGUUUACAAUGGACGUACUUGUGCCUUUGUGGCGAUAAUUGAACCAGAGAUGUGAAGCUGUAAAGAUUUGGCAGUAGUAAAUUGUUAUAAAGACAUAAUGACAAGUUCCCAUGAUUAUUAUUUUUUCCAAAAACUUUUUUACAACAAAUUCAUCUCGCCCAAAAAUUCUAUUUUUCUAACCAACAAUAAUUGAGUACUUGGCCGUAUUGACUCCACGUCUCCACCUGCUUUCUAAGUAAAAACAUGGAAAUGUACUUUCCACAAAAUGCCAAAUGUGUGGAAUUUAAUUUUUGGUCUUGUGGACCAAAAUACAAAUGAAAGAAAGAAGAAAAAAAAGGCCCAAAGACUUCUAAAAGGUGUAGAAGUCUUUGGACCUUUUUACAAUAGUGGAUUUUUUAAAAGGAAAAAAUAACAACACUUUUAUGAUUUGUUUUGAUAAUCAUAUUUACAUAUACUCUCUAAUUUUCAAAAUGGACACAUAAUUUUUUUUUUUACAAAUAUACGUUAUUCGUAUUUUUUAUUAUUUUUAUUAUCGUAUUUUUAUUUAUUAUAAAUAUUUAAAGUAAAUUUUUAGGUUGAAAUAUAUUAAAAGGAUAUAAUCGUUCUCUUAUUAAACACACAUACUUUUAGUUUCUAUCCAUUUGUCAUCUCAAUCUCUCUCAAUUAUUGUUUAUUGCUAGCUCAAAGCGCGUUGCUGUGGAAAAUUGUAGCAAAAUGAAAAAUUGGAAAGAAAGGGAAGAAGAUUAAUGGGUGAAAGAAUUGGAGAAAACAACCAAAUAAGUCAACUGCUCUUUAGUGAGAACAUUUUACAAAAGGAUUGGAUCGAGUUUUUGUUUGAUAUUGAAGGACCUGCGUCCCUGUCGCGAUGUAGAAUAUGUGCAAGGAGUUGUCUACUGCUCUUUAGGCCAUAAUAAUGUGACUGGUGCAUUCCACGUUGCCCUCAAACAGUGGUCUGAAGUCAAAAGCAAUUAGUUACAUAACAAAUCAUUGUUCUUGGGUUAUACCUCGUCAUGUCUUCAAGUGCGAAGAUGAAGAUUAUGCAAGUGAAUUCAGGAAUACAAUACAUCAUUUCCAGCUCUUUGGGUUAUGGUGUGACUUGCGAUUCCCUCCAAUGAAUGAAAACGGGUGGACUAAUUCUGAUUACCUAAUUGACUCAGGAUCGGCUGGCAAUAAUAACAGUUUAUGAACAAUGCACAGUCCUAGUACUUUUCCAGGAUCUGAUACGACGUUGUCUAAUGUUGAUAAUAAUAGUUUAUUAAAUGACAAAUCAUUGAUCUUGGGUGUUGAUUUCAGAAAUAAAAUACAUUCUGAGAGAUGCUGGUCUACUGUUGCAAGCCCCCAGAUUUAAGAAUCUUCUGAUGAUAAUUUAUCACCUGCAACCGUGCCGGAAGAUUCAACUAGCACUGAAAAAGAUGAUAAUUUAAUUGAUAUGGACAGUUUCCAUAUCACUUUUAAAUCAUCCUAUGUAAUUGUGAUGUUAGGAAGCAUUAGUGAUCUAUAUGUGAACUAUUAUUGGUGCCAUUGGUGGUUUUAUCUUGUUAAAAUAUGGAUGACUUCCAGUUACUAUUUUGUAGUAUACAAUUUUAUUCAAUUAACAUAUAGCUUAAAACCAUUAUGUAUGUGCUUUAUUAAGAUUCUCAAGUACCAAUCACGUUUGCUUAAGAAAUAAAAUUUUACCAUUAAAAGCGUAGUAAUAUUUCCAAGCGCUUCGCAUUUAUCUCAACAUUUUGAAGGAAUUUUGAGAAAUACACGUGUCCAAAAGUCUAGUCAUCAUCCUUAUUUUUCUAUCGUUCUUUUGGGUUUGCAGUUGGUGGUGCUUUCAAUGUUUCCCUGAAACAUAGCAAAAGAAGGUACAUAUUCUUGGUAUGAGUUAGAUUUUUAGUGAUUAUCUAAUUGACUGGGGUGACAACAGUAGCACAACGUAGAAUUCAAUAAUAAAAUUCUCCUGUUUAAUUUGUUUUAAGUUAAAUAAUUAAUUACUUAAAACUCUGUUUUAAGUCUUUAAUUUUAUGUCUUGGCGUUUAUGCAGAGUUGGAUUCUUGAGUGAGUUGGACAUGACCUACAAUGAGAAUGACAGUAAACAAACAUUAAAACGUGUGGACUCCGGUGGCUGCCCUGCAAGUCUACAACUCUACAAGAAUAAUUUCUAGUCCCGUUGACUCCACUAACUAAAGUUUUUUAAAAUUUAAAAAGGUACAUAGAAUUCCAUGACAAGCAAAACGUGUGGAAUUUAAUUUUUUGCCGUGUGGAAAAAAAUACAAUUUAGCAAAAAAGGACAAGAAAAAUGGUAAGAUUUCUAAAAUGAGUGGAAGGUGAUCCAUAUUUUACUGAAACGACUUGUUCCGAACAUCACGACGUGAUUUUUUUUAUUUUUUAUUUUUGAAUAACAUCAACUUCCAUAUCUGUCUAACCCCCAGAAUAUGCUCACGUUCAAGUCUAUCUUGCUAAUUUAAAAAAAGAAAAUCAAAUCAACAUCUUCAGGAAGAUUUUCCUCAAUUUGCUCCAGAAGAGUUGGAGCUGUGGUUCUGAUAAACCAAAGAAUUAGUAGCAAUAUUAAUAUUGCCCACCCAAGAAAUAUGAGUGAAUUAAAGUAUUGACAAGACUUCGCUCAGAGGAGCAUUUAAACCACUUCCUUAUCAGUUGCGGCAGCCGUCUAUUAACUAAAACGCCAAUCUAAUACAAGAAGAAAGAACAUUUACAGACUUGGCAAUUGAGUUUAUUAAGAAGUAGCAUCGCAUUCGGGUGAUGAGUUUCCUUUUGUUAAUAAUUUUAGUCUAAUUUCAAUUGUACUGUGAUGGCUUCUCAAGGUAAGUGAAAGUUACAGAUGUGGCAAAAUAAAUAAUUAAAUUAACAAAAUGCUAACUGAUUUUCCUAAACACCUAGGGUUGUACAAUUUCACCAACCUGGAAGAAUUGACAUUAAUGGACUGGUCUCCUCCCCAUAUAAUUAUAAUCCUUCUAGAAAGCUAAUUUUUAUAAUUUCAAUUAAAAAAUGUUUUAAGUUAUAUAUACUCUAAUGAGAUUCUGAAUUCCUUUAUUCCAAUAAUAAUGAAAACGUAUUAAAUUAGAAAUGAAAAAAUGGGUGUUGAUGAUUCAUCCUGAUUUGGAUAGAUUACGUGAAUAAAAUUGAAAUUUUAAUAAAAAAACAAGGAAAGGUUUUUCCGAGUCAUCCAUUAUUUGAUUACCGUCAAUCAAGAAAACGACCAAAUUAAUUUCUCUCCAAAAUUUCCAAAAGCUAGAAAAUUUUGUUAUUUGAAAAUAACAUCAUUAAUUAUAGAGUGGAUCAAACCGCGUUAUUGUCUUUCAUAAAAUUGAUGUCUUUUUAAGAGUCAAUACUUUUUAUUUACGCAAACCAGUCGACAUCAACUUAAACUUCCAUAUUUUUAUUAUUAUGUUAUUGAUUUUAAUCCCUGAUUAUUUGAUUAGCCACUAUAUAUAUCAAGAAAGCGACAAAAUUUAUUUCUCAUGACUUUCAAAAACUAGAAAACAACAUCAUUUAUUAUUUUUUUGCAACCCUAAUUGACAUCAACUUUAACUUUAUUAUGUUAUUAUUUCAAUCCCCCAUUAUGACCUUUCUAAUCCUCCAUUAUGCAUCUUUUAUAGUGCAAAUUUAAUUGCACAUCUAAAUAAAUUGAUUAUUGUCACUCCACCACCAAUAUUUCAAAUAGUCACUAUACCAUUUCUGCCUUUAAUUUUCCCUUAAGUUUAACUAUUGACUGUUUUUAGCAUCUUAAAAUAUACAUUUAUUCCUUGAUUAUGUGAUAAAAUUAUGAAAAUAUCCAUUUUAGCUUAAAUUAAUUGGAAUAACCAUAAACAUAACUUAAAUUUAUAGAACAAAAUUAUCAAGUGUAUGUUCUAUCUUACUUUUUGAAGAAUUUAACAUAUAUAAUGCUAUACUAUUAAUAAAUUUAUCAUUUAAUAUAUAUUUUCAAAUAUUUUAUAUAUUUAUUAAUUGUUAUAUAGUCAAAGGAUGAAUGAUUUUUCUGGUCUACAUGAGUUGGUGCAUCUGCAAGACUCAAUUUUGACAACAAUGAUCUAAGGGGUAAUUUACCUUGGUGUUUGACAAAUUUAACCUCUCUUCAAGAUUUACUUCCAAUCUACUUACUGUAAAUAUAUCCUCAUCUCCUCUCAUUUAUAUGAUAACCCUUGAAGAUCUCACAUGUUCAAACAAUCAUAUUAGGAUUUUUAUUAUUAGCAUCAUUGUGUCAAUAAUAUAUGUUGCAGUAAGAUUUUUUCAGACCAAUUCCCUUCUUCAAAUAAUAAUGGAAAAGUAUUAAUUUAAAAAUAAAAUGAAUAUGCAUUGAUUAUAUCCUGAUUUUCAUCGAUUAUAGCGAGAGUUUCUCCAAAUCAACGCCCUUAUUCAAAUAAUACAGAAAAAAUAGUAAUUUAAUAGUAAAAUUAACAAGUGUUGAUUAUAUAUCCUAAGUUUCAUCGAUUAUGUGAUCAAAGUGGCAUUGUUGAUUUAUUUCUUGUUCAAUGUUAAUUUUUAGGUUAUCUAAAUUUCAAGGAUUUAAAAUCUUUGUUCAUGGAUUACAAGCUUAUUAAUUUUUUUGCCAUUGACUGUCAUAUUCUAGACUUACUGGUACCUUCCUUGAUCAAGGAUAAUUACUCUCUGUUCUCCUCUUAUAAAUUCCUCUUCCAUUAACAUCACUAGGAGUAUGUUGAUCUCUCAGACGUAAACUUCAGUGGAGAGUUUCCAAAUUGAUUGUUACAAAACAACACAAAAACUAGACACACUUGAUCUGUCUAAUAAUUCUCUUUCGGUAAAAUUAAUUAAUUUUAGGGGAAUAUUCGACAAAUCUAUAUAAUUUUAGAUUGAUCAUUAAUUAAUUAGACGAAAAACGUACUUGUGCUUUGUGCCGACAAUUGAACCAGAGAAGUGAAGCUGUAAAGAUUUGGCAGUAGUAAACUGUUAGAAAGACAUAAAGACAAGUUCCCAUUUUAUAAUUUUUUCAAAAAACGUUUUUACAACACAUGCACCUGGCCAAAAAUUUUAUUUUGCUAACUAACAAUAACUGAGUAGCUGACCGUACUGACUCCGCCUACUUGCUAAAGUAAAAAAAUAGAAAUAGAAUUUCCACAAAAUGUCAAACAUGUAAAAUCUAAUAUUUGGCCGUGUGGAACAAAAUACAAAUGAAAAAAAAAUAGAAAAAAGGCCUAAAGACUUUUAAAAUGUGUGGAAGUCUUUCGGCCCUUUUAUAAUGGUGUGUUUUUCAAAGGAACAAAUAAUAAUAAUGACACUUCUACGGUUUGUUUUGAUAAUCACACAUAUACUCUUUAAUUUGAUAAAUGGUUACACAAAUUUUGUUUACAAAAAUAUAUUAUUCAUGUUCUGUAUUAUUUUUUAACAUCAUAUUUUUAUUUAUUAUAAUUGUUUAAAGUUAAUUGUUAGGUUGAUAUAUAAUAAAAACGUAUAAUCCUUCUCUUACUAAACACACAUACUCGUAGUUUCUGUUCAUUUGUCAUCUCAAUCUCUCUCAUUUAUCCUUUAUUGAUAGCUCAAAAUGCGUCACUGUGGAAAAUUAUAGCAAAACGACAAAUAUGGAAAGAAUGGGAAGAAAAUUAAUGCAUGAAAGAGUUGCAGAAGACAACCAAAUAAGUCAACUAUACGCUAGCUGGGUGUAUAAAUUGUUAGAUGUGUUAUAAACAAAUAGCAUAGAGCCCUUUGGUUGGUUACAGAGAUAGAAAGAGUGUGUGUGUUUUUUAGAACUUAAAGAUACAGUUAGAAUGGGUGGUUCAAAAUCAAAAAUGGUGAUAAUGUUUGUUCUGUUAUUAAUAAUAUUAGAAGGUGGGGGGAGUGAGGGAUGUUUAGAUCAUGAGAGAUUUGCUCUUUUACGACUCAAACUUUUCUUUGAUGAUACUUAUAAUUAUCUUCACGAUUGGAUAGAUGAUGAGGGAGUUACUGAUUGUUGUCAGUGGGAAAGGGUUGAGUGCAGCAACACCACAGGCCGAGUGAUAGCGCUAGACCUUUCUGACACGUAUUCGGGAGAGUACAACUGGUAUAUGAAUGCUUCUUUUUUUACUCCCUUCCAACAACUUGAGUCACUUGAUUUACAUGGCAACAACAUAGCUGGUUGUGUUGAGAAUGAAGGUGCUUCGUCUAAUUCAAUUAAAUUACAUUUCGCUCUCCUAAUUUAAGUCGAAUAUCAAGACUGAGUAGCUAUAUGCAUAUUCAUUCAAUUGACAAUUUUUACAUAUUUUUUAAAAUGUUUAAUUUUGAAAUUACACCAAACAUCAUAUGUGAUCUUUGUUUUGAUUUUACUUGCAGGUCUAGAAAGAUUGAGCAACUUGAAGAGGCUUGAUUUAAGUUUUAACUUGUUCAACAAUAGCAUCUUAUCAUCUGUGGCUCAUCUUUCAUCACUAACAUCAUUAGAUUUAUCUGAAAAUAGAUUGGAAGGAAGUAUUAAUGUUAAAGGUACGUAAUUAAAACGUCAUCGCUUCUCCCAACUCUUGCAUUAACAUGCUAAAAUAAGAUUCAAGGCUUUGAAUUCAUUUUUUUUAUGAGUAAAUAUUAGAAAAAUAGUUUUAAGCAAUUCAUAAAUACAAUUUUCAAUGUUUCUCAUAAUUUCAUCUUGUACUUUUGUAUGUCUUGACUUUAAGAUUAAAAAAAAAAAUUACUCUAACUGUGAAGCAAAUACCCCAUGACUAAUUUAUCAUUUUGUCCAGUUAAAAAUGAUAAAAUUUAUCAUUUGUUUAUAUUGAUUAAUUAACUCUAUUUUAAGUCUUAAGUCUUGGCGUCUUGGCAUGUUUGCAGAAUUUGAUUCCUUGAGCAACUUAGAGGAGUUGGACAUGAGCGACAAUGAAAUAGACAAUUUAGAGGUUCCUCAAGGUAAACAAUUAAAAUAUUAUUCAAUUACAUUAAUUUAAUUCGUUUGAUUAGGGAAGACCCAAAAGGUACAAAAUAUAAUAAUAAUAAUAAUAAUAAUAAAAGAAACAGAGAAUCUAUAUUAUUUCAAAAAAUAAAACGUAAUACUAUUAUUUCAAAAAUAGAUUGUAAUAAAGAUUUGAUUCCGGUUCUUUAAUCUUUACAGCAAUUGAAAAACGAUGUUGCUCUUUUCCUAAAGCAUAAAAUAUGAAAUGACUCCCAAUAGAAUUAAUCAUUUAUUUCGUUUACUCUAAAUUUAAACAAUGAAUCUUGAUUUUCUUCAAUCAUAUCCUUAUUAUUAUUGUUAAACAGGUUACAGAGGUUUGAGGAAGUUGAAAAGCCUCUAUCUAUCGAAAGCUAAAAUUAGAGAUGGAAGCAAGUUGUUACAGUCAAUGGGAUCAUUCCCAUCCCUCAACACUCUUUACCUGAAGGAUAAUAAUUUUACCGAUAUAGCGACAACUACUACUCAAGGUAAGUAAAAGGUACAGAUGUGGCCAAAUUUACAAAUAAAUUGUUAAUUAAUUAAUUUUUCCGUAUUAUUAAUAAAGCUAAAUUCGUCGCUCCUUCCUUCUAAUUCUAAACAGAGUUGGCAAUUUCACCAACUUGGAGUAUUUGACAUUGGACUUGUCCUCGCUCCAUUUAAGCCUUCUACAAUUGCUUGAAGAAAGAAUUUAUUUAUUUAUUUAUUAUUGUUGUUGUUGUUGUUGUUGUUGAAGUGAGGUGGGCAAAGCGUUCACUCAAUUAAUAUGUGGGGAAUUAAUAAUUACAAUCCAAGGUAGAAUUGUGGAAAAUUAAAGCAAAAUGAGAAAUAUGGAAAGAAAGGAAGAAAAUUAAGGGCAUGAAAGACUGGGAGAAGACUAAAGACCACCAAAUAAGUCAACUGAAAACUAGCUGAGAGACAGAGAGUGUGCAUUUUGUUAAUUAAAUAUAUAUAUAUAAAAUGGGUGGUUCAAAAUCCAAAAAUGGUGAUAAUGUUAGUUUUGUUAGUAUUAAUAAUAUUAGAAGGGAGGUGGCGUGAGGGAUGUUUGGUGCAUGAGAGAUUUGGUCUUUCGAGACUUAAAACAUUUCUUCAAUUCUCCUUAUAAUUUUUGUCACGACUGACCGUUGUCAAUGGGAUGGGGCUGGGUGCAGGGUUGAUUUACGUUAGAAUAAUAUAGCCGGUAGUGUUGAGAAUGAAGGUGUUUCAUUUAAUUUAAUUAAUUUAUUUUCUCCCUCCUAAUUUAAGUGGAAUAUCAAGAUUGAACAAUUAUAUGCAUCUUCGUUCAGUUGACAAUUUUGACAUAUUUUUUAAGUGAUUAAUUUUGAAAUUACACCAAACAUUAUUUGUGAUCUCUGUUUUGACUUUACUUGCAGGUCUAGAAAGAUUGAGCAACUUGAAGAGGCUUGAUUUAAGUUAUAACUUGUUCAAUAAUAGCAUCUUGUCAUUUGUUGCUCGUCUUUCAUCAUUAACAUCAUUAGACUUAUCUUACAAUGGAUUGGAAGGAAGUAUUAAUAUUAAAGGUACGUAAUUAAAACGUCAUCGCUUCUCCCAACUCUUGCAUUAACAUGCUAAAAUAAGAUUCAAGGUUUGAAUUCAAUUUUUUUUAUGAGUAAUAUUAGAAAAAUAGUUUUAAGCAAUUCAUAAAUACACUUUUCAAUGUUUCUCAUAAUUUCAUCUUGUACUUUUGUAUGUCUUGACUUUAAGAUUAAAAAAAAAUUACUCUAACUGUGAAGCAACUACCCCAUGACUAAUUUACAAUUUUGUCCAGUUAAAAAUGAUAAAAUUUAUCAUUUGUUUAUAUUGAUUUAUUAACUCUAUUUUAAGUCUUAAGUCUUGGCGUCUUGGCAUGUUUGCAGAAUUUGAUUCCUUGAGCAACUUAGAGGAGUUGGACAUGAGCGGCAAUGAAAUAGACAAUUUCGAGGUUCCUCAAGGUACACAAUUAAAAUAUUAUUUAAUUACAUUAAUUUAAUUCGUUUGAUUAGGGAAGGCCCAAAAUGUACAAAAACAUAAUUAGAAAAAAUAAAGAAACAGAGAAUUCAUAUUAUUUCAAAUAACAAAAGGUAAUACUAUUAUUUCAAAAACAGAUUGUAAUAAAGAUUUGAUUCCAAUUCUUUAAUCUUUACAGUGAUUGAAAAACGAUACUACUUCCCAAAGCAUAAAAUACGAAUUGACUCUCAAUUAAAUUAAUCAUUUAUUUCGUUUAGGUCUAAAUUUAGAAAAAUGAAUUUUGAUUCUCUUGAAUCAUUUCCUAAUUAUUAUUAUUCAACAGGUUACAGAGGUUUGAGGAAGCUGAAAAGCCUGCAUCUAUCGGGAGUUGGAAUUAGAGAUGGAAGCAAGUUGUUACAGUCAAUGGGAUCAUUUCCAUCCCUCAACGCUCUUUACCUGAGCUAUAAUAAUUUUACCGGUACAACGUCAACUACUCAAGGUAAGUAAAAGGUACAGAUGUGGCCAAAUUUAUAAAUAAACUGUUAAUUAAUUAAUUUUCUGUAUUAUUAAUAAAGCUAAAUUUUUUGCUCAUUCCUUCUAAUUCUAAACAGAGUUGCACAAUUUCACCAACUUGGAAUAUUUGACAUUGGACGAUUCCUCUCUCCAUAUAAGCCUUCUGCAAAGCAUUGCAUCAAUAUUCCCUUCGUUGAAAAAACUGUCGAUGUCUUAUUGUGAAGUCAAUGGUGUCGUACAUGGUCAAGGUAAAAGAAAAGUGUUGGUUGUGCACUCACUCAGUGGUGUCCUACGUGUUCAAUAUUUUUAUUUAUUUAUUUUAUUGUUUAAUGAGAUGCUUCCACCCUCCCCUUUAAAUCUAUAAUAUUAAUUUUCGAUAAAUAUAUAAUUAUAGAAACCAAUCACUUAUAAAAGAAUGCUAUGCAUUUGCCAAUUUUUUUAUAUUUUACUGAUUGAUGAAUUAAUAAAUUUUCAGGCCUCUGUUCGUUGGUGCAUCUACAAGAGUUGUACAUUGCAACUCUUGUAGUAAUUAAUUAAUUAAGUAUUAGUUAAUUAAUUAAUUAAUUAAUUUUCUGUAUUAUUAAUAAAGCUAAUUUUUUUGCUCAUUCCUUCUAAUUCUGAACAGAGUUGCACAAUUUCACCAACUUGGAAUAUUUGGCAUUGGACUCUUCCUCUCUCCAUAUAAGCCUUCUGCAAAGCAUUGCAUCAUUAUUCCCUUCAUUAAAAAAUCUGUCGAUGUCUAGUUGUGAAGUCAAUGGUGUCGUACGCAGUCAAGGUAAAAGAAAAGGGUUGAAUGUGAACUCACUCAAUGGUGUCCUACGUGUUCAACAUUUUUAUUUAUUUAUUUUAUUGUUUAAUCUUUCUGCUAGGUUUUCCUCAUUUCAAGAGUUUGGAACAUUUUGACAUGGAUUUCACGCGCAUUGCACUCAACACUAGCUUUAUUGCACUCAACACUAGCUUUCUUCAAAUCAGCAGUGAAUCGAUGCCUUCUCUUAAGUACUUAUCACUAUCAUAUUAUACUCUUGGAACUAAUAGCAGCGGGACUCUUGAUCAAGGUUAACGAGAUGCUCCCACCCUCCCCUCCUAAUCUAUAAUAUUAAUUUUUUAUUUAAUAUAAUGACACAAACGAAUCACUUAUAAAAGAAUGAUAUGCAUUUGUUAAUUUUUUUAUUGUACUGAUGGAUGAAUUAAUAAAUUUUCAGGCCUCUGUUCGUUGGUGCAUCUACAAGAGUUGUACAUUGCAAGCAAUGAUUUAAGAGGUAGCUUGCCUUGGUGCAUGGCAAAUAUGACAUCCCUCAGAAUAUUAGAUGUUUCUUCUAAUCAACUUACUGGAAGCAUCUCCUCAUCUCCCCUCGUUCAUUUGACAUCCAUUGAAGAGCUGAUGCUUUCAAACAAUUACUUCCAGAUCCCAAUUUCACUUGAACCACUUUUCAAUUACUCAAGACUCAAGAUUUUCAAUGCUGAGAACAACGAAAUAAAAGCUGAAAUAACUGAGUCACAUUCUUUGAUCGCCCCAAAAUUCCAAUUAAAUACUCUCUCAUUGUCUUCCAAUUACGGAGACGGUUUCAUAUUCCCCAAAUUCCUUUACCAUCAACAUGACCUGGAGUAUGUUGAUCUCUCACACAUAAAGAUGAAUGGAGAAUUUCCAAAUUGGUUGUUGGAAAACAACACAAAAUUAGAAACUCUUUUUCUGGUUAAUGAUUCUCUUGCAGGACCUUUUCGGUUGCCAAUUCAUUCACACAAGCGGUUAAGACAGUUGGAUGUCUCCAACAACAACAUUCGAGGCCACAUUCCAGUAAAAAUUGGAGAUGUUUUACCAAGUUUAUACGUUUUCAACAAUUCCAUGAAUGCUUUAGACGGUAGCAUUCCCUCUUCAUUUGGUAAUAUGAAAUUCCUCCAAAUUCUGGACUUAUCCAACAAUCACUUGACUGGUGAAAUCCCCGAGCACUUGGCCGUGGGUUGCGUCAACUUGCAGUUUCUUGCAUUAUCAAAUAACAACCUACAAGGUCAUUUGUUCUCUAGAAAUUUUAACUUGACAAACUUGCAAUGGUUACAAUUGGAGGGCAAUCGCUUCGUAGGUGAGAUCCCACAAAGUUUGUCUAAAUGCUCCUCACUAGAAGGAUUGUACCUUAACAAUAAUAGUCUUUUAGGUAAGAUUCCACGAUGGUUGGGUAAUCUGACACGGUUACAAUAUAUUAUAAUGCCCAAUAAUCAUCUUGAAGGCCCUAUUCCAGUGGAGUUUUGCCAGCUUGAUUCGCUUCAGAUUUUGGACAUUUCAGACAACAACAUAUCUGGAAGUUUACCAUCUUGUUUCCAUCCUCUCUCUAUCAAACAAGUUCAUCUUUCAAAAAAUAUGUUACAUGGACAGCUAAAAAGAGGUACAUUCUUUAAUUGCUCUUCCCUUGUGACAUUAGAUCUUAGCUAUAACCGCUUGAAUGGCAGCAUUCCGGAUUGGGUUGAUGGGCUUUCUCAGUUAAGCCACCUUAUCUUAGGUCACAAUAAUCUUGAAGGUGAAGUGUCAGUUCAAUUGUGCGAAUUGAACCAACUACAAUUGUUAGAUCUUUCUAAUAAUAAUCUUCACGGUCCUAUUCCUCCUUGCUUUGAUAACACCACACUUCAUGAAAGUUACAGCAAUAGUUCUAGUCCUGAUGAGCAAUUUGAAAUAUUUUUUUCCAUCGAAGGCCAUCAGGGAUUUUUAGAAAAGCAAAACCAUGAAAUUUUUGAGUUCACAACAAAGAACAUUGCGUACAUUUACCAAGGAAAAGUGCUUAGCCUCCUAUCAGGACUUGAUCUUUCUUGCAACAAGCUAAUUGGUCAUAUUCCUCCUCAAAUUGGAAAUUUGACAAGGAUUCAAACAUUGAAUCUAUCACACAACAACUUGACAGGAUUGAUCCCAUCAACAUUUUCAAACUUGAAGCAUGUCGAAAGUUUGGAUCUUUCCAACAACAAAUUGAAUGGGAAAAUCCCUCAUCAACUAGUGGAGUUAAAGACAUUGGAGGUUUUCAGUGUGGCAUACAAUAACUUAUCAGGCGAAAUUCCAGAAUGGAAAGCACAAUUUGCAACCUUCAACGAGAGUAGCUAUGAGGGAAAUACUUUUCUUUGUGGACUGCCAUUGCCCAUUUGCAGAUCACCAGCAACUAUGCCGGAGGCUUCAAUUGGCAAUGAACAAGAUGAUAAUUUAAUUGAUAUGGACAGUUUCUUUAUCACAUUUACAACAUCGUACGUAAUUGUGAUAUUCGGAAUUGUUAUUGUUUUAUAUGUAAAUUCUUAUUGGCGACGUAGAUGGUUUUACUUUGUUGAAAUGUGGAUAACUUAAUGUUACUAUUUUGUUGUAAACAAUCUUAUUGCAACAAGAUAUUGUCAUUGAAAUUAAUUAGCAGUUUAAUUACGAUUCUUUAAGUUCUAAUCAAGUUUGCUUAGGAAAUAAUUUUUUUUUAUUUUUUUAUUAAAAUUGUAGUAGUAUUUAGCGCUAUAUAGCUUCCAACUUGGUAGAAAGCUCCAUUUUUUGUUGGCUACAGUAAAAGCAUGUUGUUUUAUUCUUCUUAUACUUUACGCCUGCAUCAGCUUAAAUCACUUCUUAAACGCUUGCUUUAACUGCACCGCUUCGUACUGCUCUAUAUAUGUAACGGUUAUGCGGUUGUAGCUCACGGCUCAAGCUACGCGUUUGUUUGACGUGGUAGUUACGUUACGAUGUUUCGAGUCUGUUAAACAUUCGGUGAUAAGAUUAGUUACAACAAACCUACUAGUUUUAUAAAAUUCAAGUGAGAUGGAAUAAAAUAAAAAAUAAAUAUAAAAUUGGCUUUUAUUUUUUAGGUUAACCAUAUUUUGUGUUCUCUUCGGGCACUACUACAAUUGUUCCCUAUACAUCAGUUACACUCACGUAUCAUCGACACGAAAAAUGAAAUCUAAUAUCACCUGUUUAGUUAAAGAAUCACUCAUGAAAAAAAAUUACCAUUUUGAUUUGAAGAUCCAUAUUUUGAACUACCAAUUAAUGUUCAUCAAGAACAGAGUGUGGCCGUUAAGUAGAAAAACUAUUUUUGGACAAAUUAUUAAAUUCCAAUAUUGUAUCCAUAUGCAAACGAUGCCUGAAGCAGAGCCUCCAAACAAUGACCAGGGCACAAAACAAGAGUGUAGUAAUCAAGUGUAUUGUCUCAUAAUCAAUUAAAAGCAGAUAUACAGGAUACCAUAUUCAAUUCCAAAAUAACAAAAGCAUAAUGAGGAUGAGAAGAACAAUGAUCACUCAAAUAUUUCUUCACUUUGGUUGUCAAUUAUCUAUUCAAAUUAAUCAGUGUCAUUAUGGACUUAUUUAUUUAGAAGAGCGGGUGAUAAAUAUAUUCAAUAAUGUGAACAAGAAGUUGAUUAACUUUUAUGAUCAUUUGGAAGGUCGGCGUGUCAUCACUCGUCAAACACAUUGCAUCGAUCCACCAGCAUGAACCGACCGGAUUAUGCCCAAAAGUUGAAAUAUCAAUAAAAAAAACAAUUAAUUAAAGGUCGAAGAUGGGUCCUUUACAUAUGUUUUUGUUUUCGUAUUAGGUAGGAGGUUAUUAUAUUAUAUCAUGUAAUUAAUUUAUUAUUACUCAACACUAAGUAAUAACUUAACUAUAUAAAGACAACAAGAAGAUAAAAUGAUAUAUAAAAAAAAAAAGAAUUUCAAAGAGAUAGCAACAUACAAUAGACUGAAGCCAUUUGAUCUGCUCAUUGAUUUCAGCCUUAAACUUGUAAAUAGUUACUGUCAAAUAUUCUAUUCAUACGAAAAAAAUGUUUAGAUAUCUUACUAUAAAUAUAGCCGUUUGACUGUCUUAAUAAAGUCACACACAACCAUUCUUAUUAAAUUAGCAAGAUCAAACACUGCCCUGGAUCUUGAACAGAUCAACACAAGAUGCACAACUUAUGAUUGAACCCAGAAACAAUCAAAUCUUUAGCAAGAACAAUUAAUCAGAGUCAAGAAACAAGUUUAAUGAAUAUAAACCUAUAAUUGAAACAAACAUAGCCAAGAAAAAAAUACAGAUUUUACACGGUUCAGUUGUACCUAGGAUGGCACAACCUACACCACGAGAGAAGCUUUCUGGUGAGAUUUUAUUGAUGAUCAAAGAAGAAUCUUUUGACAAAGCUAAUAAUAGAGAUUUCAGAGAAUAAGCUGUAACCCUCUCUCCCUCUUCAAUCUCUCUCUAUUUUGUUCCCAUUGAUGACCCCAAUCUGCUUAGUUAUCCAGCUUUAUAUCUGCAUCAGUAACAAACCAGCAAACCCAGAUUGAGCAGAUUGACGACACGUGGAUAACGGCUUUAACGAACCUGGUUAAGAACUGCUCACAUGUUCGUCACGCGUGCUGCUUAAAUGAUGGCCAAAACGACUUCAAACAAAUGUCGUUUUGAGGCUUAUGAAUUACAAGUGAUAACACGAGCUUGUCUCAUGACUUUUAAAUGCAACAGCGUGCCCAAAACGCCGUCGUUUUACUCUGUUGAGUUUGAUUCAUUACUAAGCUUUACGACUGGCACUGGAGAAGAUGAUAAUUUAAUUUACAUGGACAGUUUUUAUAUCACUUUUACAACAUCCUAUGCAAUUGUAAUAUUGGGAAUUAUUGAUGUUUUAUUCUGUGAAUCCUCAUUGGCAAAAACUAGUGGUUUUAUCUUUGUUGAAAUGUAAAUGACCUCUCGUUACUAUUUUAUUAUAAACAUAUAGUUUCGUAAGUGAAACUACAUGUUUAUAAUAAAAUUAACAUAUAGUUUCGUUACAUUUCUGCCUCAUUAAGAUUCUCAAAUACCAGUCAGGUUUGCUUAAGAAAUAAAAUUUUUCCAUUAAAAUUGCAGUAGUAUUUCCAAGCAUAUCGCAUUUUCUAUGAUUUUUCAUAAAUUAAUUAAUCUGCGGUGCCAAUAUCAGAUUUAGUUUUUCAAACUAAAUAAUCAAGAAAGCAAACAUACAAAUAUACAGUUUAGAGGGGUAAACUAGGUAGGUGGUUUAGAUUUUAGAACUAAGCCAGCUACCUCACUAAAUUCCGAUUCGUACAGUGAACUGCAAGAAAUUGAGAAAACAAUGAAUUUAUAAUUUAAUAGAAUCAUAAGAAAACAAUGUAGUCAUUGCUCCAUAUAAGAUGAUGAUUUCGGAGAGGCACAUUGUUUUCAAGUUAAUUUGAUCCGUUUAUAAGAGAUGAAGUGGAAUCAAGUUGAAAGUUUAAAUAACAAAUCCUUGUUCUUGAGUUUUACGACGUCGUUACUCCUUCAAGUGGCAGAUUAUGCAAGUGAAUGCAGAAACACAAUGCAUCAUCCGCGGGGAUGAUACAUCAAAAGGCGGGAUUUGUUUAUGCCUGCAGAUUAGCAAUUUCACUCAUAUAGAAAAUUAAUUUUUUAUAUAUACUAAUCAACACUAAAUUGAUUAUGUGUUGUAUGUUUAUAUGCUAAUCAACACGAAAUUAUAUUGAAUUAUUAACAUUCAUAUUCCUAAUAAAAAUUAUUUUCCAUCAGUAUUCAAAAUUUUCACUUAUGGAAAAUGCGUUUUAUGUGAAUACUAGUUAUUGUGUAAAUUUGAAUGAUAGCGAAAAAUAAACCUAUUUGAAAACUGUAAGGGUGUGUUGGGAUAUUUUACAACUGUCGGAAUCUGGUAGGAUAUUGCACCAUUUGCCCAAUAUUUUUAGACGUACUCUAACCGGUAUUCAAGAUAAGUAAAAGUUACAAGCGUGGCAAAAUAAAAAAAUAAAAUUUGUAAUUUGUAAACGAAUUUUCCUGACAUGUAUAGUAGAUGAAGUUGUUGAUCCUUUCUUUGGAUUAUUUCAGCUCUGGUUGUUGGUCACCGAUGAGCCGAAGUCUUAUUUUAAUUUUAUUUAAACUCAUCAUAAGAUUCGUGGAGCACCUAACUAACUUAACUGACUGUGCAGAGCAUCUCAACAUGGCAUAUUUAACCAUCAUUCAAGUGAUGGGUUUAAUAAGACUGCUUUUGUUCUAUCAACUAUCAAGUUCCUCUGCCUCUAAGCAGAAUUACUAUUGAAGGGCCAAAAGGAAAAUGAAAACGUGUGAGCUCCAACAACCACCCCACAAAUUCAAUGACGAUGCUCGGAGAGGGUUAGGUUGGGCCUCUGAGAAAAAAAAAAUUAUUUAGUUAAAAAGUUACCCUUAUUGAAACCUGUAUAAAAAUUUUAUAUUAAUUAGUUAUGUUGCCUCUUCAACUAUGAUCAAAUUUUUAUCCGAGCUCAUCAUUUAAUGAGUAAACAUGUAUUUUAAUGAUCUCAAUUAAUAUUUAGAACAAAUAUUUUAAGAAGUAAAGCUCAUUAUAUCUUCCAUUAUUAUGUAUUUCUUUAAUUUCUUAUUUACAUAAUUAUAUUGUACAUUAAAAAUGUAUUGAAUUUGAAGAAAAAAAAAUUCAACUCACUCAAAAAAAAAAAAAAAUGCUGGUAGCUUCGUAAUAAUUACUGUAUUGACUGCACCAGAUAAAGUUUUGUAAAAUAAUAAGUUCUCAUUAGUGGUUUUUAAUUUUUUUAAUUUUUUUUUCCGGCACACCUGAUCAAGAAUUCUAUUUUGUUAACUAAUCAAUUGCAAAGCAUAAGUGUUGAACGGCAAAAAAAUUUAAAAAAACACUUAAAACGUGGGGAAAUGAGAAAUAUAGAAAGAAAGGAAGAAAGUUGAGACAUGAAACUGAUCUGCAGUGAAAUUGAUAAUCAUGUUUCUAUUUCGUUAACUAAUCAAACGGAAAACUGAAACUGUAAACAAACAUUAACACGUGUGGACUCUGCUAGCUGCCCUACAAGUCUACAAUAGUAAUUGAGUACCUUUGAUUCAUCCUUCUAUGAAUUUCUAGCUGUAUUGACCCCAACUGCUAAAGUUUUGUAAAAAAUAAAAAUAAAAAUAAAAAAACUGGAAUUUCAACAAAAUUCAAAACGUGUGAAAUUCAAAAAUGGACUUUGGCCAUGUGGAACAAAAUGUAAAUUAAGGAAAAAGUAUAAAUCUCAAUUGCUUAGUAUGGUUAGGAUUUUGUGAGCAUCACUAAAAAGUGAAAACUAUGAAUGAUAGAGGUGAUGUUUGCAACAUGAAUAAAUGAUGAACUGAAUCAAUUGAUGAUCGUAAUUACAUAAUGAACAAAAUUUACAAAAUCAACAAAAGUUAAUAAAAAUUUAUUCAAAUAAUAAAAAAUCAAUAAAAACUUAUUAUUUAACGGCGCUCAAACCAUGGAGUACCAUAAUCAUAAUCUUCUUUUAAGAAAAUUAUAACUUAUUAUUUUACAGGUUUGAUCCAUUUGGAAUGAAGUGGUCUCAAGUUGAAAGUAAUUAAUUUAUUGAAUAACUUUCGACUUAUUAAUAGUUAUAUCAACGGGUGUUUUACCUCAUCAUGUCUUCAAGUGGAAGAUGAAGACUAUGCAAGUGAAUUCAGGAAUAUUGCAUGCCUGUUGUCUAAAGCAUUACCUCACAAGGUUUCAUGAGAAACGAAAGAUGUGUUUGCUUUGAACAAUUAAAGUUACUGCUACGAACCUCCCCAAAGGUCAAGAAGACAGAACAGGAAGCUAAUGCCAUCAAUGUCUUGUUCAUUAUAGCUGCUGGGUAGUUAGGUGUAGUUUCCUCAUUUGAAGCUGUCUAUACAUAGGCAUUUCCCCUGCUUAUGUACAAAUAAAUGAACAACCUUGAAGCUUUAUUAUUCGCAACAAAAAGGGAUUACUAAUUGGAGAAGACUAUACAGAGUUUUCUCUCACACUUGCUCUCUGUCAAUUUCAUCCAGAAGUCCCUCUGAAAGCUUCUCCCAAAACAGUUAGUCAUCUUUUAUGCUCUGUUUUCUGAAAACAGAGUCCUAACUAAAUUAAUUGACUGUACAGUGCAUUUCAACAUAGCAUAUUUAACCGUUUUAACAGUUAUUUGGACCGUCUUCAGAGGUAACAUCAACAAACUCAUUCAUAUGCUUAAUAAUGAACGAAUAGUCUUGGAUUGAUGUUUUGCAGCAAGAGCAACACGACACAAUCUGGAUUCAACCUCCUCCUUUCUAACAGGGGAUUUCGAUUUGAGUUACUUUGUGCUCAAGCAAAUUCACAUCAUAGUUUUGAUUCUUUAGAUAUGAAUUCAUCUCAUUACAUAUAUCAGAUUAAGUGUAACAAAAUUUGUAAUUUACUGCGAAAAGAAUAUGCACUAAAAAAUGAUUUCAAGACUAUUUGACUACAAAAAGCAGCUGUCAGAGUGCACUAAAAAUUUCUGUAGGAUAUUUUGUAGCUGUUUAAUAUGUUAUGAUGGGCAUAUAAUUCUCAAAUUUUGAUGCCUCUCAGCGAAAAAUAUAUCAAAGUUACGGAUGAUAUCACGUAAAACAUGCAUGGCUCAGGCUCAGGCUCAGGUAAGAAAGCCACAGAAAUGGAAAAUCUCACUGUCACGACUCACGUCACGCAUCAUUCAAGUGAUGGAUUUAACAAGACUGCUUAUGUUCUAUCAAAUUCCUCUGCCUCUCAGAAGAUAACUUUUCUGGGCCAAAUUUCUCAUCUAAAGCAUAUUAUGCCCCAAAGUCACAGAUAACAAAAUGGGGCACUACCGAUUAUGAAAGAGAACUAGUAGUUGUCAGAAGCCUAAGCCAAAUUCCGGUAGUAAGAAGAGGCCUUUCUUGAGUUUAGAUUAUGUGUUCGAGUUUUAAUAAAUGCCUAAGUUAAUAAUAAUAACAACAGUAAUAAUAAACUAAAAAGCAUAAUUACUAUUGAAUGGUAAAAAAAAAAAUGAAAAUGUGUGAACUCCAAUAACCACCCCAGUGGCGAAUUUUGGAGAGGGCUAGGCCGGGCUUCUUAGAAAUUAUUUUUAUUUAAUUACAAAAUCACCUUUACUGAAACCUAUAUAAAAUUUUUUAUAUUAAUUAAUUAUGUUGCCUCUUCAAUUAUCAUUAAAUUCUUGUCCGUUCAUAAUUUGAUGGAUAAAUGUGUAUUUCAAUAAUUUCAAAUAAUGUCUAGAACAAAUAUUUUGAAUUAUAAAACUCAUUAUGUCCUGCAUUACUAGAUGUAUCUAUAAUUUAUUAUUUACAAAUUAUAUUGUAUGAUAAAAAUGUAUUGAAUUUUUGUUUAAAAAAAAGUUCGGCUCACUCAGAAAAAAAUGUUAUUAGCUUCGCCACUGCACAAAUCUAGAAUAAUAAUUAUUCCUUAUUAUAUUGACUGCACCAAGCAAUAAACUAAUAAGUUCUCAUCAGUGGUUUUUAAUCUUUUUAAUUCUUUUUACCGCACACCUGAUCAAGAAUUUUAUUUUGUUAACUAAUCAAUUGCAAAGCAUAUAUAAGUGUUGAACGGUACACAAGAUUGGAAAAAAAAAAUCUUAAAAAACGUGCGGAUUCGGGUGGCCACACCAGAAAUCUAUUACAAUAAUUAGCUUUGAUGCUGGGAAUCUUUUAAUUUCUGGCCGUAUUGAAGUUUUUAAAAUAAUAAGUUCCCCUUCUCGUUUUUUUUUUUUUUUAAAUAUAUAUGCUUAUAACAAUUUUAGAAUAAUGAUUCAUUUGUAGAAGAACUUAUGAUUUCCCAUUAAUAUUAAUAUUGAAGUGGGGUGGGUCAAAUCUCAAUUGCUUGAAGAAUUUAUGUAUUAUUAAAUAUUACCAUCCAAGGUAGAAUUGUGGAAAAUUAAAGCAAAAUGACAAGUAUGGAAAGGAAGGCUGAAAGUAAGGCAUGACGAAAGGCUUUGAGAAGGCUGAAGACUACCAAAGAAGUCAACUGAAAACUAGCUGGGGCCUGAGUGUAUAAAUUGUUAGAUGCGUUUGUUAUAAAUAACAUAGAGCCCUUUUGUUAUUUAUAGUUAUAGAGAAAGAGAGAAUGUGUGUUUUUUAAUAGUUAGAGAUAUAGCUAGAAUGGGUUGCUCAAAAUCCAAAAUAGUGACAAUGUUAGUUCUCGUAUUGAUAAUAUUGGGGGGGGGGGGGGGGGGGGGGGGGGGGGGGGGGGGGGGGGGGGGGGGGGGGUGUUGGGAGGUCGAGUGAGGGAUGUUUGGAGCAUGAGCAAUUUGAUCUUUUGCGGCUUAAACAUUUCUUCAAUUAAUAUCGAUCUGGGAGAGUGGUAUCUGAAUGCUUCUCUAUUUACUUCCUUUCAACAACUUGGUAACAAAAUAGCCGGCUGCAUGCGUUGAGAAUGAAGGUGCUUCAUUUAAUUUAAUUUACUUAAUUUCUCCCUCCUAAUUAAUGUCUAUAAUCAUUAGGAGGAACAAGGGAUUUUAUUAACUCAAAUAUAUCUAAUGGAUCUCAUUCUUUGGUUUUACUUGCAGGGCUAGAAGCAGGUGUCAUCUAACAGCUGCUUUGAUAAUUUCCCUCCCCUUCAUCUUUGAUGGAAAGAUGAAAUAAAAACAAAUUGGUGAAAAUGGUAUUGGUACCUGAGGCUAUGUAAUCUAAUUCAAAAACUGCACCAUCAAAACGAUUACAUAAGUCUCAGAAGAAUCAAAUAUCAGUUUGCAAAAUAUCAAUUGCUGGAGGUUUGAUUCUAACUUCCGCUCUUCAUUUUAUGGGCAUAUUGUGUUGUACUUGCAUCCGAAAAUCAUAUUUUAGUUUACUUGCACUCAAUGCUUGGAUUAAAGUUUUUUGGGGGGGGGGGGGGGGGGAUUGAAGAAGACUAAAAUUACACCAAAAAAGAGUUGAGCGAGAGCGGGUUUUGUCUUCAUUUAAGGAGCUCUUUAUAAAUUUUGGGAUUUUUUUUCCUGAGAAAAUUUAUGCCAACUCAUUCUUUGCUUCUUUUCUGAAGGACACAUGCAACCGAAAGUAUAUUCUUGAAUUCUCCAGGAUAAGAGACAUACGUUUAGAUUCUGGAGCAUUUAAAACAAUGUCAAAUUUUAGAUUGCUGAAAUUUUAUAUAUCCGAGUAUGAUGGUGUUCCAAUUAUAAGCUCCAGGGUGCAACUUCACUGAGGUUUAGAAUGCCUUCCUAUAGAAUUGAGAAAUCUCCAUUGGCAUAAAUAUCUUUUGAAAAUACUGACAUCAGAUUUUGAAUUGGAGAACCUGAUUGGACUCAGCUUGCCCUGUAGUAAGGUUAAGCAAAUUUGGAAAAGAGAAAAGGUAUAAUGUAUUACUAUUACCAAAGUAUCUAUUUUUCUUUCUUUAAGUAUUUUAUAAUGAAUAACUUUGAAAUUCAAUGAUGCUCAUUUAGUAUAGUUAUGUAUCUUUGGUUAUAGGAAGCUGUCAAGUUAAAAUCUAUAGACCUUCACCACCCCUUUAUCUCAAUAGGAUCCCAGAAAUACUAAAUCUUAAAAAAAUAAAUCUUUCAAAUUGUGAAAGCAUGCUUACGUUACCCCCGUAUAUCCACAAUUUCAACUAGCUGAGUAUGUUGUGUUUCAGGGAUGCAAAAUUCAUUUUGUUUCUCAUGAAAGGAUUGACUUGUCCGGAUGUAUUAGGGUUAGUAACCAACUAAUCCCAUAAUUUGUUGAUGUAGGGUCCUAACAAAUUAUCUGCAGUAGAUUGUAGAUCACGUACACUAUUCGAAAACGUAUUUGAUCCACACAGUGAAGUGGAUAUUGGACCAAUUUGAUGAUAAUGAAUUUCUUUCAAUCUCAAUCUUUUUUCUUUUUAGCAACAUGACUAGUCAUUGUGCAAAUUCAAAACUCUGACAAUAAUUUCUCAAUCGGUUUCUAAGAUGAUGACCAUGCAUGUAUAUGUAUAUGCGUGUGUAUAUGUGUGUGUGUGUAGAGAGAGAGAGAGAGAUCACACGUGUGUGAUUUCCUUUUUGCCAAUAGGAUAUGCAGAGAGCUUGAUCUUACCCAAUAGCGAAACAAACUUCCUAAUAAGUGAAGGUAUAGUAUAAAUACUUAUACUUUCAUGUUAUUUUGUUCAUCAGUAGCUUGAUUAUUUUAUAUGCGUCUUCGAUUUUAAUUUUCUUUCCCUAUAAUCGCUAUUAUCUUUGAACUGGUCAUAAUUUGCCCAUAAGAUUUCUCAUGUUGUUUUGAGGUGCAACGGAUUUUGAAUUUAGUGACAAGCAGUGGAAGCCAGAAGGCAAAUUAUGAAAAUGGAUAAAGAUCUAUAAUUAGCUGUUAUGGGAUGUCACAUAUCAUAUUGAUGGUAACGUUAUAUAUAUGUACAUAUAAUUAAUGGGGUUGGCUCACGAGCCCAUUAAUAAUGGUAUAUUAGCUUAUAUACUUCAAACAAUGUACUAUGAAGCAAUUUCACAAAUACUUGUUAGCUUAUGUUGAGCUUUAUUGAAUCAGUAGUUCACAGUUCAAUAAAAUGCAGGUUUGCUAUUUGAAGUACAUGGUUAUGGUGCGUACAUUCUUCAUAAGGCUAACUACUAAUUUAUCAUUGAAACUUGAAAAAUGUGAUAGAGAGAUGUAGAUAACAGCCGCAAAACACUGAGAUUGAAAAUCAGGGCUACUAAAUUCUAUUAAAAGUCCUUAAAAUAGACAGCGAUCACCCUGAAAUGUAUAUACUGAAACUAAGAAAUAUUAAUCGCAAAGUUAUGCAUUAAUAGAACUAUUGACUACUUAUCUUUAGCAUAAAGUAUAUUUUUAACUACAGCUUUCUGCUUUGUUCUAAGAACUAGGCAAAAGUGGUGUAUCUUCAAUCCAAUCAACAUAUAUACCACUUAUCUUCCUCUUCACUUCUGUCUAUUUUGAUUUGCACUUCAUAUCCUGCACUUGCUGCUUAGAAAUAGUCUUUAUUCUGGACAUUGAAAGUAGAAAAAGUACUUGAAACAAUCAUUGGCACAGCCCGAGAUUCCAUUGAAUCGUGGACUCCAAGCUUUCAUAGUUCUAUAAAGAAGAUGACAAAACUUCAUACAACUGGCAUUCUGCUUUUAACAUUUGCACAACCUGAGCGAGUUAGCAAGCCCCUUGUUGCGUUCCCAUUGAAUAGACCUACUUCUGUUAUCCGCAGAAGAUCCACCACUCAAAAUGUUUAUCACCAGGCUAUUCUUAAACUGAGCCUAAACUGAGUAGAAACUUCCGCACAUCUCUCAGCAUUUACAUGAAGAAAUCGACAACUAUCCUCAUCUCUCAGCAUUCUACAAAGUUGCAUUUCACUAAGCAAUCUAUCCUCUCCAUUCCUAGCAAAGUGACAUUGAUUCCCGUAUUUGUAAUCGCCUAACUUGGGUUUUGGCAUAGCGUGGUCUUAAAAAUUACCACCCAAUACUUUGUUCAGUGCCACUGGCAUCCACAAGCUCUAGCCCUGUUAGUUGAAUCAUAUUCAAUGGGACAGUGAGGCAGCAUUUCACUAACAUAUUCAAUUUGACUACUUAUAUUGACGCAAAUAUUAGAAUUUGAAAUCACUUCUUUUAUUGGAAUAUUAUAUUAAUAUGACCCCAAAUGAAAGUUCUUGAAUGGAAAUGAUUUUUAUUUACUUUUCGAACAGAUUCAAGAAAACCCAGAGAACACAAAAUUUACACAGUAAUAUGAUUAAGAGCUGAGAACGUAUAUGUAGUAAAUGUCUAUCAAAAAACACCCAAGGGUUUCUUUAAAAUUAGUAACUAGUAAACAAAAGAAAGAAUCAUUUUACAUUUUUAGCAACUUUGGGGUGAGUGAGUGAGUGAGAAAUUGAAACCCUCAAGUGAUGACAACAGUAAGAUUCAGUAUGAAGUGAAACCCCAAUUUGAAAUGUAGGCAUGAGUUGCUGAGUCAGUAGAUGAAGCUAUAAAUAGGCAUUCGGUUUCCUUCUUUUCGGUUUGGAGGCCAUGGAAUAGUGUAUUGGAGUGGGCUCCAAGUAAUAGCCUCUAUCACUGGAACGACACAUCUAUAAAAUGUGAUACAUGGGGAAGGAUUGGGCAUUUUAUUCUUAGAUUAGCCCUUAUUUAGGGUGUAUAUUAAGCAGAUUAUAUAUUACAUGGAGAUGGAGUUUAAAUAGAUUAAAAAGAAAAGGAAAUUUUGGUGCCUAAAGUUUGCCACUUGGAAUAUUUCGGUGUCUAAAAAUUCACUCACCACUUAUUUCAUGUUUGAUUAUAUGUUGAAAAGAUAUUAAAAUAGUAUAAUGCUAUUAAGGCUUAACGUAUAUUUUUUAUUAGUAGAGUGUAGAAUUUUUAAGAAAUAAAUUAUUAAAUUAUUAUAACUAACAUAUUAUUUUAAAGUUGUGUUAUGAAAAAAAUGAAAUAAAAAUGUACAGUAAAUAAGAAUAUUUUAAAACUUUUAUCUUUUUAAAAUUAGUUUUUAACAUAAGGUGAACUAUUUUUUUUUUAAAAUCACAUAUUCUAGUUAAAAUCAAAUAUGUAUUUAUCGAAGCUUGUAAAUUUUUUUUUUUAGUACUGAUAUUUGAAUAUUAUCAAUAAAAAAAAGGGUAAUGUUCAUGCUGCAUUAUUUUUGUAGCACACAAAAGGACAACACCGUUUAUGUUAUAAUACUAUCGCUUCUGUUAUGAUAAUUUUUUUUGUGGCCAAAUAUCUUUUUUUUUUUUAAGUAAAAAAAGUGGACAAAAUGCAAAUCAGUUUUUAAUCCUCAAUCUCUCCCAAAAAUAUAUAUUUCGGUGUCUAAAAAUUCACUCACAAAACUAUAGCUGACAAAAAGUUACUAACAAAAAGUUAGGUCCAUGGGUUGUUAAAACUAUAGCUGACAAAAAGUUACUAACAAAAACAGAAUGUCCAUUUUAUAACUUUCUUAAAAAACUUUCCUUAACUUUUUUAAACAAAAAGUUAUUUCCAAUUUUUAUUUUGUUAUAAUGUUUAUAACAAAAUUCGUAGUUAACUAAACUCUUCUUAUACCCUUUCUCAACUGCCAUACCCUAACCCACUAAACCACGCUCAAUUAAGGCCAUCAGAUUCUCCGGGCCCACAUUAAUCCAACUGCUCACAGAGACCGACAGCCUCUCUAUCUCCAUUUCAAGCUCCCUCUUCAACUGGCUUCUGCUACCGUCCUACUCUUUCUCGGCUUCGGAGUCCGUAUUUGCUCGGCCUGUCCCACGAAGCUCCCUCUCACUCCAAUUGUCGCCCCACAAGACCAAUUGCUUAAUCAAGACACCGAACAAGAAAGGAUGAGAAGUUGAAACAAGAAUUUGAGAAUUGGAAAUAAAAACGUACGCAUUGACCGUGCCUUUGAGAGUCGUUUCUCUUCAGAACUCAGUGCCUCAAUCUUGGGUUAAGGAUUUUAUGCGAAGUCAGGGAAAGAGAUUGAAGUUUCAGAUGAAUUUGUGUGCUAGCAUUGAUGGGAUCUUUAACAAUUUAUCUGUGCCCUUUAACAAAGUUAAGGCUAAGUCAGCUUCUUAUAUGGCUGCUGAUUUGGUUAGUGUUGGUGAUUCAUGGCUUAGUUUUGCCAUUAAAAAGAGAUUGAUUGAGCCAAUGGCUGGAGCUGAAGACCAAGAUUGGUUCAAAUGCUUAAGUCACAAAUGGAAGGUAACAUCUUUGUCUUUGAUCCUCGAGGUAAAAUAUGGGCGGCACCGUACAGGUGGGGCACAACGGUGAUAGCCUACAAGAAAAGUAAAUUUCGAAAGCAUAAUUUGGCUCCGAUUGAGGUAAUAAUUUUCUUUAAACUCAUUUAGUUUUAUAUCAAACAAAAUCAAGACUGCCUUUCUCUUCAAUAUUUUUUAUGAUAAUAUCUUUAGAAGCAUCUCAUUGACGGGUAACAAUGGCAUCCUGGUUAAGGAUUUUAUGCGAAGUCAGGGAAAGAGAUUGAAGUUUCAGAUGAAUUUGUGUGCUAGCAUUGAUGGGAUCUUUAACAAUUUAUCUGUGCCCUUUAACAAAGUUAAGGCUAAGUCAGCUUCUUAUAUGGCUGCUGAUUUGGUUAGUGUUGGUGAUUCAUGGCUUAGUUUUGCCAUUAAAAAGAGAUUGAUUGAGCCAAUGGCUGGAGCUGAAGACCAAGAUUGGUUCAAAUGCUUAAGUCACAAAUGAAGGUAACAUCUUUGUCUUUGAUCCUCGAGGUAAAAUAUGGGCGGCACCGUACAGGUGGGGCACAACGGUGAUAGCCUACAAGAAAAGUAAAUUUCGAAAGCAUAAUUUGGCUCCGAUUGAGGUAAUAAUUUCUUUAAACUCAUUUAGUUUUAUAUCAAACAAAAUCAAGACUGCCUUUCUCUUCAAUAUUUUUUAUGAUAAUAUCUUUAGAAGCAUCUCAUUGACGGGUAACAAUGGCAUCCCUGAAAGAGUCUAUAAACUCAAUGAUAUUAUCUUCUACAAAUGGUUCAUUAAACUUUGUCGUUGUACUCAAAUGUACACUCAGAUCAAUGAGAAGCUAUGCUACGUUAGCAUGUAGUGAUGGCACUUAAUAAGUGAGUUGCUAGGAUGUGAACUAGAAAAAUUAAAUAUUGUCUCCUUGGGUAUGCUAGCUGGUAAGUCAGGGUUAAUAUCAGAGCUUAAGAUAGUAUAACCGUGAGAACCUAUUGACUGCCAAUUAAAAUAUCCAUUGAAAUGUCUAGGGAGUUAUGAAGGUGGAGGUAACUUCCAAUUUCUAAGGCCACAGAGUAGACAUCAUCCAGGAUCCUAGGAAAGUCCAGUUAACCUCCUGCUCGAUGCAAUUAAUAAAUUUGGUCAAUGCCACUGAAACCUGCUAACUGACGUCACAAUGCGACAUGAGCACUUCAAAAUGGGACAGACGGUCAGUAGCACUAAAUUUUUCUUGCCAAGAUUGAGCAAUUGGUCUAACUACUAAUCCCUAUUGUAGUUGAUCAUUAUUUUUUCAAUUAUGUUCAGUUUGACCCAAAAAGUUGCAGAAUCUUGAGCUAAAUAUUGUCACUGAACACUGUCAAUGUCAUUUAGCAUAGCCAACUAACUUGAUGUUAAAACAAACACACAGUGUGUCUCAUGUCUCACAAUUCAAAUUAUCAUCUGUAAUGUUGGAGAAUUUUUCCAAUGUAUGAAGUAUGCUUUGAUACGUGGGUUACCUUGGAGAAGAUAUCUCAAAAUAAAGAAUAUGGGGAGAAAACAGUUCAGUAGUUUAUUAUUCGUAGUCAAGUUUUGUCUCGAAAAUGGUCAAAAUUUAAAUGAAUAAGGACAGGGGAUCUUCAUUCUUUUUUCCCUUUUUAUACCAAGAUAUCUCUCAACCUUUAUAUAAUCCCCACUGGAUAUCUGCUUCUAAUAAUUAAAAUAAAAAUUUCACCGCUCUAACAAUAAAAAGUAACAUCUUUCCUCAAAUAAUUUACAGUUCCUCAUCAUCUUAGUGUGAGAAUAUCAGUACAUUCCAAACAUAAUAAAACUGGUUUGAUCCUGUUUAUUGAUGUUUAAAUGUUGUUCAUUGUGACAGGUAGAAAUGAUGAGGCGAAGUUUAUUUGGACAUCAAUUAGUAAGAUCUUGUUUGAAGUUGUUUUCUGAAAUGAACUGCCAAAUGGUAGUUUUUGGGGGCAUUUGAUGGCUCUUUUUUUUUCCUCAUUUUCAACAUGUGCCUGCUUGGAACAUGAAGGAUUAGGCUGCAGAGUUGUUAUAUAUUUUGAGAUGCUCUGGUCAUUGCACAAUUUGUUCACACUGGAAAUUAGAAUGAGAAAUUUGUUGAUGCUGUUUUGAGAGAUCUGCAUUCUAUGCACAAUAACAUGAUUAAUGAAAAUGCAUUGUAGGACUGGAAAGAUCUGUGGCAGCCUGAGCUCGCAGGAAGAAUUUCAAUGGUUAAUUCUCCCCGAGAGGUUAUUGGUUCAGUUUUGAAGUAUAGGGGAACAUCAUACAAUUCAAACUAUAUUGAUUCGCAAGUUGCUGGUGGAAGAUUGCUGUUCAGCAGAAUCUGGCAUUACUGGCAAACCAGGUACUCUUACAGAAAUCAUAUCUGGUCAUUGCAUGUUAUUGCCUGACAACUGAUUUUGUUUGUAAAAGUCUGCUUCUUCAUACAUAUGAAUGCAUAUGUUAGUGUUUUCUUCUCCUUUUCAUACAUAUAAAUGCAUAUGUUAGUGUUGUCUUUUCCUUUUCACACAUAUUAAUACAUAUGUUGGUGUUCUCUCCUGAGAUGGAUGCAAUAAAGGCUUUUGCUCCUAAAUUUAGCUGAAGAAAUGGCAAGGGAUGUGAGAUUCUGUCUCAUUAAAUUAACAAAAACCCAAAACAAUGAAAAUCCAUAAUAAUGUGGUGUGGGUAAAUUGGCUCCAUUUGGUUCGUUUCCUUAAUGUGAAUGCGAGCAAUAGAGACUAACAAAAUGAAGUGACAACAAGAAGUCAGUGUCCUUUGAUGGAUGCAUUUUUAGCAGAAAUAUGUUUGUAAUUGACCAAAUUUGUCUGGCAUGCCAAUUUCAAAAAAAUUAAAUUAUGUGGUUAUUAGCUGUAAUGAAGGGGAUAGUAGGUGCAAUCAGGUGUAUCCAGGAAAGUUCAACAAAGUUUUGGUAUGGCGUAGUGAAAUUGGUUUGUGCAACUCAGGAGUCUUUCAGGUGAACGAUGAUAGGUUUUGAUUUAUGAAUAUUAUAAAUCUACUGUGCAUAGUAUUCUAGUAGAAUCAUCUAUAAGUUCUAGUUAUUGUAUACUUUGCCUGGUUUGAGUUAAGGGCACAUGUAAUAUGAAAGAUAGUUGUCGCAUCUUUUAGGUUACCUAACAUUUGAUCAAUCCUAUUAUGGGGGCUUCAAGAUGUCUAACAAUAUGUAGAAUGCCCAUGCUCCUCCCCAUUGUUUAUCUUCUACAAUAAUUUGUUUUAGAUGCUAAUAUCUUUGUCGAUACCGGUAACAAUAUUACAAUAUCUGCGUUUAUUGGGUUUUACAUAGGUUCGACUGUUUGACAGUACACACUAUCUGAAGGCAUUUGCAAUUGGAGAUGUAUGGGUUGCUGUUGGGUGGAUUAGUGAUGUUCUUCCUGCUGUCAAACAUAUGUCUAAUGUUGCUGUUGUUGUUCCCAAGUCUGGUGCUAGCUUAUGGGCUGAUCUUUGGGUAUACCCAUGCCUGCCAUUCUACUUCAAUAUUCACAUUGUUAUCUCCUUCAUAUUAGUGAUCAGUAAACACGAUAAUGUGACUAAUAAGUUCGUAUUCUCUUUAUAGGCAAUCCCUGCUGCCUCAAGACUUGAAACAAAACAAAUUGGAGGGCGAGUCAGAGGUGCAUUUCCAUUAAUCCAUCAAUGGAUAGAAUUCUGCUUGCAAACAGCGAGAGCAUUGCCUUUCAAGCAAGAGGUUAUCCCGAGCGCAUCUCCCUCUGCCCUUGAGUACUCUGGUUAAGUUGCCUGAAGAACUUUUCAAGGGUAAACCAAGUCUGGAUACUAACUUAAUUGCUGGAGUACCCCCGACUGAAAUUCUGGCCAGAUGUGAGUUUUGGAGCCUUUAUUUGAAGCUACAUUGUCGGAUUAUGAGUGGCUGGUUACUAAUCUGCAAAAAUCCACUCCUGUACUGAUCAACAAGAUGCAACAUUACAUGUCAUCAUUGAUCUUUAGCUAAAGGUACAUUGAAAAGUUAAUGGCACUGCAUACCAGUCAUUAUAAUUGGGUCAGGGCAAUUAGGUCAGAGCAUAACUUCAUUAGGAAAAGAUGCUUCAGCUACGUUAAAUAUUACAGGAUGUACUGAGAUGGCUGAAGCUGUUGAGGUUUUACGAGAAUCGAAAGAUAGUGUUUGUUUGAACAAAGUUGUUGCCAAUCUUGCAGAGUUCGAGAAGAAAGAUCACGAAGUGAAUGCCACCGAUUUCUUCAUCAUUGUAGCCUCCAUAGUUGAAGUUUCCUCAUUUGAAGCUGUUUAUGCAUACGAUUUUCCCCUGCUCAAGUACAGGAAAUUGAAGAAUUAACCAGAUGUGAUAUGCUGAAAGAGGGAAGUUUUCUUCCUUGAAUGUGGUCUUUGUGAUUUGUCUUGAAGGAAUAGGGUGAUCACUGGCAAGAACCCUAUCAAGGUAGAUUUUAUGAUGUUAACAUAUCAUUAAGCAUUUUGUUACAUCAGCAAUGAUGCUUUCAUAGCAGCAUGAAAGUGUUUAAAUUUUAACUGAAUGAUCUUGAUUGAUCAAUUAUGAGUUUUAAUCGAGUAAAAACUAAAUACAAUAAUCGUUAACAAAUAUUGAAAUUGGGUAAAUAUGAUCUUGAUAUUGAAGAAUUUGAAAUCACAACCCACACAGGAAAUCACCCUUCGCGUGGGGAUGGAGAUGUUACUGCAGCGAUAUUGAAUAUGUCCACCGCUCUUUGGGUUAUGGUGCGACUUGCCCUGAAACAAUGGAAAAGAAUAAUUAUAAUUUAACGCCAAGACAUAAAAUUAAAACGUGUGGACUCCGGUAGCUGCCCUACAAGUCUACAACUCUACAAACAUUAACUCUACAAACAUUAAACGUGUGGACUCCGGUAGCUGCCCUACAAGUCUACAACUCUACAAGAAUAAUUUCUAGCCCUGUUGACUCCACUAACUAAAGAAAUUUCAAAAACGUACAUAGAAUUCCACAACAAGCAAAACGUAUGGAAUUUAAUUUUUUGCCGUGUGGAACAAAAUACAAUUUAACAAAAAAGGAUAGAAAAAUGGUAAGAUUUCUAAAAUGAGUGGAAGGUGAUUCAUAUUUUACUGAAAUGACUUGUCCUGAACAUUAAGACGAUUGAUUUUUUUUUUUUAAUAACAUCAACUUCCAUAUCUUUCUAACCCCUAGAAUAUGCUCACGUUCAAGUCUAUCUUGGUAAUUUGAAAAAGAAAAUCAAAUCAAAUCAACACCAAAACAAUGAAAAGUAAAACUUUUGAAUUUCAACUUUAAACUUUUGUUAACCCUAGAAUAUUCAGCGUUUUCAAAUUCUUCCGAUUGCAUAUCUUCUUCCUCCAUCAAUGCAAUAUUUGAACGAUUAUGAAAGAGUUUAAGAACAUAAAAAAUCUCCAAGGUUUAUACGGUAUAACAAAUUUAAAUUCUCAAUUACAAUAGAUAAUAAUUAAACUAAUAAUUUUUUAUGUACUUAUUUUAGUAAUUUCACCUAAGAAUAAUAUUGUAAUUAGAAAAAAAAAUCUAAUAAGUAGGGUGGUCUUAUACAAAAUCAACUGUACUGUGAUGAGUUUCCUUUUGUUAAUAAUUUUAGUCUAAUUUCAAUUGUACUGUGAUCGCUUCUCAAGGUAAGUGAAAGUUACAGAUGGCAAAAUAAAUAAUUAAGUUAACAAAAUGCUAACUAAUUUUCCUCAAUACCUAGGGUUGUACAAUUUCACCAACCUGGAAGAAUUGACAUUAAUGGACUGGUCUCCUCCCAUAUAAUUAUAAUCCUUCUAGAAAGCUAUUUUUAUUAAAUAUUUGCUUUUAAGUUAAUUUCAAUUAAAAAUGUUUUAAGUUAAUAUAUACUCUAAUGAGAUUCUGAAUUCCUUAUUCAAUAAUAAUGAAAACGUAUUAAAUUAGAAAUGAAAAAAUUGGUGUUGAUGAUUCAACCUAUUUGGAUAGAUUACGUGAAUAAAAUUUAAAAUUUUGAUUUAAUUUUGUUUAUUGUUAAUUCUCAGGCUAUCUUUAAUUUCAAGAAUUUAGAAUGUUAAUUUGGUCAUGGAUUUCAACCCGUGAGUGUCAUAUUCUAGACUUAAUGGUACCAUUCUUUGAUUGAGGGCAAUGACUCUCACUCCUCUUGUAAAAAAAUAUUUUCAACUAUUUUGAUGACUUAAAAAUUGAUAGAUUUAUUGUUGUCAUGACCAAAUUAUUCAUUUUAAUGAAAUAUAAUUAAUGCAUCAAAGUUACAGGUUAUGUCUAUCUUAAUGCGCUUUUUUUUUUUCAGUUAUAGCUUCUGCUUACGUCUGUUUCAUUUUUUUUAAAUAAAAAAACAAGGGAAGGUUUUCCGAGUCAUCCAUUAUUUGAUUUCCGUCAAUCAAGAAAACGACCAAAUUAAUUUCUCUCCAAAAUUUCCAAAAGCUAGAAAAUUUUGUUAUUUGAAAAUAACAUGAAUUAAUUAUAGAGUGGAUCAAACCGCGUUAUUGUCUUUCAUAAAAUUGAUGUCUUUUAAGAGUCAAUACUUUUUUAUUUACGCAAACCAGUCGACAUCAAUUUAAACUUCCAUAUUUUAUUAUUAUUAUGUUAUUUAUUUUAAUCGCCGAUUAUUUGAUUAGCCACUAUAUAUAUCAAGAAAGCGACAAAAUUUAUUUCUCAUGACUUCCAAAAACAGAAAAACAACAUCAUUUAUUAUUUUUUUGCAACCUAAUUGACAUCACUUUAACUUAUUAUGUUAUUAUUUCAAUCCCCCAUUAUGACCUUUCUAAUCCUUCCAUUAUGCAUCUUUUAUAGUGCAAAUUGUAAUUGCACAUCUAAAUAAAUUGAAUAUUGUUACUCCACACCCAAUAUUUCAAAUAGUCACUAGACCAUUUCUGCCUUUAAUUUCCCUUAACUAUUGACUGUUUUUAGCAUCUUAAAAUAUACAUUUAUUCUUGAUUAUGUGAUAAAAUUAUGAAAUAUUCCAUUUUAGCUUAAAUUAAUUGGAAUAACCAUAAGCGUAACAUAAAUUAAUAGAACAAAAUUAUCAAGUGUAUGUUCUAUCUUACUUUUUGAAGAAUUUAACAUAUAUAAUGCUAUACUAUUAAUAAAUUUUUCAUUUACUAUAUAUGUUCAAUAUUUUAUAUAUUUAUUAAUUGUUAUAUAGUCACAGGAUGAAUGAUUUUUUCAGGUCUACAUGAGUUGGUGCACAUGCAAGACUCAAUUUUGACAACAAUGAUCUAAGGGGUAAUUUACCUUGGUGUUUGACAAACAUAACCUUCUUCAUGAUUUACUUCCAAUCUACUUACUGUAAAUAUCUCCUCAUCUCCUCUCAUUUAUAUGAUAAGUGAUAACCCUUGAAGAUCUCACAUUUUCAAACGAUCAUAUUAGGGUUUUUAUUAUUAGCAUCAUUGUGUCAACAAAAUAUAUGUUGCAGUAAGAUUUUUUUCAGACCAAUUCCCUUCUUCAAAUAAUUAAUGGAAAAGUAUUAAUUUAAAAAUAAAAUGAAUAUGCAUUGAUUAUAUCCUGAUUUCCAUCGAUUAUAGCGAGAGGUUCUCCGAAUCAACUCCCUUAUUCAAAUAAUACAGAAAAAAUAGUAAUUUAAUAGUAAAAUUAGCAAGUGUUGAUUAUAUAUCCUAAGUUUCAUCGAUUAUGUGAUCAAAGUGGCAUUGUUGAUUUAUUUUCUUGUUCAAUGUUAUUUUUAGGUUAUCUAAAUUUCAAAAGGAUUUAAAAUCUUUGUUCAUGGAUUACAACGCUUAUUAAUUUUUCUGCCAUUGACUGUCAUAUUCUAGACUUAAGGUACCUUCCUUGAUCAAGGAUAAUUACUCUAUGUUCCCUCUUAUAAAUUCCUCUUCAUUAACAUCACUAAGGAGUAUGUUGAUCUCUCAGACGUUAACUUUAGUGGAGAGUUUCCAAAUUGAUUGUUACAAAACAACACAAAAACUAGACACACUUGAUCUGUCUAAUAAUUCUCUUUCGAUAAAAUUAAUUAAUUUUAGGGGAAUAUUCGACCAACCUCUAUAAUUUCAUAUUGAUCAUUAAUUAAUUAGACGAAAAAAGUACUUGUGCUUUUGUGGCGACAAUUGAACUAGAGAAGUGAAGCUGUAAAGAUUUGGCAGUAGUAAAUUGUAGAAGACAUAAAGACAAUUUCCCAUUUUAUAAUUUUUUCAAAAAACUUUUUUACAACACAUGCACCUGGCCAAAAUUUUAUUUUGCUAACUAACAAUAAUUGAGUAGCUGACCGUAUUGACUCCGCCUACUUGCUAAAGUAAAAAAAUAGAAAUAGAAUUUCCACAAAAUGUCAAACAUGUAAAAUCUAAUAUUUGGCCAUGUGGAACAAAUACAAAUGAAAAAAAAAAUAGAAAAAAGGCCUAAAGACUUUUAAAAUUGUGUGGAAAUCUUUCGGCCCUUUUAUAAUGGUGUGUUUUUCAAAGGAACAACUAAUAAUAAUGACACUUCUACGGUUUGUUUUGAUAAUUACACAUAUACUCUUUAAUUUGAUAAAUGGUUACACAAAUUUUGUUUACAAAAAUAUAUUAUUCAUGUUCUGUAUUAUUUUUUAACAUCAUAUUUUUAUUUAUUAUAAUUGUUUAAAGUUAAUUGUUAGGUUGAUAUAUAAUAAAACGUAUAAUCGUUCUCUUACUAAACACACAAUACUCGUAGUUUCUAUCCAUUUGUCAUCUCAAUCUCUCUCAUUUAUCCUUUCUUGAUAGCUCAAAACGCGUCACUGUGGAAAAUAAUAGCAAAACGACAAAUAUGGAAGAAUGGGAAGAAAAUUAAUGCAUGAAAGAGUUGCAGAAGACAACCAAAUAAGUCAACUAUACGCUAGUUGGGUGUAUAAAUUGUUAGAUGUGUUAUAAACAAAUAGCAUAGAGCCUUGGUUGGUUACAGAGAUAGAAAAACUGUGUGUGUUUUUUAGAACUUAAAGAUACAGUUAGAAUGGGUGGUUCAAAAUCAAAAUGGUGAUAAUGUUUGUUCUGUUAUUAAUAAUAUUAGAAGGUGGGUGGAGUGAAGGAUGUUUGGAUCAUGAGAGAUUUGCUCUUUUGCGACUCAAACAUUUCUUCGAUGAUACUGGUAGUUAUUUUUACUACUGGGCAGAUGGUGAGGGAGCUACUGAUUGUUGUCAGUGGGAAAGGGUUGAGUGCAGCAACACCACAGGCAAGUGAUAGUGCUAGACCUUUUUUGAAACGUAUUUGGGAGAGUACAGCUGGUAUCUGAAUGCUUCUUUGUUUACUCCCUUUCAACAACUUGAGUCACUUGAUUUAUAUGGCAACAAAAUAGUCGGUUUUGUUGAGAAUGAAGGUACUUCGUCUAAUUCAAUUAAUUUACAUUUCGCUCUCCUAAUUUAAGUCGAAUAUCAAGACUGAGCAGCUAUAUGCAUAUUCAUUCAAUUGACAAUUUUUACAUAUUUUUUAAAAUGUUUAAUUUUGAAAUUACACCAAACAUCAUAUGUGGUUUUGAUUUUACUUGCAGGUCUAGAAAGAUUGAACAACUUGAAGAGGCUUGAUUUAAGUUAUAACUUGUUCAACAAUAGCAUCUUAUCAUCUGUGGCUCAUCUUUCUUCACUAACAUCAUUAGAUUUAUCUGGAAAUAGAUUGGAAGGAAGUAUUAAUGUUAAAGGUACGUAAUUAAAACGUCAUCGCUUCUCUCAACUCUUUCAUUAACAUGCUAAAAUAAGAUUCAAGGCUUUGAAUUCAUUUUUUUUUAUGAGUAAAUAUUAGAAAAAUAGUUUUAAGCAAUUCAUAAAUACAAUUUUCAAUGUUUCUCAUAAUUUCAUCUUGUACUUUCGUAUGUCUUGACUUUAAGAUUAAAAAAAAAAAUUACUCUAACUGUGAAGCAAAUACCCCAUGACUAAUUUAUCAUUUCGUCCAGUUAAAAAUGAUAAAAUUUAUCAUUUGUUUAUAUUGAUUAAUUAACUCUAUUUUAAGUCUUAAGUCUUGGCGUCUUGGCAUAUUUGCAGAAUUUGAUUCCUUGAGCAACUUAGAGGAGUUGGACAUGAGCGACAAUGAAAUAGACAAUUUAGAGGUUCCUCAAGGUAAACAAUUAAAAUAUAUUCAAUUACAUUAAUUUAAUUCGUUUGAUUAGGGAAGACCCAAAAGGUACAAAAUAUAAUAAUAAUAAUAAAGAAACAGAGAAUCUAUAUUAUUUCAAAAAAUAAAACGUAAUACUAUUAUUUCAAAAAUAGAUUGUAAUAAAGAUUUGAUUCCGGUUCUUUAAUCUUUACAGCAAUUGAAAAACGAUGUUGCUCUUUUCCUGAAGCAUAAAAUAUGAAAUGACUCCAAUACAAUUAAUCAUUUAUUUCGUUUACUCUAAAAUUAGACAAUGAAUCUUUAUUUUCUUCAGUCUUAUCCUAAUUAUUAUUAAUAAACAGGUUACAAAGGUUUGAGGAAGUUGAAUUAUCUUGAUCUAUCGAAUGUUGGAGUUAGAGAUGGAAGCAAGUUGUUACAGUCAAUGGGAUCAUUCCCAUCCCUCAACACUCUUUACCUGAAGGAUAAUAAUUUUACCGAUAUAGCGACAACUACUACUCAAGGUAAGUAAAAGAUACAGAUGUGGCCAAAUUUACAAAUAAAUUGUUAAUUAAUUAAUUUUUCCGUAUUAUUAAUAAAGCUAAAUUCGUCGCUCCUUCCUUCUAAUUCUAAACAGAGUUGGCAAUUUCACCAACUUGGAGUAUUUGACAUUGGACUUGUCCUCGCUCCAUUUAAGCCUUCUACAAUUACUUGAAGAAUGAAUUUAUUUAUUAUUAUUAUUGUUGUUGUUGUUGUUGUUGAAGUGAGGUGGGCAAGCGUUCACUCAAUUAAUAUGUGAGGAAUUAAUAAUUACAAUCCAAGGUAGAAUUGUGGAAAAUUAAAGCAAAAUGAGAAAUAUGGAAAGAAAGGAAGAAAGUUAAGGGCAUGAAAGACUAGGAGAAGACUAAAGACCACCAAAUAAGUCAACUGAAAACUAGCUGGGGCCUGGGUGUACAAAUUGUUAGAUGUGUUUGUUAUAAAUAACAUAGAGCCAUCUUGUUGGUUGCAGAGGCAGAGAGACACAGAGUGUGCAUUUUGUUAAUUAAAAAUAUAUAUAAAAUGGGUGGUUCAAAAUCCAAAAUGGUGAUAAUGUUAGUUUUGUUAGUAUUAAUAAUAUUAGAAGGGAGGUGGCGUGAGGGAUGUUUGGUGCAUGAGAGAUUUGGUCUUUCGAGACUUAAAACAUUUCUUCAAUUCUCCUUAUAAUUUUUGUCACGACUGACCGUUGUCAAUGGGAUGGGGCUGGGUGCAGGGUUGAUUUACGUUAGAACAAUAUAGCCGGUAGUGUUGAGAAUGAAGGUGUUUCAUUUAAUUUAAUUAAUUUACUUUCUCCCUCCUAAUUUAAGUGGAAUAUCAAGACUGAACAAUUAUAUGCAUCUUCGUUCAGUUGACAAUUUUGACAUUUUUUUUAAGUGAUUAAUUUUGAAAUUACACCAAACAUUAUUUGUGAUCUCUGUUUGACUUUACUUGCAGCGCUAGAGACGUUAUCAAGAUUGAGCAACUUGACGAUACUUGAUUUAAGUUAUAACUUGUUCAAUAAUAGCAUCUUGUCAUUUGUUGCCCGUCUUUCAUCAUUAACAUCAUUAGAUUUAUCUUACAAUGGAUUGGAAGGAAGUAUUAAUGUUAAAGGUACGUAAUUAAAACGUCAUCGCUUCUCCAACUCUUCCAUUAACAUGCUAAAAUAAGAUUCAAGGCUUUGAAUUCAAUUUUUUUUUAUGAGUAAUAUUAGAAAAAUAGUUUUAAGCAAUUCAUAAAUACAAUUUUCAAUGUUUCUCAUAAUUUCAUCUUGUACUUUUGUAUGUCUUGACUUUAAGAUUAAAAAAAAAUUACUCUAACUGUGAAGCAAAUACCCAUGACUAAUUUACAAUUUUGUCCAGUUAAAAAUGAUAAAAUUUAGGGAAAUUAUCAUUUGUAUACCCUUAGUUUACUCUAUUAUCAAAAAUACUACAACACUUUGAGGGUGUAUCAAUCGUCCACCCUAAGUUGACAAAAUGUAUUAGCCAACCACCAAACCGUUAGUUGCCGUUUAAAUAUGAUAACAUCAUAAGGGUAAUCUGGUCUUUUCAUAUGAUACAAGUGAUAAUUUAAGGGUAUACAAGUGAUAAAAAGAGAGUUUAAGGGGAUACAAGUGAUAAUUUUCAAGGUAAAAUCGUCAAUUUACUGUAAUUCCGUUAACUUUCAAACGGCAAUUAACAGUUUGGUGGUCGGUUGAUACAUUUCAUCAACUUAGGGUGGACGAUUGAUACACCCUUAAAGUGUUGUAGUAUUUUUGAUAAUAAAGCAAAUAUAGGGUAUACGAAUGAUAAUUUCCCUAAAAUUUAUCAUUUGUUUAUAUUGAUUUAUUAACUCUAUUUUAAGUCUUAAGUCUUAAGUCUUGGCAUGUUUGCAGAAUUUGAUUCCUUGAGCAACUUAGAGGAGUUGGACAUGAGCGGCAAUGAAAUAGACAAUUUCAAGGUUCCUCAAGGUACACAAUUAAAAUAUUAUUUAAUUACAUUAAUUUAAUUCGUUUGAUUAGGGAAGACCCAAAAUGUACAAAAACAUAAUUAAAAAAAAAUAAAGAAACAGAGAAUUCAUAUUAUUUCAAAAAACAAAAGGUAAUACUAUUAUUUCAAAAAAAGAAUGUAAUAAAGAUUUGAUUCCGGUUCUUUAAUCUUUAUAGCAAUUGAAAAACAAUGUUGCUCUUUUCCUAAAGCAUAAAAUAUGAAAUGAGUCAUAAUUGAAUUAGUCAUUUAUUUUGUUUAGAUCUAAAUUUAGACAAUAAAUUUUGAUUUUUUUUUCAAUUCUAUCCUUAUUAUUAUUGUUAAACAGGUUACAGAGGUUUGAGGAAGUUGAAAAGCCUCUAUCUAUCGAAUGUUGGAGUUAGAGAUGGAAGCAAGUUGUUACAGUCUAUGGGAUCAUUCCCAUCCCUCAACACUCUUUACCUGAAGGAUAAUAAUUUUACCGAUAUAGCGACAACUACUACUCAAGGUAAGUAAAAGGUACAGAUGUGGCCAAAUUUAUAAAUAAACUGUUAAUUAAUUAAUUUUCUGUAUUAUUAAUAAAGCUAAAUUUUUGCUCAUUCCCUCUAAUUCUAAACAGAGUUGCACAAUUUCACCAACUUGGAAUAUUUGACAUUGCACGGUUCCUCUCUCCAUAUAAGCCUUCUGCAAAGCAUUGCAUCAAUAUUCCCUUCGUUAAAAAAUCUGUCGAUAUCUUAUUGUGAAGUCAAUGGUGUCGUACAUGGUCAAGGUAAAAGAAAAGUGUUGGUUGUGCACUCACUGAGUGUUGUCCUACGUAUUCAAUAUUUUUAUUUAUUUAUUUUAUUGUUUAAUGUUUCUGCUAGGUUUUCCUCAUUUCAAGAGUUUGGAACAUUUGGGCAUGAUGUCCACGCGCAUUGCACUCAACACCAACUUUCUUCAAGUCAUCAGUGAAUCGAUGCCUUCUCUUAAGUACUUAUCACUGUCAUAUUCUACUCUUGGCACUAACAGCAGCAGGAUUCUUGAUCGAGGUUAAUCAGAUGCUCCCACCCUCCAUUCUUAAUCUAUAAUAUUAAUUUUCAGUUAAAUAUUUAAUUACACAAACCAAUCACUUAUUAUAAAAGAACAAUACGCAUUCAUUAAUUUUUAUAUUAUAUUAAUUGAUGAAUUUAAUAAAUUCCAGGCCUCUGUUCGCCGGUGCAUCUGCAAGAGUUAUACAUUGGUUCUAACGAUUUAAGAGGUAGCUUGCCUUGGUGCAUGACAAAUUUGACAUCCCUCCGAAUAUUAGAUGUUUCUUCCAAUCAACUUACUGGAAGCAUCUCCUCGUCUCCCCUCAUUCAUUUGACAUCCAUUGAAAAGCUGUAUCUUUCAAACAAUCACUUCCAGAUCCCAAUUUCACUUGAACCACUUUUCAAUCAUUCAAGACUCAAGACUUUUUAUGCUGACAACAACGAACUAAAUGCAGAAAUAACUCAGUCACAUUCUUUGACCGCCCCAAACUUCCAAUUAUCACGUCUCUCAUUGUCUUCCGGUUAUGAAGAUGGCGUCACAUUCCCCAAAUUCCUUUACCAUCAACAUGAUCUGGAGACUGUUGAGCUCUCACAUAUAAAGAUGAAUGGAGAAUUUCCAACUUGGUUGUUGGAAAACAACACAAAAUUGAGACAACUUUCUCUCGUCAAUGAUUCUCUUGGAGGACCUUUCCGGUUGCCAAUUCAUUCACACAAGCGGUUAGGAAUGUUGGAUAUAUCCAACAACAACUUCCGAGGCCACAUUCCAAUAGAAAUUGGAGAUGUUUUACCAAGUCUAUACCUUUUCAACAAUUCCAUGAAUGCUUUAGACGGUAGCAUUCCCUCUUCAUUUGGUAAUAUGAAAUUCCUCCAAAUUCUGGACUUAUCCAACAAUCACUUGACUGGUGAAAUCCCCGAGCACUUGGCCGUUGGUUGCGUCAACUUGCAGUCUCUUGCAUUAUCAAAUAACAACCUACAAGGUCACAUGUUCUCUAGAAAUUUUAACUUGAUAAACUUGAAAUGGUUACAAUUGGAGGGCAAUCGCUUCAUAGGUGAGAUCCCACAAAGUUUGUCUAAAUGCUCCUCACUAGAAGGAUUGUAUCUUAACAAUAAUAGUCUUUCGGGUAAGAUUCCACGAUGGUUGGGUAAUCUCACAUGGUUACAAUAUAUUAUAAUGCCCAAUAAUCAUCUUGAAGGCCCUAUUCCAGUGGAGUUUUGUCAGCUUGAUUUGCUUCAGAUUUUGGACAUUUCAGACAACAACAUAUCUGGAAGUUUACCAUCUUGUUUCCAUCCUCUCUCUAUCAAACAAGUUCAUCUUUCAAAAAAUAUGUUACAUGGACAGCUAAAAAGAGGUACAUUCUUUAAUUGCUCUUCCCUUGUGACAUUAGAUCUUAGCUAUAAUCGCUUGAAUGGCAGCAUUCCGGAUUGGGUUGAUGGGCUUUCUCAGUUAAGCCACCUUAUCUUAGGUCAUAAUAAUCUUGAAGGUGAAGUGCUAGUUCAAUUGUGCGAAUUGAACCAACUACAAUUGUUAGAUCUUUCUAAUAAUAAUCUUCACGGUCCUAUUCCUCCUUGCUUUGAUAACACCACACUUUAUGAAAGUUACAGCAAUAGUUCUAGUCUUGAUGAGCAAUUUGAAAUAUUUUUUUCCAUCGAAAGCCCUCAGGGAAAUGUAGAAAAGCAAAUCCAUGAAAUUUUUGAGUUCACAACAAAGAACAUUGUGUACAUUUACCAAGGAAAAGUGCUUAGCCUCCUAUCAGGACUUGAUCUUUCUUGCAACAAGCUAAUUGGUCCUAUUCCUCCUCAAAUUGGAAAUUUGACAAGGAUUCAAACAUUGAAUCUAUCACACAACGACUUGAUAGGAUUGAUCCCAUCAACAUUUUCAAACUUGAAGCAUGUCGAAAGUUUGGAUCUUUCCAACAACAAAUUGAAUGGGAAAAUCCCUCAUCAACUAGUGGAGUUAAAGACAUUGGAGGUUUUCAGUGUGGCAUACAAUAACUUAUCAGGCGAAAUUCCAGAAUGGACUGCACAAUUUGCAACCUUCAAUGAGAGUAGCUAUGAGGGAAAUACUUUUCUUUGUGGAUUGCCAUUGCCCAUUUGCAGAUCACCAGCAACUAUGUCGGAGGCUUCAAUUGGCAAUGAACGAGAUGAUAAUUUAAUUGACAUGGACAGUUUCUUUAUCACAUUUACAACAUCGUACGUAAUUGUGAUAUUUGCAAUUGUUAUUAUUUUAUAUGUAAAUUCUUAUUGGCGACGUAGAUGGUUUUACUUUGUUGAAAUGUGGAUAACUUCAUCUUACUAUUUUGUUGUAGACAAUCUUAUUCCAACAAGAUUUUAUCAUUGAAAUUAAUUAGUAGUUUAAUUACGAUUCUUUAAGUACUAAUCAAGUUUGUUUAGGAAAUAUUUUUUUAUUAAAAUUGUAGUAGUAUUUAGCAUUAUAUAGCUUCCAACUUCCAAGCACUUCACAUUUGUCUCUACACUUAAAAAACUGAGUGAUCAUGUUUUGCAGAUCUGGAUUUGGAGCAGGAUGGAUCCAAACCCAUAUCUGUCCACCGUAACUUAUAGCUUCCCUAUACUGUGCAGCAUACUUAAAUAAGAGAACCAUCUCCAAUGUUAAAAGCAUUCACUCUAUAACAUUCAUUUAGAAACUAUAUUCAGAAUAAUUUUAUAAUUAAACACAAGAAAUGAAACACACAGAUACACUUGAUCGCCUAUUUUACUCUAAAAAAGAACGAUUAUUGUGCUAUCAUCAUCUUCUUCACUAGCAACAUUAACACCAAAUCGAUGGACCCAUACAUUUCAUCAAGAAAGGUCUAUAUCCAAUAAAGUUGAAGCCUAACAAAAAAUUCAAGAAGAUUCAUGCCUCGCCACAACAAGGGGCACAACAACAUCAAAGUAGAGAUUAAGCAGUAUUCUCAAAGCUAAAACUCUCAAAUCCACCCACCAGAAUUUCAUAUCUCCUCAACAAUUUUAAGAACUAAAGAUAAUUAGGAUUUAACAUUAGUUUUUUAUAUAUUAGUUUCAUAAUUUACAAAUCAAUGAAGAUGAAGAUUAUGCUAAUAAAUUCAAAUUAUACCAUACAUUCUCUAGAUGUUACCAAAAAUUUCUAAGUCAAUCCCACAUAUUUCAUAAUUUUAAGACUAGAAAAUUUCACUAGUUAGAAGUUUCAUUACCUUCAAGUGGAAGAUGAAGAACAUUAUACAAGUGAUUCAGAUUAUAUCAUACAUACUCCAAAUGCAACUAGAAAUUAACAAGUUCAUGCACACAUAUUUCAUAACAUUAUGAUUGAAAAGUUUCACAGAGAAAUUCUAAAUUCAAUCUCUUGCAUGAAGGCAAUUUGAUUGAUUUGAGUUACUUUCUUAUCAAGCUACUAAUAUAACAUUCAAGUCAGGGAGAAAAUAAAUUAAAACUGGGAAGAAAUAACAGUAAAAAUUUGUUGCUCAACAUGAUGUGUAUUUUUUUUCAAGGCAAUUUGGAAACACAAUUGUUACCACAGAUAUUCUUCUCAACUUGGAGAUAAAUACAAAUAUUAAAAUGCAUAUGAUCGCACAUAUUACUUCGAGUUUAGUAAGAUUUCAUUAAAAGAAGCAAUCAAACCACUUAUCAAUUGUCGCAGUCGUUCUAUAAACUAAAAUAGCAAUAUAAUACAAGAAAAAGAACAUAUAGAUACUUGGCAAGAGUUCAUUAAGAAGUCACAUCACAUUCAGGUGAGGAGUUUGCUUCUGAUAUCUUGCUAGCUGGGGCUUUUUCUUGUCUUUCUACGUAUGCCGAGGGAAACCAACCAGCUUGGCCCUUGCAUUCACCUUCCGACCAUCCAAUAGGAGCCACCUUGAGAAGUUAUAACUAAA